Molecule: long non-coding RNA, 347561 nt
Organism: Homo sapiens (human)
Lineage: Eukaryota; Metazoa; Chordata; Mammalia; Primates; Hominidae
Gene: XACT
Product: X active specific transcript
Source: Ensembl
AACAUUUGAGUCAGUGUGCUAAGGAAGGCAGAUCCACCCUUAAUCUUGCGGGCACAAUCUAAUCCGCUGCCAGUGAAUAUGAAGCAGGCAGAAAAACGUGAAAAGGAGAGACUGGCCUAGGCUCCCAGCCUACAUCUUUCUCCCGUGCUGGAUCCUUCCUGCCCUCGAACAUCGGACUCGAAGUUCUUCAGUUUUGGGACUUGGACUGGCUCUCCUUGCUCCUCAGCUUGCAGACAGCCUACUAUGGGACCUUGUGAUCAUAUGGUGUCCGGAAUUUCAAAUAAUACUGAGUUAUGGGAAUUGCCACAGUAAGUAAAGAUCUACAGUCGGGGAAAAGGAUUUAUAAGGCGUAUGUUUUAUAGCUCCUGUAUGAGUAGGCUUUUGAUGCAUCAUAUACAUGCUUUGAAGGUAGUAUUAUGCAGGGUACUAAAUUGAGUUAUACUUACAGUCAAUGAAUAUCAUUUGACCAAUGACAUUUUAGAAAAAUAUCUAUAUAAUUUUCCAAGGCCAUGUCUUAGAAAUUUUGCUCUGAGUCUUAUAUCUGAACAUCUCAGAGAAUUUUUAGAGAAAACAAUUUCACAGAUAAUGAUAAUUAGAUACCUUCACUUUGCAAAUAUAUGAACUGCCUUUUGAAUGGCCCUUUUAGUAAAAUGAGAUUGAUUACGUCCUCUUCAUAGCAGAGAUUUUACCACAAAACAUCAAUCUAUUAUGAAAAGUACAUACGUGUAACCUGGUAUCCUUGCUUGGCAGGGUGAUGUUACAUUUAGGUACAUGAACUACCUACUGUGAUAAGCUCCCUAUCUCUUCAAAUAUUAACUCUCCUGCUCAUUCCUGUCUGAUGCCUGAAAUUCCUUUAAUAUUACAAAAAGCUUAAUCAAUUUAUUAAUAAUCCUACAUUUUCUUGCAUUAUUGCUGCCCAGUGAUCUGGAUUGUUUGUGGUUGUUGAUUGGAAAACUAAAAAGUCUUAGAAAAUAUCAUUCUAAUGUUAUUGUAUCACAGUGAAUUACCCACAUACAAGCACAAAGUAAAGCUGUAAAGCAAUUAAUUCAGUUCUUCAAAUAAACCAAAAAAAGAAGACAGUGAAUGAUAACUAUCAGUUUCUUUCUUAAUUUGAUGGAUGAAUUUAUUCACUCUCCAUUUUUCUCUCCCAGCCUAUUUGUGGUUUUGUAGCAAAAAGAUUUCUACAUGGCUUUUUCUGUAAUUAUUUUGUGAAAACCCACAAUAUAAAAGAAACUGACUUAUUUUAAGAAUAAUGGAACUUCCUCUUUUCAGAAGGGUCUGAAGCAAUUUUUCUCUUUAAGCAAAACCUCUGUUCUAUGGUUCACGUUCAGAUGUGGCCUUCAUUCAAACAUACUUCCCUUCUUAGCUGCUGAUGAAAGCAUGUGGCAACAUUUCUGCCUUGGCAAAUUUAAAUCAUCUCCCUUAAGGUGAGGGUAGGUAAAUACCUUAGCAAGUUAUCUCUUUUAUACAAACAGACUUAUUUUGGCACAGUGUAUAAUUGUAUACAUACAAUUGUAUAAAUACUAUUUUAAAAUGCUAGAUUUUUUUCCCCAUGCACACUGAAUUGAAUUCAUUGUAACGUGAAAAUGACUGACAUGUAAUUCUUUUCUCAGAGCAACAUUAACCAUAAAAAUGGAGACAGAGCAACAAACUCCUGGGUGACUACAAGUCAGGAAAGGGAAAAACACCGUAGGGGUAGAAUUUACAGAAGUCUUAUUUUAAAUACAAUUUUGCCUCAAAAGAUGGGCCAUAGAAGGGAGGUGUGUAUUCCACUCUCCUUGUAAAAUAUGAGUUUUUAAAUCUAUAAGUAGGAAGAGAUGUACAACACAUACUAAUGAAGAAAUCUGUUGCCACGUUUUAAGUAUUAAAAAAAAGGCAUGUCUAUAUCUGGUGGGAUUUUUUUUUAAUGACUUAAUUUAUUCCUACUGCAAUAAAUUAGGCUAUUCAAGCAAUCCAGGGUCCAUCCAUCUAUUAAUAGUAUCAAGCUUUUAAAAUGUAAAGCUUUUAGUUUUGCUGCUUCUAAAAUCAUAUAGUGCUUUCAUUCUAAUUUAUGUUGAUUCAGUUCAAAUAAUAGAAAUUUUGAAUGACAUCAUGGCUAUUUUGACACGUAUACAGACUAUAGUAAAGUGGUUUUGGACGUGUGUUCAGAAUUCUAUAAGCAGGGGAAAAAUAAAAAUAAUGGAUUCCUAAUUUACAAUGGUUGCUCUUUGCAAUAAAUAAUGUUAUAAGCAAUUAUUUUAUAAGAUCCUUAUGUAAUCAGUAAAAUAUGCAAUAAAAUUAUAAAGAUGCUGAACCUCCUAUCAAGUUUAGUUAUCAUAUCAAAAUUCUUGCAAAAAGAUGCUACAUUUCAUUUAUUUAGAAAAAAAAGAACAAUGAUAUUGUCAAGAUAGAUAAUUUUGAAUUCUGAUUUACAAACAUUCAGUGAGUUCCUAAAGCUAUGUAUUCCAAUAGGGUACAGAUAUUUGAACUGAAAGUGAAUAUUUCUCUUGAUCCCAAAAAGCGUGGGGUGUCUUAACCACCCUGAGAGUUUUCUACAUAGUACUCAAAUUGAUUGACAGGUUUGUAGAUCAACAAUGUCUUUCUUUCUUUUUUUUUUUUUUUUUUUUUUUUUGACAUGGAGUCUCGCUCUGUCGCCCAGGCUGGAGUGCAGUGGCACGAUCUUGGCUGACUGCAGGCUCCACCUCCCGGGUUCACGCCAUUCUCCUGCCUCAGCCUCCCGAGUAGCUGGGACCACAGGCGUCUGCCACCACGCCCGGCUAAUUCUUUUGUAUUUUUUAGUAGAGAUGGGGUUUCACCGUGUUAGCCAGGAUGGUCUCGAUCUCCUGACCUCGUGAUCCACCAGCCUCGGCCUCCCAAAGUGCCGGGAUUACAGGCGUGAGCCCCCGCGCCCGGCUGAUGUUUUUCUUUUAGCUUUACGUUAUUUCUCUUCGAAGGUUAUCUCAGCCCCAGAGAUUCACUGACACUUGGGGGAAUGGUAGUUUUAAUUAUUGAUUUUUGAACAGUUUAACUUUGUGAUCACUACCUCUUGAUACGUGCUCAAGGUGGGGUUGGCCUUAGACUCCAAUAUAAUAGCUAGUUGGGAUAUGAAGAUCAGAGUCUCCUAAUCUCUGUCUGCAUCCCUUCCUUCCCUGAGACUCUUUAUGGUGCAAUGCCCACCAAUAAGGAUUUCUCCUUUAUAAGCAGUGUCUUUCAAAGUUUCUCUCAGAGAGGUAACAAAUUAGGAUCUGACACAUUAUUGUGAAAUAAUUUAUCAAAUCUCUUUCCUUCAUUGCUGGGAGGGAAGAUCCCAACCAUCAAGAAUACACUGGACACCUUAGGCUGAGGCAUUACACAGGGGCCAAAGAACACUCAAAGGGAGGCAGGGGAACUCAAAGGAUCAACACUGCAUCCUUCAUAGUUUGGCUAAGGGCUGACUCACCUCUGAACAAAAGUAACCUCCCAAAUCAACAGCUGCAUCCGUAGGGUGCAUAUCUGAAGGACAAUUGUUUCAGGCUGGAAUGUACAACACUAAAUAGCUUAUUUUCCCUUCCUCUUUUUCCAUUGAGGUUAUAAAAUCCUAAAUCCAAAUUCCAAGACAAAGGUCCUUAAUAAGAGGAAAUUCCUCUGGCAUUGAAUAGGGAAGAUUAGCAAUGGCUGUUAUCCCGUUUUAUAAUCAUGUAGCUACUUAUAACAAAAUGAAAGAAGACCCCCUGCCUUGCUCACUUUGUAAACACAUGGGAAAGAAUGGGAUCACAUGCCCAGGCAGGUCUGCGUGUGCUUGAAGGGUAUUGCAAGGUCCUGCACCCCCACCACUGAUUUGGCUUGGCAUUUGCACCAUUCAAGUCACUCUAGAUCUCUUUUAACAAAUGGAAGAAAAGACUGAGGACCUAGGAGCCCCCAGGGUUAUUCACUCCCGGUUCCAAGGUAGCUCUAUGACAUCAAUGAAUGCUUUACUAAAAGGAAUAACAGAAAGAUAUUAUUUAUUGAAUGUUCAUUAUAUGCCUGGCACUUUACAUUUAUCUGAGUUAAUUUUGGCCACAAUUCUGGUAGUUAUGCUUAUUAUCUUCAUUUUGCAGAUGCAGAAAUAGGCAAGGAAAAGCUAUAUAACUCCCUUAAGGUAACACAGCUAGUAAGCAGCUGAAAAGGGAUUUGGACUCUAGCAGUGUACCCACAUUGUCCACACUUUUUGCCAUUAUAGUAAGUUGUCAGUAGAUGAACACAACUCAGUGAAGUGGAGGUGGCUAUUGAUGCAAUUGAGCAGUUUAUUGAGAAGUAAAACUUCUAAUUGGAUACAGCACUUGCAUCGCCAGUGUCAAAACAUUGUAAAGGAAAGAUGAAAAAUGUCAUCAAUAGUUCAGCACUUUGGAAGCAUUUGUAUAUUUGGCAUCACAGAGACAAAAUAUCCAGAUGGGAGAUUGAAUAUUUUAUUUUGCAUCUGGGUGUUCUGGCAAAAUAGAAAGCAAGAAAAGUGAUUUCUAUUUGGUUAUUUUUAAUUUGUGGUGAUAUCAGCACCCUACAAACUGAAGGAGAGAAACUCAAUGGUAGUGGUCCUACUAUAUCUGUUUUGUGCUGAAAUGCACUUGCAACUGGAAUUGUUUGCUUUAAUAUAUUUCAGUGGGGUGUCACCAGGGGCAGCCUCAGCAAAAUUGUAAGAGUUAGACUCAUCUUUGAUGUUCUUCUGCAUCUUCAGGGAUGCACUACCCUUUUGUCCCUACCAGGUGAAAACUGACUUCAUGCUUUAUAUAUUCCCCAUUCCCAGCAUGCUCUUAUAAAUAAGCCAUUUGUAAUAACAUAUAAAAGGCGUCAAAAUUUUAAGUAACUGUGGGACAGAAGUGAUGGUAGAAUUUUAGGUACCUGUCAUAGGUGACAAAUUUGUGAGGAGAGAGGACUUCUGAGCCCCUUACAUGCCCUCUAAAUUACCACCAAAUUAUAUGAUUUCCAGACUUAUAAGUCUUAAAACCCUUGUACAGGAAAAUCACAGUGAUAAAAUAAAAUCAAAGACUGAUUAAUUACUAAUUAUGUAACUUACAAGAAUGGGGACACAAAGACUACACAUGGUAAUGGUUUAGAUUAGAAGUAUUUCUUUGAGAAUAAUCAGAAAGCUAAAUACUUUAACUAUGCCACUUUCUUCCAAAGGCAGUAAUUCAAGACCCUCUGUAAAGGCUAUGGCAAUGCCAGUUACUAUAAAGCAUAAUCUGUUUCUCUCUCUUGUUCUCUUUCAAUUGUCCUAGAAAUACAACUACUCAACCCUGUCAUAGCAUGGAAACUCUUAUAGACGAUAUGCAAACAAAUGAGUAGAGUUGUUUUUCAAAAAAACUUUAUUUACAAAAACAGAAAGUCAGUCUACUGCCAUAGACUGCUGUCCCUUUCUCUACAAGUGUUAUUUUAGAUUGUAUAUUUGAGUCCAGUGACCCGUUUUGAAUUAAAUUUUAUAUAUGGCGCAAGGUAUGUAUCACAGUUUAUUUUCUUGCAUAUUGAUAUCACAUUGUGCAGUAACAUUUGUUGAAAAGACUAUCCUUUUCCCAUUGACUUGCCUGUGUACCUUUGUCAAAAAUCAGUUGUCCAUGCACUUGUGGAUCUCUUUCUGAACUUGCUACUCUGUUCUGUUGAUUUACUUGCCUAUUUUUAGGCUACAAUUACACUGCUCUGUAAGUAUAUAAUGAAUCUCAAAAUAAGAUAGUGUUAGCUCUCCAAGUUUGUUCAUUAACUCCUGGCUACUUUUAAGAUUUUUCUCUUCAUUGCUGGUUUUAAGCAAUUUGAUUUUGAUGUGCUUUGUUAUACUUUUCUCAUGUUGUCGUGCUUGAGGUUCAUUGAACUUUUACAGGACUAACAAUAAUGUUCAACUCAGUGGUGCCCCAUUAACCUCAGUAUCUGAAUGGUAUUAUGAGUACAGGCUCGCCUUGCCACAGUGGACAGGUAGUAUGAGCAAGCCAUAAAUCUUUGUUGCUUCAGCAAUUGAGAUUUGGGGGUUGCUUGUUAUAAUAACACAAAUUAGACUAUCCUGACUGAUACUGGGGAAUUAUGGAAGAUUUCGCUUUUCUUAUUUAUAUAUUUAUAUAUUUCCGUCCAAAAUUUACACAAUGAGCUUUACUCUUAUGAUAUAAACACUAAUUAAUAUUAACAUAUUUCAUUGAAUGAAAGGUGACAUCAAUUGUAAGACACACCAUUAUUUUAUGUAUCCCUAAGAAAGAACAAAUAUUUUAAAUUAUACUAUGACUCAGAUAGUUCUAUGUGUUAUUUGAAUUGGUCCACCAGUCUCUUGUUGCUUUGAGAUUUCUUUUAUCAGAUCCCAAAGACUUGGCGAUUUCUUCUGUCUUCUGCCUUUAGUUGCGCUACUAGUUGUAUGGUAAAUAAUCAUUUUCCACAUAUAUGUGUAAGAAUUUAAUGGUAUAUAAUGCAGGUUCAAGUACAUGUAGGUAUCUUUUACUUUUUAGUUUUUAUAAAAUAUUUGGUUUAUUCUUUGCCAGAAAAUCAGAAAUUAGAGUCUUUUCUCCACUAAUCACUAAUAUAAUUGUAUUACCGUUCUAUUGCUGCUGUAACAAAUUACUACCAAAUCAGUGCCCUGAAACAACACAAACUUCACUGUCUUAUAGUUAUGGAAGUCAGAAGUCCUAAAUGUGUCCCAAAGGUCUAAAAUAAAGUUGUCAGCAGAGCCGCAUUCCUUCGCGAGGCUCUAUGAUAGAAUCCGUUUCCCUGCCUUUUCCGGCUUCUAGAGGCUGUCCACAUUCCUUGGCUCAUUCAAAACCAGCAAUGGAACCAGCUGGUUCCAUUCAAAACCAGCAAUGUCAGGCCAUGUAUUCACACUGCCAUCUCUCUGAUUCUCUCUUUUGUAGUCACAUCUCCCUCGACUCUGACUCCUCCCCUGCUUCCCUCUCCCACUUUUAAAGACUCUGGUGAUGUGAUUGCAUUGGACCCACCCAAACAAUCCAGGAAAAUCUCCCUAUUUUAAAGCCAUUUGAUUAGCAAUUUUAAUUCUCCUUCCCCAGGUAAGGUAACAUAUUCACAGGUUCCCAGGAUGGCUAUGUGGACAUCUUUGAGGGAAGAGGGAUAUUAUGCUGUUUACCACAAUCACUAACAUCAAACUCAUGUACCUGCUCUUUUUCUGCACCGUCCUGUAUGUAUAACAACUUUUGUUUCAAUGAGGAAUCACAUUAUAGUUUCUCUGGAGACAUUUUAAACUCAAUGCAUGUAAUAUAGUACCUAGAAAGCAUAUAACACAUUGCUGUGAUGAUCAUAUAAACAGCGAUGAACAAAUCUCGCUGUGUAGAAAAUGACAAACAAGUCACUCUUAAUUGAUGAAAAGAUGCCAUAGAAUUUCAGGAUGCAGCCCUAUUUCAGAGACAUUAGCAUGUAGAAAAACAAUGUAAUCUUAAAAUAGAUGAAAUACAGUAUAUGCAAAAAACUAAUCUACAGAUCUGCCAGUUAAUCAUCUAAUAGGUGUCUAAAGAAUGGAACACAUACAUGAUUCACUUUGAUGGGAAAAGGAGAAGAACAAGGGCAUGUUCCAUGUCAGACAGUGAAAAACAGGCAUGAGGACACUAUAUGUCUAUGUCAUGAGAUACUGAAAUGAGCUCUGAGAUGACCAGCAUAUGCAUUGACUAGAAUAUAAGUAAUCCCAAGCUUUUUAAAAAAAAAAAACAAAAAAAAAAAAACAAAAACAAAACAGAAGAGUCCAACAAAUAUUCAGGGAAGUUUUCCAUUUUUAUAAAUAAGAUUUUCUACACGUGUAUUUAUUUUGACAUUUUGAGUUGCACAGGAAUGAAUGUGCUUUGGAGGGUGGCUAAUUUUUUAAAAAUCAUGUGCCAUAAAUCAGAUAAUGGUUAUAAAAUGAUUUCACAAUCUAAAAAGUCUUGAAGUACACUUUUCAACAAAUCAUUUUUCUUUCUUUUUUUUUUUUCUUUUUGAGACGGAGUUUCGCUCUUGUUACCCAGGCUGGAGUGCAAUGGUGUGAUCUCGGCUCACCGCAACCUCUGCCUCCUAGGUUCAAGCGAUUCUCCUGCCUCAGCCUUCCUGAGUAGCUGGGAUUACAGGCAUGCUACACUACGCCCGACUAAUUCUGUAUUUUUGGUAGAGACAGAGUUUCCCCAUUUUGGUCAGGCUGGUCUCGAACUCCUGACCUCAGAUAAUCCACCCGUCUUGGCCUCCCAAAGUGCUGGGAUUACAGGCGUGAGCCACCACACCCGGCCUACAAAUCAUUUUUCUUAGCUAAAUUUCCUUUUUCUUUAUAUCCAUGGCAUGGACUCUAUGAAACUAUCUUGGGAUGAUAAAAAUACCAGGACAGCAAAUAUAAACAAAACUUUACCAUUAUGUCCUAAAUUUCUGCUUUGAAAAAUAGCAAAGCUUUAAGAUGCAACUACAGCUAAAACUUCAGUAACUAAGAAUAAUUUGGAAGAAGGCAAUUCUGAUAUAGUGAAAAGUCUAAAUCAUAUAAUUUUGAAAAGAAACGUAGCUGGGUUGCGUUUAAGCAGUGUAGUAAGAUGCAGUUUUUAAAAAGAGAUAACCAAUUAUUGGCAAUCGGCGGGCCUGCUUUAGUAAAAAUAAGGUUGUGAUUAAGUUAUAUUAUUAUUAUAUAUUAUUUUGUCUCAUCUAGACUUGUUUUUUCUCAAUAGUGAUAAUUGCUAGAAAUAGAAAUCAUAGGGUCAGACUUAAUUUUAGGGGAAUGGGGUCAGGGUGGGUGAGUUGGGAGGGAAACAAAAUAAAAGGAAGGGGUACAGUGAAAAUAAAUUGGAUAAGGAAGGCAAGGAAGGGGUUCUGGAAAAGUUUAUAGUGGCACAAAUGUAGAGUGGGAUGUAAGUCACAUACACACAUACACCAAAAAGAAGGAAGGAAGAGUGGAAAUACCCAAUGGACUGGUGACAUGACACAUACGCCCUGCUCCCAGAUCUGGCACUAGAAAUGUUUUCAGUGUUCUCAUCUAUAAAAUGAAUGGAUUAGAAUAGAUUAUAUCUGAGAUUUCUUGAAGAUCUACUACGCCUUAAGUAUUUAUCAGUAAAUGGAAGUUGCUAAAGUGGUUUUAGAAGAGCUUGAAUCAGUGAUUUAGGCAUUCUUCCUAUAGUCCUCAUUAAAAUAUUAAUUUGUUUAUCAUUCCUCUUUUCUAGAGAUAGUUAAAAAAUAAAACAAUAUCUCUGGCAUGAUUUUUUGUUUUUGUUCUUUUGCUUUUGAGAUUAUUUCUGUGGUAUUCUCACAGUUUAUUGGAAUUUGUAAUGACAGAUAAACAUCAAUUGAAGCAAUUAAAACUAACACUAUUGGGAAACACGACAAAGAAAGACAUGAGAAUUUCAACCUGCUUUCAUUAUGGCAAAGCAUUAAAAUUACUCUAUCUAAAAAUGAUGCAAUGCAGUCAUUUCGCUGUCAGUCAAAAUUUGAUCUAUGCUUUAAACUGAAUGACAGCUAGCAUUAAAGGGACAGACAUGCUCUGAAAUGUGUGUGUGGUAAGGACUUGGAAUGGUGGUAAGAAGGAGGAGUAAACUCACAAGAAUGAAGUUCAAGUUAUUUUUGGUGUGUGCGUGUAUGUGACUUACAUCCCACUUUUCUACAUUUGUGCAACUACAAACUUAUGCAGAACUCCUUCCUUGCCUUCCUCACCCAACUUAUUUUCAUUGUACCCCUUCCUUUUAUUUUGUUUCCCUCCCAACUCACCCACCCUGACCCCAUUCCCCUAAAAUUAAGUCUGACCUUAUGAUUUCUAUUUCUAGCAAUUAUCACUAUUGAGAAAAAACAAGUCUAGAUGAGAUGAAAUAAUGCCUAUUUUGCCUAAAACUUGCUAAAAUUUCAAUGAGAAUAUAAAAAUGAGACUAAUCUGCCCGUGGCUUUCUCCUAAUUUUUUAGGACCACUUUUAAUAAAAGCAGCCCACAAACUUUAUUUUAUGGUUUUACAUUUGGAUCUUUAUUUCUAAUAGAGAAUUCAUUUAAAUUGAAGGAAAAACUAAGUCGUUUGCAUGCAAAUAUAGCAAUAAGAGGAGAUUGCACAAGUAAUGAAUGUGGUAUAUUAACCAAUCUUUUCGCAAUGAGUGACCAGGAAUAUAUUCAUUCUGAAUGCGUCUCUAAUUCAUUCUAGUUGUUACCAUAAAAGUGCACUAAGAUGUGUAUAUCACUUUAGAUUAAAUGCAACAAUUCACAGUAUAUUUUUCUCACAAUAUCAUGAAUUUUAAGGACUAAAAGGACUGUAUCUGCACUGGAUAUGCUUAAAAACAGUCAUAUCAUGAAAUUAUAAAUUGCUCGUGUGGACCUGGAUCUGAAAGCAUUCAGAAAAUGAAAAUUAAUGUUCAUUAAUGAUCGAUGGUUGUUUUUCUUCAUAGAGUUGUCCUUUCUAAAAUUGAAAUAUUACUUACUAGCAAUGACUAAAAAAGGUUUGUAUUUCUUUGACUUUGAGAACAAUGAAAUACAUCCAGAUUAUUUUAUCAAAAGAUGAAUGAGCUGCUAACAACAAGAUGACAAGUUUGCUGCCAGCCACAAUAAUCAUCUCUUUUUUGGAUCAGGCUUUCUGGAACAGAAAGGGUCUUGAUAUCUACUGUUUCAUUUGAUUCCCAGCACAUCUGGCAAGGAGGUAAAACCUGUGUGUUUAUCCUGUUUUACAGCAGGUGACUGAGACUAUAUAACUUGCCUAAGUUCACUCAGCACACAUUGUCCUGUUUGCUAAAUCAGUGUUUCUGAAAUGCUGGAAGAAUACGUGGAAAGUGUUUGCAGUUCGAAAAUAUAGCCACUUUUUUCAAUAUUCAUUUGUUUUCAGUCUUUAUGUUUAAUUUAUCUUGAAAUUACAAAUAACAUUAAAGGCAAUUUAAAAUGUUUAAACAUCUAUCAAAGGGGCAUGGCUUAUAAAAGGUAGGGAAAUAAUAUGCUAGAUAGAUAUUCCGAUAAACUUCAAUAUUUAAAAAUGCUCAGGGAAAAGUACUGUUAUAUGAAAUUGGCAAGGAGAUUUUAGUUUUACUUUUUUGGUGCCAUUCAUUUGUAAACCCUUGUAGGCAGUAUUUUUUUUAAAUGAGUUACUCUGUUUAAAAUACAAACAGCCUCUCAUUAUUGACGGCAGUCAACUGUAUGACAUAGUAAAAAUACUAACAAUAGCUGUCAUUUAUUUAGUACUUUCUUUGUGUCAAGGAUUAUUUUAAACACUUUACAUAUUUACUCAUUUAACUCAUUAAUUCUUCUUAACAACCCUAUGUGGUAAGCAUUAUUAUUAUUUCAUUUUACAGGUAUGGAAAUUGAGGCACAGAGAAUUAACACACUUACUUAUGGUCACACAACUAGUAAAUGAAACAGUUGAAAUUAGGGGAUUCGAACCCAGGCAGUCUGGCUCUAGAGCUACAGCUCUUAACCAUUAUGGAUGCUGUCUAAAAAAGGGAGGAGUUUCUAGAGUCUGACUAUCUGGACUUCAAUCUUGGAUUCACCCCUUUCUAGCAAUAGUCAAGUUAUUUAGGAUCUCUAAGCCUCAAUUUCCACAUCUGUAAUAUGUCAUAAUGAUAUCAACUUAAUAGGAUUAAUGUAAAGAGGAAAUUUUUAAAAAAUUAAUAAAGCAUAGCAAGGUACCUGGAAACUAGUUGUUAGUGAAUGUUAAUUUUCCUUCUUUAUUAAUGACAAUUUGAGUACUGCCUCAUCAUAAUUCUUUUUCUGAACUUUAAGGUUUUCAUAGGCUUGUAUUUUUAACACUGUUUUACCUAUGCCUCUUGUCCCCCCAAAAGCUGCAUUCACACCACACCAUCUAAAAGUAUCUGUGUAGGUGGCAAGACAAAAAGAAAAAAAAAAUAACCAAAUGAUUGAUUCUCGAAGCAGCUAUUUAUUUGCCAGAUUAUUUGUUUUACCUUGAGUAACUUGAAUUUGGACUAAAAUUGAAAUUGGCCCAAUUGUCCCAUAGAACUGACGUUUAUGGUCUCUUUUGAAUAAACAUAGAAAUUGUCCUCACAUUCUUAAAACUUGAGAAAGUUACAUUUGUCUUAUCUGAGUUCCUUUCUCAGGAAACCAACCAUCAGGCCUCCCAGAUAGUAUCAAAGAAUUGAAAUUCACCGAAUCACCACAUCUGGACAAUGAGAUGCCAGACCCCUAACCCAUCAUGAUUGCCAGCUGACCACCUGUUUCCUGUUGACCAACUCCUCUUCCUCACCCCUCCCUAAUUCCUUCUUUCCUGCAUGUAGUUACAUUUCUUCACUGCUAUAUAAAUUCAUGAUUUUAGUCGGUCAGGGAGAUGGAUUUGAGACUGAUCUCCCUCCCAUCACCUCAGCUGCCCACCCAAUUAAGGGCUUCUUCCUUGGCAAUACUCAUUGUCUCAGUGAUUGGUUUUCUUUGUAGCAAGCAGCAGGACCGAGACAGAACUCUUGGCAUUUCAGUAAAAAAAUUCCUCAAGGGACUGCUAGUUUUGAUUUUGCGUGUAGACUAAACUAACACUGUUAAAAGGCACUAUGAUUAGUGUCCACCUCUGAGAAAUAAAUGUGUGCACCAAAAUUAAGGUUUGCUUAGCAGAUUAAAAACAUGUAUGCAGAUUAGAAAAACUUUUAAAUUCUAAACCUCUAUUCCGUUGACCACUUUGGCUGAACAUAAUUUCUUGGCAUCCAACCACUGACCAACAAAUACUACAUUUUCAAGAGUAAAAAAGAAAUACACGAAAUGAUUAUUAAGCCCCUAUUAUAGACAAAAAAUUACAGAGGCUCCCAAAAGAUUCCAGGAGUUUUGUGAUUGUUGAGUCAGUUUUCUGAAGUCUGACCAUGGUGUGCACUCCAGUAAGCCUAAUUUGGAAGAAUGACCCAGCAGGAUGUUUCUGAUUGAUUCUGGAAAUCUUAUCUAAAAUCCAAUGCUGAGCUAGCUAAAAAUCAAAAUAAACUCAUGUUUAGAGCUCCAGCGAAGUUCAGCUUUGAUUAACCUAUCCAGAUUUGUUAUUUAAAAAUACCAGAGAGAUACCAUAUUAAUUGUAACACAUAUUCAAGUUUUUACUGUUUUAAAAAAUUAAUUAAAAAAUUAUGUAGCAGUGUAUAGGUCACUGUAAUCAUUUGAGAUUUAGGACCUUAAUCUAAUCUUGCCUCCAAUUUUUUUUUUUUUUAAUUGGUAACACUACUGUGUGACUAAUCACUGAAUGAUGUGUGUUCUGGAAAAGGGUCUUGAAGCAAAGUUACCUUUAAUGGGAAUGUACCAUUCAAAUUUAUUUGUUUGUUUUUAUGAAAUGUGCCAGUGAGAAAAUGGAUGGGUUAGUUCUAAGUAACCUUGCCAAGGCUAACCUUUGAGUUAUUAUAAAAACUAUUCAAUUUCUAACUUCCAAAUUCCCACUCAUUUUUAAACGAUUAGAUCCUGAAACAGGAUAGGAACCCUAGGAAGGCCAGUUGGUUGAUUGCUGAUUGAUUGUUUCGGGGGGCUGUUCUGCAGAGCCUUUAGAAGAGCUGCCUGCUUCUUGAUCCUAUGCUGUUAGUACAACUCAGGCACCUGACAAAUUCCCUUGCCAAGGGAGAAUGGCCAUUGUUCAGGGAAGGAAUUCCCUUCAAGUGUCCUUGAAAGGGCUUUUCUUUUUGGAAAGAGCACCUUGUAAGCCUUCACAGUUUUAUGUCUCCUUGGAUACUAAUUGGUGUGUAAGCCCGAUAGGUUUACAAAAGUUAGCUAAAAUUUCAAGUUGCUUUUGACAUGUUCAAGUACCCAAAUGGAUAGACAUCUCUAGCUGAUUUUCUCUUUAUAUGAUUUAGGCUUUGUCUGUAUAAUCCCAGUUUUAUAAUGUUGAGCCGAGGUUGAAUAUAGCCAUUUUUGAAAUGGACGUUAAUCAAAUGUUAAAAGAGUUCAGUCACUAGGAAAUAAAAGGCCAUUUGUUUUGUUUUGUUUUGUUUUUUGAACUGGAGAAAGAGUGAACACAGUUCACCACCACCAUAAAUUAUGCAAUCAAGUUUCCCACAUUUGGUGAAAUCUCAGGGGGUCAGCACAUCUGGAAUGGAAUAGAUGAGCCUUGGCGCUGGGAGAACCACCUUCAUGAUCAUGGCACUACCCCUGACAUAUAAGAAUUCAUCAUUUUUAUUUAAGGGUUUCUCUUUAGGGGACAGAAAACAGUUUAAACUUACAAAAGACAAAAACAGGGUUUUUACCUACUCACUACAUUGAUUAGCACUCCUGUGUACCUAUGUGGGCAUAGGCCUUUUGGGGAUAAUGUAAAGAAAUUGUACAAUUGCUCAAAAUAGUGACACUACCUGUGGUGAUCUCAGACUCAACUAGAAUUAGAACUCAGGAACUAAAAUUAGUUCCCAGAAAUCUUCCACCACACAUCAAAGAGUCACAGCACACGCACAAACACAAACUCACACUUCAGUUGUGAAAACCAACUCAUUUCAAAAUAUAACCUCCAUAUCUAUUUGAAUUUUGGUUGAAACAACUUAUUUUAUUGUUAACUCUCUCCUGCUGGAUAGCUUCCCUUCAAGCUUGUCCAUCCUUCUCCAAGAUGCUGAUGGCUUUAAUGAUUUAGGUUGGUAUGCUUGGCUAGAUAUGUACAUGCAUAGGAAAAGUUUGUAGAAGUACCCAUAUACUUUUUCUCUCAUCUCAAUCUAGAAAUACAAAGAUUUCUUUGGAAGGAUAAUUCCCAGAAUUACUCAGGAGUAUGGAGAAAUGUUAGAAAUUGCAUUAAUUUUAUAACCACCAGUUAAAGCAACGUUCAUAGGUUUCCAUAGAUUGACAAUAUUACUAAAAAGCUCAAGUCAUAGCAUACUCUUCUAAAAAGUAAGAGUCCAAAAAUAGGUUAACAUUCAUUUCAUAAAAAUAAUGAAAAGUAAAAUAAAAAAUAGAUGUUUUAAAAGUAAGAAAUAGAAGACUAAUAGGUUUAUACUAAAAAAAAGCUUCUUAUGAGGAAAAUAAUUUUCUAUUAAUGUGACUGUCUACUUAAGUUGGACAAGUCUUAUUUAUUUAUUUUUAUUAUUAUUAUUUUUUUGAGACGGGGUCUCGCUCUGUUGCCCAGGCUGUAGUGCAGUGGAGUGAUCUCAGCUCACUGCAUCCUCCGCCUCCUGGGUUUAAGCAAUUCUCUGCCUCAGCCUCCCAAGUAGCUGGGAUUACAGGUGCCCACCACCGCGCCUGGCUAAUUUUUUGGUAUUUUUUAGUAGAGACGGGGUUUUACCACCUUGGCCAGGCUGGUCUUGAACUCCUGACCUCAUGAUCCACCCGCCUCAGCCUCCCAAAGUGCUGGGAUUACAGAUGUGAGCCACCGCGCCUGGCUCGAGUCUUUUUUAUUAGUGGUGCUAUGUAUGUGUUUUAAUAGUUAUGUUUAUUCAUUUGGGCAAAUUCACUCAUAACUAACAGACAUUAAAAAAGUUUGAAAGCUUUUGAAGCUGUGAACCUUCUUUACUGGAUCUUCUUGAUGGUAUACUAUAAAACACAUCAGAAUGGUCACAUGUGAACUUAUCAAGUGGAAAUGUGAAGAUUAGGGUAAUAGUUCAUUUGCUGUUCAUGUUACACUUGAUGGAAAAAUCUUCAAAUGACAAGAACAACAGCAAUGUCUUGAUUCCUUAUCAAGAAAUCACAAUUCAAAUCCUUAUGAAUAUAUUCACAAUGCUGCUUGGAAAAAGAAAAAGAAAAACACCUAUAGCCCUCAAUAUUGAAGACUUGUCACAGAGUUUUGGUCAGGUUUUUAAGGUAGAGAAUAUUUGAAGUUUGGCCCCUCUGAUUAUGGUUCAGUUAUAUAUUUUAAAAAUAUAGCACAUAAUGAUAGGGAUUUUAAGUAUAUUUUGGGGUUGGAGCAGGUCCUCUAUAUAAUUAAUGUAAUUAAUGAAUAAGCCUAACUAAAGACUGGAAAAGGACUGACAAAAAUGCAGGAAGAUAAUAGUUACACGUUGGUUAAUGAAAUCAAGUUAUUGGAGCUCUAAGAUGAGCCUUAACAGGACUUACACAUUUCAAGUCUUAUUGGGAAACACUCUUAGAAUCCAUGUUUGCUAACAUCAGUAAUUUAUGAAAUAAUGAUUAUACAGUUUUAAAAUGUCUAUUUCUAGAAUGUAAUUUUCAAAUUGUUUUUCAUAAAUCAGAAUUAUUUUCUUUACUUGUUUUUACAUAGUAAGCUAUGUAUCCCCAAAUGCCUAAAAAUAAAGCAUCUGACUCCCACUUCAGAAGUAGAUGGUGAUUUUAAAAAUCAUGUUUUAGGAGGGAGCUUCCAAGAUCAGAAGUUUAUUUUCUCCUGAAUUCUUUGACUUCAAUUAAAGGUUAACUGCCACCAGGUGGACAGUGGUAGUUUCACAACAGCUAGGAUAGCCUUAUGUCUCAGCUUGCCUACAAUAGAUCUAAAUUAUGCCUGCUGGUCCACCUUAACUGGUAAUAGCACCUACUUUUCACUCUUGAAAGCUUCCAAGUUUGGACAAUUAAUUUUUUGGUCACUCUAUUAACUUCACGGUCAGAGGGCAUUGCCAACUCUGGAUGAAUGAGUUCUUGUUUUUGCUAAAAUGGUAACUGAAAGAAAAACCAUAACAAUCGUCUUAGUCUGCUUGGGCUGCUAUAACAAAAUACUGUAGAUUUGAUGGCUUAUAAAUAAAGUAAAUUUAUUUCUCACAGUUCUGAAGGCUGGGAAGCCCAAGAUCAGGGAUCUGGAAGAUUGGGUGUAUGGAGAUGGCCUGCUUUCUGGCUCCUAGAUGACAUCUUCUAGCUCUGUCCUCACAUGGAUGGAAGACCAGGGCUAUGUUCUGUUCAGCCCCUAUUAGAGCGCUAAUCCCAUUCAUAAGAGCGCCACACAGCACAUGAAUUUUGGGGGAGACACAUACAUUCAGACCAUAGCAGCACUCCUGGUUACAUUUUCUUUCACAUAUAGCAUUUUUUCCCUCUGACUUAAUAAUUGUUAUUUUUUGUCUAUUAAAAAAAAAUCUAUGCCUAAGUUUUUCAUCAUCUCCAACAUUUUUAAACCAGUUUAGUAAUCUGCAGGUUACAAGUUUUUCUGGAGCCUUUCAUCUUGUAGUCUAUUCUGGACUUGUUGCACUUUAGCUCUGCUGAGUAACUGCUGAUAUAGUUUGGAUAUUUGUCCCUGCCCAAAUCUCAUGUCGAAUUGUAAUUCCCAAUGUCGAAGGUAAGGCCUGGUGGGAGGUGUUUGGGUCAUGAGGGCUGAUCCUUCAUGUAUUGGUGCUGCUCUCACCAUAGUGAGUGAGUUCUCAUGAGAGACGGUUGUUUAAAAGUGUGUAGCACCUCCCCCAAACAACUCUCCCUCUCUCUUGCUUUGGCUUCUGCUAUGUGAAACGCCUGCUCCCCUUUCGCCUUCUGCCAUGAUUGGAAGCUUCCUGAGGCCUCCCCAGAAACAGAUGCUGCUAUGCUUCCUAUAUAGUCUGCAGAACCAUGAGCCAAUUAAACUUCUUUAUGAAUUACCCAGUCUCAGGUAUUUCUUUAUAGCAAUGCAAAAAUGGACUAACACAGACAUCCUGGAAUUUCAGUUGGUCAUCAUUAAUGGAAUUCCCUUUUUCUCUUUAUCUCUCCUUCUCUUUCUAACAUUGAAUCAAUUGCUUUUUAUAUACUACUUUAUUGUUUUUUUCUAGUUUAGGUAGAGUAUGUUCUCCAGAAGCUUCCUAGGAAAGGCUAUAUGAAAGAUAAAAUACUUGAAGUUUUUAGUGUGUAAAAAUAUAUCUCAAUUGAUAAUUGGAUUGCAUAUGGCAUUUUAGAUUGCAAUCAUUAGUCUCAGAAUCUUGAGCAUUGCCUUCUAGCUUCUAGUGUUGUUAUUGAGAAGUCAGAAGCUAUUGUAAUUCUUCAUUCUUUGCAUGUUCAUGUAACCUAUCUAUUUUUCUCUUUGGAAACUUUUCUUUGUCUCCAGAGUCCUAAAUUUUAUAAUCAUUUGCCUGGGUGUGGAUUUUUUUUUUUUUUAACUUUCUUAUGUUGUUGUACUAGACAAUAGGUCCUUUCAAUCAAUGGAUUGACAGCCUUCUAUUCUAGGAAAUAUUUUUAGAUUUUUAUUUGAUGAUUUCCUAAUAUUUAUUCUAAUCUAUUCUCUUUAUUAGUUAAAUUGAGCCAUUACAGUAGUGAAAUAUACCUCACCCUCAGUGCAAAUAUCUUUCAGGGCCCUAUUACAAAUAAUUUCAGAGAGUGAACAGUGCCUGACGUGUAUUUAAAGAGUAUAUCAAAGUGUGUUGAAUAAAUGACAAUUCUCAUUACCUAAUAGAAAGUAUUAAAAUGCAGUCUUUGCUUACAGUUAAUAUUUUCUUCAUAUGAUUUUUCUUUUUACCAUGGAACCAUCUGUUUCAAAGGAGAUGUGACUGGCAUACUCCGAUAAUGUAAUUUUAUUCUCCCCUCACAAAGUCCCAUUCCACCCUACAGCUAUUUACUGGAAAUUCUUCCUAACAUUUAGAUUUUCAGGGGUCACUUUUUCACUUCUUUGACUUUUAGGUACUACUGUAUUCAAUGAUGAUCUCUCUAGUGGGCCAUAACUUUCUGGAAGGCAUCCAAUUAGUGCUUCUGAAAACAGUCUUAAAGGCUCAGUUUGGAUGGCACGCUAAGUGAUUACUCUGUCACCUAGAGCUAUCUGCCUAGAAAAGGUGAUCCAUAUCUAAGCAGGGCAUGAAGGUGAGAGCAGCUAUAAUCCCCAAAAGGUUAGCUUAUUUUUCAGGUUUCUUUUGCUUUUACCUAAAAAAGUUUAGUACCACCAAAUAACAUUUAAGAAAUUCAGAAACUGGAUGAAUUGCAGUAGAGCUUGAUGAAAGUUUCUGAGAGAAUCUAAAAGCUAAUUACUAAAUUCCAGCUGCCUGAUAAACUCUCAACAUAAGUAGAAUUGGCAACUUCCUGUCAAGAAUUUUGUGAAUGUGAGAACACUCCCCUUACAAACAAGUACCAGACUCUUCUACAUCUACAGCAGGACAAUUCUUACCACGAGAGUACUUUUGGCUUUAACAUGGAAAUUCUGAACUGAAUAAUUCAGGGGUGGCAUUAACUGCCUAUCCUCUUCUGUGGCAGGCUAUUUAUUUAGAAGCUCUACUUAUUAUUAAGCUCUACUUAUUAUUGGAGAAGCUCUACUCCAUAACUUUCUGGGAGAACCAAAGGACCAAUUCUCUUUAGCCACUAGUAACCACCCCCGCCCCCCCCCGCCCCACUUUUAGAUAUACAAGAUUCUCAGGUGAUUUCUAAGAAUCAGGGAAACAAAGAAUACCUUUUACACGGCUCUGUACUCUACAGAAAUGACUAAAAAAUACUAAUCUACAGAUUCUUGAAUGCAGUGACACCUAAGUAUGGUACACAAAUUAUAUAUAAAAAUAAAUCUACACUAGGACAAGUGACAGUGAAACUGCAGAACAUCAAAGGCAAAGAGAUUUUAUAAAUAGUCACAGUUAAAAUAAUAGUUGACUUCUCAAGAGCUACAAUGGAAGUCAGAAGACAGUAGGAUCAUAGUUUUCAAAGCACUGAAUGGAAAUAACUGCCAACCUAGAAUUCCAUACUCAUUGAAAUAUGCCCAUUUUCUGAUGAUUAGUUUGAAAUAGUGACAUUUUCAGAUAACCAAUAGACCCUCACUAAAGGAAAUUCUAAAGGAUGGAGUUUAGGCUAAAGGAAAGUGAUCCAGGUACAAUAAUAAUCAUAUAAGAAAUUGUGAAGACUAUUUUCAAGGUUCAUUUCUAUAGUUCACUACUGGAGAAGUUUCUCUGAACAUGUGGAACACCAGGAAACAUGAGGAAGAAGCACAGCAUUCUCUCCUAAAUGUGAAGCCAGCUGUUGGUGUUGCUUUGCUAUAACUGCUAUUUGCCAUUGAUGAUUAUUUUCCUCUUCUUCCCAGAGAGUAAGAGGGAGAGGAUGCAGUCUGUGUGGUUCCCAUUAAAAAGAAAGAAAAAGAAAGGAAGGAAGGAAGGAAGAAAGAAAAAAUUUUUGGAUAGAAUAACAAAGCGAUAACAAAGAAAGAUAAAUAAAAAAAAGAAUUGCUCUUCUUUGUGAAAAUGUGAUGCUCUCUGAGUUAAAACGUUACCUCUAAAGUCUCUGUAAAAUGCAAACAUGCUAUAAAAAAGGGAUGACGUAUGACGUCAUUAACAUUUCUGAUAUAGUGUGUAUUCUAAUAUAGAAAGUGUGUUCUCGACCAGGCGCGGUGGCUCACUCCUGUAAUCCCAGCACAUUGGGAGGCCGAGGCAGGUGGAUCACCUGAGGUCAGGAGUUCGAGACCAACCUGGCCAACUUGGCAAAACCCCGUCUCUACUAAAAAUACAAAAAAAAAAUUAGCUGGGCAUGGUGGCGGGCACCUGUAAUCCUAGCUACUUGGGAGGCUGAGGCAGGAGAAUAGCUUGAACCGGGGAGGCAGAGGUUGCAGUGAACCAAGAUCCCUCCAGUGCACUCCAGCAUGGGCAACAAGAGUUAAACUCCGUCUCAAACAAACAAAUAGAAAACGUGUUCUCUGUAAGAUUACUGCUCCAAGUGCCUUGAAAAUAAGGUUCAAAUAAGUGUGGGAAAUGUGGUGUUAAACAAAGGGAAACCAGAUUCUUAACUGUUGGACUUCGUAGCAUCUUUAAGUAUGCUAAUGUACAUUUUGAGUUUCCAAGAGAGUGAUAGAGUAUAUAUUUCCCAAUUUUAUUUAACCGCAGAUUUUAUUUUUUUCAAAACAAUUUAAUAGAUUGGCAUUCCUAUAGAUCACAUUUAAAGCCCCUCUGUCCCUAGCAUGGUCCCUGAAAUUCUUCAUCAAAUUAGAUGAUAUUCCUGGAACAUGGAGGCAUGGGAUGGGUAAAUCCUUACAGAAACAUGAGAAAACAACAAGAUUAAGAGUAUAAAGUGGCUCAUGGGAUGGAAGAUCCAGAUUGGGGAGCUCCCUUGUGAGAAUGAGAAUUGCAAAAGCACAAGGGGUAAAAUGGCAAACGGAAACAUCAUGUGCCCUUGUGCUGAUGCUUCCAUUGCUCAACUACAUGGGUCAUCCAUGAGUAUUUGCAAUCUUUUGGCAGUAUAAAUAAAAAUGGUUUAGAUGGGAAAUAAACAGAGGCCUCAAAAACAUGCAACUGGGGCUAUUUCUGAUUUAUCUGAUUUGGAAGCAGUGUCCACUGACCAUUUUUAGAAUCAUAUCUGAAAUUUCAUCUCAGUGGUAACUUUUUGCCUUAUUAGUAGAUACAAAAUAACAAAAUCGGGUGGGUUUCCAUUAUACAAGAUUGAUAUGACUUUAUAUACCAUGACCAAAUAUUUGCUACAUAAAACAAUCUUCAUCAGGCUGGGCACAGUGGCUCAUGCCUGUAAUCCUAGCACUUUGGGAGGCUGAGGUGGGCGGAUCUUCUGAGGUCAGGAGUUCGAGACCAGCCUGACCAAGAUGGAGAAACCCUGUCUCUACUAAAUACAAAAAAGUUAACCGGGCAUGGUGGUGCAUGCCUGCAGUCCCAGCUACUUGAGAGGCUGAGGCAGGAGAAUCACUUGAACUCGGGAGAUGGAGGCUGCAGUGAGCCGAGAUUGCACCGUUGCACUCCAGCCUGGGCAACAAGAGCAAAACUCCAUCUCAAAAUAAAUAAAUAAUAAUAAUCUUCAUUAGAUACCUAUAGAUUAGUUCUCACUCAUCAGCAACAUUCAUGUCUAUGUUAGCACUGAAAGCAGUGAUAUAUUCCCAAGCAAUAAGUAUUUAUCCAAGUAAGUUUAGAAUUAAAAAAUUAAAUUAAUAGAUUAGUACCAAAAUUAUGAAAUCUCAUUAAAAUAACAAAUUUUAAAAAGUAUUUUUAUGGAAGGGAAUAAGAAUUUUACAUACAACUCAAUGUAAAUCUAGUGUAUUUUUAAUUUUUUAAUUCAUAUAUUUUCUAAUGACUCAUAUACAGAAUAUAUACAUCAUUUUCACAAAACACUAAGGAAAAGGCAAUCCAAUUAAUGGUUAGAAUGUUUAAUAGAUAUUUCAUAAAAGAGAAUAUUCAAAUAACAUAGAUGUCUCUAAUGAAUUAACUUUAAAAGUUUGACCUCUUUGAUCAUUCUUUCCUUUUAAUUUUUAAUUUUCAAAUUUAAUUUUUUUUAAGAAGACCUAGCAUGAGAUUUACCCUUUUAUCAGAUUUUAAACUAUAUAAUACAGUAUGGUCAUCUGUAGUCACAAUGUUUUACAGUGGCUCUCUAGAACUUAUUCAUUUUGCAUAAUAAAUUUUAUACCCAUCAGCACCUCCCUUUUUCCCUCUCUUCCUAGCCCCUGGAAACCACAAUUCUAUUCUUCGUUUCCAUUAGUUUGACUAAUUUUGAUAUCUCAUGUGAAUGAAAUCAUGCAGUAUUUUCCCUUCUGUGACUGGUUUAUCUUGCUUAGCAUAGUGUUUUCCAGGUUCAUUCAUAUUGUCACAUAUGGUAGAAUUUCUUUUUUAAGGCUGAAUAAUAUUCCAUUGUAUAUAUACAUACAAAAUUCCAUUCAUUUGUAAAUGGGCGUUUAGGUUUUCAUUUAUUUUGGCUUUUGCAAAUAGUGCUACAAUGAAUAUUGGAGUGCUAAUAUCUCUUUAAGAUUCUGAUUCAAAUUUUUUGGAUAAAUACCCAGAAGUGGGGUUGCUGGAUCAUAUGGUAAUUCUAUUUCUAAUUUUCUGAGGAAUCUCCAUAUUGAUUUUCACAAUGGCUGCACCAUUUUGUAUUCCUGCCAACAGUACAUAAGGGUUCCAAUUUCUCCACAACCAGCCAACACUUACUGCCCUUAAAAAAAAAAUACAAAUUGAGUAUCCCUAAUCCAAAUAUCUGAAAUCUGAAAUGCUCCAAAAUCUGAAUCUUUUUGAGCACUGACAUGAUACCACGAAUGGAAAAUUCCAUACCUGACUUUAUGUGGUAGGUUGCAGUCAAAACUUCAUUUUAUGCACAAAACUAUUUAAAAUAUUGUAUAAAAUUACCUUCAGGCUAUGGUAUAAAGUAUAUAAGGUGUAAAUGAAACAUAAGUGAACUUUCUGUUUAGACUUACAUUGCAUAUCCAACAUAUAUCAUUAUGUAUAUGUAAAUAUUCCAAAAUCUGAAAACAUCUGAAAUGUGAAACAGUUCUGGCCUCAAGCAUUUUGGUAAGGGAUAGUCAGUAAGUGUGAGUGAUAUCUCAUUGUCGUUGUGAUUGCAUUUCCCUGAUGAUUAGUGACAUUGAAUAUCUCUUCAUAUACCUGUUGACUCUUCAUAUGUCUUCAAAGAAAUGUCCAUUCAAGUCCUUAGCCCAUUUUAAAAUCAAGUUAUUAGGGUUUUGUGGGUUUUUUUUUGUUGCUGUUGUUGCUAUCAAGUCAUAGCAGUUUCGUAUAUAUUUUGGAGAUUAGCCCCUUAUCAGAUGUAUGGUUUGCAAAUAUUUCUGUCUUUCCAUAGGUUGUCUUCUUACUCUGUUUCCUUCACUGUGCAGAAGCUUUUUUAGUUUGAUGUAGCCCCCUUGUCCAUUUUUACUUUUGUUGCCUGAGCUUUUGAUGUCAUUUCUGUGAAAUCACUGGAUAUACUGAUGUCAUAAAGCUUUUCCCUUAUGUUUUCUUCUAUGGGUUUUACAACUUUUCAGGUCUUAUAGUGAAGUCUUCAAUCGAUUUUUAGUUGAUUGUCAUUACUCUGUGCACUUUAUUAUAAAAUAUUUUGGCUUUAGAGUUCUUAUAUGACAAGCCCUGGACUAAAUAAUCUCUAAGCACCCUUCCAGCUCUAUUCUUCUGUGAUUCAUAAUUUUACAAAAAAAGAUGCAGAAUUCUCACUUCUCUUUACUCCACAAUACAGUCACUAUACAAGCAUUGUUUUUGGCAGGCUGUUCAACUGAAAGAACUAAAUUACUAGCAGGCAGACCACAUCACCUGGGAAUUGUUUCUUACUAUCUUACCACAGAAACUCAAUUAAUCUUAGGACUCUUGCUUUUGACUUUUCCCAAGAAACUUUUAAAUCUGCCAUUCUGUCAACUAGCAUUUAUUGGAUUCCUACUAUAUGUAUGGACGCAGGGUUAGGCGUGUGGGAUAGAAAGAUGAAUACAACACAUUGAUGGUUUUAAAGGCAAUCACAGUGUAGUGGGGGAGAUAGAGAUGUAUGCUAUAUGGGCAAUACCAUGAAAGAGAUAUGUGCAGGAUAUUAUGGGCAUAGGAGAAAAGAGGAUAUAACUCAACUUGUAAGGGGUGAUAAUGGAAGGUUUCCAAGUAGAGGUUUUACCUUAUAUUGUUCCUCAAGCUGAGGUGUAUACUUGUGGGAGAAUGUUAGGCAGAGCAUGCUAAACAAUGAGAACAGUAUGAGCAGAUGAGCAGAUGUGAGAAAUAGCAUUAUGGAAAAGGUAGUUCAAUCGUUGUUGUCUGCCCUAUACCCCUUGUUUCUUUUUUGUUUUCUUUGUCCUUUAAAAUGUUUUUUUGAGGCAGGAUCUCACUCUGUCACCCAGGCUGGAAUGCAAUCACAUGAUCCAGGCUCACUGCAACCUCUGCCUCCUGGGUUUAAGCAAUCUUCCUGCCUCAGCCUCCCGAGUAGCUGGAACUAUAGGCGCAGGCCACUGCACCCAGCUAAUUUUUGUAUUUUUUUGUAGAGACUGGAUUUUGCCAUGUUGCACAGGCUGGUCUCAAACUCCUGAGCUCAGGUGAUCCACCCACUUCAGCCUCCUAAAGUGCUGGGAUUACAGGCAUGAGCCACUGCCCCAGCCCUCUUUCUUGUUUUAGCAGUAUACUUUUCCCUCACUCCAACUAUGUGGUAGAACUGUUAAGCAUAUUACACAGCCCAGUUAACUAUAGGGGUGGGUAUAUGACCCAGACUAAGCCAAUCAUUACAUAGCAUUCUCCUGGCUGGAGCAGUUCAUCCAAGGGAUGGCAUAUGACCCAAGCCAGAUCAAUCAGAUUCUUUUCCUAGGGUUUUAUUAUACUAAAGUAGCAAUUGAAAAAUGGUGUCACAAAGUUUAGGACCAUGUACUCUGGAGUGAAACUUCCUGGGUUCAAAUAUAAUUUCCACUACUUAAUGGCUGUGUAAGCUUAGAUAAGCUAUUAAACUUUUCUGUACCUCAGUUUUCUUAUUUGUAAAACAGGGAGAUCACAAUAAUACCUACAUCAUAGUACUGUUGUGAGGACGAAUGUGUUAAUACAUGGAAGGACUUAUAAUAUUUCCUGUCACAUAGUAAAUACUUAUUAAAUAUUGUUGGUAUUAUUGUUGUGUUAUAUAUGCUACUGUCAUAUUUGUUAUACACUAGUGAUUAUUAUGGGAUUCUUACGCUGGAAUGACGUAAGAUUUGAAUCACCCCUAGAGCAAGGAUUCACAACAUUGGAACUCUUAAAAUUCAGGUCAAGAUAAUUCUUUGUUGCAGGCGGUUGUCCCAAACAUCGUAGGAUAUUUAGCAGCAUUCUGUCUCUAUCCAUUAGAUGCCAGUAGCAUCUUCCCAGUUAUGACAACUGAAAAUGUCUCCAGACACGUUCAAAUGUUUUCCGAGAGUCAAAAUUGCCUUUGGUUGAGAACCACUGUGGCCAUUUUACCUUCCAACUGGAAAGAGACCAUUUACUACAGGAAGGAAUGAAGUCAGCGUGUAAAGAACAACUGAAAAAAGAGAUGGGGAAGAUGGAGAGAGAAUGAGUCCUUAGGGCAACUACAUCUUUAGUUCCAGUUUCUGAAUCUUCUAAACUCUUCUUGUUCUUGCAGCUUACCUUUUGGUUUUCUUUAUCCUUCUAUUAAAAAUCUUUUUUUUGUGUGUGCUAAAUUAAUUUGCUUGGGAUUCUAUUACUUGCAAUCAAAAGAAAUCUGACUAUUGGUGUAUACAGCUUAUCCUCACUAUAUAUAUAUAUAUAUAUAUUCUGUGUCCCCUUAGGAAUGUAAACACCAUGAGAACACAGGCUUUGUCUGCCACAUUUAUUGCUGCAUUUGCAGCAUGUAGAAUGGUGACUGACAUAUAAGAAGUACCAAUUAAACAUUUGUGGAUGAGUCAAUGAAGAAACUGUAAGUAGUUGGAUGUUUUUAUAGCUGAAAAUUAUGAAAGUGGGUAUGUUGUAUGUUAUACGGGCAAUUAAAUAGUGUUAGAAGUCUUUUGAUUGCAAUCAUCAUUCCAGUGAUGGUCGAAUAACAUGGAAUACCAUAAUCAGGAAUUAUCACCUUAAAGAUUGAUUACUUAACAUUGAUCAUGUGGCUGGGCAAGGUGGCUCAUGCCUGUAAUUCCGGUGCUUUUGGAAAGCUAAGGCAAGAGAAUGGCUUGAGGCUAGGAGUUCGAGACCAGCCUAGGCAACAUAGUGAGACUCUGUCUCUGUCAAAAAAUUAAAACAAAUUAGCUGGGAAUGGUGGUGUGUGCCUGUGUCUCAGCUGCUCAGGAGGCUGAGGCAGGAGGUUCGCUUGAGCCCAGGAGUUCAAGGCUACAGUGAUCUACGACCACAUGACUGCACUCCAGCCUGGGUGACAAAGUGAGAUACUGUAUCUAAAAAAUAAAUAAGUACAUAAAAAUAACUUAAAAAUAAAUAAAAGCAUGUUAUUUAAUGGGUGUAUAAUAUUCUACCUUAUGCAUCUAUCUUAACACUUCCAUUAUUGGAUAUUUGCAGUGUUUUUCAUUUCUGCAAUUAAAAACAAUAUUCUGGAGAAUAUCAAUAUCAAUUAAUAAUAAUAAUACUGUCGAAUAAUUGCUUUCAGUACCUUAAGCUAUGAAAUAAGCAAAAUAAGGAUUGUAGUAGCUAUGGCAUACCAAGUAAGUACUAUAAAACUCAGUUCUUUGGAUGCCAUCUAAAUGAGUUUACACAAAGUAGAGCUAGAAAGUCUGGGUCACUGAUUGACACCAUGGCAAGAAGGAUGUCUUCUUAUAUUUAAAUGUAAGGUUGAAUAGGUUGAAAAUGCCACUUUCAGCAAAGGUGGGAAGAUCGCUUGUGCCCAGGAGUUUGAGGUUAUAGUGAGCUAUGAUCUCGCCACUGCAUUCUAGCCUGGGUUGAGAGAGUAAGACCUUGUCUCUUAAAAAAAAACAAAAAAACGGCCGGGCACAGUGGCUCACGCCUGUAAUCCCAGCACUUUGGGAGGCCGAGGUGGGUGGAUCACGAAGGUCAGGAGAUCAAGACCAUCCUGGCUAACAUGGUGAAACCCCAUCUCUACUAAAAAUACAAAAAAAUUGUCCGGGCGUGGUGGCGGGUGCCUGUAGUCCCAGCUACUGGGGAGGCUGAGGCAGGAGAAUGGCGUGAACCCGGGAGGCGGAGCUUGCAGUGAGCUGAGAUCGCGCCACUGCGCUCCAGCCUGGGCGACAGAGCGAGACUCCGUCUCAAAAAAAAAAAAACAGAAAAGAAAAAGAAAACAUUGGUCAUCUUUAACAAAAGCUACACCACAGGGUCUACUUGUCUUCAGGAACAUAAGAAAUAAAUUUUUGUUAUUGAAAUGAAUGGUGUUUAAGGUAGGCAAUUGUUAGAAAUGAUGUAUAAGACCCACUUGCUCCUGCAUGAAGGAGGUUUUAGAGUUCAGCAAAAGCUAGGAGUCUAGAGCCACGUUGGUCUUAUGUACCUAAAUUUCUCAGUCUUCUGCUGCCCAGUCUGACUGUAGAGCACCCUAGUCCUACCAGUGACUCCUACAUUGCGCCUUCUUGAAAAUGUGCUUUUCAUGUAAAGUACUAGUCUUUGGGUUUAGGUCAGAGAGUGGGAUCUCCCAGAGCUAUCGAAUAGAUUAUAUAGUUUUUUUUUUUUUUUGCCUCCUUUCUAAUGAACAUUUGUGCAUUGUAUGUAAUUUAACUUGAUACUUUAUUUUGUUGUAACUACUAUCUAAUAGCCAAGAUUUGGGAGAGAGAACAUGUAGUUUUCACAUAUCUUUUACCACCAGAUGCUACAAUAUUUACAAAAACAAAACAAAACAAAACACAACUUGGCAUUUGCUGUAUUAUCCAAAUUGUUUUCACUCAUCUGCAACACAUAGAAAUGGCUUAAAAAGAAAGGUAGAAUAGCUUUAGCUUUAUUCUGAGUUGGUGAAGAGCCACUAAAGAGUUUAAAAGAUGUGAGUGAGUGACAUCAUAAGUUUUGAAUUUUAGAUGUCAUUCUUGUAACCGUGUGGACAAAGGACCUAAGGAGGAGAAGAGACCGAAGGCUGGGAGAUUAGUUAGAAAGGUUUUAAUUUGGGUAAGAAACAAAACAGGCAGUGAUUGCAGGAGAGAAAAGGAGGGGACAGAUUAUAAAAGUAUACACAGUAUUUAGAAUAGGUAAGUGAUUAAAUAGGUUAAAGAAGGUACAGAAAAAGGAGAAAUCAUAGAUGCCUCCUAGGUUUCUAGCUUGUAUAAUGGGGCAUGAUGGUGGGAUCAAAUGCAAUAAAUAGGGAAUAGAAGAGGAAGUGCAGGCAUUUGUAUUUAUUUCUUGAGUUUUUGUUUGUUUUGUUUUCUCUUAUUUGCUUCCUUAUUCUGUCAGCUUCCUUUAUUUGCCAAAUUCCAUUUUAACACCCUGACUUCCUGACUGGCUUCUCUGUAGCUAUGGUAAAUGUUUACUUUUCAGUCCCCUUUGAGCUAUGUCUACUCAUACAUCAUUUUGACAAUAAACAAAAUAAAACAAUAGUUAAAUUCAACUAAAAGUGGCUGUUGAAAAGAACAACAUUGAAAUAAAACAACGUUGAAUUGCAACAAUUUGUCGGUGACUCAUUAGCACCAUCAACAUUAAAGUCAACAAAUAUUUGAAUGCCAACUCAAUGCCAAGCACUGUCCUGGGCUCUUUAGAAACAAAGACCCAAAGCAGUUCAAUAAAGUGGAGAGAGUGGUGAUUUUGGAGUUAUAACUGGAUUGGAUUUCUCCUUCCAUUACCUACUGGGUUUGUGACCUUGAGCUAGUGGUUAGCUCCUCAGGGUCUCAUUUAUUUCCAUUUGUAAAAUGAGGAAGAAUGCAUAAUAGAGAUAUCGUUCAGCUGUCAUCUUAAGUGAGAUAAAAAAUCCAACUUAGCCCAGUAGCUGACAUGUUGUAAGCACCUGAUAAAUGUUAGCUGCUAUGGAAAUAUACUCAUAACUGUACUCUCAAGAAGCUUACAGUCUAUUACAUAUGUUUUUUUAUAUAAGCCUCUUACAUCAUUUUUAUGAUUAAUUCAGAGAAUAGCAUAGCAUUGGAUCAUAUUCUUAUCACAGAGAGGGCAUAAUGAUUCAAAAUGGUAGUACCUCAUAGUCUUAGAGCAGCAUGUUUUUCAAAACUCUGAAUAUAAUCAAGUAUAACAUUUCAAGUCUUUGAGACUUACUUGAAUGAUCUAAUGAAGAAAAUGAAAAAACACAAACUCCUUUAGAAUAGUAAUAAAAACAUGAUAUAUUACAAACAGUUAAAGUAUGUUAAUUGGCUAUAAUGUAACACCAAGGGUGUGGUGGGGUUUGGAUGAGAGGGGAAAGAAAAGAACUUUAAAAAGCAGAAUUACAUGAGGUAAUACAAACCCAGAGUAAUGAGAGUUUCUGCCAGAUUGGGUUAUAAUGAACACACUGUGUUUUAAUGAAGCUAGUAACUGAGUAUCUUAUUAGAUUUCACUAGAAUCCAUUGCAGGCCAUUUUAUGGUAGCCCAGUUAAGAUCUUUUAUGAGUUUAGAAUUCUGCCAGAUAUUUUGAAAAAGAAAACCUAACUUUAUUACUCUACUUCCAGCAUAUAAUUUGCUUGAGAUGUUUGUCAGUAGUUAAUAAACCAUAUUUUUCCUCAACUCAAUAUUUUUAUUAUAAUAAAUGAGGAAAAAUGUUGAAAAAUAAAAAUAUGCACCUAAAAUAUUCUUGCUUUCACAAAAUCAGAAGGACUAAAUUUUAAGUGAAGCAUAUGUUUUUGUAAAGUUUUAAGUUAAAAGAAUAAAAAUAAAAAGGCUUUUGGCUUAGAUUUUCAAAACUCAGUAGGAUUUUGCAAAGUACAAAUUUAUAUAUUUCAUGCAAACUUGGGUAAACUCUGCAGAAUAGCAAAUUCCAGUAAAACAGAUGGCAGUGACUCCUGGGUUGAUUUGUCCAAGUGAUGCUUUUCAACAUUCAGCAAUAGAUUCUUUGACCAUCCACAUGGAAGGCCAGUGCUUGGUGAUGCUAUCCAGCUGGCAAGUUCUUUCUUUGUUGUCUACUAUUCCUGGUUUUGUAGUCUUUCCCAGACUUUCAGCUACCUCUCAUUUAUUGACAGUCAUAAGUUCUGGCUAUGCUGCUAUCCACAUAUCUUCUCAGUAGAGAGUAACUCACAUGAAUAAUAUGUUAUUUUCUCAAGGGUAUUUUAUUUCACAAGUUAAUGCUUCAAGAACAUUUACUGAGCACAAAACAAAAAUGUACACAUUUAGUUUCAGACUUGGACAGUUUUAAUGGAGCAUUGGAUAUCUGUAUAUAUCCUAAUCUGAUUUUUUUUUUUUUUUUUUUUUUGAUGGAGUCUUGCUCUGUCUCCCAGGCUGGAGUGCAGUGGCUCAAUCUUGGCUCACUGCAACUUCCCCUUCCCGGGUUCCAGCGAUUCUCCUGCCUCAGCCUCCCAAGUAGCUGGGAUUACAGGUGUGCACCACCACACCCGGCUAAUUUUUGUAUUUUUAGUAGAGGUGGGGUUUCACCAUGUUGGUCAGGCUGGUCUCAAACUCCUGAGCUCAAGUGAUCUUUCCACUUCAGCCUCCCAAAGUGCUGAGAUUACAGGCGUGAGCCACCAUGCCCAGCCCUCUAAUCUGAUAUUUUAUCAUCAGUGGCCAAUUCAAGGCUCUAACCAUGUCCAGAAUUAAUAUUAUUCUUCUUCACAUGCCUUCUCAAUCACCAUCCAAGGUAGAGUCACAGUCACUUCUCUGCAUCAUUCAGGAAUGCUUUGUCUAAUGGCCUUUAAAUUGGACAUUUCCUGCUUAGGGUGGAAAUGGAAGGAUGGGAAAGAGGUGGUAUUUGUAUGAGCCAAGUGAACCCCUAAACAGACAAUUCCAUUAUUUAUAAAGCCAUGCCCAAAUUUUAAAUCAAGAUGAAGAUAUGAAUUUGUCAAUGUUAUUGAUACUGUCAAGAAGUAGAGUUAGUGGACUUAAUGAUAGUGUUUUAUAUAAUGGAGGUCCAAGUCAGACAGGAAAAUAAGUGAAAACAUUUCAUCUAUUUUUGAUGUAUUGUAGGGGGAAGAAGAGGAAGAGAGACAGAGAAAGGUGGUCCGAUGUUUGUCCAAUCACCCUUCUCUGGGUAAAAGUCCUGGAGGGAGAGGUUUAUUAGAUAAGCUGAAGGGAAUAAAAAGGACAUGAAACUUCUGUUCCACUUCCUACUUGGAACUCUUCAAAGAAGCAGUUUUACCACCUACCUCUGGCCCCUGCCUAAUUAUACCAGCUUUGAGAGUCAGAGGAUCAACGGCCUACUACUCAUAUCAACUUUUUCUUUCCCUGGGAAAAUAGACCUCACGGGUAGGUUUAAGAAGUGGAAUACUUCAACAGAACAUGAUUAAAGAUGGGCAAAUGAAUACAAAUACCCCCUACCAGAAAUUAGCAAGUGUUGGCAAGGAUGCGGAGAAAUUGGAGCCUUUGUGCACUGUGGAUAGGAUUGUAAAAUAGUGUAGCCACUAUGGAAAACAGCAUAAACAAAGCUGUAGUAAUCAAGACAGUGUGUUACUGUCAUAAAGGCAGACAUAUAGACCAGUGGAAUAGAAUAGAGAGCUCAGAAAUAAAUUCUCACAUACAGGGUCAAAUGAUUUUUGACAAGAUUACUGAGACAUUCAGUGGGGAAAGUAUAGUCCUUUUGACAAACGAUGCUGGGAAAACUGGAUAGGUAAAUACAAAAGAAUAAAGUCGGACUAGUAUCUUACACUAUAUCCAAAAAACCUCAAAAUUGAUCAAACACCUAAAUGUAGUAGAUAAAACUAUAAAACUCUUAGAAGAAAACAUAAGAAGAAAAGAAAAAACUGGGAAGUUGGACUUUAUCAAAAUGUAAAACUUCCAUGUUUCAAACGACACUAUCAGCAGAGUGAAAGAGCAGUCUGUGAAAUGGAAGAAAAUGUUUGCAAAUCAUAUAUUUAAUAAGGGAUUAACAUCCAACAUAUAAAAAAAAAAAACUCGUACAACUCAACAACAAAAACAACCAGAUCGAAAAGUGGGUAAAGGACUUGAAUAAACAUUCAACAUCUGUACAUCUUAUACAGAUGGCCAAUAAACACAAGAAAAGAUUCGCAACAUCACUGAUCAUUAGGGAAAUGCAAAUCCAAACCACAAUAAGAUUCCAUUUCAUACCCAUUAGUAUAGUUAUUAUAAAAAUAAAUGAAUAAAAAUACCCAAAAAACCCAUUGGAAAUUGGCAAAUGUUGGCAAGGAUGUGGAGAAAUUGGAGCCCUCGUGCACUGUGGAUAGGAUUGUAAAAUAAUGUAGCCACUAUGGUAAACAGCAUGGUGGUUCCUCAUAAACGAAACAUACAAUUACUGUAUGAUCCAGCAAUUCUCCUUCUGGGUUUAUACCCCAAAUAAUUGAAAGCCCGGAUUCAAAAAGAUCUAUAUCUAUAGAUAUAGGUAUUGAUAUAGCUCUAUCUAUCUAUCUAUCUAUCUAUCUAUCUAUCUAUCUAUAUAUCUGUGCAACCAUCACCACUAUCCAUCUUCACAACUUUUAUGUUCCCAAAAUAAAACUUUGUACUGGUUAAACAGUAAGCCCCCAUUCCCUCCUUCCUCCAGUCCCUGGUAACCACUAAUCCACUUUCUGUCUCUACGGUACAUACAAAAGAAUAGGUACAUACAAAAGAAUAAAGUCGGACCACUAUCUGACUACUAUCUGAUUGGUCAGGCUACAGUGUGUGUGUGUGUGUGUGUGUGUGUGUGUGUAUACACGUAUACACAUAUGUGUAUACGUGUAUAUACACGUAUACAUAUAUGUGUAUACGUGUAUAUACACGUAUACACAUAUGUGCACACGUGUGUACACGUGUAUAUACAUAUAUACAUGUGUGCACACGUGUAUACAUAUAUGUGUAUGUAUGUGUAUACGUGUAUACAUAUAUGUGUAUGUAUGUGUAUACGUGUAUACAUAUAUGUGUAUGUAUGUGUAUACGUGUAUACGUAUAUAAUGUAUAUGUGUAUACGUGUAUACAUAUAUGUGUAUGUAUGUGUAUAUGUGUAUACAUAUAUACAUAUAUGUGUAUGUGUGUGUAUAUGUGUAUACAUAUAUACAUAUAUGUGUAUGUGUGUGUAUAUGUGUAUACACAUGUAAUAUAUGUGUAUGUAUGCGUAUAUGUGUAUACAUAUAUACAUAUAUGUGUAUGUAUAUGUAUGAAUAUGUGUAUUUGCAUAUAUACAUAUAUGCAUACACAUAUAUACACAGUGACAUUCAUAUAUACAUAUAUGUAUGCAUAUAUACACACACAUUCAUAGUAACAUUAUUCACAACAGCCAAAAGAUGAAAAUAAUUCAAAUGUUCAUUAACAGAUGAAUAGAUAAACAAAAAAUGUGGUAUGUACGUACUAGACUGUUCCUCAGCUUUAAAAUGGAAUAAUAUUCUGGCACAUGCUGCAACAUAGAUGAACCUUGAAGGCAUUAUGUUGAGUGAAAUAAGCUAGUAACAAAAGGAGAAAUAAUUUAUGAUCCCUCUUCUAUGAAGCACCUAGUGAAGACAAAUUCGUAAAGACAGAAAGUGGAGUAGUGGUUACGGGGGCUGGAGGAAGGAGGGAAUGGGGACUUAUUGUUUAAUGAAUAGAAAGUUUUAGUUUGGGAACAUAAAGGUUGUGAAGAUGCAUAGUGGUGAUGGUGGCACAAUAAUAUGAAUAUACUUAAUACUACUGAAUUGUACACUUAAAAAUGGCUAAAGUAGUAAAUUUUAUAUAUAUGUACGUUUAUAUAUAUAUAUAUAAACACAAUAAAAAAGAACAUUAAAACUAAUCAGUUACACACACAGACACACACACACACAUAUAUAUUUUUUAAAUCCUUGUAGAUAAAAGGAGGAGGCAGAGCAAGAUGGCCAGAUAGAAACCCCCAGCAAUUGUCCCCCCUACAAGAACACCAAAUUGAACAACUGUCCAUGAAAGAAGUCACCUUUAUAAGAACCAAAAAAAUCAGGUGAGCAAUAAUAGUACCUGGUUUUAACAUAAUAGCAAGGAAAUAUGCUUUGGAGAGAGUAAAAAGGACAGGCUUGCAUUGCUCACACCACCCUCCCCGAAGCCCAGGUGGUGCAAGAUAGAGAAUCUGUAUGCUUGGGGAGGGGACAGCAAAGUGAGUGUGGGAUAUUGCAUUAGCACUCAGUGCUGCCCUGGUCAUAACAGAACACAAUACAAGGGAGAAUUCUGCCAGUGCCCGUGGAGGGAACAUCUGGACAAGCCCUAAGCCAGAGGGGAAUCUUCUGCUCCACUGAGAGGAAUCCAGGUCCCGGCCAUGGCCACCUUCACUACCAGCUGACUAAAGUGGUUUGGGGCUAUCAGCAAAUUUGACUAGCAGUCAAGACACAAGGAUAGCAGUCCUUGGGCAAGCUCUGGUGCUGAGCUGGUCUAGGAAGCAGUGGACUUGGGAUGGGACCCUGUGCAACACCAGUUGCGGCAGACAUGGGAGUGCCUGUGUCAACCGUCUCUCAACUCCAGGCAGUGCAGCUUGGGGACAGACUCCUUCCACUUGGGAGAAGGAGAGGGAAGAGUACUUUAUCUUGCAACUUGGGAACCAACUCAACCACAGUAAACAAAGUACCAAGGAGAUUUCUUAAGACCCUGAUUUCAGACCUUUGCUCCUUAAUGGCAUUUCUAGACAUACCCUGGGCCAGAAAGUAAUGUGCUCCCAUUCCUGGCAGAAUUCACCACCUGAUGACUAAAGUGGCUUUGGGCUUUGAUUAAAUAUCACCAGCAGCCAGGCAAUAGUGACCAUGAGCCUUGGAAAAACCCCAAUAAUUUGCAGGUCUGGAAGAUGACAUGAAGUGGUGCCCCCGGUAGGGGCCAUGAGUGCCCACAUCAGCCCUCCCUCAAGUGCAGGCAUCCCAGUGCAGAGAGGGGAUCAUUCUGAUUGGAAGAAAGAGAGGGAAGAGAGUACAAGAUGUUGCCUGGUAAGCCAGGGAAUGCUUUAUCUUCCCCAAGUCCACUAAGGCUGUUUAUCAGGAGCGUGCAAGAGUUUCAGCGUUCCUGGGCUUAGGGUUCCCCCUAGUGCUGAAACAGAUGCAGUGUCCACAGGCUUAGGUCACUGCACUAAAUCCCCUAAGAAUUCUUGGAAUGCUCUCUCAAGAAUGGGUACAAACAAGCCCAGACUACAAAGAUUAGAAUAAAUACCAAACUCCUCAAAACCCAGAUAUUGACAAAUGUUCAAAAACAUCAUGAACAUCCAGCAAAUCAUGACUACACCAAAUAGAGUUAAAUAAGGCACCAGUAUCCAAUCCUGGAGUAACAGAGAUAUGUGAUCUCUCAGACAGGGAAUUCAAAAUAGCCAUCUUGAAGAACCUGAAUGAACCUCAGGAUAUCGCAGAGAAGAAAUUCAGAAUUCUAUCAGAGAAAUUUAACAAAGAGAUUGAAAUAAUUUUUAAAAAUUAAGCAGAAAUUCUGGAGCUAAGAAAUUCAGUGGACAAACUGAAAAAUGCAUCAGUCUGCCAACACCAGAACUGAUCAAGCAGAAGAAAGAACUAGUGAGCUUGAAGACAGAUUAUAUGAAAAUACACAAUCAGAGAAGAAAAGGUAAUUUUAAAAAAUGAAGCAUGCCUACAAGAUCUAGAAAAUUGCCUCUAAAGGGGAAAUCUAAGAAUUAUUGGCCUUAAACAUGACAUAUAUAUAGAGAGAGAAUGAAGUAGAAAGUUUAUUCCAAGAAAUAACAGAGAACUUUCCAAACCUAAAGAAAGAUAAGAAUAUCCGGGUAUAAAAAAGUCAAAGAAUGCCAAGCAGAUUCAACGCAAAUAAGACUAGCACAAGACAUAUAAUAAUCAAACUGUCAGAAGUUAAGGAUACAGAAGGAAUCCUAAAAGCAGCAAGAGAAAAGCAAACUACAUAUGAAGGAGCUUCAAUACGUAUGGAAGCAGACUUCUCAGAAGAAAUCUUACAGGACAGGAGGGAGUGGGAGGACAUAUUCAAAGUGCUGAAGGAAAGCAACUUUCAACCUAGAAUAUUAUAUCCAGGAAAAUUACCCUUCACAAAUGAAGGAGAAAUAAAGACUUACCCAGAGAAACAUAAGCUGAAGGAAUUUGUAAACAACAGACAUGUCUUAACAAGAAAUGCUAAAGGGAGUUCUUCAAUUUGAAAGGAAAGAAAAUUAAGGACCAAAAAGAAAUCAUCUGCAGGUAUAAAAAUCACUAGUAAAAGUAAGUACACACACAAAUAUAGAAUACUCUUAACACUGUAAUUGCAGUGUGUAAACUACUCAUAUCUUUAGUAAGAAGACUAAAAGACAAACUUAUCAACAAUAAUAAUUAUAGUAAUUUUUGAAGAGAUUGACAAUAUAAAAAGAUAUAAAUAGAAACAACAAAAAGUCAAAAAGUCGAGGGAUUGUGUUAAAAUGUAGUUUUUUAGUUUUCUUUUUACUUGCUUUUCUUUUUAUCAGAGUUAAGUUUUCAUCCAUUUAAAAUAACUGGCUAUAAAAUGUUCUUUGCAGGUCUCAUGAUAAACAAAAAAUGAAAACCUAUAAUAGAUAUACAAAAAAUAAAAAGCAAUGGAUUGGCUGAGUGCAGUGGCUCAAGCCUGUAAUCCCAGCACUUUGGGAGGCUGAGGCAGGUGGACUGCUUGCGACCAGGAGUUCCAGACCAGCCUGGCCAACAUGGUGAAACCCUCUCUGUACUAAAAAUACAAAAAUUAGCCAGGUCUGGUGGUGUGUGCCUGUAGUCCCAGCUACUCCAGAGGCUGAGGCAUGUAGCUUGAACCUGGAAGGCAGAGGUUGCAGUGAGCUGAAGUUGCGCCACUGCACUCCAGCUUGGGCAACAGAGUAAGACUGUCUCAAAAAAAAAAAAAAAAAAAAGAAAGAAAGAAAAAAAAAGUCCCAGUAAAUUAAAACACACUACCAGAGAUCACUGUCAUGUUAAAAAAAAAAAAAAAAGAUAGGAAGGAAGUGAGAAAGGACGAGAGGACUCACAAAACAACCAGAAAACAGAUAACAAAAUGGCAGGAGUAUGUCCUUACCUAUCAAUAAUAACAUUGAAUGUAAAUGAACUAAAUGCUCCAAUCAAAAGACAGAGUGGCUGAAUGGAUUUAAAAAACCCAAGACCUCAUUAUAUGCUACCUACAAGAAAACCACUUCAUGUAUAAAAAUAAACACAGACUGAAAAUGAAGGAUUGGGAAAAGAUAUUCCAUGAAAAUGGGAACUAACAAAAAGCAGGAGUAGCUAUAUUUAGAUAAAAUAAAUUUUGAGAAAAAAAUCUGUAUAAAAAGAUAAAGAAGAUCAUGGAGUAAAUUCAGCAAGAGGAUAUAACAAUUGUAAAUAUGUAUGCAUCAAACACUAGAACAUCCAGAUAUAUAAAGCAAAUAUUAUUAGAGCUAAAAAGAGAGAUAGACCCCAAUACAAUAAUAGCUGGGGACUUUGACACCCCUGUUUUUGGCAUUGAACAGAUCAUCUACACAGAAAAUCAAAGAAACAUCAAACUUAACCUUCACUAUAGAGCAAAUGGACCCAAUAGACAUUUACAGAACAUUUUAUUUAACAGCUGCUGAAUACACAUUCUUCUCUUCACACAUGGUUCAUUUUCAGGGAUAAGACCAUAUGUUAUGUUACAAAGCAAGUCUCAAAAAUUCAAGAAAUUGAAAUCAUAUAAAGCGUCUUUUCUGACUGUAAUGAAAUAAAACUAGAAAUCAAUAAGAAGAAGAACUUUGGAAACUAUACAAACACAUGAAAAUUAAAUAAUAUGCUCCUGAACAAUCACUGAUCAAUGAAAAAACUGAAAAGAAAAUUUAAAAAUUUCUUGAAAUAAAUGAAAAUAGAAACACAAUAUACCAAACAUAUGAGACACAGCAAAAGCAGUAUUAAGAGAGCUCACAGCAAUAAAUACCUACAUCAAAAAAGUAGAACAACUUCAAAUAAACAACAAUGCCUCUGAAAACACUAGAAAAGCAAGAGCAAACAAAACCUAAAAUUGGUAGAAGUAAGGAAAGAAAUUCUCUCACAUCAGCGGCCCUCCUAGGGAACCCUCAAAAUAAACUAAUAUCUGGCCCUUAAAGAUAACAACAAGCUUUGUGCCAGAACUCUUGAUGAUGGCAGUUUUCUUUGAGGAAAAGGAAGAUUUUUAACACAAUUUUUAGUUUGCACAUAGGAAUUUAGAAGGAGCAAGAAGGAGAAGAGAAUACUUCCAAACUUGUUUCACAAGGCAAAUAUUACCCUGAUACCAAAAUCAGACAAAAAUCAGAUCUAAAAAAGGAGAAAUCUAUAGGCCAAUAUCUCUGAUAAAUAUAAAUGCAAAAUUCGUCAGCAAAAUGCUAGCAAACCAAAUUCAACAGCACAUUAAAAAGAUCAUUCAUCAUGAUCAAGUGAGAUUCAUCUCAGAGAUGUAAGGAUGUUUCAACAUAUGCAAAUGUAUAAAUGUGAUACAUACCAUUAACAAAAUGAAGGACAAAACUAUAUGAUCACUUGAAAAGAUGGUGAAAAAGUAUUCUAAAAAUUCAACAUCCCUUCAUGAUAAAAAAAAUCUCUCUGUAAACUGUGUAUAGAAGGAAUAUACCUCAACACAAUAAAAGCCAUAUAUGACAAACUCACAGCUAGUAUCAUACUGAAUAGGGAUAAACUGAAAGCCUUUCCUCUAAGAUCUGGAACAAGACAUGAAUGAUCACUUUCACCACUCUUAUUCAACAUAGUACUAGAAGUUACAGCCAGAGCAGUAAAACAAGAUAAAAAAUAUAAAGGGCAUCUAAAUUGGAAAGGAAAAAGUCAAACUGUCCUUAUUUGCAGAUGAUAUAAUCUCCUAUUUAGAAAAACCUAUUGACUCCACCAAAAAAACUGUAAGAACUGAUAAAAAUUUCAAUAAAUUGCAGUAUAAAAAUCAACAUACAAAAAUCAGUAGCAUAUCUAUAUGCAAACAGUGAACAAUCUGAAAAAGAAACCAAAAAAGUAAUCUCAUUUGCAAUAGCCACAAAAAAUUAAAAUACCUAAGAAUAAACUUAACCAAAGAUGUGAAAGAGCUGUACAACUAAAACUAUGAAACAUUGAUGAAAGAAAUUGAACACUAUACACAAAAAAGGAGAUAUUCCAUGUUCAUGGAUUGGAAAAAUCAUUAUUGUUAAAAUGUCCAUACUACCCAAAGCAAAAUUUAUACGGAACUAUGAAAGAUUCAGAAUGACCGAAACAAUCCUCAGCUAAAAGAACAAAACUGGAAGUAUCACAUUACCUGACUUCAAAUUAUACUACAAAGCUAUAGUAACCAAAACAUAAUGGUACUGGCAUAAAAACAGACACAUAGACCGAUGGAACAGAAUAUAGAACCCAGAAACAAAUCUAUGCAUUUAUAGUCAAUUUGUUUUUCAUAAAAGGACCAAUGACAUACAAUGGGGAAAGGACAGUGUCUUCAAUACAUGGUGUUGGGAAAAUUAGAUAUCCAUAUGCAGAAAAAUGAAAUUAGAUCCCAAUCUCUUGAUACAUAAAAAAGUCAAAUCAAAAUUGAUUAAACACUUACAUCUAAGACCUGGAGCUAUGAAACUACUAGAACAAAACAUUGGGGAAGCACUCCAGGACAUUGGGCUAGGCCAAGAUUUCUUGAGUAAGACCUCAAAAGCACAGGUAAACAAAGUAGAAAUGGACAAACAGGAUUAUAUCAAGCUAAAAAGCUUCCGCAUAAGAAAGGAAACAGUCAACCAAGUGAACGGACAACGCACAGAAUUGCAGAAAAUAUUAAUAAACUACCCAUUUGACAAGGGCUUUAUGACCAGAAUAUACAAGGAGCUCAAACAACUCAAUAGGAAAAGAAACCCAAAUAAUCCCAUUUAAAAAUGGGCAAAAUAUUUGAAUAGAUAUUCUUUGAAAGAUGACAUAUAUGAAAAAAUUCUUAACAUCAUUAAUUAUCACAGAAAUACAAAUCAAAACUAUAAUGAGUUAUCAUCACACCCCAGUUAAGAUUCCUUUUAUUAAAAAGACAAGCAAUAAUGGAUACUGAUGACAAUAUGUUGAAAGGGGAGCCCUUGGUGGGCUUCAUUUUUCUGCAUAUGGAUAUCUAGUUUUCCCAGCACCAUGUACUGAAGACACUGUCCUUUCCCCAUUGUAUGUCAUUGGUCCCUUUGGGAAAAAUAUGCUGUUGGUGGGAAUGUAAAUUAGUAUAGCCACUGUGGAAAAGAGUAUGGAGGUUACUGAAAACUAAAAAGAGAACUACCACAUGAUCCAGCAAUCCCACUGCUAGGUAUAUACCAAAACAUAAGGAAAUCAGUAUAUUAAAGAGAUAUUUGCAUGCACAUGUUUAUUAUAGCACUAGUCACAAUAGCCAAGAUAUGGAAUCAACCCAAGUAUGCAUCAGUGGAGGAAUAGACUAAAAAAAAAAAAAGCGGUACAUAUACACAAUUAAAUGAUAACUCACCCAAAAACAAGGAGUGGAAUUAUGUCAUUUGCAACAACAUGGCUGGAACUGGAGGAUAUUAUAUUAAGUGAAAUAAUCCAGGUACGGAAGGACAACUAUUGCAUGUUCUCACUCAUAUGUGGGUGCUAAAAAAAAAAUUGAAUUCAUGGGGAUAGAGGGUAGAAUGAUGGUUACCAGAGGCUGGGAGGUGUAUUGGGAAGGGGGAUUAUAAACAUGUUAAUGAAAACAAAAGUAUAGUUAGAUAGAAGGAAUAAGAUCUAGUGUUUGGCAGCACAAUAGGGUGACUAUAGUCAAUGAUACUUUAUUUUAUAUUUUAAAAUAACUAAAAGAGUAGAAUGUGAAUGUUAGAAUGGAAAUGUUCCUAACACAAAAACAUGAUAAAUGUUGCAGGUGAUAGAUAUCCCAAUUACCCUGAUUUGAUCAUUAUAUAUUGCAUGCCUAUAUCAAAACCUCACAUGUACCCAUGAAUAUGUACAACUAUUAUGUAUCCACAAUAAUUAAAAAUAGAAAAUUAAAAAAAUCACCCAUUACAAGUGUCUUGUCAGUUGCUAUACUUCCUCCUAAUGUCAGCUAUUCAUAGGGACAUGCUCCUUAACCCUACUACCCUCCUGCAUCUCCCUUUACUCUCAACAGAUUUUGCCUUCUUAGAUACCUUUAUAAGGUAACUCCCUGACAUGUUUUCCUCAUUUUGACUCCAUACCUAAAUGUGCGUCUAUCCUUAUAUUCUACUGAGAAGAAGCAAUUUCCCUCCUUCUGUCAAAGCCUGUGUUCCCUUUUGUGAUAUGGUAGUUAUGAAAUACAGGUAUUGGGGAGAGAGGAAGAGAUAAAGACAAAGUCAGAGAGAGAAGGGAGGGACAGAGAGAUGGGCAGGGAGACAGAAAAGGAUUUCCUAAAUUUCUUUUAUUUCCAAUUACCAUACCAGGAGGCAAAGACACUUUGACUAGAGCUUUACAUCAGGGAAGUCAUGGUCAGAUAGCAAGGAAAAGGGAAAUAUUUGUUCCUAUUAGCCCGAGUGGAAUAGGGGGAGUAGAAAGGGGAGGUACAAGAAGCAGGAAGGCAGAUGCAUCCCUAUCUUUGCUCUCUGGACUGAAGUUUUAGAAAAAAGAGAGGCAGUUAGGUUGAUUGAGGCAAAUUCCUGGAGGCAGGGAGGAUUCUGUCUUACUUGUUUGGGAUUCUGGAAGAUUCUGGAAGGAGAAGGCCUCAGAGGUUGCCACCUUACCGAAGUCUCCUUGAGCUCCCCUGUGUUGUGAAAGUUAUUUAUUACAAGCUACUGUAUCCUGUGAAAAGAUGUAGAAUAUAGCUGGGGGUCCUGAAUGGGGAGCUUGUCUGGGUGGGUUGUAGCAGGGAUAAAGUAGCCCUGGCUCCCAUGAACACAUGAUACUAUUCUCAAGCCCUUACUGUGUCAGGAAUUGUUCUAAACACUUACACGUUUGUACUCAUUCAUACAUCACAAUAUUCCUCUAAAGUAGAACCAUUUUUAUUAUCUCAAAGCCUUAAGUCUUACACAACUUAUUCUUGAAUAUCAUGCCUACCCAAUCAACUAAAAAUACAACAUUAAUAGGAGAACGAUAUAAAGUAUAUUUCAGAAAGUAGGUUAUUGGUGCAUUGCAGAGGUUAUGGAAAUAAAGCUUUACUGCAUUCACCUUAUACUUUAUGUCACUAAUGUAGUUCAGUAACUUUGAUUUCAUUUCCCCCUUCACUGGAUAAUUGCAGGAACCUUGGCCCUUACAUUCCAGUUCCAAGUGGUGAACAUAUCCUUUAAGUAGGUCUAAAUCCUUCAGUUGGCUGACUGUCAUUAUUUUGUUUCAGACUAAAUUUCCCAUUGAGGGAAUAUUCAUUCUCUUUUCAGACUCAUCUAUGUAUUGCCAGGUGCCAGUGCACUCAAUCUUUCAUAAUUUUGCAAGUAUGUCUCUUCUAUCUUUGGCAGGGAGCAUACUUGCAAGGUGGCUUUACUGCUUAAUGUAAAUAGAAAGGGUUUCAAUAGCACAGAUCCCUUUCUUCAACUGUUAAAUAACUAUAGACAUUCCCUAAAUAACAUUCCCUAUAAAGAUUUCACUUAAUGUCAAUUACCUGAAUGAUAUUUGGAAAACUGCCAGAGCUAUUUCUCAUUCCCAUUUUCAUUCUCAAAGAUUGAAACCAUGAAGUGUAAAAUCUCUCCCUGUGUCAAAAAAAGAGGCAGCUUCCUCAUCCCUAGAUGGUUUUGAGUAAUUACUCUUUCAUAUGAACUGAUAAUCUUUCUCUCACUGAUUGCUUAUUACACAGAUGUUACUUUUGUUCCCCAAUUUCAGUGUUAUAAUUGGGUUCCACUACAUUCUUUGCCUUGUUGUCAGAAAACCAGUAACAUUUUCUCAAUGUACCAUCCCUCUGAUUUGUAUCCAAAAUUACUCUAGUCAACCUUUGUGUGGUAUUUGAUAAAUCAUGUCCCCUUUCCAAAUCUGAACUGCUUUCAUAUACCCUCUUGAUCUUUAUUGUCAUUUCUGUAAACUAAAUCGACUGAAAAAUGUUGAUGCCUUUAUAUUUUUAAGUAACUUCUCUUUUUACUUAGCUUGUGUGAAAUUAUUAUCCUUAGCUAAAUUACUAUUUGUUAGUUUAUCCUAAUUCCUUGAAACUAGAUUUGUAUUUCUCUUUUUCCCGGAAGUAUUAUGAAAACAAACUACUCUUAUCUCAUUCUUCUAUGCCCCGAGACAACUUUAUCUGUACCUCUAUUUAGCACUAACCACAAUUUGCCUUGCAUUAUUUUCAUAUAUAAGCGUCUAGCUAAGUGACUGCCCCAUAGCUUUUUGUUUUUAUUUUCUAGAGGGUAGGGAUCACAGCUUAUUCAUUCUACAGAACUUAGCACAGUGCUGUAAAUAUAGAAAGUAGUUAAUAAAGCGGUAAGUUAUUUAUAUUGGGUGAUGUGAUUUGGCUGACAAUGAGCACAUAGCUGUAUCUGUUUCUUGAAAUAGUCAUUAUUUCCCUUUCCUUCUCCCUUGCUUUCUGAUAACAUGUGGUCAAAUGCUGGUGCUUGUUCUAGCCCAUGUUUGUUUUGAGACCAUGAGUAAGAACAAGAGGCUGAGGUAUUUAUCGGCUAGAGUGAAGGGAGUUUGUGGUUCCCUGUGUGGAUAUCAUGAGUGUUUUAUUAUGAUUGUGGUUAAUAAUAAUCAUUGUGAUAACUAAUCGUUCUGUAGACCUUCGCAAUUCUGCUUGUAAAAUGCCAAUUAUGUGUCAGGAACUUUAUAUAUUAUAUAACUAACCUUCACAUGAGAUAUAAGAAAGCUAUUGUUAUGCCAAUAACAAUAUAAACAACAAUAAUAUUUAUUGAUACCAAGCAUUGUGAUAAGUGCUUUCCAAGCAUUCUCCCACUGAACUCUCAUAAUAACCCUAGGAAGAGGUUAGUACUAUCAAUAUAUCUAGUUUAUAGGUAAGUAAACUAAAGUUCAGACUGUUUAUGUAACUUGCCCAAUAGCAAACAACUGGUAAAAGUAAACCAGAGGAAAUGGAAAAAAAUAAUGGGCAAAUAUAUACUAGAAUUAAAGUUUAAUGAGAUGAAUGAAGAAUGAAAUCUACAAGUUGAAAGGACUUAUUAUAGACCAGAAAAUAAAGAAGAUAGAUUAAACUCUAAACUAAUCUAUCUGAAAGUUUUAAAUUUUAUGAACAAUGGGAGUUCUGAAAGGAUCCAGAACCCCAGCUCCCAAAUCAGAUCACCUUAAAGCAAUAAAACUCAGACCGGCCUCAGAAUUAGCCUCAGCACAAAAAAUGCCAGAAGACGAUGCGAUCACCUAGUCAUUAAUUAAUAAUAAUUAAUGAUUAUUAUGCACCAGGCAUUGUGCUACAUAAUUAAUAUUGCCAGUCUCAUUUAAUCUUCAUUACAACCUUUUGAGGUUGGUAUUAUUUUUUAUUUCCACUUGAAGUUGAAGAAAUGAGGCACAAUGUAAAUUUCUCGGGUUCACAUAGGUAGUAAAUUGCAAAAAUAGAAUUUAUACGUGUUUGAAUCCAACACCUAUCUUCUUACCACUUUUGUGCCCUGCCUAACUUGCUUUUACAUCUCUGUUGUCAGUUGCUUAAAGCUGUGACUUAUUCUACUUCUUGCUUGAUUUAACCCAACACAUGGAUUAUUUCCUGAUAUCAAGAUUUGGAUGUUUGCUUUAACACUUAUUCUUCUAACAUGUCUCACACUCCAUGUCCAAAAUGACCUUAGGUUUCGGUUUUAAACCUAUUCUUGCUGUAUCUGGUUUCGUAUGUAAGAUACUAAUUUUGAAAUCUGACACUGACAGUGAUUUGGAAGUCUUCUGUGUUUUCUCACAUCUACCUUCACUUCUCCACAGUCUGCCUCAGCAUAAGGCUCACCAGACAUUACUUCCUGCCUGAAACACACUGUAUGGACAGGUAGAUUUGGUGACCAAAGAGGGUCUGAAUGUUAAAUUUGGCUAAAAUAUUACUCUGCGUAUUGCUUUCUUGAACGAAUGGUUUUUUUCCCCCAAUGAUUUCAGUCAUACUAAAAGUUUCUCUUUUUUACAUAAAAACAAUAUCAAAGAACAAGGACUUUAACUGAGAAUGGAACUAUGUGUUUUUCUAGCACACUGUUUGUCAAGCUUUCAGGAGACAGAGUGGGCUUAUAAACAGAACAAAGCUGGGAAUAGAAAUGAUUUGUGUCAAUAUAUGUUAUCAAUAUUUGCAUACAUGCCAAUUUGCAAAACAAAUACUUCAAAUUCAUUUCUACAACAUUGAAUAACUAACUACUCUAGGCAAAACUAUGUCUGUGUCCUCCGAGAUGAGCCAACAAACUACUUUGUAAAGAGACCUUAGUUAUUCUCCACAAAGGGGCAUGUUUCUGGAAGAAGAUAGAAUAGGCUCCGAAAGAACACAGACUUAGUUUGAAUCUUGAUUCUUAUUCUUAACACCAGUGUGACCUUAGACAAAAGAUAUUAGAGUCUGUGAAUUUCAGCUUCCUAAUCAAACAAGAUUUGGGGAUUUUACUACUUAACUCUUGGUUUGAUUGUACCAAUUAAAUGACAUAGUGCACAUGAAAAUACCAAAGGAAAUUCCUAGUAUAUGACACUAAGUACUCAAUGUUACUUACUCAGUCUCCCUUCCCACUUGGUAUCUUGAACCUGUCAGACAGUAAUGGUGACAGAUUGGUUUUAUGAAACACUUAGUAGGAACUCUAUAAAGUGCUUGAUUCAGUAUUCAAAGAAAUAUAAAUAUACAUAACAAGAAAAUUUAGCAUACACAGAAUGCUUUUAUACAUUUUAAAGUGUCUUUUCUGGCCUAGCGUGGUGACUCACACCUGUAAUCCCAGCACUUUGAGAGGCUGAGGUGGGAGGAUUGCUUGAGCUCAGGUGUUAGAGACCAUCCUGGGCAAGAUAGUGAGACAUGGUCUCUACUAAAGAUCAAAAAAGGUGGCCAGGCAUGGUGGGACACAUGUGUAGUCCUAGCUACAUGGGAGGCUGAGGUGGGAGGAUGGCUUGAGCCUGGGAAAUCGAGGCUGCAGUGAGCUAUGAUCAUGCCACUGCACUCCAGCCUGGGUGGCAGAGUGAGACUCCAACUCAAAAAUAAAAAUAAAAUAAAAUAAUUUAAAAGUGACUUUUGUUAGGUUGCCUCAUUUGUAUUUUACAAAAUUUCUGAGGCCAGGUGGAUAAAUUAUGAGAAAAUUGAGGCAAAGACAUGUUUAGUGCCACCCAAAUCAUGGGAACAAAUUAGUUAAAACUGUGUUGGUGCAGUCCAAAGAGAGAGCUCUGAAAAUUCCAAAACUGAAUCAAGGUCUGAACUUAGGAGGUUUGAGGUUUCCUACUGCCAGUGGCCCACCAAUCAAGCAUAACCUAAAUCCUGGCUAAAUCCUAAGUCAUUCCAUGCCAGAUAGAUCAUGCUAAAAUGCAAUCAUGGAUUAUAGUUGACUCUCUGAGGUAAGAGUUAUAAGAUAACAAUGAGAUUCCAACAUCAAAAACCUAAUUCGUCUCAGCUUCUCAUACUAAAACAGCUAGGGUGGAGGAGCAAAAUCGUCUUAAAGUAGCAUUACCCAUUUUCCUUGUUUUGAUAUUAUACUUAAGCAAAAUGUUACCAUUGAGGAAAACUGGAUGAAUGGUGCAUGGGAGCUCCCUGUACAUUUUUUUUUUCAACUUCCCGUAACUCAUAAUUAUCUCGAGAUAAAAAUUUUAAAAGAUAGCAUCACACAUCAAAAUCUUGUACUAUUUGGUACUUAAUUCAUUUUUCUUUUUUUAAAGUGUAGCUUUAUUGGACUGAGAUUGGAAUUUAAUAUUUAAAGACCUACGACAAUAAAUAAAUAAAUAAAGGAGUCACUUCCCAAAAUGAAAGAUAAACUUUGAAACUCAAUGAGGCUGGGCGUGGUGGCUCACACCUAUAAUCCCAGCACUUUGGGAGGCUGAGGUGGGCAGAUCGCCUGAGGUCAGGAGUUUGAGAUCAGUCUGGCCAAAAGUAGUGAAACCCUGUUUCUACUAAAAAUACAAAAAUUAGCCAGGCGUGGUGGCGUGCGCCUGUAAUCCCAGCUACUCAGGAGGCUGAGGCAAGAGAAUUGCUUGAACCUGAGAGGCGGAGGUUGCAGUGAGCCGAGAUCACCCCACCACACUCCAGUGUGGCGACAGAAUGAGACUCUGUCUCCAAAAAAUAAUAAUAAUAAUAAUAAAAUAAAAGCAACAUCAGAGUAAGGAGGCUCCCCACCACUAGGCCUAGCUGGGCACUAGUUUGCAUGCACUCAAGUCUAUAGGCACAGAUCAGAGUCCCAGUAAAAAAGUGAUGGGUGGCAUGGCAUAUUAUUACUGUGGGUUGGUAUUGUUCCUCAGGCAUUGUCUUUCUUUACCUUAUGUUUCAGGCCCAAACACUAUUUGUGCAAGAAAAUAUCAGCCAGGGUGUCCAUGGGAAACCCUUUUUCUAGUCUACUGCAAUCAAUACUCUUGUGAGUUAGGCCCUUGCAACUGAAGAGAAAGCUCCAUCGAUUAUGGUUAGCUUUAAUCUGUUCUGCAAGGGGGUUCAGAUAUUCCUGGGACCUACACAACACUGUUAAAAUAGUGCCCUAUUGAGAACAGCAUUGCUCAAGCUAUGACAAUGCUACACACUAAGUAGGCAGGACCCUUGUGACAACUCAAGUAUGAAACUGGAGUGCCCUAUUUACCUAUGCUUGGUCCUGCUGUUUUCUUCUCUUUGUUUCAUUUACCUGUAUUUAUUCAUGAUCCUCUGCCUCCAGACUGCUUUCUUGAAAAUAUAUCCUUACCAUUAUCUCCAUUAUAACUCAUCUCUUUAUUAUCAUUCUCCAUCAUAAUCUUAAGUUCCUUCACACGGGCCCCCAAAUAUCCAAAGAUCCAUACUGUGGUAUUCCACCCUGAUUAUCCUGAUGUGGACAUUAACCUCAUGGUUAGGUCCUUUCUCUCUAUUUUCAGCCCAUGAAAAUUUACCCAUUCUGUGUCUCAUACAAAUGGAGUUCAAUUACGGUAUGUUACACUGAAAGAAUCUGAUCAACUAAUAUAUUAAACUCUAAAUUAAUUUUUUGCACCAAUGAUUAUUGAGAACCUACUAUAUGCAAGGCAUAUUCUAGGCAAUGAGGUUAUAAAGAUUAAUAAAAUAAAUUCUUUGCUCUCAAGGAACUUACAUGAUAGUGGGGGAGACAGAACAUAAACAAAUAAACAAGCAUGUAAUACAAUGUCUAAUAGUGGAAUUCCCUAUGGAAAAAAUAUAAAAUAAAGCAGGAUAAAAGAAUAUAGAGGUUAUUUUAUUUUCUAAUUUGGUCUUGAGGUCUUUCUUAGGAGAGUGGCUAUAAACUCUAGCCUUGCCCUGAUGGGGUUCCAGGGGAUUUGGUCAUGGUUAUUUACAGUGUGCCUUUCACAGGAUAUUUCUUUAUCCUGACUGACAGCUAAUGCCUAAGUGUCUGACCUGUGACCGAGUGUCCCUCUCACAGAAAACUUGUUUAUACUGGCAGAUGCCCUUGUGGCUCUUGUCUGACCUGUGUCUAGUUUAUUCUUCCAAGAUAGCCACUCUCUAGGAGAGCUCUGACUGGGAGAGAAGUUAGGUGUGGGUGUGUGGGUCAGGUAAGACACAGAGGAGACAGCACAACAAAACAAUGAAAAGACAGAGGCAGUGCAUCAGUUACAGGUCCACAAGAGAAGAGAGGUAUUGAUGAAGGUCGACUGGAAGGUAAAGAGGGCACUGUGCUCAACCAGGAAAUAUGGAGCCAGUUAGAGGAGAACCCGUUGAUGCAGGAUUUUUCUUGUUGGUCACUUUGCAAGCCAGGGACCCCCAGGUGGUGAUGCCCCACCUGGGCCUCUCUCGGCCAUGCUGGCAUGCCCCAGCUCGCCUGCGUUAUAGCUUGUACUUGCAUUUGGAGUUCCUGAGCUCUUUUACCAUGCCCAAGAAGAAUGAGGAUAUGUGGGACAUUGGAGAGUGAGGAGGGCGGAGAAUUUUAUUGAGCAAUGAAAAUGGCUUUCAAUGGAGAGGGGAGGGCAGGGGAGGGGAGGGGAGGGGAGGGGAGGUGGGGAGGGCAAUGGUUCCCCCAUGUGGCUGGGUCUGGGGCCCUUUAUGGACUCAGAAUGGGGAAAGUGUGCUGAUUAGUUUUGAGUAUGCAAAAAAGGUUAAAGCGAAGACAGCACACAAAGGUGGGCAUGACAGUGUAGAAAAACCAAUAGGAAAGGGUAGGUAUAUGUAAAAUAGGCGAAAGGUGGGGACCAAUCAGAGGAAAGCAUGCCAAACAGGAAGACAAGUUCUCAAUUCAGUCUGACGAUUUAAUCUGUAGCUUGGCUUUCAGGCUAUAAACUGUCUUCGACUUGGAGAUGGUGUUUUGCUAGGGACCCGCCCCUAUCUGUCUAGGCAUUUGUCUGCCUCUAUCACUGUGGGCAGAGGCCUUUAUUGGGGUCAAGGGUAUUACCCUUGCCCUUGGUUUUCUGAAGAGAGUUCUAAUUGGUGAGUUUAAAGCAAGCAGGCACAAAUUCUGUGGGGUCACAGAGAGAUAGUGACUGAGACAUAGUCACUGUGGCAGAUCCGUGCAGUCUAUACGGGAUGUGGGAUGAGUGGGGUGAGUGCAGUAGGUUGUUAUUCUAUAUGUCCCAUAGGGAAGUGGUCACCAGGAGGCAGCUAUAUAGAACAGAUAUUUGGAUUGAUAACACUGGAACUGAGAGGAGGCGGAGAGCUGGAAAUUGUCAAGGGCGACUAAGCCCGGCUUCUGGUAUGAUAAAAUCUAACUUAUAUUCAGAAUGGAUGCCAAGGCAAUAUGAAAUUGUAAGUAUUUACUAUAAGAGAAUAAUCACAAGGAGGGGCUGAGAGGACUCGCUUGAAUUGAUAUUUGAGCAGAGACCUGAAUGAAAUGAGAGAGGGAGUCAUGGGAGGGAAAAAGUUUUAGGUAGAAGGCAUAGCAAGUACAAAGAUUGAGUGAAUAGAAGUAAAUUAUUGCAUUAGUUUUUUGGCUUUCUCUAGGGCCCAUACCAAUACUUUUGUAAAUUUCAGUUUUUAUUGUGAAUAUUCCUUGCAACCUUAAUUCCCUGGAGGCCCCACAAGAUGGUAGGCUGUAAAAGGUCAUAGUAAGAGCAAUAUUUAAUUGUUUUGAAAGUUUCCUUCCUCCCUGUGCCUGCCAGAUGCAGAUUAAUUCUGCAUCUAAUCCUUACUAUUUUCCAAAUAACCAGAAUCUACAAUGGAAUACACUAUUUUUCUCCCAAAGGGCCUGAGGAAUCUUAAAUUGACUGGUCAAAGUUCUGCUUUGUUCUGCUCCAUUGUAUAAAGACACAUUGUCUUGACUGUCAGUGACAGUCACAUUUAAUCAAUAAAGAUUAUUAAGAUUGACAAAGUGACAGUCUUGCUCCCUGUGAGUUCCUUUCAUACUAAUUGGUUUAGCUCUUAAAGAUCACAGUCUAUCCCUCCCUGCAAAAAGACCACUGCACAUGAUGUCAUUUUUCUUUUCAACUUCUUUUUCAAUGUUUUUUUGGUUUUUCUGUUUGUUUGUUUUUUUCCUCCUCUCCAUUGAUUCUGAUGCAAGGAUCACCAGCUCUAUUUUCUAUGAGAUACACUAUUAUGUUGUUAAAGUAUCUUAUUUGGUCAUUCUGUGUCAAAACAUCUCCCACAGAUUAUGAUUCUGCAAGGUUCUGCCCUUGGUUACUUGCAAUUAUGGCUGAAUAAAAUCCUGGGCAAUUACUUCUGGAUUUAAUUAUCAUAAGCACGCACAUAACACACUUGGUGCAGUCAGGUGUAAUACCCAAAUAAUUCAUAUCUAAGAUUUAGAGUUCUAUAAGGGAAACUUGGUUGUAGUAAUUAAUUUGGAUGAUCUCUUUAAGCUCCCAUAGCAUUUUAUUUUAAAACAAUUGACACCUAGGCCGGGCGUGGUGGCUCAUGCCUGUAAUCCCAGCACUUUGGGUAGGCUGAGAUAGGUGGAUCACCGGAGUUCAGGAAUUUGAGACCAGCCUGGCCAACAUGACAAAACUCCGUCUCUACUAAAAAUACAAAAAUUAGCUGGGCGUGGUGGUACGUGCCUAUAAUCCCAGCUACUUGGGAGGCUGAGGCAGGAGAAUCGCUUGAACCUGGGAGGUGGAGGUUGCAGUGAGGUGAGAUCGUGCCACUGUAAUCCAGCCUGGACGACAGAGUGAGACUCUGUCUCAAAAAAAAAAAAAAAAGAAUUGACAACUAGAAUAAUGCAUAUGGAUUUUAAUUUGUGAAGUCCAUCAUACAUUCAGCAGUAAAGAACGAGUCACAUUUAUAAUGCUUUUAUUAUACAUUUCUAGUCAAUCAAAUAGCAGUUUAUGAAGACAAACUUCUUCCUAAAUGAGUUCCAACACUAAUUUAGGAAUGAAUAUUCCAUAAUUUGUUGCAUCUGUUAUGUCUGACCCAGUGGAUGUGUGGGUCUCUACUAGAAUAUAAUUGGGUAUAUAGGUGGGAAAUGAACAGUUAAAUUAAGCUGCAUUGUUUUGAACUAAAUUUCAAUUAAUCAUGUCUUUUAUUAUGUAUAGGGCAAAGUUCCACUCUUUCCAAUUGUGAAGUCACAAUACACAUUAGAUAUUAAAACUAACAUUAUUAUGAAUCAGUCUACAUGUUGAUUGGAUAUAAUUUUAUUCUGUAAGAGUAUAGAGACCGAGGCCCUCAAAGUAUUUGUGACACUGAGAGAUGCAGUUAUACUUAGCAUUUCAAAUUUUAGAACAGAAUCUUAAUAUGACUGAUGAGAUGAAUUCCAUAUAAUAGGGAUAAUAGAGAUAAAGAACUUCUCUGUACAGCUCCAAAAGUGUACUGGAAUUCUACUUACUUUAACUUUGUUGAUACCUGGUUCCUAGAGUUAUCUCUACUUUGAUACAAGUUCUUUUUUGUUUCUGCCUCUGUGUUCCUAUAGCACUUUUUUCAUCUUCAGUAUAGUGUGUAAGAUAUUACACUCUUUCAUCUAUUAUGGUUUCUUUGUAUCCACUAUACUCUGAGAGCAAUUUUGUGUUCUCUUCAGCUUUAUUUCCCCUUGCUUAGUGCAGUGCUUAGUACCAAGUAGGUACUUAGUACCAAGUAGUACAUGUUCAUGGAAUUAAUAAAUGAAAAAAUGGAUGCAUAAAAACAGAAUAUAUGUCACUGCAGUUUUUUCUUUCAUUGUAAAUUACUUUGCAGCGAUGAUAUUUUCUGGUAAUUAAAAUAUUGAGUACCCUGGAAAACCUGAGGAAUUCUUAGUCCUUGUGCAUGAAAGACACCUAAACAAAUCAUAAAAUCUAUACUAAUUUUCUCAGUCAUAAAUCAUUAAACUGACCUUGAGGACAUGCCUACUGAUAUGAUUAGAAUUGCUAUUUCAUGCUAAUUUAUUAUUGAGCCACACAAUUAUGAACCCCAACAAAAAAAGCAGAAUAUGAUAUUGCGUACUAAUGUGAUACCUUUGAAAAUAUAAUAAAUCGUAAUACCACCCUCUUUCUGAGGUUCUGAAACUAGAAAUCACAUUCCCCUGUGAGAUUUUUGAUUUAUAUAAAAUUGUUAACUUGUCUUGGUAACUUGGAUUAAUAAAAUCAUAACUUAAAAAAUACCUACAGUGCCUUCUGUUUAGAGAAUUGCAUCUGAAAUUGGAAAUUAUAUUUUAACUACCGAUGGGAAAAGGACUGGCUGUUUUUUAACCUUUCAGAACAGUGCAAAUAUUCUUCUUGCUAAAGAAUAUAAAACUACAAUCUCAAAGUGAUAGAGCAAGGCUUUAGGACUUGGUAGAGCAAGACCAAGUCCUUUAGGACUAGCCACAGACUGGUUAUCUAGUUGGGAUGAGUCUGUAGGUCACUGCUCCAGUCUGCUGCUUGAAGAGAACACCCAAAGCCUUUGCAUUAUUGACACUAUGCAAUGCUCACACGUUGUCUACCUAUUGUGGACAAAUCAUAAUGACUCAGUUAACUUGGAAAUCAGUUACCCAUAACAACCCUGUCAUAUUUAAGAACAGUGUCAGAGAGUUAAAAUUCACCAGUAAUUUGGUUUAGGAAUUCUGGAUUAACAGAACUAAAACUUUUGAACAACCUGUUACCAUGUUAAUAUUAGUAAUAUAAAGUAGAUACAUGAAAGGUGUCUAGAACAUAAUUUUGAAAAUAGAGUGAGUUAUAUUAAGCUUACUUUUAAAUGUAAAUAUUCCUUUAAAAGUUGAAAAACAAUUAUUUCAUAACAAUUUUGCUUCGUAAACAAUAGACACUCCCUGCCUUUCCCCAGCAGUCCUCUAAGAAGGAUGCAGGUGUAGGCUAAACUUUUUUAUUUUUGAGAUGGAGUUUCGCUCUUGUUGCCCAGGCUGGAGUGCAAUGGUGCGAUCUUGGCUCACUGCAACCUCUGCCUCCUGGAUUCAAGCGAUUCUCCUGCCUCAGCCUCCUGAGUAGCUGGGAUUACAGGCAUGCACCACCACGCCCAGCUGAUUUUGUAUUUUUAGUAGAGACGGGGUUUCACCAUGUUGGUCAGGCUGGUCUCGAACUCCCGACCUCAGGUGAUCCGCCUGCGUCGGCCUCCCAACGUGCUGGGAAUACAGGCAUGAGCCACCGCGCCCGGCCAACUUUUUUCCAGAUCUGAUGUCAGGAGAAAGAGAAACUACGUCUGUUCAUCUUACUUCUUUUUGGUUUCAUUUUGUUUUUGCAAUGAAAUGGACAACAAAUUCCAACGUUUGUUUUAUAAGAGUAUGCAUUUUGCAAAAUGUUAAUAUUUGUGCUAAAGGGAGAGAGAGAGAGAGAAGAGAGAGAGAUGAAGGAAGGAAAUGAUCUGUGAUUAAGUAAAUUUGGGUUUCUCUGAGUUAAAAAGUUAAACAAGGUUCUCCUCCAUCUAAUAAUUCAAAACUUUUAAUGCCACAAAAUAUAUUGAUUAUACUAAUGAUUAUUGAGAGCAUCUGUGAUUUCAAAGAUCCAAUGCCUCAAAGAAUAUUACAAUAAAAAAUAGAUUUUAGGAAAUGCUAGAGUAGACAGUAAGCUCCUUUGAGAAUAAAAAAAAAAUUCUAAUUCACUUCUGCAUUCCUGUUGCCUAGCAUAGUGUGUCAAUUUAUUCUGGUGCAUUGUUAAGUACAUAACAUAGCUCAUAAGUUUAGAGGGAUAGACCUGUACCCCUCUGUGUGUCCAAUGACUACAAGCCAAAUUGAAGGUGUAGAAAAUAGUCACUCUUAUAAAAGCAGUGCAACAAGAAAAACAUAAACCAUACUGAACAUAAGCCUAUAAAAGAUCACGGGGUAUUCCAAUAGAAUAGUAAGAAAUUUAGAUUUUUUUUCUUUUAAACAUCUAUUUGCAUUGCUAAUAUUUUCCAAUCAAGUUGGAUCUUGCAGCUAAAUGACUAAAGUUCAUUUUUGUAUCAUGAGUACAGAUGUUUACUGGAAAAACGGGAGCAUUGUUAUUUCUUGAAAUAGACACUGAUCAGAUUAAAAAAAUAGAUGCAAACUAAGACACGUGUUACUGACGACCUACACAGCCUUCUGAGAUAAAUCUCAUCAAGGGAGCAGAAUGUGUCACUCAAGCCUCCAUUAAGGAGACAAAAAUGGAGCAACUGCUAAGAUGAGCUUUAGUUAAUUAAUUGUAACAUGUCACAAGUCAUGUUGGCAAAAUAGAAGGAGGUGUGAACACAGGGUUCAAGUAAAGAAGUGUCAAAGAGAAUUAUACAUUCAUAUGUCUAUAACAGAGUUCUUAAGCAUGCAAAGCUAGACACCAAAUCCCUGGAGCCAUCAGGACCACAUCGAUAUACACUUUAUGCAGGAUUUAAGAACAAAAACUCUGGAGUUAGGCAGAUGUUUUAGACAGCCUCUGACACACACAAAUUGUGUGACCUUGGAAAAUGUAUUUAACUGUCUAAGCCUCAAGUUUCCUCAACUUAUAAAAUGAAGAAGAAACUACUAACUGUGUAGAGUUAUAUGAAGAAUAAAUAAGAAAAUGUGUAUUAAAUGCUUCGUGCAGGGCCUGGCUCUAGUAUGGUCGAGCUAAAUUGUAAUAGUACCAUUACCUCUACUAUGGCUACUACUAUCAGAUUGUCUGUCUAGCUGUCUCUUUCUCAACUUUUAACUAUAGCUCAUGACAUCACUCCACUUUUUUUACAUGGUAGCCUAGGUUGCAGUAUUUCUUGAUUAGCCUCUGUGACCCUAAUCAUCUCUACCAUUUGGAUGAAACUAAAGAUAUCUUUGGGUACAAGUUCUAACCUCCAAGUUGUUUUUUUUUUUUUUUUUUUUUUGCAAUGUUUUAUUCCUGGAAUACCCUUUGCCCCAGCCCACUAAAUGAACUCCCUGGGAUGAGAGAUUUUGAUGUCUCUGCUUCCUGUGCUUAAAACCUCUGUUAAGAUUUGUUUAAAUGGGCUUUUAAAUAUGCUGCUUCAUUUUCAUGUCAUUUAUUUAUUAUUUAUAUAUCACUCGCUUCCAGAAAAGAUUAGAAGGGGCUAAGUAAUGUUCCAGUAAGCUUGAUUUUAGAAAUCUAAUCUCUGUAUUAAAAGUAAUUCAUUAUCCGAACAACAAAAGGAGUUCCUUGGGUGACAGUGGGGAGAGAUGUUUACAGGGAAGCAAUUCAAUGUAAAUGAGGAACCAUACAGUUGCUACUUUUAAAGCACAAAGAUUUAAAAGUUGAACUUGCCAAAUGUUAGAAACAUAAAAUUAGAGACCAAGGAGGAACUUUGGGCAUCAGCUCACAAGAAAGUCUCAUUUUAACUAUGAGGAAACGAAAGCCCCAGAAGUUAAGUGACCACUGUUACAAAGCUGGUUAGUGGCAUCAUUUUUCUAUUUUAAACAGUAAUAAUUAAGCAAAAUUAAUUGAUUAUAUUCUCCCAGUUACCUAUGAUUAUAGGAAGAAUGUUGCCCUUCCUGUAGCAUUAUCUACUGUAUGUUGUCAGCACAUCUUAUUGAUGCAAAGUACCUAGAAAUUAAACAUUUCUUGAAUGCUAGACUCGUACGCCCAAAGCAACAGAUAAUUCCAAGCCCCUAACGCCACCACUAUAAGGGGGAGGGGCAAAAAACCAACAGCCAAUGUCAUACACUUAUUUCUUCAACAGUUCUUGGGACUCCAUUUCUUUCAGGAAAAACUCAUGGUAAUCUGAUUUUCAGAAAAGAGUCUUUGGCCUCCUUUAUUUUUUUCGAAUUUGUCCUAAGUGUGAACUUAUUCUUGCCCCAUUUUUAGAAUGCAUUUACUCCUGAUCAGCAGAUGAAAUAUAUGCUUGGCUUCCAUUAAAGAGACAUACAUGCUUGGCUACUAAUACUUUAAUGUAGAAUCAUAGAAUUUUAGAAAUAGAAGUAUUGAUACUAUAUCAUUCUACUAUCUAUGCCUUAUUCCUAUACUUUUGCUUUCAUAUUAAUGAGGAGAGAUAUCUGUCUUAAACUCUAAACUCGAAUUGGAGGAACCUGUUCUUUCACUUAUUCACUCAAACAAAUAUUUAUUAAUCAACUAUUGUGUACCACCUCUUGAAUACUUAGAACUGGGUCCAGGUGAAUACACACACACACACACACACACACACACGUAUAUACAUAUAUACAUACAUAUAUAUAUAUCUAUGUGUAUGUAUAUAUGGCCCCAUAUAUGGCAGUGGUCCCAUAAGAUUAUAAUACUGUAUUUUUUGUACCAUUUGUAGGUUUAGAUAUGUUUACAUACACAAACACUUACCAUUGUAUUAGUUAUCUAAAGUAUUCAGUACAGUCACAUGCUGUACAGGUUUGUAGCCUAGGAGCAAUAGACUAUAACAUAUAGCCUAGGUGGGUAGUAGGCUAUACCAUCUAGGUUUGUGUAAGUACACUCUAUGAUGUUCACACAAUGAAAUGACCUAAUGAUGCAUUUCUGAGAAUGUAUCCCCAUCAUUAAGAAAUGCAUGACUACACACACACACACACACACACACACACACACACACACACACACACAGAGUAUGCUUUGCAAAUAGCAGAGAUUUACAAGUUUGAUAAAUGAAUGAAUGAUAUGAUGGAUGUGAUCUCAAAAACAUCUUGGAAAGACAAUCUGUGUUCUCCAACCCUGCUUCCUAAUUCAACCAAUGGAUAACUCAUCACAGAGUUUGAUGUACUAUGUAAUUGGUUAACUUUGUUGACACUGAUGUUGAUGGUUGUAAUGGUGAAUUUCAUUGUCUAUGAUUUAAAAACAAGAGAACUGCUUUUCUCUGUGUCUAUUGAACCUCUCCAUCAAAUGAAUUCAAGGAGAGGUACCCUCCCUGAGUUAAAAAUAACAGAAUUGACUCAAUAAUUUUCUUCAAAGUAGGCUUUUAUAACAUCAGGUUUAAUCAGUUGGAUAAAGCUUUAGAAUUAGCAAGACUGGUGUUAUCGCAAUACACAUUUUCUGAGUUUGCUAAUGUUUCUCUCAGUUGUUGGGGUUGGAAUCGUGGGGCCAGGAGUUUCAAAACUUAAGUACUCUAUUAUUUUUUAAAUUAGUAAAUUUUAAUCUGGGAGGCAAAGUGCAAUAUUGUUUUGUCAUGUAUUGAGCCUAACUCUAUAUGCAAAGCCACAUUCUUCCCUCAAAUAAAUAUAUGCUUAAUUUCCUCUGAAAAUAACAGUUUUGCUUGAGUGGCUAUACAAUGUGGAGCACUGAUUACUUCCUACUUGAAUAUACACUUCUUUCUUUGGUUCACAGAUUUUGAAUAUAAUCAUAUCUCUUGGGCACUACUCCUUUUCUGUAAGCUUACUGACUUACGGGGAAUAAUUAGUUAAACUUCUAGCUAAUUUACAGUAUCUACUUCAACUUGGAGUCUCAUGAAAUCCACCAUUUACCUUGUUGUGGAAAUCAGUAUUAGUACACAGGAAAAACAAAAUUCUCUAUGACUCCCAGUAUCUCCAAAUUGCUAUUUUUCUCACAUAAUAUUUAGCAGUGCCCUUUGGAGCUUUUUGUUAACUAAAGGAAUGGAUGUGACUGACAAGGACAGUUGUUCAUAGCUUUCCUAGUCCUAAGAUUUCACUUUGACUUCUUUCCUAGUUCUGCAGCCUCUUCUAUUGUGCUUCAGCUGGACUUUACAGUACUUCAGGGAGCCCUUUCAGCCCCUUGGCUAAUCUGCCCUUGACAACUCUUUUUUCUUCUAAGUCAGCAGAGAGAGGUCCAGAGAUACAGACUGACUUAUUUGGCACUGCUUAGCAGGAACAGAGGCUGCAUUUUUUUUCCCUUAGUCUGAUUAUAUCAGUAUGAAGCACAAUUUCCUGUAAUAAAUCUCAGCAUCUUCACCAAGGUUAACAUCUGGCAGCCACUGUGGCCUUGAUAGAGUGGGCUGAGUUAAAUAAGCUGUUGGUGUGCCUGUCAUUCAAGUAUUUUUUUUUUUUUUUAACAAAGUUCCACAUGAUAUGGCCCCAUUGUUACUUAAAAACUACAACUUUUAACAGUCUUUGCCUUUCCCAUUCUACUCUAGAUAGAUCACUUCAAGGCCUUUGUGCUUACUGUUCUCUGACCCUGGAAUGAUCUUUCCCCAGACCUGCCCAUGACUUGCUUCCUUGUUUUAUUCACAUCUCUGCUUACAUGUCACCUCCUCAGAUAGUCCUUCUCUGAAAACUCUGUGUAAAAUGACCUUCAACACUCAGAGUGUUCUGUCUUAGUCUGUUUUGUGUUGCUAUAAAGAAAUACCUGAGGAUGGGUAAUUUAUAAAGAAAAGAAGUUUAUUUGGCUCACAGUUCUGCUAGGUGUAAAGGAAGCAUGGCAUCAACAUCUUCUGACGAGGAACUCAGGCUUCCCCCACUCAUAGUGGAAGGGGAGCCUAAGUGUAUACAUCACAUGAUGAGAGGAAGGAAAGAAAGUAGGGAAUAAGUGGCCAGGUGCAGUGGCUCACGCCUGUAAUCCCAGCACUCUGGAAGGCUGAGACAGGCAGAUCACUUGAGUCCAGGAGUUCGAAACUAGUCUGGCCAACAUGGAGAAACUUCGUCUCUACUAAAAAUACAAAAAUUAGCAGGGCGAGGUGGUGCACACCUGUAAUGUCAGCUACUGGGGAGGCUAAGGCAUGAGAAUCGCUUGAACCUGGGAGGCGGAGGUUUCAGUGAGCCAAAAUCAUGCCACUGUACUCCAGCCUGGGCGACAGAGUAAGACCCUGUCUCAAAAAAAAAAAAAAGUGAAGAAAUGCCAGGCUCUUUUUAACAAUCAGAUCUUGUCAGAACAAAUAGAGUGAGAACUCACUCAGCACCCUCCUUCCCUUCAGGGAGGGCAUUAAUCUGUUCAUGAAGGAUCUGCCCCCAGCCCAAACACCUCCUGUUAGGCUCCACCUCCAACAUUGGGGAUCCAAUUUCAACAUAAGGUUUGAAGAAGUCAAACAUCCAAACUUCAGCAUCUUCUUUUUCCAUCUCUUGCUUUCCUUUCUUGUUAGAACGUAUCUGCUACUUGAAAAUAUGCUACAUAUUCAUGUUUAUUACUAUUACUAUUUAUAAUACCACUAGAAUGAAAGUUUCAUUUGCAUUAGAGUAGGAAUAGUGCCUAAAUUGCUUUCAUUGUUUUUCCAUUUUAUUACCUCAGUGCCUGGCACAUAGUAGGUACUCAAAAAUAUUUUUUGAAUGAAUGAAUAGGAUAGUAAUUGAAGGCAUGCUAUGUGUUUGGCAUUGUUCCAAGUUCUGAGGAUUUAUCCAUGGAUGAUACUUAUUCUUGCUUUUGUGAAACUUACAUUCAAUGAGAAUUAUUGUAAAUAACCUGGCAAAAGAUGAUGAAAACUUUACUAGAUUUGCAAUAGUAGGCAUGACAAAAAAGCAUUGAAUUGGAAAGAUGAUUAAUAAGUAGGAAAAAGUCUUUGCUGAUUUUCAGCCUUAGAAUGGUAGUUCAUCAGGGUAGGGAUGAGGUUUUGAUUAAGUCAAAGACCUUCUAACCUUCUUUCCUAUGCUUUAUUUUCUGAACUCUCUCUCCUUUUUCUCCAAGCACUCAUUGUUGUCCUUUUUUCUUUUGGCUGAUCAAAUCUCUUCACUGGGGCAACCACCUCUAGUUUCCUAAGUGUCCAAUACUCCAAAUUUCUAUCUCUUUACUCCUGAUAUAAACCUGUAAUUCUUGGGGCUUUCAGAUUCAGGCAGUCAUAUUAACAUAAAACUUCUCUACAUUUGGGAUGCAGCAAAUAGGUUUUAGCAUAGUUAUUUGCUAAGCACUAAGGAUGCUUAAUUAAACAAGACAGACAAGGUCUCUACCUUUAAGAAGCUAAUAGUGACUCAUACUGCUGUUUUAUUUAUAAAAAAAAAUUAGGCAAUGCCUACAAGCAAUAAAUACAAUGCCCAUAUAUAAUUUUACCUUACAAAAGAUGAAGUUGUGGUUCAUACCAGACAUAUAGUGUGUCUUUGAAUGUUUCGUGAUUAGAUGAGUUAUAAACAUAGGAAUAACUGGAGGACCAUUUGAACAAGACCUAAACAUUUUAAAUCAAUCUAUGAAAUACAGACAGCUGUUCCAUUCAGACGACAGGGCUAUAGGGAACAGUUAGGGAAUAGUAUGAAUAUUAUGGUUAUAAUUUUAGUAUAAUUUAAAAACUUAUCAUUACAAUCACUAGUGAAAACUAAAAUGAGGUUUUAAAAACGUAAGCUGGAAGCACCAAUUUUCUAGUCCUCUCUUGGAAUCGCAUAAAUUUCUGGUUGCAUGUGUUGUUCAUGUAAAGGUUGCAAAAGUUUUCAAAAGGGUCAGAAAAUCUAGCAACGUUAAUAUAGGCAUAUAAAUCGAUGAAAUUAAAGAGAAAAUUGUAGUUUUAAAAGUAAUUAAAAUAAUAAAAAUAUCCAGAAUGAAGAACUUUAGAAGAGCAUAAGUAAAUUUAAGUUUCUCCAUACCAAUAAAUGUGUAAUGCCAAUUUAGCAUAGGUAUUAUUAUAUUUUUAAGGAUUAAAAAAUAGUUUUUUAUGAGUCUAUGGAUUUGAUUUUUGAAAGCUUCUACAUAAAUCAUACCCAAAUCACAUUAUUAUUAAAUAUCAUAUGUUAACACUGAAAUAUAGGGAAGGCCUGAAGAAUUAGAUGACAGUGUUAAGGAACAAGAAGUUCAACUCAGAAUAAAGAAGUUGGUCGGUGGGGUUGGGGAAAGAUCAAGAGAUCUUGUUUCAACAUGCCGGUUUUGAUUGCAAAGUGGAUAUGUAAUAAACAGUUGAAAAUUCAAGUCUAGAUCUCAGGAGAAAGCCCAGGACCAAAAAUAUUAGAAUGAAGAGCAAUCAACAUAUAAAUGGUAAAUGAAACCAUAGGGAGUUAUGAGACCACCCAAGGACAGGAAGAUGAGAAAAGAUUUGGGUAAAGACCAAUAUUUAAAAGGCAGGCAGUGAAAUUGUUUCAGAUUCUUAUAUUUAAUUGCCCUCAAGACAUUUCCUUUUUGGGGGUUGCACGGGCAUCUCAAAUAAAAUAUGCAACUUCCAGUUAAGGAAAUGAUGCACUAGUUUGUUUUGCACUGAUACCCCUGCUGAGAAUACUAGAAAAAGCUAGACAAACCUAUCUGAAGGCAUUGGAAAGCUAAAAAUACAAGAAGUACUGGUGGGACUAACAUUCCAGAGAGAAGGGAAUCAGAGGCCUACCAUUUGGCGUAACUUUCCUAAGGGAGUUGUAGUUCAGAAAUAACAGCUGAAAGACCUAAAGAACGGAACCUCUGGUAGUCUCACAUGCCUGAGAAAAUGUAUUGAAGUUCAAAGCUCCAAAAGGAUGAUGGGUCCUGAUAAUCACUUCAAGCUUUUAUUUAGGAUUGGAAAAGUAUACACCUUAGGAGUACUGAGGUAAUAAAAAUAGAUUAGCUCUUAUAAGAACUGAAGCAUAGCUUUGAAUCAGUACAUUCCUUGAUUGGGGUAAGGUAAUCUGCCCAUAGUGUAAAUCACUUGUAAAAAGGUGGAUAAUAGUAAUAUUGUUCCGAUUUUAAGUAUCUAAUUUUUAUUCAUUCACAAUGUCUGACAGUCAAUGAAAACUAGCCAGUUAAAACCAACCAGACAUUGUGUGAUGGAAGAAGCCAUGACAGCUUAUGAAGUAACUUAGCAAAAACCAAAAGAAAAAAAAUCAUGAACAUGAAUGAAUCAGUUCGUGUCUCUGGAUCCAGCUAUUAAUUAAGAGUAGGAGUCUGCAUACAUCUUUUGUAGAGGAAGAAACAGAGUAAAUAUUCUAAAUUUUAUGGGCUAGAUGUGAUUACUAUUACUUUAAAAAAAUUUUCACUAUUAAAAAAAAAUGAACUCAUAGGUUAUACGAAAGCAUGUGACUGGCCAUAUUUGGUCUAAGGAUUGUAGUUUGCCAACCUCUGAUUCCGACAAAAUAUAGAGGACAGUAUAUUUUGUGGAAUAUGCUCAUCUACAUUAUACAGAAGUAUUCUGUAAAAGCCAGUCUAUGGGCCAGGCACUGUGGCUCACUCCUGUAAUCCCAGCACUUUGGGAGGCUGAGGCAGGUGGACCACCUGAGGUCAGGAAUUUAAGACCAGCCUGGUCAACGUGGUGAAACCGCAUCUCUACUAAAAAUACAAAAAUUAGCCAGGUGUGGUGGUGCACACCUAUAGUCCCAGCUACUUGGGAGGCUGAGGCAGGAGAAUCGGUUUAACCUGGAAGGUGGAGGUUGCAGUGAACGGAGAUCAUGCCACUGCCCUCCAGCCUGGGCAACAGAGUGAGACUCUGUCUCAAAAAAAAAAAAAAAAGCCAGUCUUUGGAAACUAUCCAUGACAAACAACCAAUUUUUUUUCUUGCAAUAAAUAAAUUAAAUGGAAAAACCAAGUGUGAAUCUACAGUUUAAAAAUCAUUAAAAAUACCUGUCAGUUGCAAUAUGUGGACAUUAUAUUAACCUUUAUUUUUUAAAUGUAAAAAAUAUAAUAUUUUUGGAAAAAUGAAAAUUUUGAACAUUAACUUUUAUGAUAUAAAAUUAUAGUUAAUAUUUAUGUUUAAUAAUAAUACUGUGGUUGCCAUUUUGUAAAAGUGUUCUUAUAUUCUAGAGAUAUAUUCUGAAAUAUUUAUUGAAGAAGUACUAUAAUAUCUGUGAUUGGUUCUAAAUAAUGAGAGAAGUAGAUGAACUGGAUGGGCCACAUGAUAAUGAUUGUUGGGGAUUGCUGAUGAGUAUUUUAAGAUUAAUUAUAGGCCAGGUGUGGUGGUUCAUACCUGUAAUCCCUGUGCUUUGUGGGACCAAGGUGGGAGGAUCACUUGAAGUCAGGAAUUCAAGACCAGCCUGAGCAACAUAGCGAGACCCUGUCUCUACAAAAAAACUUAAAAAAUUAGCCAGGCAUGGUGGUGUAUGCCUGUAGUCCUAGCUACUUAGGAGGUUGAGAUGGGAGGAUCAUUUGAGCCCAGAAGUUCAAGGCUACAGUGCGUCAUGAUCAUGCCACUGCACUCUAGCCUGAGCAACAGUUGAGCAAGACCCCAACCCUAAAAAAAAAAAGAUUAAUUGUAUUAUUCUGUAUGCUUUAUACUUUUAUGUAUGUUUUUAAAAAAUCUUCAUCAUAUAAAUAUCUAAAAAGUCAUUAGGAAAUAAUUGAAUGAAUCUAAGAAAAAAAGAAAAAACAUAGACAAUCGGAACAGAUCAACAAAGAGACUCAGAUUUUGAAGUUAAAAAAAUUAAAAUGGGCUGGGCGCGGUGGCUCACGCCUGUAAUCCCAGCACUUUGGGAGGCCGAGGCGGGCGGAUCACAAGGUCAGGAGAUCGAGACCAUCUUGGCUAACACGGUGAAACCCCGUCUCUACUAAAAAUACAAAAAAUUAGCCGGGCGCGGUGGCGGGCGCCUGUAGUCCCAGCUACUCGGGAGGCUGAGGCAGGAGAAUGGCGUGAACCUGGGAGGCGGAGCUUGCAGUGAGCCGAGAUUGCGCCACUGCAAUCCGGCCUGGGCUAAACAGCGGGACUCCGUCUCAAAAAAAAAAAAAAAAAAAAAAAAAAAAUUAAAAUGUGAAGUAUUAUCAGAGAACUGAUCACUAUACAAAUUAAUCAAGUAGUAAUUCUAGACCUAAAAAUUAUGAAAACUGAAAUUAAAAGUCAGAACAUUCGAGUUCUGCUUCUGUCGAAAAUUGAAUUUCAGAAACCAGAUUUACUCUCAGGCCACAUAAAAUCUUAAAAAUCGGACAAAAUAUAUAAAAAUGUUUUUCAGAUAUUGGAUAUCUGGUAGCAUAGGACAAUGCUCUGAGAGAAAUGAGAAACAAAAAUGUGAGCCCUUUGGCUGUGCUAAUUUCUUCUUGGAGAGAGUUUUCAGGCUAUAACACAGGGAGAGGAGAACUUAGGUGGAAAAGAGCUGUAAAUAUCUGCAAAGGGUUUCCCUCAAUUCUUUAGACAAGUACUAAUCAGAGCAUGUGUAGGAGGAAAAUAUCCAAGGCCAGUGAAUGGGGAUGGGGGUGGGGAAACACCUGAAAGAAUUAGAGGCAACAAUCUCUGGAGCUAACGUGGAACUGGCAAUAGUUUGUGUAUCCACUAGCUACGAUGAGAAAAAAGCCUUGUAAUUUAUGGAGAUUUGAGUAGAAGACUUAGAAGUUAUUGCCUUAGUAGGUACAAAAUUAGGCCUGGAGGCUGCACUGACCAUGUAACUGCCCAACUAAUUCACCUUGCCCACUGCCUAGACAGAACCAAUUUAUCAAGACAGAGGAAUUGCAAUAGAGAAAGAGUAACUCACAUAGGGCCAGCUAUGCGGGAUCAGAGUUUUUAAGGAUAGUUUGGUGGGUGCAAGGGGAGGCCAGUGAGUCGGGAGUGCUAAUUGGUUGGGUCAGAGAUGAAGUCAUAGGGAGUGGAAGCUGUCUUCUUGCACUGAGUCAGUUCUUGGGUAGGGGCCACAAGAUCAGUUGAGCCAGUUUAUCAGUCUGGGUGGUACCAGCUGUACCAUCAAGGGCAGCAUCUGCAAAAUGUCUCAAGCACUGUUCUGUUAUAAUCAGAGAUAUCCCCAGGAAGCAAUUUGGAGAGGGUCAGAAUCUUGCAGCCUCCAGCUGCAUGACUCCUAAACCAUAAUUUCUAAUCUUUUGAAUAAUUUGUUAAUCCUACAAAGGCAGUAUGGUCCCCAGGCAAGAAAAGGGUUUGUUUUGGGAAAAGGCUGUUAUCAUCUUUUUUUUCAAACUAUAAACUAAGUUCCUUAUAAAGUUAGUUCAGCCUAUGCCCAAGAAUGAACAAGUACAGCUUGGAGGUCAGAAGCAAGAUGGAGUUGGUUAGAUCAGAUCUCUUUCACUGUCUCAGUUAUAAUUUUACAAUGGUGGCUUCAAUCAUACCUAAUAAAACUUAAAAGGAAACCCCAAUAAAAUCAAAUUAUUUCCAAGUAAACUAACUGCAUCAUGGAAAAAAACUGUCAUGGAUAUUCAUAGGAAUACAAAAAUAAUCAGCAAGACAUAAUCCACAAUGUGUAGCAUUGACGACUAAAUUCUGACUUUUUUUCUUCUCUUGCCCAAGUUCCUAUCUAAGGGGCCUGAGGAGUCAUGCCCUAUAAAUCAUAAAAUCUCAUCAGAGGGUUUUUAUUUAACCCUAUAUUAUGUGGCUUACUUUCCAAUCUGACUCUGGAAUAACAUAAUGAUACUGGAGUCAAGAAGAAAUUACUUAGACAGAUAGUAAGGGUAUUGGAGUCCUCAGUAAGGCUUUUCUUUUUAAUGAAAAGCAGCCCCAAAUUAUUUUCCUUUCUAACGAAGAGCAGCCUGUAAAAUUGAGCUGCUGACCUAGAUACUGGCAGUUGUGCCAAUCAUGUUCAAGAUGGUGGCUUCAUCUUCCCUUCUCUUUGUCAGCUACGCAUACAGUAAAAAGCAGACAAAAUGGCGCCAAUCAACUGGAAAGCCCGUUUGCAUAAUAAGAUUAGGGUGGGGUGACCAGCUUUCCCACGUACUAUGUAGCUGUCAUACCUGAUUGAAACAAUCUGUGAGCCCUAUGUAAAUCAGAUACCACCUUCUCUAGCCUGCCUAUAAAAUCUGCUGUGGUCCGCCGCCUCCCUCCUUUUUUUCAGACCUUUCUCUCUUCUCUCUCUCUCUCUCUCUCUCUCUCUCUCUGUCUCUUGCAAGGAGCUGCUCUCCUCUUUUUUCUUCUGUCUAUUAAACUUUCCACUCCUUAACACACCCACAUGUGUCCAUGUCCCGAAUUUUUUCUCAGCGUGUGACAAUGAACCCCAGGGUAUAUACCCCAGACAGCAUAGCCAUUUCAACAGCAUGACAGAUAAGAAAGGAAAUAAAAAUAUUUUAACCCCCAAAACAUUUUUUUACCAUAUCUUGAAGUAGCCCUACAAAGUUGUUUCUUGUAGGGGGGAAAAAAAAUCUACAUUCUGUAGAGAAUCCCCUUUCCCUUUUCCAGGCCUUUUUCCUGAUCCAGGAAAGAACUAAGAGUGUGACACCUUUUUAGGCCUGAUAAACAUUUGCAAUCUAUUCUCUCUGAAGCCUGCUACCUAGAGCUUCAUCUGAAUAAUAAGAACCUUGGUCUCCAUAAUCUUUUAUCUUAACCCAGACAUUUUCUUUCUAUUGAUUCCAGGUCUUUAGAUAAACUCUUUCAACCAAUUGCCAACCAGAAAAAUUUUUGAAUGCCUAUAACCUGGAAGCCCCCCGCCCCCCAACCCCGUUCCAUUUUCAGUAAAUUGUUCUGCCUUUCCAGAUCAAACCAAUGUACCUCUUACAGGUAUCUCAAAUGUAUAAAACCUAGUUGUGACCCAAUCACCUUGGGCACAUGUUCUCAGGGUCUCCUGAGGGCUGUGUCAUGAGCCAUGGUCACUCAUAUUUGGCUCAGAAUAAAUUUCUUCGACUAUUUUACAGACUUUGAGUCUUUUCAUUGAUAGUGAGAGACAGGACUAACUGGAUUUCCUAGGCCGACUAAGAAUCCCUAAGCCUACCUGGGAAGGUGACCGCAUCCAUCUUUAAACACGGGGCUUGAAACUUAGCUCACACCUAACCAGUCAGAGAGCUCACUAAAAUGCUAAUUAGGCAAAAAACAGGAGGUAAAGAAAUAGCCAAUCAUCUAUUGCCUGAGAGCACAGCGGGAGGGACAAGGAUCGGGAUAUAAACCCAGGCAUUCGAGCCAGCAAUGGCAACCCCCUUUGGGUCCCCUUCCCUUGUAUGGGAGCUCUGUUUUCACUCUAUUUCACUCUAUUAAAUCUUGCAACUGCACUCUUCUGGUCCAUGUUUGUUACGGCUCGAGCUGAGCUUUGGCUCGCCAUCCACCACUGCUGUUUGCCGCCGUCGCACACCUGCUGCUGACUCCCAUCCCUCCGGAUCCAGCAGGGUGUGUCCGCUGUGCUCCUGAUCCAGCGAGGUGCCCAUUGCCGCUCCUGAUUGGACUAAAGGCUUGCCAUUGUUCCUGCACGGCUAAGUGCCCGGGUUCGUCCUAAUCCAGCUGAACACUAGUCACUGGGUUCCACGGUUCUCUUCCUUGACCCACGGCUUCUAAUAGAGCUAUAACACUCACCGCAUGGCCCAAGAUUCCAUUCCUUGGAAUCUGUGAGGCCAAGAACCCCAGGUCAGAGAACACGAGGCUUGCCACCAUCUUGGAAGCGGCCUGCCAACAUCUUGGAAGUGGCUUGCCACCAUCUUGGGAGCUCUGUGAGCAAGGACCCCUGGUAACAAUAGCAUUCAGCCAAAAAUUAUCAAGCAUGUAACGAAGCAGGAAAAUAGGACUCAGAACGAGGAAAAAAACCGGAUAGACCCACAAAUAAAACAAAUAAUAGAACUAGGACACUAAAACAGUUAUAACUUUGAGGACACUAAAACAGUUAUUAUAAUAAUUUUUUAUAUAUUCAAAAAGACAAGUAGAGUCAUGGAAGAUAUUAGAAUACCCAAAAAAAACUUUUAAAGAAGAAAACUACAAUAUUUGAGACGAAAAUACACUGGGUAGGAUUCGCAGCAGACUCAAAGCUAGAAAAGAAAAUGUUAGUGAACUUAAAGACAUAGAAUAGAAAGUAUCCAAAAUAAAACAUAGAAGAGAAAAAGCUUAAAAAAUGAAAACAGCAUCAGUGAGUGCUGAUAAAAUAUACAAAUAAUUGUAGUCUCCAAAGAAAAGAAGGGGAAGCAAAAUUAUCUGAAGAAAUGAAAGCCAAAAAUUUUCCAAAAUUGAUGAAAAUUUUAAAUCUUGAAUCAAAAUUUAAUUUAAAAUUUAAUUUUAAAUUUUAAAUCAAAAUUGAUGAAAAUUAAAUCUAAGAUACCCACAGAGUCCCCUAGUGAAUCUACCAGUCACCUCUUAUUUGCUUUUCUCCAUAACCGCCAUUGUUUCUGACAAUGUCUUCAGGCCUGAAGUUCCUGACACUCUAUUGCAAACAGUCAGUUCUUUUGAAAAGAGAUUUGGAACUAGCUCUGUAUUAAGACUUGACUUUCCCCAAGGGCAAAAUCUCUGAGCUGUCUCUAGACCUGGAAACAGGAAAAGAGGUGUUCUUUUUUCCAUGUGACACGCCUCCUUUAAGAGCUAAGUGCCCUGGGGGUAGGGGACAGUUAGUAGUCUCAGGUCUUUUUGGAUUGCUUCUCUUGGUAUGAAACCUAGGCCUUAUGAGCUGGGUAGAGGUGAUCUGGUAUACCCGAGGUAGAGUCUUUAUCCUCUGACAGGGGACUCAGUAGAAGAAGGGAGCCCUACCUUUUGCCAACACUCACCCAAAACAUACAUUCUGCAACAGGUAGCUGGGGAUAGAAUGAGAAAUGCUGAUGUCCUACCUCUCCUGGGAAGAUACUAUAGCCCUCCGACGGGUUGCUGGGGACACAGCAAACCCUAUGUACUUGACUGCAGCAGCCUGGAGUGGAAUUUCUAUCAUGCUGUCUGGUUGCAGUUCAGAUACCACAGUCUCUUGCUGUCGUUGCCAAAUUUUAGUAAAUUUUCUCGAAUACAUUUCUUAAUUCACAGUAUGUCCUUUGAUAUUCCUUUUUAAGAAGAAUAUAAAAGACCAAUCCCAAACAUCACAAAAACUAUCCCUACAAAGAACUAUAAAUGUAAUUGUAUAAGUUUGUAAAGUAAUUUAUUCCACAGUGCAUUGUUGUAAGCAAUAGAGCAAUCAGCCAGCAAGUAGUGGAGUUUAACAGCUGGGUGUGAUCAGGGAAAGAGAUGAUCAAAGAGAGACCUACAAAAAUUACUGUCAUCACAGAAAGAGUGACUAUGGACAUACCCAAGGGUAUAUCCUCUUAGGAACAACAACAGAGGUUUCACACUGCUUGAGGGAUUGGAUAGAGGGAGGACAGAAGGGGAGAGGGAUAGAUUUCACUAAUAUAGCCAGUCCAUAAAUAAAUAAAGAAGUAAACAAUAAAAAGCCCUAGAGUGGGUGGAGCGGUACUCAGAGUUGUUACAAUAUAUUAUCUGAAGUGUUAAAUUUCCAACCAAAAAUUAUGAGACAUGCAAAGAAACAGUAAAGCCUGAUCUACACAGAGAAAAAAAAGCAGGCAAUAGAAACUGCCUAUGAGAGCAACCAAAUAUCAGAUUUAAUUGGCACUUCAAAGUAGUAAUUCUUAAUGUGUUCAAAGAACUAGAAGAAACCAUUAUUAAGGAGGGAAAGUAUGAUGAAAAUGUCUCAUCAAACAGAAAAUAUCAGUAAAGAGAAGUUAUUAAAAAGAACCAAAUGAAAAUUCUUGAGUUGAAAAGUACAAUAACUAAAAUAAAAAUUUCACUAGAGGGACUCGAGUAGAUUUGAACUGGCAGAAGAAAGAAUUAAUGAACUUGAAGACAGAUUGAUAGAGAUUAUUUAAUCCAAAGAACAGAGAGAAAAAAUAUAAUGAAAAAUAAAGAAUAGAGCUUCAGAGAAAUGUGGGACACCAUUAAGCAAACCGGCCAAUACUUCAAACCAGCCAAUAGUUCAAGACAGAAAAGAGCAGAAAAAAUAUUUAAAGAAUCCAUGGGAAUAAAUGAAGACAACCAAAAAAUGGUAAAUUACAACUCAAUAUAACGAAAACUAUAAAUACACCUUGUUUUGUCUUUCUUCUCUCAGAUUUAGUAGAAAACAUAAAAAUGUUAUGUCACCAUAAGUAUAAUAAAGCAUUGUUGCAUUCAUAAUAGAUAUCACAUAAUAUGUAUGACAAUACCACGAAAAGAGGGAAAGGGGUUAUAUAGGAGUAACAUUUCUGUAUUUCACUGGAAUUAAGUUAGUUUUGUUAGCACUAAGGGAAUGUAUCUGAGUCACGUGGCACCAAAGUAUGCUAGCAGCAGCAAAUCUGUAUGUAUGUACGGGUCUGCAGCAACCUCAAUUCUUACUUCCUCAGAAGAAAGAAUUUGACUGAGGAGCAUAAGGCAGAGUGAGAGACCAAAGCAAAUUUUAGAGCAGGCGUGAAAAUUUACUAAAAAGUUUUAGGGUAGGAAUCAAAGGAGGUAAAGUAUACUUCAAAAAGGGCCAAGUGGGCAACUUGAGAGAGUCAAGUGCACAGUUUGAUCUUUGACUUGGGGUUUUAUAUGUUGGAGUUCUUCCAGGAUCUGCAUCUCUUCUCCCCUGAUUCUUCCACUGGAGUGAACUGUCCACAAGUGCAGUGGCCCGUCAGCACUUGGGAGGGGCCGCAUGCACAGUGUGUUUACUGGAGUUGUACAUAUGCUCACUUGAGGUGUUCUUCCCCUACCAGUUGAAUGUUCCUAGAAGGUCAUACACCAGUUAAACACCACAAUUUUGUCUCUUAGUGCACAUGAGUGAGCCCAUUCACCCAACUCCUGAGAUGUUAUCAGGAAGCUGCUCAUCAUCAGUUUCAGGCUUUUUCUAUCUAUUGGGAGACUGCCUUUCCCUGGUGCUGGCUGCAACCAAUUAUUUUAGAGAGACAGUUAACAACUGCCUGACCAUCACCUGAUGGUCAUCUGACAUUCCUGGUGAGGGGGUGAGGGGGACUCUCCUACCCUGCUCAUGUCUGCCUGACUACUAUAACAGUAUCAGUUAACUUAUCAGAAGUAGAUUAUGACAAGUUAAGAUUCACAACUCAAAAAUAUGUAGUAAAAAUAAUAAAAUAAAAUAUUAUAUUAGAAAACAUUUAAUGUCAAAGGAUGCAGUAAAGCAGGAGGAGGAAAAAAAAAGACAUGAUAGAGCAAAAGAGCACACUUAGCACCUAAUACCUUUCUCCAACAAAAGAAACCAGGACUCCUUGAAGAAAGUGCUGGUUCUAGGACUGGGAAAGGAAAUAUACAAGAUGAGCCUAUAGCACUAUUAGAAGAAAAUCCUUAGCCAAAUUAAAUUUAAAGGAGUUUAAUUGAGCACAGUUUUUGAACACAGUAUUUGAACGCAGUUUGAACAGUUGGUCCCAUUUGAUUGGCCAAAACUCGGUGAUUGGCAGAAGAGUAGGUUAUAGUUGGCUUACACCUCCAUUUAGGUUAUAGUUCACUAUACACAGAGAAACCUUUAGGCUGAAUUUAAAAUAUGUAAGGAGGCAGCUUUAAGCUAAAGUUGAUUUAACAGCACCCUGUACUGCCAAAAUGUAAGGAAGUGCUGGAAAAAAAUGAAAGCAAACUAAUCCAUGGGGGAAAAUGUCAUAGUAGAGGCUCAAAAACUAUGGAAUUAAAUUUUAAAUUGCUGAAAGAUAAUAACUUCCAACGUAGAAUUUUACACCGAGUAAAAAAAUAUCUUAAAUGUCAGGAGCUCAACUGAGCUGUAGACAGCUGAACUGUCAGGUGUAGGAGUAAUCAAAGAAACAAGCCAAAAAUGAAAGUGUUACUCAAGGCGUUAUCAUUUCCUGAUGAUAUAAGCAAGAAGCUAAACCAAAAAAAAAAAAACAAGAAAAAAGAAAAAAACCCUAACUUCCCUCAGCUCCAUUUUCCCUCAUGAAACAAUACGCUCGUUGAGGGUUGGAUGGAUCAGUACAGAUGUUGGACUUGUCUCACUGCUGCUGAAGGAACCUCAAAGAAAAAAAUGGUUCUUGGGAUUUUACAGACUCAAGAGGUUGGAGGACAGGAGUGGGAAGGGGUAGGAGUAGAUAAGUUCUGAGUACUGAGUUAGAGUGGAGAAAGGUGUCUUCAAGCUUUCUUGAAGCUGAAUUUAAAAGAGUUCCUGAGAAAGGCUCUGGACAAAGGUCUCAAAUAAAGAAAACUCUGAGUAAAGGCACCUGGGUUAGGAAUGCAAAUAUAUUAAUACAUAAAAGCAUGGCUGGCCAGAGAGGUCUGAGUCAUUGAUUGCAACUCCCUUCAGUGACUGCCAUGCACUGGCUGUACACCAAGAUUAGUCAGGACAGGGCAGCUUUCUCUCAUAAGACCUGCCAGGUAAAUCCUUGGAAGUUGGCUAUGAAAAAAUCACACAUGAUUUUGAUGGGCCAGAAGCAGGACGCUUUAAAAAGAUGUACAAGAGAAAAAAUAAAAACCAUCAAAGUUGGCAAAAAAUUAGUUAAAUUAUCCCUAUUUAUUGAUGAUCUGAUCUUUUAUCUAGAAAACCCUAAAGACUCCACCAAAAAACUCUUAGAUUUCAUGAAUGAAUUCAGUAAUUUUAAGAUACAAAAUUAACGUAGAGAAAUCAGUAGAGUUUCUUUACACUAAUAAUGAUCUAGCUGAGGACCAAAUCAAGAAGGCACUCUCAUUUACAAUGGCUCCAAAAAUAAUAAUAAAAUACACAGAAAUAUAUUUAACCAAAGAGGUGAAGGAUCUCUAUAGGAGAACUACAAAACACUGAUAAAAGAAAUCAUAGAUGACACAAACAAAUGAAAAACAUCUCAUGCUCAUGGAUUAGAAGAAUCAAUAUUGUUAAAAUGAUUAUACUGCCAAAAGCAAUCAACCAAUUCAAUGCAAUCCCUAUCAAAUUACCAAUAUUGUUAUUCACAGAAUUAGAAAAUAAUCCUAAAAUUCAUAUGGAACCAAAAAAAGAGCCCGAAUAGCCAAAAUAAUCCUAAGCAAAAGGAACAAAGCUGGAAGCAUCUCAUUACCUGUGUUCAAAUUAUACUACAAGCCUAUAGUAACCAAAACAGCAUUUUACUGGUAUAAAAAUGGGCACAUUUUAAAUGUGCGUCAUUAAAGCAGACAACAAACGUGAAAAAAUGCUCAGCAUCAGCAAUCAUCAGAGAAGUACAAAUUAAAACCACAAUAAGAUACCAUCUUACACCAGUCAGAAUGGGUUUUAUUAAAAAGUCAAAAAAUAGCAGAAGUUGGUGAGGAUGCAUAGAGAAAGGAAUGCUUAUAGAAUUUCGGUGGAAAUGUGUAGUAUGACCUUUAUGGAAAACAGUAUGGAGAUUUCUCAAAUAACUGAAAAUAGAACUACCAUUCGAUCCAACAGUCUCACUACUGGGUAUAUACCGAAAGGGAAAGAAAUAAUUAUAUCAAAAAGAUACCUGCACUCAUAUUGUUACUUCAGUACUAUUCACAAUAGCAAAGAUAUGGAAUCAGUCUGAGUUUCCAUCAACAGAGGAUUGAAUAAAGAAAAUGUGGGGUGUGUGUAAGUGUGUAUAUAUAUAUAUAUAUAUAUAUAUAUAUAUUUUUAUAAUAUAUAUAUAUUUUAUAUAUAUAUUAUAAUAUAUAUUUAUAUAUAUUUUAUAUAUAUUUAUAUAUAUAAAAUAUAUAAAUAUAUAUAUAUAUAUAUAAAAUAUAUAAAUAUAUAUAUAUAUAUAACAAUACUACUCAGCCAUAAAAAAGAAUAAAAUCAUGUCUUUUUAGUAACAUGGAUGGAACCGGAGGCCAUUAUUCUAACUAAAAUAACUUAAAUACAGGAAGUCAAAUACUACAUGUUCUCACUUAUAAGUGGGAGCUAAACAAUAAGUACACAUGGACAUACAGAGUGAAAUAGUAGAUGUUAAAGACUAUAAAAGUAGCGGGGAGGGGAGAGUUGAAAAACUACCUACUGGGUACAAUGUAAACUAUUCAGGUGAUGGGUGCAUUAAAAGCCCAGACUUCACCACUACACAAUAUAUGCAUGUAUGAAAUCUGCCCUUUUACCCUCUAAAGACAUACAAAUAAAGAGAAUAAAGUAUAAACAAGGAAUUCUCAGAAAAACAGAAACUAGAAAACUUUGUCAUCAGCAGCCUUGUACUAAAAUAAAUACCAAAAGAGUGUUCUUUGGGUAGAAAAAUAUGUAUAUGAGUCCAAAUGGAAGCAUGAAGAAAAGAAGGAGAAUGAAAACAGUACAUAAGUUAUGCAUAUACAUACUACACAAUAAUGUCAUGAUGAAUUACUAAUAUAAAGAACAAAAGAAUGUAUAACUGAUAUGCUAAUACAGGAAAAAAUGGAAUAAUAAAAAUAUUUGAUUACUCUAAAAAUAGGCUAUAAAAGACAAAAAAAAAUCAUUGGACAAAUUCACAUAUAGAGAUCAAAGAGUAAGUGCCAAACUUCGUAAAAUCACAAAAAACUCUCCAAAUGAAAAAUGUUUGCAAAUGCAUUUUAAAACUAUUUCUAAUAAAAGAUACAACUUAAACAUAAAAAUUCAGAAAGCUCGAAAGCAAUAGGAUAAAAAAUAUAUCAUGCAAAUAUUAAGUAGAUAUAGCUCAGGGAGUAAUGCUAAUACUGGACAAAGCAGAUUUUAAGGUAAGAAGGUUUACUAGAGAUAAAAGGGAUAUUUUUAAAUAAAGGGUCAAUAUAGUAGAAGAAUACAACAAUUCUAUAUUUGUAUGCCCCUUACAACAUAGCCUCUCUCUCUCUCUCUAUAUAUAUAUAUGUAUAUACAUAUGUAUAUAAAAUAAAAACUGUCAGAUUAAAAGGAGAGAUAAAAAAGAUAAAUUCAGUCAUAACCAUAGAUAUUGACAUUCCAUUCUAAAUAAUGCAUUAAACAGAUAAAAAUAAUUAAGAUUAUAGAUAAUUGUAACAACAUGGUUAAUAAGAUUAAUCUAAUUUCUGUUUAUGGAAACAACUGCAUAAUGUAAAUUCUUGGAGCAUUCAACCAAAUUAACCAUAUGCGGAGCAAUAAUGGAAGUCUCAGCUAAUUUUAGGAACCAAAAUUCUAUAAGUUAUACUAUCUGGCCACAGUGGGAAUAAUCUUGAAUAUACUAACAAAAGAGAUAAUGAGGAACUCAGUCCCUUAAAUGUUUGGAAAUUUGGCAAUAUUCUUCUAAAUAACCUAUAGAUAAAGGAAAAUAAGUAGAAAUGAGAAUGAAUAUUUAUUCAACUGAAUGAUAAUGAAAGUAUAAUAUAUCAAAGUAACUUGGAGUCACGUAAAGCCACACUAAAGUGUAAUGUAUAGCCUGAAAUACAUUUAUUAGAAAAGAAUAAAGAGGGGUCAUCUGAGGGGUCAAGAAGAAUGUGCCUGAGAAUUAUAGGCUCAAGCGAAGAGAGAUGGGAGCAUUUCCCCUCUUGCCAUUAUCCUCCAUUGGCCGACUUACUCCAUGGACUGUUAAUCCCUUCACACUUCUAUGAUGUGUAUGCAUCGUGAAGGGAAGAUUUGCAUGUAUAUGUGGGGUUGCAGAACGAAAGAAAAGACCCAGUGAGGUGAAGUGCUAUGAAGUGAGGUAAGAUGAGAUACUGAAGUUAUACCUUUGUGAAGUUUGUUGCCACAGCAAUGUCUGGGUGAAAAGGUAUGCCUACAGCAUGUCAGGUGAGGCUCAAUAUAUUCCCAAUGCAACAUUUAUUUGAAGUCAAAAAAGAAACAACAAAUAAAGGGAAGCAAAAAGAAUGCAAUAGCAAAAAGAGCAGAAAAUAAUGACAUAAAAACAUGCAACAGAAAACAUCAACAAGCUAAAAAUUCGUUUCUUUGAAAAAGUAUCAUAAAAUUGAAAAAUCCCUGGAAAGACUGAGAAAGAAAGAACCAAAAGAUAGAGAAAAGGCGCAUAUUGUGAAUAAUAAGAAUAAUGGAAGGGAGCAAGAUGGCAGAAUAAGUCUCAGUCGUUGUUCCUCCACAGAAAUACUGAUUUAACAAUAAGGAUUUAUGGGCCAAAUAACUUUAUAAGAAGUCCAGAAUCUAGUGGAUAAGUUGCAAAGAAGCAUAAAACCCAGGGACAGCUGCAUUGAAAUGGGGGUUGGAGAGGGGAAGAUGGGGAGUUGAUGUUUAAUGGGUGUAAAGUUUCAGUUAUACAAGAUAAAUAAGUUCUAAAUACCUGCAUACAACAUUGUUUCUAUGGUUAAAAAUAUUGUAUCAUGCAGUCAACUAUGUUAAGAGGGUGGAUCUUUGGUUAAGUGUUCUCGCCACAGUAAUAAAAAAAGUUUUAUUGAACCUACCAAUAUUAAACAUCAUAACAGAAUAUUUUAAGCAACUUCAAUUUGAAAAUUCAACAAAGUGGACACAUGCCUAGAAAACUACAACUUAUACAAUGUACACAAGAAAAAAUGUAUCGAAUUAUUCAACUCUUUAAGAAAGACAACUAAAUCUACUUUAAAAGAAGAUCGCUUUACCAGUGAAUUCUCCUCCGUAUUUAGAAACAUCACCAAUCUUACAAACUCUUCUAGAGAAUUAAAAAAAAAACCCAAUAGUUGCCAACUCAUUUUGUGAGGCCAGCAUAAGUUUAACAUCAAAACCUGACAAGGCCAAUGCAUUAAAAAAUAUAUACAGGUUCAUUUGUAUUAUAAAUGUAGUUGCAAAAGUAACAUACUGAAACCAGCAAUAUAUAAUUAAUAUAAUACAUCAUGAAGUUGGAUAGUUUCAGGAACACAAGAUGAGUUUAACAUUUGGAAAACAUUCAUUGAAAUUCACUACAAUUACAGAAUAAAGGAUACAUCUCAUAUGAUGAUCUCAAAAGAUACAAUAAAAACAUUUGAUAAAAUUCAAGAUCCUUUAAUUAUAAAGGAGAAAACCCUUAACAAAUUAGAAAUAGAAUGAGACUUCCAAAAUCUCAGAAAGUGUACAUAAAAACCCUGGAACAAUUACCUUACUUACUAGCAAAAUAUCAAUAGUCUUUCCUUUGAUGCUUGAGGCAACUACUAUUCAAUAUUGAGUUGGAGGUCCUAGUUAAUGCAAUGAUAGAAGAAAAAAAUAGUUGUAAAGGUAUAAAAAGUGAAAGGAAAGAAAUAAAACUCAUCUGUUUCAGAAGAUAUGAUUGUUUACACAGGAGAUUCAAAAGAAUCUACAGCCAACUAUUAGAAUCAAACAAUUGAACUCAUGAGUAUAGACAGUAGAAGGAUGGUUACCAGAGGCUGGGAAAGAUAGUGGGGGACUGUGGAGAAGGUGGGGAUACUUAAUGGGUACGAAAAACUAGAAAGAAUGAAUAAAACCUAUUAUUUGAUGGCACAGCAGGGUGACUAUAGUCAAUAAUAACUUAAUUGUACAAUUUAAAAUAACUUACAGUGUAAUUGGAUUGUUUGUAACUCAAAGAAUAAAUGCUUGAGGGGAUGGAUACUCCAUUCUUCAUGAUGUGCUUAUUACACAUUCCAUGCCUAUAUCAAAACGUCUCAUGUACCCCAUAAAUAUAUACACCUACUGUGUACCCACAAAAAUAAAAAAAUAAGAACAAGUGAACUUUACUUAACAACGUAGUUGGAUGUAAAGUCAAUAUUCAAAAUUAAAUCAUGUUAUAAUUUUCCUAUCUUAAAAAAUAGAAAAUAAAAUUUAAAAAUAGAUACUGUGACAAUAACAUCAAAGUAUAAUCUCAUAUAUAGAAAUGAAUCUAGUAAAACCUCUUCAAAACAGCUACAUAAAAAUAUAAUAUAUAUCUUUAAAUUUUAAAAAAUACCUUAAAAAUGUAAAGAUACAUCUUGUUUAUUGAUGGGAAGACCUAUAGAUUCUGUGCACUUCACAAAAAAAUAGAUAUCCCAAUGUCCAACAAGCUCAUGAAAAAUGCUUUACUCCACUAAUCAUCAGAAAAUGCAAAUUUAAAUCACAAUAAGAUAUAAUCCAACCAGAAUGGCUAAAAUUAAAAAUACUAACCAAAUCAUUGUCAACAAGUAUUCAGAUAAAUUGGAACUCUUAUGUACUGCUCACUUUGCAAGGCUGUCAGUGUCUACUAAAGUGAAACUUAUGCAUACCAUAUGCUAUGGUCUGAAUGUGUCCCCCAAAAUUCAUAUGUUGAAGCAUAAUAGCCAAGGUGAUAAUAUUAAUAGGGGGGGCCUUUUAGGAGGUAAUUAAGUGAUGAGGUCAGAGCCCCCAUCAAAUGAGAUUAGCAACCAUAUAGAAGAGGUUGAAGGGGGCAUCCUUUUUGCUCUUCUAUCCUUCUUCCAUGUGAGGACACAGCAUUCAUCCUCUCUGGAGAACACAGAGUUUAAGGCACCAUCUUUAAAGGAGAGAGCAGCCCUUUCCAAACACUGGAUCUGCUGGCACCUUGACAUUUGGACAUCCAGACUCCAGAACUGUGAGAAAUAAGUUUCUGUUCUUUAUAAAUUACUCAGUCUCAGAUAUUUUAUUACAACAUCAGGAACAAGCUAAAACACCCUAUGACCCAGAAAUACAUCUCCCAGCUGUGCACUUAACAGAAAUUCAUAUAUAUAUAUAUAUGCACCAGAAGGCAUAUACAAGAAUGCACAUAGUAACCUAUUUGUGAUAAUCUUAUGUUGGAAAGAAUGCAAUUACUAAGAGUAGAAAUCCUUAAUAAAUUGUGUGAAAAUGAAACCACUAUAACUACCAAUAAAAAGUAUGAAUUUCAUUGAGCCAAAGAAGCCAGACACCAGAAACACAAAACAUAUAAUUUUUUAUUGAAUUAAAACUGGGCAACACUCAGCUUUGAUAUUACCAGUCAAGUACUAUUUUACUUUGGGUAAAUGGGUCAGGGUAAUUAUUGGUAAGAGGGCUUAAGGGGGUUUUUAGAGUGCUAGUAAUGUUUUAUUUUUUGACCCUUGGUGAUUGUAAUAUAAGUGUGUUUACUUUGUGAUAAUUUACCAAACUCUAUACUUAUGAUAUGCAUUAUUUUCUAUGUUCAAUUAUUAAUAAUAUUUUUAAAGUUAAAUUUCUCAAAGCUGAAAUUAUCUUCUUUCCCUUAAAUUUGCAUCUAUCUCUUCCCGGGUCUGCCAGCUCAAGCUAAGCAGCCAUUCUUGAUUGUUCAAUCCUUCCAAUCAGCCACUUUAUGCUGUAUCUAAAAACUAAAUAUCUCUGGAAUCCAACUACUUUUCUCUAUCCUACUUCAUUACUUAUCUUAAGCCAUCAUUAUCUCUUGCCUGGAUUACUGCAAUGGCUUUCUCCCAACUCAUACCCUUGCCUUCAUUUUUUACCCUUCCAAAACUCCUACUCUUAUGGCACAGUCCAAAAUGAUUUUCUAAAGCACAAAUUACAAAACUGGCCAUGUAACUCCCCUAAUAAAAGGCUUAAUUUUUCCUCCAUUUCUUUCAGGAUAAAGUCCAUUGACUAUAAUGUAACUCAUAAAAUGCUGAAUGAUCAGCCUUCUGCUUAUUUCUCCAGCCUCAUAUCUUGCCUUCACUGUUUAUCCCCUCUUCUUACUAAAUGAUUACAGAAUGUACUCCAUCUCUAGUAAAUAAUUUGCAUCUAUUGAAAUAUAUUGUGGUCUUUCUUCAAGACUCCAGAGUCCCUAUGUUGAAACACUUUAGGGGCAGCAAUAUUGUUAGAAAAUGGUGCUAAAGUGUUGUCUUGAAGCUACAUUUCCAUAAUAAAUGAAACUUUGCGUGUGUGUGUGUGUACACGUGCGCGUGUGUGUGUUUUGUAGUUUGGUGAUGGUACCGAUAGAGAUUAUAAAGGAUAAAUAGCUCCUCUUGCCACCAGUUUGCUUUAGACCUUUGCACUUGUAUUUCUUCAUUUCUAGAGCAUUUUUUUCUCUCCCUCCUUCCAUAUGAUCAUCAGAUCAUUCUUCCAAUUCAGUUGUUGGUUCUUCCAGAAAGUCUUCCUUAAUUCUACAAAGCCAUAUUAAGUGUCCCUCUUCAGUGUAACUCACUGUAAUCUUGAUUCUAUCAUACCACUAUAACAUACAGGAGUCACAUGUUAGGGGAUAGAUUCUAAAAAUCAUUCUUUCCUUCUCUGGUUGGCAAUGCAAUGGUUAUAGGAUGAUUGCAGGAGUCAGAUCACUAAAGAAUGCAUAAUGCCUAGUAGCUGAGAAUGCAGAGAAAGGCAUAGUGCCUCAGGUUUGUGUAUACUCGGUAAUUUUAAAUGAACAAUAGAAAGAUGACUGGAAGAAAAGUGUGGGUAGAGUACAGAGAGAAAUGAGGCGUAAAUUGCAACAUGAGUCUGGGAACAAGACUGUCCAAGAUCAUGAAGAGCCUUUUUGGCUUUAUUAAAAAGCUUGGUCUUUAUAUUUAGUGCAAUAAAAUGUUGUUGGAAGAUUUUUUUUAAUCAUAAGAAAAUCUCUAUGAUAUAUUAAGUAAAAAAAUCAAAAUGCAAAACAUAGUGGACAGAGACUAAUGUUUAUUAGAAAUAAAAUGCAUAUAGGUAUAAAUAGAAAAUGUCUGAAAAAUAUAUAAUAAACUGACAAACAGCCUUUAUUGGCUGUGGGAAUGGGGAUUUAUAGCCUAGCAUUUAGGUUAUACCCUUUUAUAUUGUUUGUGUUUUCAUUCUAGUGUAUGAUUGCUUUUUCGAAUAACCAAAAACUUGAUAACCAUGAAUUUUGUUAUCAAAGACAGAUUGGAAUCCUGAUCUGCUUACUCACUGUGUGAUAUUGGACAAGUGACUUCAUUUCCUUGGACCUCAGUUUCCUCAUGUAAAUAGGGAUGAUAAUCAUGCGUACAUAUGGUUGUGAAGAUUAAAUAAAUAAAGAAAUGCUAACAGAGCCUGACACAUAAUAAGCACCCACUAUAUCUUACCAAUUACCAUUAUUGUUUUUGCCUUUAUCAAAAUUCACACAGGUCAGCAGAGCAUAACAGUUAAGAACUUGAGCUUUGUAGUAAGAACUGAGUUCAAAAUCUGUUUCUGCUACACGCUCAUGGUGUGAAUUUUAUCAUGCCACUUCCUUUCUGUAUGCCUCUGAUGACUUAUUGUAAAUGUGAACAACUAGAAUACUUAUUCCUAGAGUGGUUGUGAGACCUGUGCCAGAACAAUAAUGAUAGCUCCCAAUUUUGGGGCACUUUCUAUAUGCCAAGUUAUAUUAAGUGAUUACAGAUAAUGAUUGAUUUCAUAACUAUUCUUUUUCUUAUUACUAAUGCAUAUGUGGAGAGAGAGAGAGCAAUAUUAGUAAGAGUCACUUGCAUACUAGCCGUUGGGUGAUUACCAGUUGUUUCUCCAAGAAAGUGGAGAUACAACAAAUUUAUUUAAAAAUAUUUCAAUAUAUUCUAACUGCUCUGGCUAAGUCUCCCUACCAUCAAGCCAUAACCCCCACGAAGUCAGUCACACAAUCUGGAGUGAUGACCACAGAUGCCAAGAUACUUGUGGUCCAGGUAGGAUAGUAGGUAGGGGCUCUGUACACUGUGUCUGGCACCAACUCAGAAAAGUGUUUCUUCAUGAUGCUUAUCCACAUGGUACUCAUCAGCUGCAGUUGAUAGUACACAAGAAUGGUGAGAUGGUAUAGGACCACCCUGUUACCACCACCCAAAAUGACAUACAGAAAAGGUUUUCCUGUGAUAUUGGCAGAUGGGAUAAAUAUAUUCUAGGUUGAUCAGAUCAAUAUCUUUCUAUUGCUUUUUCUUCAGUUAGAGGUUACUGUUGGAGACCAGGUACAAGCUAAAAUACACAGUCUUCUUGGGCAAAGAUAUCAUCCACCACAUCAGGUAUCACAGCUUAUCUUUGAACAACUUGAAUGUGCUCAAAACCAUUAUCUUCUAGAAGUGGUUCUUGAUCUUGUUUUUGCUCAAGCUUCCAAUGAUUAAGGCUGAUACAGCCUUCUUGAUCAUCCCUUCCAGGGUCUACAGAUCCCUGUCUGGUCCUUCAUAGAUAAUGAUAAAAAGGUUACUUUUGUCUGAUUGCCAAAUGGCUGCAUUGCACCAGUUAGUCAAUGGCUCUACCUGUACACGUCCUCCUAAAAUAUGUGGUCCCAUCACCAUGGUGCUGACAAUUUCAUUCAUAUAUAUGAAGAUACAUUAGCCCAGUGCAUUAUGAAUUCACACUGCCCUCUCUGAAUUCAAGAAGAUCUUGAUAACAAAAUAGGUGCUAGACGCUACCACUUUCUCUCAGCAGAUCAUGCAUCCAAUUUAUGAAGCUGUGGGGACUGUGGGUUUUUUGAAUCAACGCUGGGCCGAGUCUCAAGCCCAGAUGGUAUUGUCUAAGCAAAUGAAGCAACACAAUGUGUCCAGCUGCUCUGCCAUUAUACCACUCAUGAUAGAUGUGAACUGAGUAUGAAGAAAAAUGUGACCACAGGGCCAAAGUAACAGCUGAAGCUCAUCUAGACUCUGGAAUGGCUGCACUCAGCUACCAGCCUCAGGAUGCUGAUCUAGCCACUCCUAUAGUGAUAGUGGUGAAGGUCAUCCUGACUUCCAGAAAAUAUGUGGUCAAAGAAAACCUUGGACAUUACCAUGUGGGUCACAUGGCUAGUAACGCUCAAUGAUUUUAAAACAGGGCUAUUCCAUUAUCCAACUUGUUUUUUUACAAAGGGGAUAAAGAUCACUGUGUGCAUUGUGAAUGGAAGCAGGAGAGCCUGGGAGAAGCAAAACCAAUUAGAAGGAUGUGAUAUUGUGAUGUAACAAGAAAUAUAUAUUUAGUUUUUGUUCCUGUUCUUGGCAGGGAGUUCCUAAAACACUUGGAAUUUCCUGAGUAAUAAUGAUGAGAGGAACAACUCUUGUUAUACAUAAUAUGCCCCUUGCAACCAUAUCUUAGUUUAUACUAAUAAAGUAACUCUUGGAGGAUGAGGGCUGAUUGCCAGAGGAACCAACCACGUGAUUAGAAGGUUGAAACUUUCAGCCCCACCCCAUGACCUUUGAGAAGGGAAAGGCGCUGGAAAUUGGCUGAAUCACCAAUGGCCAAUGAUUUAAUCAAUCAUGCCUACAUAAUAGAGCCUUCAUAAAAACCCUAAACUAGGGGGUUCAGAGAGCUUCCCGGUUGGUGAACACACUGAGGUGCCAGAAGGGUGGCAUGCUUGGAGAGAGCACGGAAGCUCUGUGCCCUUCCCCCAUGCCUUGCCUUAUGCAUCUCUUCUAUUUGACUGUUCCUCAGCUAUAUAUCCUUUAUAAUAAACUGGUAAUAGAAAUUAAAGCAUUCCCCUAAGUUCUGUGAGCUAUUUCAACAAAUUAUUGAACACGAGGAGGGAGGCAUGGGAGCCCCUGAUUUGUAGCCAGGUUGGGCAGGAGUGUGGGUAAUCUGGGGAUCCACUACUUGCAAUUGACUUCUGAAGUGAGAGAGCAGUCUUGCGGGACUGAACCCUUAACCCAUGGGGUCUGAGCUACGUCCAGAUUAGUUAGUUUAGUGUCAGAUUUAAUUAAAUGGUAGGACACUCAGUUGGUGUCUGCAGGGAGUUGGAGAAUUGCUUGGUGUGGAAAAUCCACACAUUUGGUGGCAAAAGUGUUGUGUACAGAGAAAGAAUUUUCUUCUUCAGAGGAUAUUACAGGAAUCUAGGCAUAAAGUAGUUGUGGCUUGGAUAGUUCUAUGGCAAAGGGAGAGUGGUUAUUAUUUUUGCAUGUAAAAAAUUAUUUUAAUGAAGACUUAUUUUAAUUUGAUGCUUGAAAAAGCAUCAAAUUUGAUAUUCCAAGUGAGAAGUGCAUUAAAUGCAUUUCAUUAAGGAGGGAGCAGUGGCAGGCAUAGCUUCAUGUCAAGUAUUUGAUUUGGGUCAUAAAGAAUGAAAAAGUCUAAUGGAUAGAGAAGAGGAAGGAGACAGUGGAAGAAUGAACAAAUGCAUGGAGAUACAGAAUUUUUAAAGACUGCUUGGGAAGCAGUAAAUGGAAGAAUUUAACUGAAGUGGACAGGAUUUUUAAGGGCAGAGUGGAAGAUAAUGCUGGUAAAAUAGAUUGGUGUCAGAUUAUGAAAGUCCUUGCACACGUGGCUUUGAGAAAUGGACAAUGCUACGAUAGUGGCCCAAUUAACAAAGAUAAAGAAUCAGGAAAGGGGGUACUUUGAGGAAGAUAAUUAAGAGUCUUUCCUAGAUGUACUGGUUGAAGUCUGGUUACUAGAUAAGGUUAUCAAAGAGGAGAUUAAUAGAAGAGGUCAGAGAAAAAUUUAUGCUCCUGACCAGUUGAAAAACUUUUCCUAACAAUUUCUAAAUUUCUAUAAGUUAGGAUAUAUGCUACCAUAAGAAGUUCUAUCCACCCAUCUCUUUCCAUAUACUAAAUAAGUACAAAUUCAUCAUAUACAAUUGGAUACAAUUCCAAAACUUCUUUGUAAAUUGAAAGAUCUGGAAAGUAAAUAUAAAGGAAAGUUACAAAAUUAGCAAUGUAUUGCUAAUAAUGCUACUAAUAUGUAUUGCAGUAGUUUGUAUGAAUGUUUUGUCCUUUUACUAAAGUGUAUUGGAGUAUCAGAGGCUCAGGCAAUACCAGAGCUAGGGCUCAAGUAUAUUUGAACUUUUAUAAAUUUUUAAGUGUACUUUGUUUUGUGAAUCAGAAUGAUAGCAUAUACAAAAAUAAAACUAGUUCAACUAAAAAGGAUCCAAACGUAUUAUCAGGAGCUGUAUUUUCUCUGGUUAUGAUGUCCAUCCUUCCUUGUAGCCAGGUGUGAUUUUCUCUACCUAUCUGAAUUCUUGCCUACCUGAAAUCUGGCACCAGCAUCGGCAUUGAGUAGAACAAUCCAGAAACAGAACAUUUGUUACUGUUGUGCCUUAGUGUUCCCUGAGUUUUAGGUUAUUUCCUAUUUAAAUUAUCUGCCUGUAUUUUCUUCAUACAUCAUUGUGGUACCUGAAAUUUGAAUUAUAGAAUGUUUGUUUGUUCCUUCCUGCUUUAAUUCACUUACCUGGACUUGUCAUUUAUCUUUUUGCCUGAUUCUUACUUUGGUGGCAUCUCCUUUGAAGUCAAAGUUGUAGUAGUAUUCACCUUAUUUUAGACUUUUCCUCUUUUCCUGCCACACAAGUCCUAGCCCAAUGUUUGUGAAUUUUGUUAUCAGAUAUCCACAGAUGCUUUCACGUGAAUAUAUAUAUAUAUAUAUAUAAGCAAUCCACUGUCUCUUUCUUAGCAUUCUUUAUACACAAAAUGUCUAAAUUCCUUAGAUCUCCUUCCCAAACUCAUAGCAUAUUCCACUCAGCCCCAAAAUCUUGUGUCAUGACCUCCAGACAUUUCCUGUUAUCUGCCUCCAUCAAAACUUAUCUGUACUUCAAUCCAUUUUCUCAGGACCCAGACCUCUAGUAAGGUGCUAUGGUCUGAAAGUUGGUGGUCCUCCCAAAAUUUAUAUGUUGGAACCUAAUACUUAAUGUGAUAGUAUUAAGAGGUAGUGCCUUUGGCAAGUGAUAAAAUCAUGUGAGCUCCACUCUCAUAAAUGAGAUUAAUGCUCUUAUAAAAGACACUUAAGUGGAUUCCCUUGGCAGAAGGGUCUGCCAUGUGAAGACAGUGUUCUACCCUUCUGCUAUGUGAUGAUGCAGCAACAAAGCAUCAAGGAAGCAGAGCGUGAACUCUUACCAGACAUGAAAUCUUCUAGUCUCUUGAUCUUGGAUUUCCCAGUUUCCAGAACUGUGAGCAAUAAAAUUCUGUUGUUUACAAAUUACACAGUCUAAGGUAAUUUGUUACAGCAGCACAAAUGAACUAAGGUUAAUCUUUGUGUUAUAGCAGCAAAAAUGAACUAAGGUUAAUCCAAAAAAUUAAACCUGGUUUAGAUAUUAAUGAUUGAUUGUAAGCUUACAUACAAUUCCUACUAAGAAAUCAAGUUUUACUUUCCCUUGGCUUAUUAUGCUUUAACUGCAAAUAAAUGUAGCUGCCAAUGGAGCUACACUGAGGGUUGGGAUUAUUUCUGAAACACUCUUCAAAACAGAUUGUGUAGUUAAUACACAGUCUGCAGCAGCCAUCACAUUUCUGUAUUGUUUCUGAAGAAUUAUCUCCUGAGAAUGUGUUUUUAUACAGUUAAAUACUCUGACAUGCAUUUACUCUUUUUCUAGGAAUAUGAUUUAUAUUUGACAUUGAACAUAUAUUGGAUAUAAUUUUCUCUGUACAGUUCAGUUAUAUUUCCCAAAUGCAAUAAUCACAUUUGAAUAUAGUAUAUUCCCCAAAGAUGGAAACUUCUUAUAUUUUGAAAGGAAAUCAAUGCAAUAUGAAAUUGAACAAAAAGAUAAAGAGGAUUGAGGACCUUAUUACAGAUAGGGAGUAAAAAAAGUAAGUCUUCAUCAAAGCUAAACUAACAUAGACCAUAAAGCAACCUGGAAAAUUAGAACAAAAAUGUCUUGAAGCAAUUAACAACUUUAGCAGCUUAAAAAUACGCAAAACAUCACCAUGUCCUCUACUCAUACCCUCUGGCCUUCAUGUCAGACUCUAAGCCCUCUCAAUACUCUUCAUAAAGAUGGUAGAACCAGGGUUCUGUUUGCAGCAAAUACACCUUAGUAACAAAUUCACAUUAAAUCCAAACAAAUUAUAAUAGAAUCCUUUAAAGUGAGUUAAUUGCUACAUUCUCUAUGAAACCUUUACCAGACAGCUGUAUCUAGAAGUAAGUUCUUCCCUCCCUGAACUCUUUUUCUACUACUCUUCUGGAACAUUUAGCACAGUCUAAUAUGCAUUGCAGUAGUUUGUAUGCAUGUUUUGUCCUUUGACUAAAGUGUGAAUUCCUUGAAGAAAGAGUUCAUGUUCUGUCUUUGAAUCUCCAGUGCCCACUGGAAUAUAGUUUAUUAAAAGGCAUUAUCAAGUCUAAAAAAAAAUCUACUUUUAUUCAUUAGUUCAUCAUUAAUGCACUUGCUCAACAAAUAUUUAAACACCUAUAAUGUGCAAAGUACUCUCCUAGUUAGAAGGCAUAUCGUGAUGUACAAGAUACAUGGUUCCUACCUUCAUGGAGCUUAUAUUCACAUAGGAGAGACAAAUAACAGCAAUUGAUUAACAAAUUACUUUAUUAAAAUAUCAUAUGUGGGAGAAAAACAGAGUAGUCAUUGUCAGUGGUUGUAAGAGUGAUUGACUACAAAGAGGAUGCACAGGGGAACUUUUAGGGUGAAACAAUUGUUCCUUACUUUUAGAGUGAAAUACCUGUGCUAUAUUGGGGUGGUCAAAAACUAUUUACAUGCAUUUGUCCAAACCCAUAGAAUUGUACAUUACAAAGAGUGAAUUUUAAUGCACGCAAACUAAAAAAUAAAAUCAGUCAGGAUGUAGGGUAUCUCACAAUGGAAUACAGACUGUGAAAAAUGAAUCUAUCUCUUUUACAAAUGUAUAAUAUGGCCUCACUAAAGGGAGUGGGGAAAGUGGUCUGACCUAAGUAACAUUGGAAAAUAAUGUUCUGACUGAAAACUGUAAAACUAAAAACAAAAGAUAUUAUGUAAGCACAGUACUCUAGUUGGUAAAUUUAUUUCUCAUGGAGGUACAAGUUAAUAAUUCUAACCCUGUUGUCUAUGUAUCCUGGGUUAAAUAAAUAAGUAAAUGGAUGGUGCGCAGUGGUAGCCAGGUUUCUUAAUGUUGGAGUGGUAAGUUACAAAUAAGCAAGUUUGGGGGGAAGGCAAGAAUAUACCAUGUGAUACUGGAUUGGAGUUGGAGACAUCUGUAUGAAAUCAUGCUUAGCUUAAUAUAGGUAUUAAUCAAUACACAGAAAUAUUUAUUGAUAUGUUUAUAUAGAUGGUUUAGUAUACACAGAUGUAUUUUCUUGCUGUGUCCACCAAAAGGGCCUAAAAACAAUGACAGUUCGGUAGCAAAAAGCACAGCCAGCACAUAGAUCGUGGUCUCUAAACACCAUUUUUCAAUAAAAGGAAAGAGGGCUCCAUGGAGAAAUGGCUGAUUGUAGGGCUGGAGUGGGGAAUAUAUGACAUGAGCCUGGAGCAUCUUGUAAUGGCAGAAAGUAAGGAAGUGCCCUCCUUGACAAAGAAAAACUAGCAAUGAUAAGACUAUGCUAGAGGGACACUGGAGCCAACUAUAGGCCCAAACUGGAAAAAUCUGAGCAACAAAAUCAGUAAAGUAGUUCUGAAUUAAAACCCAAAGUGUAAAAUAAAUAUACAUUAGCCUAUAGUGAUAUUAAUAAAUUAUUAAAUAAAUAAAUAAGUAGAGGUAAGGAGAAACAUCCUUUUUAACAAAGAAACUCCAAAUAAUAUAUGCAGAUACUUCCCCCUUCAAGGAGGUAGAGUUUAAUCAUCCCUCAUCCUCCCACUUACUGCCCGCCCCAUCUCCACUUAGCAUGUGCCAGAUUUAGUGACUUGCUUCCAGAGAUUAGAGUAGGGAAAGGGAAAAAUAAGAACUUUAUAAUAAAAGUAAUAAAUAUAAUAUAAUAAAAUGUGGCAAACAGUACAUUAACCAAGUGGUGAAGGUUAACAUCAGUGAUGUCAUAUGGAUAUGUAAACUCUCAUAGAUAUGAUGAGCAAGGCACUUCAUCUCUGUGAUAUUCUUCCCUUAAAUCCAUAACUUUGGUCUAAUCAUGAGAAAAACAGCAGACAAAUUCAGAUUGUGAAACAUUCUACAAGACACCUACAAUAUCCCUCCAGACUUUCAAGGCCAUGAAAAACACAGAAAGACUAAGAAAAUAUCACAAAGCAAAGGAAACUGGGAAGACAUCAUAUCUAAAUGCAUGGUGGCACCCUGCAUUGGACCCUGGAACAGAAGGAGGACCUUAAUGGAAAAACUGGUGAAAUCCAAAUAAAGUCUGGAAUUUAGUUGGUGGCAAUGUAUGAAUAUUGGUUCCAUAGUGUUGACAAAUAUGCUGCAGAAAUGUAAAAUGUUAACCAUGGGGAAAAUUAGCUGAGGAGUGUAAAGUCUUAUUAUCUUUGCAACUUUUCUGUGAAACUAAAAUUAUUUCUAAAUAAUUUUACAUACAAAGUUUAUGAAAUGCAAUAAGUGAUUCAAAUACUUAUUUGAAUGGCUCUGUGAUUUUAAAAUAUUUUAAAGUAUACAAAUAGAUACAUAUAAAUCCAUUAAACAGUUUGAAGUUCUUGCUAAGAUCUAUUUUACUGCUAUGUCUUUACCUUCUUAGAAACCCUCUCCAUCCUUCUGUCCUGUUGCACCACAUCUAGAAUCAUCUCCCUACAGAGAUGCUUCCAUUAUUCCACUUUUCCACUCAAAAAAUCUAUUGUGGCUCCCUGUUUCUGUAGGAGAAAUCCCAAACUCCUCAGGUAGAUAUGCAAGUUUUCUUCAUCAACUUAUCAUUACCUUAUCUUUCCAAACUUUCGUAUGGUUUAAUUGAAUAGGUGAACAAAUAACAAAUGUUUAUUAAUCACCAACUAUGAGUCAAACAUUCUGCUGAUAGCUUGGUAGGAUAGAGAGAUUUAAGAUGUUGUACCUGCUCUGCACUUGCAAACAGAAACAUAAACAAAGAGAUCUAAAUGUUCUAAGUGCUAAAGUGUAGGAUGGAGAAGAUAAGACAUGGAUAAAUAACUCACAGAGGAGGGAAUGGGAGAGCUGAGUCUUGAAUGUAAGUCAGUGUUUACCAAGCAGAGAAGGGUAUUUCAUUCAAAGAGAAACAAUUAUAAACUCAGGAAGUCAUAAAAUACAUGUGUAGGGAUCAAUGACUAGAGUGGAUGGUUCUUUUGAUAGAUAGAGGCAAAUGAGACUAAUGAAAGUUAAAGUCAGAUUUUGAAAGGUCUUGGAUUCUUGGUUAAGAAAUUUUGUUUUCUUCAUGGAAGCUGUAAGUAAUCCAUUUGCUGAAAUGCUAAGUCAUCAAACAUAGCAUUCUGUAUCAUUUCACACUGUUCUCUAGUAGUUGUUUUUGUAUGAAAGAGUCUUUAACAAAUUCUGCUUUUCUACCUGGGUUGCAAACCAAGUCUUCCAUUCCUGGAUCCCAAAAUUACAUAGCAGAGUAAUAGGUUCAAUAAGUAACAGUUCUUGCAAACUUUUUGCUUAGCUUACCAUUGUUUAUUUAUGCCAGGCAUUCUUGCUCAUUUUAAGACAAAAUGAAUGGAAAAAUAUUCUUAAUUUUCAGGGCCACAUAAGUGAACAUUUUCAUUCCAGUAUUUGCAUUUCUAAGUUCACUAGAUAUACAACUUCACUUUUUCCUUGAGUUUCAGUAUCAGUCAGUGUUAUACUAUGCACGAAAUAUUGUUUGGUUAUUUGCCUAGUAGCCUCGAAUUAUUACUUAUAGAAAUUUAGUACUUUUCAAAUCCAUAAGGAAGAAGCCAGUUGCCCAUGGAAACUUUGCUCAAAUACCUGGAAUCAUGGGGAUUUUCUCAGCUUGUUAUAUGGUGACAGUCAAGCAUGAAUAAAAUUGGGUUAUGAGCUCUGUUCUUGUUCCUCUCAAAAUCCCUAAUGUUACUACUGAACAAUACAUUAUCAUCCAUCACAAUCUUGAGAGACAAAGGAAGAGCUACUGAACAAGGUGCAAGUCAGUCUAUUUUUUUCUUCAUUCUCUCUCUUUCAGGGAAAUAGAUUGCAUGAGACACUUUUACCCUGCCGAAGAAAAUCAAUUAUAGUUUUAAGACCAACAAAUGUGUGAGACACUUUUAUCUCUAUAGUUCAGAUGAGAAAACAAACACAGAGAGGCUAAGUGAAUACUAUUUAAUCACAAAGCCAAUUAAUAGUGGUUCCAAGAGCAGUCCAGGUCUCUUGAUGCAGUAAUUUACAAAAACUAUAAAGUUCAUCAGUAACCUAGCUAACAUAAAUACAGGUUACUAGAACACUAAAAAAAAAAAAAUCAAAUGGCGUGAUGCAGAAUAUUCUGUCCAAAUUUUUAUCAUAGAAAGAUGCUCUUCUGUGGGUUGCAGUUUUGAAGGCAGAUGUUGCUGAAAGCAACCACAGCAAUUACAAAAGUGACAAAAUCAGGUUUGUCGUGAAAUUCAUUCACAGACGAGAAAAGCAAUAUUCUGUAUAAUAUCAACCACUGCACAUAAGAAUAUUUUAUACAAUUGACAGAAUCAUAACAAUAUGAAAAAUAGCACACUUAAUUGGAUGAAAACCAAACAGACAAGACCGUGUGUGUAAAUCCAAGCUUCUAUAAUGGUCACCGAAGGUGAUCCAGAUAGUCACAACUCCAAAAUGAACCUCCUGAUUACUUCAAGCUGGGAAUUAGGCUGUGUGAUCUGUGUGACAGCUGUGACAGAUAAUAAAAGAGAAGUUCCAAUAAAGAGACAUGAUGCUGCAUAAUAAUGUCACAAGAAGCAACAGAUAAGAUCAAGAUUCAUUGGAAUUGGAACUUAUGGUUAGCAAAGAUAGUUUUAUUCUAUGGAGAUUUACGAAUAGGGAAAGUUCUCUUUUUCCUAAAUUAACAGGAGAUAUGGUUAGCCCCAAGGUAAGAUGAUAUCUGUAUAUUCUGACCUACCUAAGCUGGCUGGAAGCAGUCUUCAUGUUUUCUCAGUCUUAUUGUUCUAUGAAGCUUACUUUGCUAUUCUAAUUCCCAGGAAGUGAAAGAUACAAUCAAUUUCCUUUGCACUCCUCAGUUUCCUUCUAUGGGGAUCUUCUUUUAAUCAGCCCUAUGACUACCCAAUUUAUUCUUACCACAAGUGGAAGAAAAUUAAUACAAUAAGUUCAAAGCAUAUAAGGGGUAAAUAGUACCCACAGAUGUGAAAAUAUAAUUUUCCUUAAAUUUUAUAAGAACAGUGAAUAUUUAGUCUUGGGUAUAAUUGGACCACAGUCCUGAUGAUAUAAUUUAUUUUCCAAAUUCUAGAAUAUCAGUAGAAAAAUCUUUCUUACAAACUAGCCCUGAUCAUUUCUUCCUAUGCCUAGGUAAGAAAAGCAUAAAAUAGAGAGAGGAGAAAAGGAUGGCAUAGAUACUUGAGAUAUUUUCUCUUGUUAAAUAGGAUAUGGUUAUACGUAACUUAACUAUAGGAAAACUUUCUGAGAAAUGUGCUGUUAGGCAAGUUCGUCAUUGUGCAAACAGCAUAGAAUGUGCUUACACAACCAUAGGUGGUAUAGCCUACUACACACGUAGGCUAUGUAGUACAGCCUAUCACUCCUAGGCUACAAAUCUAUAGAACAUGUUACUGUCUGUAUUGCAUCCUUAGACAAUUGUAACAUAAGGGUAAGUAUUUGUGCAUCUAAACAUAGAAAAGUUACAGUAACAAUAUGCUGUAUUAGUGUAUUCUCACACUGUUAUUAAGAAAUACCUGAGACGGGGUAAUUUAUACAGGAAGGAAGUUUAAUUGACUUGCAGUUCCACAUGACUGGGGAGGCCUCAGGAUACUUACAAUCAUGACAGAAGGCUAAGGGGAAACAAGCUUGGACCUUCUCACAUGGUGGCAGGAGAGAGAAGACUGAGGAGUGAAGGGGUAAGAGCCCCUUAUAAAACCAUCAGAUCUUGUGAGAACUCACUCACUCACUCACUACCAUGAGAACAGUAUGGGGGAAACCACCCCCAUGAUCCGAUCACCUCCCACCAGGUCUAUCCCUAGAUACAUGAGGAUUACAAUUCAAGAUGAGAUUUGGAUGGGGACACAGAGCCAAACCAUAUCAUUCUGACCCUGGCCUCUUGCAAAUCUCAUGUCUUUUCACAUUUCAAAACCAAUCAUGUCAGCCGGGCAUGGUGGCUCACAUCUGUAAUCCCAGCACUUUGGGAGGCCAAGGUGGGCAGAUCACCUGAGGUCAGGAGUUCGAGACCAGCCUGGCCAACAUGAGAAAACCCAAUCUCCACUUAAAAAUACAAAAAUUAGCUUGGUGUGGUGGUUGGCGCCUGUAAUCCCAGCUACUCAGGAGGCUGAGGCAGGAGAAUCACUUGAAUUCAGGAGGCAGACAUUGCAGUGAGCCAAGAUGGUGCCACUGCACUCCAGCCUGGGUGACAAAGUGAGACUCCAUCUCAAAAAAAAAAAAAAAAAAACCAACAAAAAACAAUCAUGUCUUCCCAACAGUCCCUUAAAGUCUUAACUCAUUUCAGCAUUAACUCAAAAGUCCAAGUCCAAAGGCUCUUCUGAGAUAAGGCAAGUCCCUUCCACCUAGGAGCCUGUAAAACCAAAAGCAAGUUAGUUGCUGCAAAGAUAAAAUGGGGGUACAGGCACUGGAUAAAUGCUCCCAUUCCAAAUGGGAGAAAGUGGCCAAAACAAAGGGGAUACACGUCCAAUGUAAGUCCAAAAUCCAUGGGGGCAGUCAUUAAAUCUUAAAGCUCCAAAAUGAUCUCCUUUGAUUUCAUGUCUCACAUCCGGGGCAUGCUGAUGCAAGAAGUGGGCUCCCACAAUCUUGGACAGCUUCACCCCUGUGGCUUUGCAGGGUACAACCCCCCUCCUGGCUGCUGUCAGAGCUGGCAUUGAGUGUCUGUGGCUUUUCCAGAGGCACAGUGCAAGCUGUUAGUGGAUCUACCAUUCUGGGGUCUGGAGGAUGGUGGCUGUCUUCUUACAGCUCCACUAGGCAGUGCUCCAGUGGGGACUCCGUGUGGGGGCUCCAACCCCACAUUUCUCUUCCAUACUGCCCUAGAAGAGGUUCUCCAUGAGGGCCCCACCCCUGCAGCAUACCUGUGCCUGGAUGUUCAGGCAUUCCCAUACAUCCUCUGAAAUCUAGGAGGAUGUUCCCAAACCUCAAUUCUUAAUUUCUGUGCACCCACAGGCCCACUACCAUGUGUAAGCUGCCAAGGCUUUGGUCUUGCACCCUCUAAAGCAAUGGCAUGAGCUGUACUUUGGCCCAUUUUAGCCACAGCUAUGAUGCAGGGCACCAAGCCCAGAGACUGAACAAAGCAAUAAGGCCCUGGGCCAGGCCCAUGAAACCAUUUUUCCCUUCUAGGCCUCCUGGCCUGUAAUGGGAGGGGCUGCUGUGAAUACCUCUGACAUGCCCUGGAGACAUUUUCCCCAAUGUCUUGGCUAUUAACAUUUGACUCCUCAUUAUUUAUGCAAAUUUCUGCAGAUGGCUUGAAUUUCUCCCUAGAAAAUGGGUUUUUCUUUUUUAUCUCAUCGUCAGGCUGCAAAUUUUCCAAACUUUUAUGUUCUGCUUCCCUUUUAAACAUAAGUUCCAAUUUUAGAUAUUCUCUCUCAAGUUCAAAGUUUCACAGAUCUUUAGGGCAGGGGCAAAAUGCUGCCAGUCUCUCUGCUAAAGCAUAGUAAGGGUUACCUUUGCUCAAGUUUCCAAGAAGUUCCUCAUCUCUAUCUGAGACCACCUCAGCCUGGGCUUCAUUGUCCAUAUCACUAUCAGCAUUUAGGUCAAAACCAUUCAACAAGUCUCCAGGAAGUUCCAAAUUUUCCCACAUCUUCCUGUCUUCUUCUGAGCCUUCCAAAUUGUUCCAACCUCUACCUGUUACCCAGUUCCAAAGUCACUUCCACAUUUUCAAGUAUCUUUAUAGCAAUAUCCCACUUUCCAUAGUACUAAUUCACUGCAUUAGUCCGUUUUCACACUGCUAUAAAGACAUAUCUGAGACUGGAUAAUUUAUAAAGACAGGAAGCUUUAUUGACUGCCAGUUCUGCAUGGCUGGGGAGGCCUCAGGAAACUUACAAUCAUUGCAGAAUAAAAAGAGGCACCUAUUACAUGGUGGCAGGUGAGACAGAGAAGAGCAAAGGAGGAAUUUGCCAAACACUUAUAAAACCAUUGGAUCUCAUGAGAACUCACUCACUGUCAUGAGAACAGCAUGAGGGAAACCGCCUCCCAUGAUCCAUUCACCUUGUACCAGGUCUCUCCCUGGACAUGUGAGAAUUAUGGGGAUUACAAUUCGAUAUGAGAUUUGAAUGGGGACACAGAGCCAAACUAUAUCAUAUGGUUUAAAAGAUUUAAAAAAAUGGUACACCUCUGUAGGGCACUUACCAUGACUGGAGCCUACAGGACUAGAAGUUGCUCUGGCUGUCAGUGAGUGAGUGGUGAGUGAAUGUGAAGGCCUAGGACAUUAUUGUACACUACUAUACUUUAUAAACACUGUAUACCUAGGCUGUACUAAAUUUAUUUUACAAAUUAUUAUUUCUUCAAAAAAAAUUAAUCUUAGCACACUGUAAUGUUUUUACUUUAUAAACUUUAAAUUUUUAAAAAAACUUUUUGACUCUUGUAACAACAUUUAGCACAAAACACAAACACCAUUUUACAGCUGUACAAAAAUUAUUUUCUUUCUUUAUAUUCUUAUUCUAUAAUUUUUUAUUUUAAAAUUUAUUUAUUUACUUAUUUACUUUUACUUUUUAAAUAAUCUCUAUGGAAAACAUUAUAGAGAUUUCUCAAAGAACUAAAAAUAGAACUAUCUUUCAAUCUAACAAUCCCUCUAUUGGGUAUAUAUCCAAAGGAAAAUAAAUUAUUAUAUUAAAAAAGACAUUUGCACUCAAAUGUUUAUUGCAGCACUAUUCACAAUGUCAAAGUUAUGGAAUUAAUUUAAGUGUCCAUUAAUAGAUAAUUGGAUUAAAAUGUCAUAUAUAUAUAAUGGAGUGUUACUUAGCCAUAACAAAGAAUGAAAUCAUAUCCUUUGCAGCAACAUGGAUGGAACUGGUGGCCAUUAUCCUAAGUGCAAUAACUCAGAAACAGAAAGUCAAAUACAUGUUCUCACUUAUAAGUGGGAGCUAAACAAUGGGUACACAUGGACAUACGAAGUGUAAUAAUAGACACUGGUGACUCACAAAGGUGGGAGAGAGGGUGGGGAAUGAGGGAUGAAUCUCUACCUAUUGGGUACAAUGUACACUAUUCAGGUGAUGUGUACACUAACAGCUCAGAUUUCACCACUAUGCAAUAUAUCCAUGUAACACAACUGCACUUCCAUCCCUAAAUCCAUAGAAAUAAAAAAAAAUUAUAAAUAAAUAAACUCUUUUGUUAAAAAUGAAGAUACAAACAUACACAUAUUAGCCAGGUCUAUACAGGAUGAGGAUAGUCAGUAUCACUGUCUUCCACCCUCAUAUCUUGUCCCACUCGAAGAUCUUCAGGUGCAAAAGCAUGCAUGGUGCUGUCAUCUGCAAUGAUAAUGAUGCCUUUUUUGGAAUACUUCCUGAAGGAUGUGCCUAAAGCUGUUUUACAGCUAACUUUUGAAAAUAUAAGUAGAAGUAGUAUACUCUAAAAUAAUGAUGAGUUGAUGGGUGCAGCAAACCAACAUGGCACAUACCUAUGUAUCAAACCUGCACGUUGGGCACAUGUACCCUAGAACUUAAAGUAUAAUUAAAAAAAAAACUGUAAGUAUAGUAAAUACAUAAACCAGUAACAAAGCCAUUUAUUCUCAUUAUCAAGUUGUAAGUAUUGUACAUCAUUGAAUGUGCUAUGCUUUUAUGUGACCAGCAGUGCGGUAGUUUUGUUUAUAACAGCAUCACCACAACACGUGUGAGUAAUGCAAUGUGCUAUGACAUUACAACAGCUAUGACAUCACUAGGUGAUAGGAAUUUUUCAGCUCCAUUAUAAUCCUGUGGGACCACUAUCCAUACGCAGUCUAUCAUUUACCAAAACAUCUUUAUGGGGCUCAUGACUGUACAUGCUGAUUUUAUCUCACAAACCUUUUCUUCUUCUAUUAUAUCAUAAGACUAUUUUAAAGAAAAUUCCACCUGUGUCAUAACUCAAAUAAAACUGGAAGUUAAGGCAUUUAAUCAAAAAGAAAAUAAGGAAGGAAAUGUUAAAAAACUGCAUUAGUUUUCUAUUGCUGGGUAACAAAUUACCAAAAUCUCAGUGGCUCAAAAUGAAAUAAAUUUAUUAUCGCACAGUUCUGUGAGUCAGAAGUCCUGGUAGUCUUGACUGGCUUCUCUGCUCCAGGUUUCAAAAGGCUGAAAUCAAAAGUGUAAGCUGGUCUGUGUUCUUAUCUGACGGUUCUAGGGGAAAAUUCUCUUUCAUGCUAAUUUCAGCUGUUGGCAGGAUUCCAUAUAACUAUAGGACUGAGGUCACCGUUUCCUUGCUGGCUGCUGGUGAGACGUUGCUUUUAUCUUUCAGAGACCAUCCACAUUUCCUGAAUCGUGACUCCUUUCAUCUUCACUGUCAGCAUGGUGGGUUGAGUCCUUCUAAAGCUUCAAAUCUCUCUGAUUUCUCCUUCUGCUUUAUAUUUCCUGUUUUUAGCCUGAGAAGAUUUUCUGCUUUUAAGGGCUCAUGUGAUUAGAUUGAGCCCAUCCAGAUAAUCCAGGAAAAUCUCCUUAUUUUAAGAUUUGUACCCUUAAUUACCAAAACACAUUCCCUUUUGCUAUGUAAGAUAACAUAUUCACAAAUUCUGAGAUUCAGGCAUAGUUAUUUUUGGAGAGGGUGUACUUGGUCUCUCAUCAUAACCUACCCAAGACAAAACAGCCAAUAAACAGUUUAGUAGUUUAUUAAAAUCUUGGGCUCUUCUCUCUUAUCUAUAGCACUUUCCACUAUAUUUUGCUAUACUGUCAGUCAUUUUCUUUCCAGAUUGGUUAACAAAGGACCACUAAAUCACCAUUACUGUACUGGGUGGUAAAUAUUAUAUCUUGAGAAUAAGAAAUGUUGUUGAAAAUGUAAAGAUUAGGAACUUUUAUUAAGAAUUCCAAGAAAUUACUCUGCCGAGCUGUUAUGGGGAAAAAAUAAUUCCGAGGAUCUAGGGGCUUCUAAAUAAUGUCUUGCUCUCGGGAAAGAGAUCUGCCCUUUUUUUUAGUCAGAAGCUCACAAUUCUAAUUACAUAAAACUAGUCGGUAAAGGAAACUUCAUUUUCUUAUAAUAAGAUAUUAUGUUUUCUGAUAGGACAAAAUAUUGACUAGGAAAAUUAUCUGAAAUCAGCCAGGAUGUCAUGAAUGCCUUCCCACUUGAUAAGGUAUUUUAAGGGGCUCAGUCUGGUUAGUUUCUCUUACUGUAUGAAACAACCAACAAGCUAUCAUUUUUUCUUUCUAAUUUAAAUUCCAUGUGCAGGCUACACACACAACACACACACAACAGACACACACACACACACACACACUCACUUUCUGUCUCUCUUUCUCUCACUCAUGUAGAAUCUUCAGAAGUUGGCCUCCUAUUCUAAGGCUAGUGCAUAGAAUCAAGAGAUCUGAGCUCUUGUCCUGAAUGUGCCACUUUCUGUGUGACUUCAGGCCAAUCACUCAGUCUCUCUGCAGCUCAGACUCCCAAUCUCUAAGCUAAAGGGAGUUAUCUAGAUGAUAUUUAAUGUUCACAAUAGCUCUGGUUUUCUAUGAAUCAAUCAUCUUAAAUAUUCAAAUGAAAUAUCCUUGGCAUCCUAGCCAUUUUAUCCACUUUAUAAAGUGCUGUUUUGAUAGGAGAUUCUAUGCAUCUUUAAUGGGAUUUUGAGAGAUCUUCAAAGCCAAACUUUGAAUGUUUUGAAUUUAAAAUUCAAUUUGUCUUUUAUACAACUAAAUUAUUGCUAUUGGUCUUAUUGCUAUAUUUUCAACAAAGAGGAUGCUUCCUGAACAAUGAGGUCUACACUAUUGUUAAAGAGUUGCUCUCUAACCUGAGAACUCUUUUGGAAGCUGAACUGCCUUUGGAAGGAAUUUAAUAACUCUUAUUUAAAAUUUUUUAGUUAUGUUAGAAGAUGGAGGUAAAGAUAAAUAGGCUAAAAACCGUAGUUCCAAAGCCUUCUACUCUUAUUUUAAAUGGCAUUGGAAAUCUUAGAUCAAAUUUCUAAUGGGAAGAUGGAAUAGGAGGGCUAAUCCCUGGUCUCUCCAUUUAAUGAACUAGUAAGAUGUUUGUGAGAACGACAUCAAUGUGAUAAUUUUUAGUUCAAAUAGGCUAACUUCUGUUUCAAGCCAACCCCAAAAUUUCAGUGGCUUCACACAAAAGGGUAUUUGUUUACUGAAUUCCUGUUGUGGAGGGUGAUGGGGUAGGAGGACUUCUGCUCUACACAGUUAUUCAGGGGCACAGGCUGCUAGCAACUCUGAAUCUUCAGUAGAUGAUUCCCAAGGUCACCCUGGGAGUCAGUGUACAGACAGCAUACUAGAAAAUAGAAUGGAAGAUGGCAAGCACAGUAUUUUAAUGGGUCAAGCUUGAAAGACCAUACAUUAUUUUCCUUUACACACCUCUGGUUAUAAAUCAUUUGUAUGGCCACACUUUACUGCAAAGGAGGCUGGGAAAUGCAGUCCAGUUAUGUACUCAGAAAGAAGAGGAAAUGUGGUUAAUGAGCUCUAUAGAGAUCACUUUUAUACAUUAUUUUAACUAGUGAAAAUGACAAGCUUGCAAAUGCUGAAAUUCAGAGAAUUCAUAUUUGCAGUUAGUUUGGGAUCUUUAUAGUAUUUAAUUCCUAUUUUCUAACAAAAUUGUUUAAGAUGUAUAUUGAUAUUAUAUUGAGGUAUAACUUACAUAGCAUAAAAUCCACCCAUUAUAAGUGCACAAUUCAAUAAUUUUUAGUAAACUUUUACAGCUGUGCAAUCAUCACCACAAUUCAGUUUUAAAAUGUUUCUAUCAUGCAAAAAUGUUCACUUGUACCUAUAUGUAGUCCAUUCCUGCUCCCAUCUCCAGUCCCAAGCAACCACUGAUGUGCUUUCUCUCUCUGUAAUUUUGCCUUUUCUAAAACUGCAUUAUAAAUGAAAUCAUAUAAUAUGUUGUCUUACAUCUGCCUUCUUUCACUUAAAAUAAUGUUUUGGAAGUUCACCCACACUCCUGCAUGUGGAUGUCAGCAGUUGAUUCUUUUCUACUGCUUAUUUGGAUGUACCACAGUUUACCUAUUCACCAGUUGAUGGACAUUUGGAUUGGCUACAGAUUGGGGUUGUUGAAAAUAAAGGUGUUAUGAACAUUUUUAUACAAGCCUCGUGUAAAUGUGUAAAUAAAUGAUUUCAUUUAUUUUAGGUAGAGACCUGGGAGUAGAAUUGCUGGGUCAAAUGCUAACCCGAUGUUUAAGAUUUUAGAAACUGAAACUGUUUUUCAAAGUGGCUGCACCAUUUUACAUUCUUCCUAGCAAUACGUAAGGGUUCCAGUUCCUUCGCAUCCUCGCCAGCACUUGGCUUUGUGUGUCUUUUUUAUUAUAGUAAUUCUACAAGUGUCUUGUAGCUUUAAUGCGUUUCCUUUUGGAAUUUGAAACUUGGUGUCCCAGUGGUAUAUGCAGGAUAUAAUCGUAACAGGUUUAUAGGUAUUUACAUCGUCAUUACAACACUCAAAGAACAUAGCUACAUAUAGGCAACCAUAUUCUAUUUCACCAUUGCCAGGAAUUUGGCUAGUCCUAUACGUACUAAAGUGUUUUGCUACAAUAAAUCUGUAUCAGUCAGUGUUCUCCAGAGAAUCAAAACCAGUGGAUUUUGUGUGUGUGUGCAUGCGCAUGUGUGUGUGUGUAAUUUAUUUCAAUAGUUUAUUUCAAGGAAUUGGUUUACACAAUUGUGGAGUCUGGAAAAUAAAAAACGGGUCGUGUGGGUUGGAAACCUGGCAGGCUGGAAACUUUAAGUUAGAAGCUGAUAGAAUACUUGUAGAAUAAUUUCUUCUUUCUCAGGGAACCUCAGUUGUUCUCUUAAGGCUUUUCAAGUGACUGGGUGAGGCCCACCCACAUUAUUGAGGAUAAUAUUUCUUAAGGUCAACCAAUUACGAAGGUUAACCACAUCGUUAAAAUACCUUCACAACAACACCUAGUGUUUGAAUAAUUGGGUAUUGUAGUCUCGCCAAGUUGACACAUAAAACAAACCAUCACAGUAUCUAUUGAAGGAAAAAUUGAAGUGCAAAAGAUUAUUCAUUUCCUAAUAGCUAAAGUAAAUCUUUCAAAGACAAUACCUAGUUUGGCUGUAAAAAACAAUAAAGGACAUUUUUUUUCUACAGGGACAAGUUUUCAAAAAAGAAACGUUAAUUGGUUCCCAAUAAUUAUUAUUUUCAAGGCUAUUGAUGUAAGACCAUAUUAAUAAAUCGUGGUCAAAUUUUAGGGAGAAGGGCCAAGAUGGCCAACUAGAAACAGCUGUGGUUGGUGGCUCCCACAAAGAAGAACCAAAACGAUGAGUGAAUCCUGCACUGGCAACUGAGGUAUCCAGGUUCUCUCAUUAGGACUGACUAGGUGGUUGUCGCAACCCACAGAGAGCAAGGAAAAGCAGGGUGGUGUGAUGACCCACCUGAGAGCCACAUGGGGCAAGGGAAGCUCUCACUCCCAGACAAGGGAGGAGGUGAGUGAUCAUGCUACCCCCCAUCCCCAGGAAAAAAAUGCUUUUUCCAUGAAUCUGUGCAACCCAACCAAUGGAUUGCACAGAGGAGAUCCCCCCUCGUGAGCCCACGCCACUAAGGCCUUGGGUCCCAAGCACAGAGCUGUGCAGAUUCUCAGAGACCACCUGGCUGGAGACUGUCUAAGACUACCAAGUUCCACAGAGGAGGGGCAGCCAUCAUCACUGUGGCUGUCUUUUGCCUAAGACAGCUGAGCUCCCCAGGGGAGGGGUGACAGCCAUCACUGCAGCUCCAGUCUGCCAUCUUUCCCCUGCCAGUGCUGGGGAGACUAGACACUUUGGACCCAGGAGGAAUUCCCCACAGCACAGCACAGUGGCUGUGGCAGACAGUGGCCAGACUGCCUCUUUAGGGUGGACUCUGACCCAUCCCUCCUCACUACGCUGGGCCUCCCUGCAGAAAUUUUAGCAAUUUCAGCCAGGAGUUUAGGGACAGAACUCUGAUCUCCCUGGGACCGAGCCUCUGUGGGGAGGAGUGGCCAUGGUCUCCAUGGAUCAACAGACAUACUGUUUUCUCCAGCUGGCUUUGAGGGAUCUGGGCAGUCCAGACAAGUGGGAUUGCCUCCAGCACAGUGCACCCCCUCCUCCAAGGGGCAGACAGAGUGCUUCAUUAAGCGGGUCCCAGAUCCUAUGCCUCCUGACCAGGCGAGACCCCAAAACAGAGGUCACUAGAUACCUUAUACAAGAGCAUUCCUGCUGUCAUCAAGUUGGUACCCCUCUGGGAUGGAGCUCCCAGAGGAAGAAGCAGGUGGCCAUUUUUGCUGUUCUGCAGCCUCCACUGGUUAUAUCUCCAGGCGUGGGAGGGGCCUGGGUGAAUAGGGUCUGGAGUGGACCCCCAGCAAAGCGCAGGAGCCCUAUGGGAAAGGGACCUGACUGUUAAAAGAGAAGCAAAUGAAAGCAACAACAACAGCAGCAUCAACAAAAAAAGUCUCCACAAAAACCCUAUCCAAAGGUGAGCAGCCCCAAAUAUUGCAGCUAGAUAAACUUAUGAAGAUGGGAAAGAACCAAUGAAAAAGUGCUAAAAGCUCAAAAAGCCAGAGUGCUUUCUCACCAUCAAAUGAUAGCAACACCUUUACAGCAAGGGCACAGAACUGGGCAGAAGCUGAGAGAGAUGAAUGGACAGAAGUAGACUUCAGAAAGUGGGUAAUAACAAACUUUGCUGAGCUAAAGGAACAUGUUCUAAGCCAAUUCAAAGAAGCUAAGAACCACGAUAAAGCAUUACAAAAGUUGCUAAUCAGAAUCACCAGUUUGGAGAGGAACAUACAUAAAUGACCUGAUGGAGCUGAAAAACACAACAUGAGAACUUCACAAUGCAACCACAAGUAUCAAUAGCUGAAUAGACCAAGUAAAGGAAAGAAUUUCAGACCCUGAAGACUAUCUUGCUGAAAUAAGAUAGGCAGACAAGAUUAGAGAAGAAAGAAUGAAAAGGAAUGAACAAAACCUCUGAGAACUAUGGAAUUAUGUAAAAAGACUGAACCUAGGGCUGAUUGGGGUACCUGAAAAUGAUGGAGAAUGGAACCAAGUUGGAAAACAUACUUCAGGAUAUCAUCCAGGAGAACUUCCCCAACCUAAAAAGAAAGGCCAACUUUCAAAAUCAAGAACUGCAGAGAACCCCAGUAAGAUACUCCACAUGAAGAUCAACCCGAAGACACAUAAUCAUCAGAUACUCCAAAGUCGAAAUGAAGGAAAAAAUGUUAAGGGAAGCCAGAGAGAAAGGCCAGGUCACCUACAAAUGAAAACCCAUCAGAUUAACAGUGGACCUCUCAGCAGAAACCCUACAAACCAGAAGAGAUUUGGGGGUAAUAGUCAACAUUCUUAAAAUAAUUUCUAAACUAGAAUUUCAUACCUGGCCAAAGUAAGUUUCAUAAGGGAAGGGGAAAUAAAAUCCUUUACAGACAAGCAAAUGCUGAGGGAAUUUGACACCACCAGGCCUUCCUUGAAAGAAUUCCUUCAGGAAGUACUAAAUAUGGAAAGGAAAAACCAUUACCAGACCUUGUAAAAACACACUGAAGUACAAAGACCAAUGAUACUAUAAAGCAACUACAUCAACAAGUCUGCAAAACAACCAGCUAGCAUCAUGAUGACAAGAUCAAAUUCACACAUAACAAUUUUAACCUUAAAUGUAAAUGGGCUUGGCUGGGUGUGGUGGCUCAUGCCUGUAAUCCCAGGACUUUGGGACAGAAGCAGGCAGAUCACUUGAAGUGAGGAGUUUGGGACCAGCCUGGCCAAUAUGGCAAAACCCCGUCUCUACUAAAAGCACAAAAACUAGCCAAGUGUGGUAGUGGGCGCCUGUAAUUCCAGCUACUUGGGAGGCUGAGGCAGGAGAAUUGCUUGAACUCAGGAGGCAGAAGUUGUAGUCAGCCGAGAUGGUGCCACUGCACUCCAGCCUGGGUGACAGAGUGAGACUCCAUCUGAAAAAAAUAAAAUAAAAUAAGAAAAAAACAUGUAAAUGGGCUAAGUGCCCUAAUUAAAAGACACAGAAUGGGAGAUUGGGUAGAGUCAAAACCCAUUGGUUUGCUGUAUUCAAGAGACGCAUCUCACAUGCAGACACACAUAAUAAAGGGAUGGAAGGAAAGUUAUCAAGCAAAUGGAAAGCAGAAAAAAGCAGGGGUUGCAAUCCUAGUGUGUGACAAAACAGACUUCAAACCAACAAAGAUCAAAAAAGAGGAAGAAAAGCAUUACAUAAUGGUAAAGGGAUCAAUUCAACAAGAAGAGCUAACUAUCCUAAAUAUACAUUUGGCCAAUCCAGGAGCACCUAGAUUCAUAAAACAAGUUCUUAGAGACCUUCAAAGAGACUUAGACUCCCACAAAGUAAUAGUGGGAGACUUUAACACUCCACUGUCAAUAUUAGACACAUCAUCAAAACAGAAAAUUAACAAGGAUAUUCAGGACAUAAACUCAAACUCUGGAUCAAGUGGAACUGAUAGAUAUCUACAGACUUCCUCCCAAAAACAACAGACUACACGUUCUUCUCGGUGCCACAUGACACUUACUCUAAAAUUGAUCACAUAACUGGAAGUAAAACACUCCUCAGCAAAUGCAAAAGAACUGAAAUCAUAACAAACAGUAUCUCAGACCACAGCACAAUCAAAUUAGAACUCAAGAUUAAGAAGCUCACUCAAAACCAUAAAACUACAUGGAAAUUGAACAACUUGCUCCUGAAUGACUCCUGGAUAAAUAAUGAAAUUAAGGCCAAAAUCAAGUUCUUUGAAAACAAUGAGAACAAAGGGACACUGUACCAGAAUCUCAGGGGCACAGCUAAAGCAGUGUUAAGUGGGAAAUUUAUAGCACUAAAUGUCCACAUCAAAAAGCUAGAAACAUCUCAAGUUGACAACCUAACAUCACAACUAAAAGAGCUAGAUAACCAACAGCAAACAAACCCAAAAGCUAGCAGAAGAAAAGAAAUAACCAAGAUCAGAGUAGAACUGGAGAUAGAAACAUGAAAGAACCUUCAAAAAAAUCAAUGCAUCCAGAGGCUUGUUUUUUAAAUUAAGAGAAGAGAUAGAUCACUAGCUAGACUAAAAAAGAAGAAAAGAGAGAAGAAUCAAACAGACACAAUAAAAAAUGAUAAAGGGGAUAUCACCACUUACCCCACAGAAAUACAAACAACCAUCAGAGAAUACUACAAACACCUCUACACAUAUAAACUAAAAAACCUAGAAGAAAUGGAUAAAUUCCUGGACACAUACACCCUCCCAAGACUGAACCAUGAAGAAGUUGAAUCCCUGAAUAGACCAAUAACAAGUUCUGAAAUUGAGACAGUAAUCAAUAGCCUAGCAAGCAAAAAAAAAAAAAAAAAAAAGUCCAGGACCAGAUGGAUUUACAGCUGAAUUCUAUCAGAGGUACAAAGAGGAGCUGGUACCAUUUCUUCUGAAACUAUUCCAAACAAUUAAAAAGGUGGGGAUUUAAACUCAUUUUAUGAGAGUACAAUUAUCCUGACACCUAAACCUGGCAGAGAUACAGCAAAAAAAGAAAACUUCAGGCCAAUAUCCUUGAUGAACAUCAGUGCAAAAAUCUUCAAUAAAAUACUGGCAAACCAAAUCCAGCACCACAUCAAAAAGCUUAUCCAGCAAAAUUAAGUUGGCUUUGUCCCCAGCAUGCAAGACUGGUUCAACAUAUGCAAACCAAUAAACAUAAUUAAUCAUAUAAACAGAACUAAAGACAAAAACCACAUGAUUAUCUUAAUAGAUGCAGAAAAGGUCUUUGAUAAAAUACAAUAUCCCUUCAUGUUAAAAAAUCUCAAUAAUCUAAGUAUUGAUGGAACCUACUUCAAAAUAAAAAGAGCCAUUUAUGACAAACCCAUAGCUAAUAUUAUAUCAAAUGGGUAAAAGCUAGAAGCAUUUUCCUUGAAAAUCAACACAAAAAAAGGAUGCCCUCUCUCACCACUCCUAUUCAACACAGUAUUGGAAGUUCUGACCAGAACAAUCAGGCAAGAGAAAGAAAUACAAGGUAUUCACAUAGGAAGAGAGGAAGUCAAACUGUCUCUGUUUGCAGAUGACAUAAUACUGUAUCUAGAAAACCCAUCAUCUCAGCCCAAAGGCUUCUUAAGCUGAUAAGCAACUUCAGCAAAAAUCCCAAGAUACAAAAUCAAUGUGCAAAAAUCACAAGUAUUCCUAUACAUGAAAAACAGACAGUCAAAUCAUGAAUGAACUCCCAUUCAUAAUUACUACAACAAGAAUAAAAUACCUAAGAAUACAGCUAACAAGGGAAGUGAAGAACCUCUUCAAGAAGAACUGCAAACCGCUGCUCAAGGAAAUAAGAGAGGACACAAACAAAUAGAAAAACCUUCCAUGCUCAUGGAUAGGAAGAAUGGAUAUCGUGAAAAAGAUUAUACUGCCCAAAGUAAUUUAUAGAUUCAAUGCUAUUUCCAUUAAACUACCCCUGACAGAAUAGAAAAAUAACUACUUUAAAAUUCAUAUGGAACUAAAAAAGAGCCCAUAUAGCCAAGACAAUCCUAAGGGGAAAAAAAAAAAAAAAAAAAGCUGGAGGCAUCACACUACCUGGCUUAAAGCUAUACUACAAGGCUACUGUAACCAAAACAACAUGGUACUGGUACAAAAACAGACACAUAGACCAAUGGAACAGAAUAGAGAUCUCAGAAAUAAGACUGCACACCUACAACCAUCUGAUCUUCAAACCUGACAAAAACAAGCAAUGGGGAAAGGAUUCUCUAUUUAAUAAAUAGUGCUGGGAAAACUGGCUAGCCAUAUGCAGCAAAUUGAAACUGGGCCCCUUCUGUACAUCUUCUACAAAAAUUAACUCAAGAUGGAUUAAAGACUUAAAUGUAAAACCUAAAACUAUAAAAAUCCUAGAAGAAAAUGUUGGCAAUACCAUUCAGGACAUAGGCAUGAGCGAAGAUUUCAUGAUAAAAACAUCAAAAGCAAUUGCAGGAAAGGCAAAAGUUUGCAAAUGGGAUCUAAUUAAGCUAAAGAGCCUCUGCACAGCAAAAGGAACCAUCAUCAGAGCGAACAGACAACUUACAGAAUUGGAGGAAAUUUUUGCAAUCUAUACAUCUGACAGAGGUUUACUAUCCAUCAUCUACAAGGAACUUAUACAAAUUUACAGGAAAAAAAAACAAACAACCCCAUUAAAAAGUGGCCAAAAGACAUGAAGAGAACUUCUCAAAAGAAGACAUUUAUACAGCAAACAAGCAUAUGAAAACAAAGCUCAACAUCACUUAUCAUUAGAGAAAUGCAAAUCAUAACCACAAUGAGAUACCAUCUCAUGCCAGUCAGAAUGGCAAUUAUUAAAAAGACAAGAAACAACAGAUGCUGAAGGGGCCGUGGAGAAAUAGGAAAGCUUUUACACUUUUGGUGGGAAUGUAAAUUAGUUCAAGCAUUCUGGAAGACUGUGGCAAUUCCUCAAAGACCUAGAGACAGAAAUACCAUUUGACUCAGCAAUUCCAUUACUCGGUAUAUACCCAAAGAAAUAGAAAUCAUUCUGUUAUAAAGAUACACGCACAUGUAUGUUCAUUGCAGCACUAUUCAAAAUAGCAAAGACAUGAAAUCAACCCAAAUGCCCAUCAAUGAUAAACUGGAUAAAGAAAAUGUGUUACGUAUAUGCCAUGGAAUACUAUGCAGCCAUAAAAAGGAAUGAGAUCAUGUCCUUUGCAGGGACAUGGAUGGAGCUGGAAGCCAUUAUCCUCAGCAAACUAACGCAGUAACAGAAAGCCAAACACUGCAUUUUCUCUCUUAUAAAUGGGACCUGAACAGUGGGAACACAUGGACACAGGGAGGGAACAACACACACUGGGACCUGUUGGAGUGGCAGGGGGAGGGAGAGCAUCAGGAUAAAUAGCUAAUGCAUACUGGACUUAAUACCUAGGUGAUGGGUUGAUAGGUGCAGCAAACCACCAUGAAACACUUUUAUGUAUGUAACAAACCUGCACAUCCUGCAUGUGUAUCCUGGAAUGUAAAAUAAAAUAAAAUAAAAAAUAAAUAAUUCAUGGAUAGUGCAUCACAGAAAUGUCAAAGUGGUUAAGCUGAGAGUGCUAGACUAAAAGACAGCCAAAACAUACAUCAGGAAGGAGUGGAACCUAAAAUAUGCUACAUCCCCUGCACCUAUGCUCUUCAACCAACUGAAUAAUUUGACUUCUGCUGUAAGAAGAAGGUAAAAAUCUUGAUAGAGUCAAUACAACCAAAGGGAUGAUUAUUUGAAAGCACCCAAAUAUUGUAUUAAUAAAAUGAUUUAUGUAGAACAAGUAUCACAUAAACUUGGAGAUAAUUAGUGAGCAUUUAGCCAUGCUCACUAAUGCCUUUAAAGUGAUUUACAUACGAUGAAGCACUUUAAAUCGUCUUGUACUAGAUGAUUCCACUUAUACCUUAUAAUCAUAUGAAGAAAUAUCUACAGAAGCAAAAGUAAUGGCUAUUUAAGGCAACUCUACAUAAAGUUUAAAAUCAAAGGAUUAUAUGUGUUUUUCAUUUGCCACCAUUAUCACUUAUGUUGACCAUAUUUGUAUUAGUCAAGGUUCUCCAGAGAGACAGAACUAAUAGAAUAUAUAUGUAGAUAUAUGACAGGGGAUUUAUUAGGGAAAUUGACUCAUGCAAUUAUGGAGGUUGAAAAGUACCAUGUCAGGUCAUCUGCAAAAUGGAGACCCUGGGAUGCCGGUAGCAUGGCCCAGUACAAGCCCAAAAACCUCAGAACCAAGGAAGCAGAUGGUGUAACACUCAGUGUGAGGCUGAAGGCCUGAGAACCUGGGGCGGGGGGCGGGGGGCACAAGUGGAAGUCCUGGAGUCCACAGACCAGAAAGCCUGGAGUUGUGUUGUCCAAGGACAGGAAAGGAAGAGUGUAUUCCAGCUCUAGCAGAUAGAUUACACUCCAUGUUUCUUCUGUUUUUUUUCUCUCCUGGUCCCCACUGGAUUGAAAAGGGUAGAUCUUUCCCACCUAGUCCACUCAGAGUCACAUGCUAAUAAGAACUUAGCAUGUGGAAGAAUUUACUUUAGGAAUAUUGAUUAAUUUUAAUUCCUUAAUCCAGUCAAGUUGGCUGGAUUAAAGAAUUAAAAUUAAUCAAUAUUCCUAAAGUAAGUUAUUCCAUUCAUUUUUGUCUUUGGAGACUCAGCGUUUAAGUUUGCAUUGAGAGAAAAUGCUAAGAGGAACAAAAAUCACAUAUGGAAGAAUCAAGUUUUAGUUGACAGAGGUGUCAGCAAAAAUUAUUUUCAACUCUUUUUUUCUUUGGUUUAUAAUGUUUUACCUCCAUUUAAGAACUCUAUUCUGAGGCUGGGAUGGAACUAUGCCUCUAAUGGGCAAAAUUUUCACUGAUUAAUGAACAAUGACAUCAUUCAUAACACAUGAUUAUUCUGCUACCUUCAUAAAACACUAUACCAAAAUCCUCUAGCCAAUUACACACAAUUUGUGGUGUUUUUCUAUGAUAAUUAAAUUUUUUUAAUUUAAAAAGAUAGAAAUCUAAAAAUCUAAUUAUAACCAUGUGGAAAGCCUGAUAAAUAAAACGCAAUAAAAAACAAGUGAAUCCGUCCUGAAUAUAUGUUAGCACAGAACAACAGUUGAGUAUAAGAUUCUUGGUCACCAACUGUAUUGUUCUACACGUGCCUUCGAUAUCUUUUUAAAAAGCUCCUAGAUCUUUGUUUCUCUAUCUCAGAAAUCUCUAUCAAUGACAAAUUCAGACCCUGGUAAGCCUUUAUUUAGACUACUUAUUACGGUUCUUUUCUUUCUUUCUCUCUUUUCUUGCUUUCUCUCUCUCUUCCUUUCCUUUCUUUCUUUCUUUUCUUUUCUUUUUUCUUUUUUUCUUCUUUCUUUUCAAGACAGGGUUUUACCUUGUCACCCAGGCUGGAAUGCAGUGGUGCAAUCACAGCUCACUGCAGAAUCAAACUCCUGGGCUCAAGUGAUCCUCCUGCCUCAGCCUCCAUGCCCAGCUAAUUUUUUAAUUUUUUGUAGGGACCAAGGUCUCUGUUGCCCAGGCUGGUCUUGAAAUCCUGGGCUCAAGCCAUUCCCCUAAUCUUGGCCUCCCAAGGUGCUGGGACCACAGGUAUGGGCCACCAUGCCCAGCCUGGUUCUGUAUUUUAACAUGAAUUUUGGAAAAAUAAUUUAAAAGGGAUAUGAGUAGAAGGGAACUUUGUUCUAAAAGCUUUGCUGUAAAUUACUUUUUAGUUAGUAAAUAUUGCUAAGGCCAUUAGCAUAAUGCCAAAUAGUCUAUAGAAAGUCUUUAUCCAAUAUGUUCAUGAUCUAAAUUUAAGGAUGCAGGAUUUUUUGAAUCACGCUUGUAUUCACAAGCUUUACAGGAUAAGAGCUAUUAUCUAGCUGAUGUCCAGUAAUAUUUAGUGCUAGUGGGCACGUGUAUUUCAAUGAUUUGUUGCUAUGCUAUUUUGACAUUCUUGUUUUUCUUUCUAGCAUUGAGAAAUCUAGAAAAAAUUUCAUUGUUUUGUAGGGAGAGUUAUUAAUUGUUAAUAUUAAUUAAUGAAUUUAAAAUGGAUACAUGAAGUGUAAGAAAAUAAUGAUUCUAUGAGUAGCCACCAGGCUUCUUGCUCUUAGUCUAUUUCUUUGUCAUUUCAGUAAACACUUUUUAGAUUUGAAAAAAAAAAACCCUUUAAACUACAUAGUCACCUAGAACAUACCACUUUUCCUCUGACUUUAAUUCAGGAGGCUAGAAAGGAAACAAUUUCUGCCUGAGUAACAGAAACUUAACACCACUUUAUUUCUUAGGAUUCACAAAGUUAACUCAUUAGCUGUCUAAACCCCUGAAAUCAGUCACCUAGAAUAGUUUGUGGAGCCAAAGAGAUGCUUUCACUAUAAGAUUUGCUUCUGGUGAUUAUUAAUACCCUAAAAUUCUUUUUGUUUCCAGUUUAAAUAAAAGAUUAACCAUGAUAUAUAUGAUAAAUAUGGUAAUUUAAAAAAUCCCAUGAAACUGACUCUGAAAAGAACAUUUUCAAUAUUUCUUAAUGGAUUUUUAAAAGUCUCAAUGACCCUGAACAUACUUAGCCUUUACCCAUUUGCAAAUGACCUGGCCACAUCUCUUCUACAUGCAUUAGCUUACAGUUCAAUUUUUAUUCAUUAUUCUUCUUUAAUGAGAUUAGAAAAGUUGGCUUUGGCUUCUAUAAGCUGGAAAAUCUGAAUAAGGAAUAUGACUAAAGACAAAAGAAAAUAAGAAAAAAUCUCUAUAUCAAGAAUUUGGAAAUAGUUUCCAACUUAUAUCUACUGAUAGAAUAUUCUACUUUUCAAUGAUACAUUACUUAAGAUAAUUCAGGCAGAACUUUCAGUUCCUGAGCACAGUGGCCUCCUGUUUUCUAUUUCUUAUGAUAAAUUAUCCCAGGAUUUCAAAAAAAAAAAAGUUUGUAACUCAUAUUAAUAAAAGAAAUAGCUGACAUAUCUGGGAUCAUUAGGAAAGUUUAGUGAUUUACUGAAUAACAUACAGGAUACUAGUAGUCAGGCUGGUUUGCUCACAAAACCCCGUGACAGGCUUUAGGGUUUGUUCUAAUAUUAAUAUCAUUUAUUUCCCUAAAUAAUUUAUCUCAUUUAAUCUCAUCACACACCCCAUUAGGCAAGUAUUAUUGUUUUGAUCUUUAAACAUGAGGAAAGAGAAAUUAAUGUCAUAUGAUCUGUCCGGGUGGUAAUGCUCUUAAUAGUCCACUAAGGCUCUAGCUUGGGCCUGUGCAAUGCCAAAUCCACUAACCUUCUUUUAGUCUAUUGCUAACUAGGCAGUUGGAGAGAUGUCAUAUUCUAGACUAUCUGGAUUUUCAGAAUGCACAUAGAUCAUUUUUCUCAUGACACUGUUUCUAACUGGGGAUGGACUAUCUGUAAAGAUAAAAAUAAAUAUGAGAGUAUAAUGUGGGAUGUAACUAGGAUGUACAAAGAUGGGUAGGGAUUCAUGUACAGGUGCCAGCCUGAGAAAGAUUUCUGUAGAUGAUACUGAAGUGGUCUUAUGUUGCUUCUGUCCUAUGCAACAUACUUAGUAACAAUGUGCUAUAGUAAGUUGAGAAUAUAUUGAUGUGAUAAUUUUCGCUCUCUUGGAACCGUAAAUUAAACUAUUUCAUUUGUUCAGAACAUGGACCCACACUUUUCUGCCUACUUCACUUCUCAGUUUCCAUUUUUUAGAUAUAGCUUAAAUAUUACUUCCUCUAGGAAGUCUUUUCAGAAUCUCCUACCCCUAAACUAUGGCAGAGUCCCAUGUUACACAGUUUUAUAACAAACUAUUUUCCUUCACGGUACUUAAUAACAAUUUUACUGAUAUUAACAUUGUUAUCAUAAUUUUCAUACCACCAAUAUAAACUGCAUGGUUUUAUAUAUUUUCCCUAUAUCUGACACCUUAGAGGUAUUUCACAGUCUUAGGGUCUGGCAAAGACUAAACCGGGAGUGGAAAAUUACAUAUAGGACUCACAGAUAUAAAAAGAGUGCUCACUGGAGAUGGGAAAGGGAUGCUAAUGCAGUUUAUACUCCAUUGUAUUAGUCUGUUCUCACACUGCUAUGAAGAAAUACCCAAGACUGGGUAAUUUAUAAAGAAAAGAGGUUUAAUUGACUCACAGUUCCACAUGGCUGGGGAGGCCUCAGGAAACUUACAGUCAUGGCAGAAGGCACCUCUUCACAAGGCAGCAGGAGAGAGAAUGAGAGCCAAGAGAAGGGGGAAGCCCCUUAUAAAACCAUCAGAUCUCGUGAGAACUCACUCACUAUUACGAGAACAGUACGGGGGAAGCCAUCCCCAUAUUUCUAUUACCUCCACCUGGUCACGCCCUUGACACAUGGGGACUAUUACGAUUCAAGGUGAAAUUUGGGUGGGGACACAGAGCAAAACCAUAUUGUCUAUUAAUAUCAACUGUAGCUCUUUUUUUUUACACUAUUUCCUCAUAUCAACUGAUGAUCAAAUAGAAGUUGAGAAUCAAUCAUUUCAACAAAUAUCAUACUAAAAUUAAAUUUCAAAAGAGUAUGAAGAUAGCUUAGAAGAUUCCUACUGCUAAAUAGAGUGACAUGCUAAGAAAUAUCCAACCAUUUCCCACAUUAGGCUCCAGAGAAUCUUGAGUGAUUUUCACCAUCUUUUCUCGGUGUCAUGGGAAAAACGUAAGUUUUGGAGACAGAUGGUACUGGCAUGAAGUGUCACAUUUUGCCACAUUUUUUACUUAGCCAUUGUCAGGAUUUGCAGAUGCUGUUGCCUCAUCUCUCUAAGCAUCCAUUUUCUUAGCAUGGAUGAAACUGGAGGUCAUUAUGUUAAAUGAAAUAAGCCAGGCACAGAAAGAUAAAUUUCACCUGUUCUCAUUCAUAUGUAAGAGGCAAAAAUUAAAACAAUUAAACUCAUGGAAAAGGACAGUAGAAUGACAGUUACCAGAGACUAGGAAGGGUAGUGGGGAGGGCCAGGGGAAGUGGGGAUGGUUAAUGUGUGCAGAAAUAUAUUUAGAUAGAAUGAAUAAGAUGUAGUAUUUGAUAGCACAACAUGGUGACUAUAGUGAACAAUAUUUAUUUUAUAUUUUGAAAUAACUAAAUGAGUGGAAUUGGAAUAUGCCUAACGCAAAUAAAUGAUAAAUUCUUGAAGUGAUGGAUACGCCAGUUACCCUGAUUAUUACAUAUUGUAUGCCUGUGUCAAAACAUAACAUAUACUCCAUAAAUAUAUAUACAUAUAAUGUAUUUGUAAAAAUUAAAAAUAAAUAAAAUGGGUACAGGAAUGUCUAUAUUAUAGGUUAAUUUUGAAUACUCAAUCCAACAAUAUGUGUAAAAUACACAGCAGAGGUUUUGUAACAUAGUAGACACCCAAAAAUACUAACCUAACUCAUUCCAUCUCAAGGUCCAUGAACUCAGAUAAGGUUCUUGUUUUCAAAAUGUUUAAACUCAUUGAAGAUAAGCAUAUGCACAUUGUUAAAAAUGAUUGUGUUUGGCAUUCUUUAUAUUAGAAAUAACUAAUCAAGAGUUGUGAUUAUUGUCUUAGGAUUUUGAGAUAGAGCUAAGAAAUACUUUAAACCAUACUGAGAAGUGUUUUAUAAAUAAGAAAUUGUGAAAUGACUAUGAAUUCUUAGUUAAGGCUCCCUGAUUAAGCCUUCCCUUUCUUAGGAAUAUCUUUUUUUGAUCCGUAUUCAAAACACCAUCCUCACUUCCUUCUUCACUUUACUAACAAGUUUCUUUAAACAACCAGUAUGUCCUGGAUUUUUACAAUUUUUUUUUGCCAAUGUCCCUAGAUUCUAGGUCUGUCCCUCCAUGUUACUGACAUCAUUCUCUUAAAAAUCAUCUCAAUUGUCAAGUUUAAUGGUGGCUUUCAUGUUCUCAUCCUGUCAGUGUGCCAGAGGAUGUGUAAAAACUUGGAUAAGCAUGAUGCAUCUUCCAGAUUCAUCAAUUUUGCACAGACUCAAGAAACUUAUUUUCUAUCAAAACAAAUAGUUAUGCAGUCAGACACAAAAUUUGUAUGAAAUUUGUCUUAGUCCAUUUUAGUUUGCUUAUAACAGAAUACCAGAAACUGGGCAAUUUUUAAAGAAUAUAAACAUAUUUCUUACAGUUCUGAAAACUGGUAUGUCCAAGGUCAAGAAGCCAGAUCUGGUGAGGGCCUUUUUCUGGUGGGGACUCUGCAGAGCUCCAAGGCGGUGCAAGGCAUCAAAUGGUGAGGAGGCUGAGCAUGCUAGUUCAGGCCUGUCUUCCUCUUCUUAUAAAGCUACCAGUUCCACUCUCAUGAUAGACUAUUAAUUCAUUAAUCCAUGAAUGGAUUAAUCCAUCCAUGAGGGCAUAGCCCUUAUGACACAAUCACCUCUCAAAGGCUCAAUCUCUCAAUACUGCCACAUUGGGGAUUAACAUUCCACAUGAGUUUUGGACAGAAAAAACAAUCAACUGAUUGCAAAAAUAUAUAGGGCAACAGGAGACUUCAAAGAACUGUCAUAAUUACAGAUGGCUGCUCUAAAUCACUCUGACUAAUGCUGUCUUUGUUGACUUCUAUUUUUUACUCUACUCUUCUGGUCCUUCUUCUAUCUCUGAGUGCUUCUCCUCAGAUUCCCUUUCUAGCUCAAUUUACUUCUUACAUUUGGUGUUUCCCAAGACUUGAAUCCUUGUUCAUCUGCUGCUCUUCAAGGCUGGUAGCACAACAUAAUCUGGUAUGUGUAGUGGCAGACAAAGCAGGACAUCAACAUUGACUAUAGCUGUUCCAUAUUUAUUGUUGAGUGACUAGUCAUAAGCCUGAGUAAAUGGAAUUGAACACUGCACAUCUGGCGACUCAAUAUAUGAAGAAGUGCUCAUUAUAAGAUACAGUGCUCUACGUGCACCUCUGAGAAAAAUAGCAUGUAACUGGAAGUAAACAGCUCCUUGACAUUCUAAGAGGAACUUGGUGAACAAACCCAGGGAGACCUGACUUUGGAUGGAAAAUAGGAUGUCAGGCUUCAAACAUCUUGUAUAAGGUGGGGUGAAUUCCCCAAGAAUUGAAGAGUUAUAUAAGAAGGAAAUAUUUAUAUGUACUGCUGCUUUAUUUCUAUUUGUUCCUUCUGCUACCUAAUACACUGAAAUGAUGAAGGACAUCUUAAAGUCUUUUGGCAAAUCCAUUCUCUACUAAGUCCAUAAUCAGGCUAAUAUUGAAGUAUACCAUCACAGAAAAAAGCAGCAUCUCCUAGAGCCAACAAAAAUGCUGAACUGAAGACUCUUACUUGGAAUACACCUUAAUAAGUAAUGAUUAUCACUUGAGCAUCCGCCACCGCAUUUCAGCAGUGACUCUACAAAAACCUUCACCUCAGCAAGAGCACCAAAAGUUCAUCAGAUUGGCAGCACUAUUUUGUCAUUGCAAUAUUUACAAAGUACUCAUGUUUUCCAUAGCGCCAACACUUUACUUUUAUCUUUUAGUACUUGAUAGGAUUUAGUUUACUGGAGUGGCUUAAUGAACAUAUGGAAGUUGACUAAGGACACCUUAGGUUAUCAACUCUUCAUUUUCUUUUCCAUCUCACCCUUGCCCCAUGCCUCCAAAAUGAGAAAAAUAUCUUCCUAAAUUUUAAGAGAAAAUUACUCCAACUUUCCUCUACCUGCUUUUAUCUUCCUGGAACAUACCCUGAGGAAUCUGCUGACAACUCUUUCCUUUUAAUAGCUUGUCCUAAAAUUACAUAUGCUGUAGAUGCUAAUUCCUGGUUUGUGUGAAUUGCUCCUCUCCCAAAAUGCAUUUGUAUCAUGUCUUUGCAGCAAGAAGUGACUAUAUCUCUGUGAAUGCUACAUACAUUACCAUAUUGUAAUUUAACACCAAAGGCAUUAGCUGCACCAACUUUUUAUUUAUUGUGAUCUUGAAAAACACAUGGUCUUCACAUUUUUUGAUGAGGGUCAUUAAAAAAUAUUUAUGGAAUAUGCAUGUCAAUCCCAGAUAUAUUGAAAUGAGUAAACCUUCAUAUUAUGCUGUUGGCUACAUAACAGAGCAAUAGCUGGAACUACUUUGCCUUGGACUCUUAAAACAGGAAAGAUUUUAUAUACUUCAUUGUCCAAAGAGUUAUCUAGAUACCAAGUGAUGUGAAGUGCUCUGACAGUUUCUUGAUUUCAUUCACAUACAUUUCUAAAAACAUUCCCCUUAAGAUGGCUUUCUAUUUUGCAUUUUAUAGAUGUACUUGAAUUUGUAAGUACAGAAUUAGUGCAACUUUUUGCAUAUCAAUCAUAGCUUUUUAAUGUCUGAAUUGGUUUGUGGAUCUUUUGCGAAGUGCAUUCUCUGUGCACUGCAGACCUUGCUGUCAAAAUCAUGCUAUGGUCAGCAUUUAUAUUUGUCCAACUCAGGAAUGCUGUUACUUUAAGAAGCCAUGCUCAUCCCCUUUAAAAAGAUACCAAUGAGUAACAAACUAUUAGGGAUCUAGAACUAGAAAUACCAUUUGACCCAGCCAUCCCAUUACUGGGUAUAUACCCAAAGGAUUAUAAAUCAUGCUGCUAUAAAGACACAUGCACACGUAUGUUUAUUGCAGCACUAUUCACAAUAGCAAAGACUUGGAACCAACCCAAAUGUCCAACAAUGAUAGACUGGAUUAAGAAAAUGUGGCACAUAUACACCAUGGAAUACUAUGCAGCCAUAAAAAAUGAUGAGUUCAUGUCCUUUGUAGAGACAUGGAUGAAACUGGAAACCGUCAUUCUCAGCAAACGCAAGGACAAAAACCAAACACCGCAUGUUCUCACUCAUAGGUGGGAAUUGAACAAUGAGAACACAUGGACACAGGAAGGGGAAUAUCACACACCGCGGACUGUUGUGGGGUGGGGGGAAGGGGGAGGGAUAGCAUUAGGAGAUAUACCCAAUGCUAAAUGAUGGGUUAAUGGGUGCAGCACAGCAACAUGGCACAUGUAUACAUAUGUAACUAACCUGCACGUUGUGCACAUGUACCCUAAAACUUAAAGUAUAUAAAAAAAAGAUACCAAUGAGUUAUACUGAUAGAAAAAGUAAAAAAGAAGAAGUCUACUACUAACUACACAGCUCAGUAUAUUUCCUAUGCUGUCCAUUAGUUCUGUUUUUAUGUAUGUUUGGUUUCUCCAGUGAAUAAAUACAAUCAUGUAAAUUAAGUUUGCUCUUUUUCCAUUUUGCAUGAACAUGAAUUAUUAAUUUAGCAUGGAAUAAUGGACCACACUUGGUAGAUUACUGAAAGAUUUGAAAUUUGAAUUUCAAUCUUACCUCUGACCCUAAAGAGCUCAUGAUCUUGGGUAAGUCUUUUCUAUUCUUUAGGCUUUGUUUUCCUCAAUUCAGUUUUUAGUGCAAUUUAUUAAGAAGUAUGGGAUAUGAGUCCAUCCUCCCUGGAUAGAAAUCCUGGCUUUGCCUCUUACCACAUAAGCGGCCUUAGGUAAGUUACUUACAUGUGCCACAAUGGUGAUAAUAAUCCUACCUUAUAGGGUUGUUGGGAGGAUUAAGUGAGUUUAUUAAGGCAAAUUGAAACAUGACUUGGCACAGGCAAAGUACUCACCAAAUAUUAGAUGUGCUCAUCUGGAAAAUUAGGCUAUUUGACCGGAUAAGAUUUUUAGAGUCAUGCAGUUCUACAAUUCUAUUUCUUUGAUUGUGUAUAAGCUCCUUAAGAACAAGCCUUCUGUGAAAUAGCAUGUUUAGCACAGAAUUUUUCCAAUAGUACAUUCUCAAAAAUAUUUGAUGAAUUAAAUAAAAUUAAUAGAAAAACCUAUGUUAAAGCAAAAAGAUGACUCUUUAUCUACUAUUGCCAGAAAAUUUUUACCCAUGGGUCUUUCAUAAAAAUAUGGAAUUAAAAAAUGCUUUAAAAAAUCACUGCCAAUUAAGACAAACCAUUUUAAUUUGUUGACCAAUCUUCAGAUUCCAAUUUCAAGAUGAAAAUUGAUAUUCUAUUAUAAGUAGAAAUUAGAUUGCCUGAGAAGCAGGGUACUUUAAGAUGUAAUGAAAAGCACAUUUCUUAACCUAUUUAGACAGUUUAAGAUUGAAUACAAAGUACAUUUAGAAAACAACAUGCAAUGCCAAUAGAUGGUAAGCCUGACAUUUGAAACUCACUUUAUUAUUCAUUGCCUUCUCCUGUGGAUAUGAAGUUCCUUUGUGUUCUCUUAAAAAUUUAAACUGUUUUGUUCUGUAACUGACCCGCUGAAGCUGGAUGCUAUGCAAAAGGAUUGCAAAAAGCAAUAGAAGUUGAUAAGAAUGGUUGAAAAAGUCAGUUGAAUACAAAGCCAUCCCUUCUUUGUACCCUCAUCAUAACUAGGAUAUAUGUCUUAUAGUAAUUACCACCUUGUAAUUUUGAUGUGACAGAUUAGCAGGCUGGAGCUACCAAAGUGGUUGACUGAAUUCCUAACUUAAAAAAAAAAAAAGCAGAGUUGGAUGUUGGGACACAAGCGCAUGGGCAUCCUGGUUACCUGGUUAAGAAUAGGCUUCUGAUGGUUUAUUUCUGAUGCUUCCUCAAUAAAAUCUCAUGAAAUAAUUAAUGUUCUUGAAUUAUAAGAAGUUUUGCCUUUAGACCUUUAUCUGGCUACUUUCACAGUUCCAGUAUUCACAGACUGUUGUGGGAAACAGAAAAAUAAAAGGAAUCCAAGAUAGAAAAAUUGCAAUUUUUAGAGAAAGAGGGUAGGUCCAUAUGAGACAUUGAAGUUAAGGGAGUAUGCAUAUGUCUAGUACAGUAGCUCUUAGGAAAUUGGGUAAUUCAGCUAUCUUCCUCCCUCUUUCUCAUUUCCUACAUGUUUAUCUCUUUGAAUAGCAAAUAAACUAUAAUUUCCUCUCGACAAAUAUCUAAGUCUUAGAUUUACUUAUAUCUUCUUCAAGACCUUAAAAAUGGUACUAUACAAGGAGGUCAUUGACGAUGGAUUGAUUUUUUUUUUUUUUUUUUUUUUUUUUUUUUUUUUUUUGAGAUGGAGUCUCACUCUGUUGCCCAGGCUGGAGUGCAGUGGCGCCAUCUCGGCUCACUGCAACCCCCACCUCCCAGGUUCAAGCUAUUCUCCUGCCUCAGCCCCCGAACUAGCUGGGACUACAGGCACGUGCCACCACGCCCAACUAAUUUUUGAAUUUUUAGUAGAGACUCAGUUUCACCAUGUUGGCCAGGCUGGUCUCAAACUCCUGACCUCAGGUGAUCCACCCUCCUUGGCCUCCCAAAAUGCUGGUAUUACAGGCAUGAGCACCACACCCGGCUGAUGAUGGAUUGAUUUUAAGUGGGGACGAUUAAAGUACAGAUUUUUUUUUUUUAAAUGUGAGCAUUCAGGAUGUGUGCCUUCAGUGACAAAAGAGGCUGUUUAGUUCAAUGUCCUCAUUUUAAAGAUCUGGAACCUGAAAACUAGAGAAGAAAACGAAUUUUCCCAAGAUCAUGUGAAUGUUUCAUCAAAGUGCUAGGACUGGCAUUCAGAUCCCCCAUCCAGAAUCCCACUGCUCUUUCAACUACAGGGAUUUUUUCCCUUAGAGGAAAGGCCAAGUGGUCCUCUAUGUAAAACAAGAAAUCUUUCUGAAAGAAAACUUAGUGGAAAAGUUGAAGGAAAGGGUACCUUUUAUUAUUUUAAGGAGCAUGAUAAAUUUCACAACUGAUCUCUUCAUGGGAAGUAGUUAAAGGUGCUGUGGACUGAGCAUUGUGAAAUUUGGUGGGGCCACAUUAAGGUAUUUCUUACCUUUGGGCCACCCUCCUUUCCUUAAGUUAUAGCCUUGUCCUUGUAAAGCAGUUCAAAGAAAAUAGAACAGUAAUAGAAGUUUCUAGAGAGAAGCAGUGACAUUCUUCUACAGUGUAGAAGAUAUAUUUGAAGGGAAAAGUGAGUGCAGUGCUGUGGUCCUGAACAUUCCGUAAUUGAUCUUCAGUGCACUGACUAUAUGAUGCAUUUACCUAGCUCUUAUGUGUUGUCAUCACAAAUCAAAUCUUCAAUAAGCUUCCCUUCAUGUUGCUUUAUAAUUAGGAGAUGCUUCAAAAUGAAUGCUUCAAAAUCAGUUAAUCUUCAAUGAAUGAAUGAAUGGAUGAGCGCUUACCUUUGACACCCUUGGACACGUACUAUUGAAUCUCUUUUCUACAUAUAUCACUGUCAGCCUAAACUAAUCAAAAGCAUCAGAAUUCACUUUAAAGAGAGUUUAUUCAAGUGCAAAGUUUGGAGAUAACCACUUAGAAAGCACAGAUUCCAAAGAAUGGACGUCAGUGUCCUGGAAUGUAGAAGUUUGCGAACAUUUAUAUAGACAAAGUUGAGAGAAGCUUAACAGAAUUUCAAUAUCUUUCUAUCUAAGGCUUAGUGCAUAGCUAGAAUAUCUGACUAGUUGAGGUGGUCCUUUUCUUUCUAGAAAGGUAUAGUUAGCAUUCCACAGUGAAGAUAUAAUCAUUUUAGGGCCUUUUGCAUCAUCUAGUUUGAGUUAGGUAUAGGACAAUUAAGGAGGGAGUUAAUCUAUAACAAAAAUCAGGGAUUGGAAGGGGAGAAAGUUUGGUCUCUGGUCUUUCCUAGUCAUUUACAGAACAAGAACAAUGAAGAAGCGAAUUAAUCUAUAAUCUAUAAAACAAAAGUUGCAAACAUGUGACUCAGCCUCCAGGGUUAAUGCCUCCCUUGGCAUAAUAAAUUUAAAGGGUCCUGAAAUUUCAUUUUCUUUACAUCACCAUUCAUCUAUUUCACUCCUCAUCACUUCCCUUACUUAGAAAUUAGCUAGUAACAAAUGAUGGAUUGGAAUCGUAUAGGAGAACAUGGACCUGGUCUCUUUUUCAUCGUUGAAUCUCCAGCACAUAGUGCAGUGCUCUGUACAUAUUAAAUGUUCAAUAAAUAUCUGAUGAAUUUUGAAUGGAAGCUUAUCAAAUAGUAGAGCCCAUCUUUUCCUCCCAGAAAAUAUUGCUAUUGAUUAGAGUACUUUGUAUAACAACAACGACGACAACAAAUUAAUCUCUCAUUUGUGGAAUUUGAGAACAAUAGGUAAGAUAGCUGAUGUUGAGGACUUUUCACAGUCCCUCAAAUAUACGUCAAGAGGAUUGCUGUCUAAUGCACCUAUCUGUACAGCCAUUCUUUCCUAGAACAUUUGUUUGGAAAGGAUACCAUUAUAAGAACUUAAUAGCAAUGUAAAUUUAAUAUUAAGAUGGGAAUCUAGAGUUUAUUUUUGUUUUUUUCUCUAUACAAUUAUUUAUUUAUUUUUUGUAUUAUUUAUUUCUCUAAGAUUUGGUAUAUAAUUCCAAUUUAUUUGGUUUUGCCCAAAUUUAUGAUUUAAAUUGUUCACCAUUUCCCCAGAAAACUCACAUUAUACUAAAUAUUGAGGAAGAGUUCAAAGAACUGGGAUAAUACAUGUGGUAUCAAGGACUGGUUAAACAUAGCCUGUAUGCAGAGUUAGCAAAUACUAAAAAAUGCCUUUACUUCAAAGAUUUGAACAGACACUUUACCAAAAGAGAUAUUCAGAUGGAAAAUAAACUCAUGGGAAAUAUGUUUGAUAUCAUUAGUCAAAUGGGCAAUGCAAAUAAAAAUCACAAUGAGAUAGAACUAUACACCUAUCAGAAUAUCUAAAAUUAAGAAGGUGACCAAAGUAAGUACUGAUGAAGAUACAGAGCAAUUAGAAGUGUCAUACAUUGCUGGUGGGAAUACAAAAUUAUACAGCCACUUUAGAAAAUAAUUUGGCAGUUUCUUAUAAAGUUAAAUAUAAACUUGCCAUACAAAACAGCAAUUCCACACCUAAGAAUUUGUCCAAGAAAAAUGACAAAUUUUUAUACAAAAGGCUUAUGCAUGAAUGUUCAUACACACAUUAAUCAUAAUAGCCCCAAACUGGAAGAAACCCAAAUACCCAUCAAGUAGUGAUUAAAUAAACAAAUUGUGAGAUAUGUAUUCAAUGCAAUACUAGAUACUAUUUCACAGUAAAAAGAAAUGAACUGCUGAUAUAUUCAGCAACACAGAUGAAAUCUUAAACACAUUAUGCUAAGUCAAGUAAAUUGGACACAAAACACUGCAUAAUGUAUGAUACCCAUUAGAAGAAAUUCUAGAAAAGGCAAAACUAUAGUGACAGAAAGCAGAUCAUUGGUUACUAGGGUCUAGGUAUGGAAGGAAGGGGUUGAUUGAAAAGAAGACAGAAGAAACAUUUUGUGGUGGUGGAAUGUUCUACAUCUUGAUUGCAGUGAUGGCUCUAUGACUAUAUACUUGUUAUUACUCAUUGUAUUAUGUACUUAAAAUUGGUGAUUUUUAUUGUUUGUAAAUUAUACCUCAUUAAAAUGGGUUUAAAAAAUGCUUUGGCCCGAAAGAUUUUCCUUAGCAGCUAGCCAUAAUGCUUGAAAAGACUCAUCAUUAGUCUUUUCCUUGGUGAAUUUCUUGAAGGCAUCUGCUGAAAUGUAAAUCAUAGCUGCAUGAUGUCAUAUACCAAGUUGUUAAUCUUCAUUAACUACUUGUUUUGAAUUUGUUUUUCCAUCUAAUUUUCAGCCCCCUGCAGUGAUAUAUGGCAAUGAUACAUAAGAAAUACAAUCUAUUGAGAAGGGACAGACAUGAGAGGCCAAGAGCAGAGGAGAUGGUCACAUGGUGGUGUUGGUGUGUGAUAAUGAAUGAAUAUUAUGUGCAGCAACAGAGUCAGUAUUGGGCACAAGAUAAUGAAGGAGAGAAGAAAUUAAAAGAGAAUGAAAAGAAGAGAAAUUAGUCAUUAGGCUCUUAAUUGCCAAUGCUUUCUAAAUACUAGGUUAUUUAAUCCUCAAAAUAACUCUAGAAAGAUACAGUUAUCACCAGUCACAAGUAUAUAGAGGAGGAAAAUGAAGUACAGAGAGGUGAAAUAAGUUGUUCAAGAUCAUAGCCAGUAAGUGGCAGAGCUGGGAUUUGGAAGUAUAUAUUCCUCCUAAAAUGUGUUGAAGGAAUAUAUUUUCUAAAGUUCUCAGCUUGACAAUGAAGAUAAUCAACAGUUGCCAGAAAAGAUUCAAUUUCUGUUCUCCUGCACAUGUAAUUCCUUAUUUUUUACGCAAGUGAUUCAUAGGUUUAAGACUGAAAGUUGAAAAUUCAACUUACCGUAGAAUUUUCUAGAAUUAAGAUAUAUGAAACUAGGGAGCUGGCUUCCAAUGGUAAGCCUAAAAAGUUAUUGAGACUAAGAAGACUUAGUCAUUCUGUGCCAAUGCAUGACACAGAAACCCUGCAAUCUGUGUUAUUAGCUCUGGAAUGGAAUCUAGAUCAAAGAAAUUUUCCACAAUAAACAUUGAAAGGCCAAGAAAACCAUUUUCCUCCCAAUACAUAGCCUGCCUUAAGUAGUCAUUUGUUACUCUUACUUACCAAGUUAGGAAAAAAGAUUAUCUUUUUCAUGAAUAACAUAAAUGGUCUUUAGUUUCUUUGAUAUUCAGAGUUUACUGUCACCAUUUCUAGGUGAAAUUAUGUGAUAUUAAUUAACUUUAUAUACUGAUACUUUCACUCUCACAUUUUCUCUCUGAUUAGACAUAUGCAAUUUCAUUAAGAAAGUUCACAAGGCAGCAGAAUUAAAUUAGAUAAGCAUUUGUAUCUCCCCAAAAUGAGAUUAUUGCUCUUAAAAAUUUGUCACUUUAAAAUUAUAUUGUGAAACUAACACCCAAUAAUUGAAAUUAAGGAAGAAUUCUCAUGGUACUUCUGAUGAGAAGAUACUAACUUCAUUACUGAUAUAACCAUAUUUCAAUGUUUCAAAAUACGGCCCAGUUCAUUUUCUGAGUGUGGGACAAAGUUUUCAAAGAGGACCUCAGCUUUAGCUUUAGAUUCUUUUCCAGAAUCUCCAGCUGUAUUGACAAACAAGUUCCUAUCAUUCUUUGUUUCCUGGCUUCUAUCUCAGCACCAUCUAAACAGAAAACUAGCUUUAUAAUCAGGCACUUUGGGGAUGCUGAGUUGUGCAAUUCAUCAGAAAGAAACAUGGAAAAACAUCCCAAAUUCACAAAGUAACUGCAAGAUUUAUUUAGCCCAAGUCAGGUAAUACUGAAAACUCAAGAGAAAAUAUGAAGUACGAAGUGCCUGAAGUAGACUUCCUAGUGACUGCCAAAAGGCAUGUAGAUUAAAACAGGCUCAAAUCUUGAAUCAAAAUGAAGGAAGUGUUCCAAUGUCACCCACUGGACCAAAAGAAAAAAAAAAAUCAAUAAGGCGUAUUUUAGGUCUAACUCAAAACUUGGGUGGUCGUAAGAGUGGUCUGUAUGGGAAGCUAUAAGGUAAAAAGAAAUAUAUAGACUACAUAUUAGCCAAAGUCCUAAUCCACAGGUGCAAUAUGGCUACAUAGUGUUGGGCAAAUUGUUAAUUUCUCUGAGCCUUAGUUUUCCAAUCUGUUAAAUGAUAAUGAUCAGAUAUAGGAUUCUUAUUCUUAAAAUAUGCUAAUGUCCCCGCAAUUCUUCUCCUUGAAACAAGACAAAGCAACAAGGAGAACGAAAGAAAAACUUCUAAACCAUAUUUUCAUGAAACUGGGAAAGAGAAGAAAAAAAUUGUGAAGUCUAAAGUACGUGUAAAUUCUGCAAAAAGCAGCCGAAACCAGCAGGGUUAUAUUGGGAGCCCAUAAGAAGCCAAAACAGGAGUUGCAGGGAAGAAAGAAGCAUAAGGGGGUUUUCAUGGUGGCAGAUCUGAAAACUUAUCAGUAAAAAUACAUUUUAAAAGAAAGAGGGGAUGACAAGAAAUACACUAAUAAUAAAAGACAUUAAUUUGUCAAAUUCCAAGACAGGGUGAGUAGACAAGUAAGGAUAUAAGAGACUCAAAUGACGUAAUUAAUGAAGCAGAUGUGAUAGACAUGUACUUAACUCAGUGGUUCUACAAUAUAGAAUGACUCUUUUUUUUGAGACAUAGUCUCGCUCUGUAGCCCAGGCUGGAGUGCAGUGACGCGAUCUCGGCUCACUGCAACCUCCACCUCCCAGGUUCAACCGAUUCUCUUGCCUCAGCCUCCCGAGUAGCUGGGACUACAGGCACGUGCCACCACGCCUGGCUAAUUUUUUGUAUUUUUAGUAGAGAUGGGGUUUCAUCGUGUUAGCCAGGAUGGUCUCAAUCUCCUGACCUCAUGAUCCGCCCACCUAGCCCUCCCAACGUGAUGGGAUUACUGGCGUGAGCUACCAUGCCUGGCUAAUUUUUGUAUUUUUAGUAGAGACGGGGUUUCACCAUGUUGGCCAGGCUGGUCUCCAACUCCUGACCUCAAGUGAUACUCCUGCCUUGGUCUCCCAAAGUGCUGGAAUUAUAGGUGUGAGCCACUGCGCCCAGUCUCAUAUUUAUAAUCACCCCCAAAUGGGCAAUUCACAUGGACCCCCUAUUUGCUCACUAAGAUAUCAUAAAUACAUUCUUAAAGGAUAUAAAUGAUACAGAUAUUCUCUUAUGACACCAUAAAGUUAGAAAUUAAAAACAAAGUCAGAAAAUAAAAGACCUUUUCAUCUAUAAAUUAAAACACACACACCUCCUCUCAUAAAAUUAAUUUUUCAACAGAAGUACAAACAAAAAGUAUCGCAUUUUGAAAAAAGAGUGAAACAGAAACACUAUAUUUAAGAAUCUAUGCAAUACAGCUCAAAUAAUGAUUGGAGAAAAAUUCAGUGCUUUAAAUACUAUAUAACAAUAAAGGAGAAAGAAUGAAAAGAUAGUUCUAAAAAUUAAAAUAAAAUCAACAAAAUAAAGUCAAAAAAAAGAAAGAAAAAUAUCAGAAGAGGUAAUUAAUAAAUGCUAAAACAGGAAAAACAAUAGAAUUAAUCCAUGAAAAAACAAAACCUGGUUCUUGGAAAAAAAUCAAUGACCAAUUACCACUAGACAAGCUUGCCUCAAUAAGAAAAAAGGAAAAAACAAAAAUGCAGAAAUAAGGAAUAAUAAGGGGGUAACAAUAAUAGAAAAAGAGGAAAUUAAAGAAAAUCAUGAAUAGAUUUCUUUCCACAAGUACAUGCAAAUACAAUUGAAAACUUGGAUGAAAUGGAUAAAUUCUCCCCCCAAAAUAAAAUGUACCCAAAGUAAUCUCAGAAUAGUUUCAUUUAAAGCAAACAAACAACAACAAAAAAUAAAAGACAGAGAAGGUUCUUAAAGAAAUCCUCUCUAAUAAAAGUACCAGACUUAGAGGGUUUCACAGGAAAAUUCAACCAGAUAUCUGUAACUCAUCCAGAAUGUAACAAACUAAGUUACAUUUCUACUUUUUAAUGAAUUUACUAUGAAAUUGAUUCCAGAACAGGACCAAGAUUGAACACUAAAACUACAGACCAAAUAUUCAUGUAAAAUCCUAAAUAAACUGUUAGCAAACAGAAUCCAGCAGCACAUUUAAAAAAUACUAUAUUAUGACCAAGUUUGUUUUAUUCCAGUAAUGGAAAUAACAUUUUAUAUUAAUAAAUAUGUGAAUAUAUUUAAUCAUAUCAAUAAGUUUAAACAGAGAAAAGAUUAUGUAGUCAUUUCCAUAAAAGACGAAAAAGCACUUAACAAAAUUCAAUACAAUUCUUCUUUUUUUUUUUUGAGACGGAGUUUCACUCUUGUCGCCCAGGCUGGAGUGCAGUGGCGUGAUCUCGGCUCACUGCAACCUUUGCCUCCCGGGUUCAAGCAAUUCUUCUGCCUCAGCCUCCCAAGCAGCUGGGAUUACAGGCGCCCACCACAACCAGCUAAUUUUUGUAUUUGUAGUAGAGACGGGGUUUCACCAUAUUGGCCAGGCUGGUCUUGAACUCCUGACCUCAGGCAAUCCACCUGCCUCUGCUUCCCAAAGUGCUGGGAUUACGGGUGUGAGCCACCGCGCUCGGCCAAUACAAUUCUUGAUUAAAAAAUAAAGCUCUAUAAAAUAGGAAUUGAUGGUUACUUCCUUACUGUUAUUUUAUAUAAUCAGAGUUGAAAAGGCAAGCUUCAUUUUUAAUGAGAACACGCUGAAGGAAUUCUCACUAAAAAAUACGGCCAGGAUGUCCACUAGUACAAUCACUAUUGAACAUUAUACAGAAGUCAUUACCCAAUGCAGCUAAAUCCAACUGGUAAAGAUAAUCAGAACUAUAAAACACAGAAACGAAAAGGUGAAAUUAUCACCAUUAUAAAAUUGUAUGUUUACAUACAAUGUUUAUACUUGAAAAACCAAAGAUAACCUAUUGAAUAACUACUAUAAACAGUAAUAUAAAUAAAUAAAAUUAAAGUAAAUAAAUCAAAAGCCUUCACUUAGAAUAUAUAAACAGAAGAAUAGACUAGUUUACAAUUACAAAGAAGAUACUUUACCUAAGAAAAUGAGAGAGACUAAAAGUUUUUGAAGAAAAUUCACUGUAAAACACCCCCAAAGGAUAUAAAAGCAGACAUGAACAAAAUUGAAAGAAAUGUCAUAGAAGGUAAAAAAUUCAACAUUUUAAUUUUCAUAAGUCACUAUUACAAUCGUAAUAAAAAUAGCAAGUUAUUUUCUUCCACCUUGGAGUUAGAGAGGUGAUUCUAAAGUUCAAAUGAAAAAUGAAACCAAGAAUAGAGAGAAAAUCUCUGAAAAAGAAAGGCAGUUUGGAGAACAAUCCUUUUCAAAUAUAAAAUCUUAUUUUAAAGCCUUAAUAACUUGAACAGCAUGACGCAGGUUCAUGAAUAGAUAUAUACCUCAAUGGAAAAGAAGUAGAAAUUCUAGAUUUACAUUUAUAUAUGUAUGGAAAUUCAGCAUAUGAUACAGGCAGCUUCUUAAAUUAGUGGUAAUAAAGAUUGAACUUUUCAGUACAUGAUGAGGAAUGAUUGUGUAGUCACUGGAAAAUGAAAGUUGAAUCCAUGCUGCAUUAGUCAAGAUUAUCCAGAAAAACAGAACAAUUAGCAUAUAUAUAGAGAGAGAGAGAAAGAGAAAGAGAAAGAGAGAGAGGGAGACAUGCAAUUAUGGAAGCUAAGACCCAAGAUUUGCAAUUGACAAGCUGGAAACCCAGUAACACCUAUGAUAUAGUUCCAGUCCAAAAAUUGGCAGACUAGAAAUGCAAGAAGAUUCAAUGUUCAGUUUGAGUCUGAGGGCAGGAAAAAAGACCAAAGUCCUGGCUCAAGGUUGUCAGGCAGGUAGAGUCCCUCCUAGCCAUUUUGUUCCAUUCAGACCUUUGGUGGACUGGAUGUGGGCUACCUACAUUAGGGAGAGCAAUCUUAAGUUCCUCCAAAAGCUGAGGAAAAAAAAAGGGAGAGCAAUCUACUUUCCUCAGUUUACCGAUUUAAACGUUAAAAUCAUCCCCAAACAUGCUCACAGACACACCCAGAAUAACAGUUAAUCAAAUAUCUGGGUGUUCUGGGGCCCAGUCAGGUUGACAUGUGAAAGCAACCAUCAGGCACACACCUCAUACGUUACGCCAGGAUAAACUAACAAUGGGUCAAAAUUAUACCAACACACAUACACAUAUGCAUGCAGGUACAUACAUUAUAAAAUGUAUGUGCAUGCAUUAUAUUAUUUAAGAUAGUAUAUGAUACAUACAUAUAUCAUAUAUUAUAUAUGUAGACAUAUAUGUGGAUGUAUCAUGUCUUCUAAGAGAUAUAUAUGAUACAAUAUAUAUAAAGUUAUAAAACAUUUUUAAAAUAUUUAAAUAUAUUUUAAAAUUAUUUUCUUGAAUUAUAAAAUAUUACAAGAAAACAUAGUGAAAUUAUUUUGUAACCUUGGUUUAGCGAAGGUCUUUUCAUUCUAUGACUCAAAAUGCAUGCACAUACAAUGAAAAACAAAAGAAAACCACAAAAAUAUCUGCAUGGCCUAAGACACAAUACACAAAAACAGGAAGAACUGGUGAAAAUGUGUAAUUCAGAUAAGACUGAAAGAAUUUCUAGAGUUAGAAUUCUACUCUUAUGGAUAUAUCUAAAGCACCUUUAAAUUAAUGAAACAUUACCAGCAACCCAGUUUUCAAAAAAAAUAGACAAAACAUAUGGCGAUUACUUUUAUAUGUCAACUUGGAUAGGCCAUGGUACCCAGCUAUUUGGUCAAACAUCUAGUCUAGAUGUCUCUCUGAAGGUACUUUUUAGAAGAUAUUAACAUUUAAAUCAGUAGACUUUGAGUAAGCAGAUUACCCUCCAUAAGAUGGGUGGCCCUCAUCCAGUCAGUUGAAGGCCUUAAUAGAAAAAAAGUCUGAGGACCCCUGAGGAAGAGAAACUCUGACUCCAGAAUAACUUCUGACUUGAGGUGCAACAUCAGCUCUUCUCUGAGUCUCCACUCCAUUGGCCUGCUCUGAAGAUUUCAGAGUUGCCAGACCCCACAAAUCAAGUAAAACAAUUCAUUAAAAUAAAUUCCUAUCUACACACACACACACACACACACACACACACACACACACACCCUAUUGGUUCUGUUUCUCUGGGGCACCUUGACUAAUACGAAGGACACACACACAACAAGAACUCCACAAAUGACUCUUAAACAUAUGAAAAUAUGCCAAACCACACUCAGUAAGAGAAAUGCAAAAUAAAACUACCUAAGGUAGUUUUACCUCGCAGUUUGGCAAAAAAAUAAAAAUAAAAAUAAAUUACAACAGGCAUUCUCAUAAAUUAUUAGUUGGAUGACAAAAUGGUAGAAUCCCUAUGGGGGAAAAUUUGGUAAUGUCUAUUAAAGUUACAAAUAUAUUUAGCUUUUGAGCAAUUAUCUCACUUCUGGGAAUUUAUCUGGCUACUUCACUUGCACACAUACAAAAUGAAGUAUAUUCAAGAUUAUUCCUUGAAACAUUUUUACAAUAGUAAAAGACUGAAAACAACACAAGUAAACAUCAAUGAAUACUAUGAAGCUUUGAGAAACUGAGGAAGCUCUCUAUUUACCAGAAAAAUCUCCUGGAUAUUUUUGUCAAGUAAAAACAAAGCAAAAUGAAGCAAGGACAAAACAAUAUAGAUACUUUUCUCCCUUUUGUGUAAGAAAGAAGGAAAUAUGAAAUAUAAUGUACAUAUAUAUUUGGAUUAAUUUGUAUAAACAAACAUGAAAAAAGAUUCAAAAGAAACUUAAAAGGGGUUAUUUGCAUGGGAGUGGUUACAUUAAGAUAGAUUACAUAUAUACAUAUAAAAUGGAAGAGCAUGAGUAUAAGACUUUCCAAUGUGUGCCUUUCCACAUCAUUUUGAUUUUUAAAGCAUAUAUAUUAAUAAUAUAAAAAUUAAAAAUAAAUACCUGAAAACAAUUGUUAUUUUUAAUGGCUGCAGAUCAUUACCUUGUGUGUAUGUGCAUUUAUUUAUUUAUUUAUUUAUUUAGAGACAGAGUUUUGCUUUUGUUGCCCAGGCAGGAGUGCGAUGGUGCGAUCUCGGCUCACCGCAACCCCCGCCUCCCGGGUUCAAGUGAUUCUCCUGCCUCUGCCUCUCUAGUAGCUGGGGUUACAGGCACCCGCCACCAUGCCCAGCUAAUUUUUUGUAUUUUUAGUAGAGAAGGGGUUUCACUAUGUUGGCCAGGCUGGUCUUGCACUCCUGACCUCAGGCAAUCCACCUGCCUCAGCCACCCAAAGUGCUGGCAUUACAGGCGUGAGCCACCGCGCCUGGCUCGCUACAAUUUAUUUUAACCAACCCAUUAUUGAUUGCCCUUUAAACAUAUUCUGAUUUUCAUUGAGACAAAUAUUUUGAUCAAUAAUCCUGUCUACAAAUCCAUGUGCACAUGUCUGAUAUUUUCUCAUGUGUAGAAUUACUUGAUUAAACAGGAUUACCAUAUCGAUAAAUUGUCUUCCAGAACACUUGUAGCAAUAGCAUUUUCUUCGAGUGGUUGGUGAAUAUGGCCCUUUCACUGCUCCCUGGCCAAGACUGACAGCUACUGGGAUCAUAAAUUUGCAAAUUUGGUAGGCCAAAAGUAGCGUGUCAUUGUAGUUUACAUUUAGCUAUUGGGUCCAAAGUAGCAACUGAGCAUAGUGGUGAAGAGCACGGGCAUUGAAGUCACACAGAUAUAGACGUAAGUUCUGGUUCCACUACUUACCCGCCAGUAAUGACCUCAGGUAGUUUAAUUAUUUUUUCUUAAUCUCAGUUUCUCAAGUUGUAAAACAGAAAACAUAGUUUACACUCUAAAGACACUUAUUGUGAUUAGUGUCUUGGCAUAUGGUACUCAGAGAACAUUCAUUUCCUUUUUUUUUGUUUGUUUGUCUAAUCAUAAGCCUACUUCUGUAGGUCUUCAUAAUUGGUUUUCUUACCUCCAGAAAGAGAAAGAUGAAUAUAGAAAGGUUUAGCAUUUAAAUAGUGGAAAUAGGGCAAGAGAAAAGAUGUACAAUAAUGUCCAAUUGUCAUUAUGUUGUUAAAGGUAACUUGAUAUGAAGGGUUUGACAUCUCUAGGAACAAUAAGGCAUUUGGGUGUAGUGAAAACUACACAGGCUUUAUUGAGUCAGAUGUGAGUUCAUGUACCAACUCCAAACCUCUGAUCUCUUGACAAUGGAAGUAGAGCUGAGCCUUCAUUUUUUUCAUCUAUAAAAGUGGGAAGAAUAAUUGUAUUUGCUUAUUUUGUCAGUGCUCCCCAAAACUACUCCCAGGCUCAGUGAGCCCCUACAUAGACUCACAGGACUCGGAAGUCUUUAUAUCUAUGGUUAUGGUGUAUUACAGUGAAAGGAUAUAAAGCAAAUUCAGCAAAGAAAAAAGACACAAAGGGUGAAGUCCAAAGAAAAGCAGACCCAAGCUCACAAGAGUCUUUUCCCAGUGGAGUUGCACAAGACCCACAUAAUUCCUCCAGCAAUGAGUGAGUUGGAAUAACAUGCAUGAAGUGUUGUCUACCAGGAAAGCUCAUUACAGACUCAGUGCCCAAGGUUUUAACUGGGGGCUGGUUACACAAGCACACUCCGCUUAGCACGUACAAAAAUUCUUGACUUCCAGAAUGAGAGUGGGUGUUUAGCAUAAACCACUUUGUUUGUACAAACAGUUUAGGCACAAUGAGCCACUCUUCUCACUUAGGGAAGGCCUUCUAUCAGUGUAGGGGAUUGUUCACAAGCCAAAUUUCCAGACAUCAGCCAAGAACCAAUCUUGUAAGCAGACCUUUCUAACAAUAAGCAGUUUCAGGUCUGCUGUGUUAUCAUUUCUUCACACAGUCUAUCCCUUUGGCCCCUGGCCAAGUCCAUCUUUACAGCAAAAUUACUAUCAAUAACCCUCCACGUAGCAGGAUGAAUUCAAUCUGCUCUGUUGGCCCCAGUUAUUUCUUCCAGGUGUCCUAAAUUUAGCUAGUUAAAACAAAUCCCAUUAACCAUAAAGAUUUAUCUUAGAAAGCCAAGUGGCUUCAUCCGUACGUUUCUGUAUGAACCUUUUUUACUUCGCCUGAGUCAUCCAUUCUGGCAUAGCACAAGUCUGGUAGGUAUCCAGCGCUGAGGCAGUGUCAUGAUAGUCAGGGUGCACACAAAAGUACAAUCCCAGAGGACACACGUGAUACUCCUGGAAACAAAGAGAUUGCACUGGUUGAUCACCCCAAGCAGGACAUACAUUAGUCAGGCAGCACAGGUUAACAGGGUCCUGUGGCCCCUUUACUAUGGGGCCUUCUGCUCUAAGGUUUGUAAUUCAGUCCAAAACACUUCAGACCUUAGUUUCAUAAAGACUGCCUAAAAGGCAGUGCUAUGGUUUGAAUGUGUCCCCUUCCCAAAUUCAGGUGCUUCUGAUGUGAUAAUGUUAAUAAGUCAGGCUUUUCAGAGGUGGUUAGGUCAUGAGGGCUCCUCCUCUCCCCGAGGUUAAGGCCCUUAUAAAAGAGGCUUCAUGCAGUAUUAAACUAGGCUGUCCUUCUGCCUUCUGCCCUGGGAGGACACAGCAUUCCUCCUCUCUGGAGGGGGCAUCAACAAGGCACCAUCUUAGAAGCAGAGAACAGUCCUUACCAGACAAACGAAAGUGCUGGUGCCUUGAUCUUGGACUUUCUAGCCUCCAGAAAUGUGAGAAAAUAAAUGUCUCUUCUUUAUAUUAAUUAAUUACCCAGUCUCAGGAGUUUUUGUUCUAGCAGUAAAAAAUGGACUGAGGCGGUCUGUUUCAAAUAGUUUUCCUUGUUCAUGACACCAGUCUACUGCACUAAUGGGUGUGGCCUACAGCUGGAGGUUUUCUAUGUGGAAAGUUCAGGAGCUGAAGCCACUGUCUGUUGUCUCAGUGAGCACUGGCAGAUGUGACAAUCGUUGGUUCAGCAGUCAUUUUGAAUUCAAAGCGCUUGGAGCAGUUUGGAAGGGAAGCAAGAAGUUUUUCUUUGGGAGUAGGGGAAAGCCUUUAGGAGCAGUUUUGAAAAACAAAUAUCAUUAAUGCCCUUACCGCUUCCCCAUAACUCCCUAGAUGCUGGGUUUUUAUUUUGCCUCUGUUGUGAUAAAAUCACUGUGUUCCAUUCCAUAUUCAUAGCUUACAUUUCUAAAAAACCUUGCAAAAAUCUCACAUUUCAUCUGGAAAGGUUGUAUGCAAGAAAGACAAAACCACUUUUAUAGAAAAGCAUUUUAUACAACCUAACUGAAAUGACACAUCCUGUUAGGAAAUAGGAUUCAAUUUUGAAUUUCUAAUUUUGUCUUUCAAAAUGAGUGUAUCUAAUCCUUUUCCCACCCAAUCUAGUUUGUUCUGAUCAUCUGUUCAGUGAGUAGCUGAUAAAAGAUCAGUUAAUUUUGGGGGAUAACUGCAGUUAAUUAUCAAACUGUCAGCCGGGUGCGGUGGCUCACCUCUGUAAUCCCAGCACUUUGGGAUGCCGAGGCAGGUGGAUCACCUGAGGUCAGGAGUUUGAGACCAGCCUGACCAAUAUGGUGAAACCUGUCUCUAUUAAAAAUACAAAAAAUUAGCUGGGUGUGGUGGCAGGCACCCGUAGUUCCAGCUACUCAGGAGGCUGAUACAGGAGAAUUGCUUGAACCUGGGAGGCGGAGGUUGCAGUGAGCUGAGAUCACACCACUGCAUUCCAGCCUGGGUGACAGAGCAAGACUCCAUCUCAAAAAAAAAAAAAAAAAAAAAAAAUCAAACUGUCUUACUAGGUUAUGUAUAUCAGGAGAAAGGUGGGAGAAGUAGCAUCAGGCUCUUGGUCCGUGAUGCCAACUGCAACAAAUUCAGAAAGCUGAAGAACACGAGUCAAUAGCAGCAAGGCAUCCUGAGAUGAGCUAAAAGUCCAAUCUGUUAGGAGUGGAUGGAGCGGCCACCAUGUUGGUAAUGUGUCCUCCCCCAAAUUACAGCUUUUCAAAAAUCACAACUUAGAAACGCAGUUAGUCUGUGUCAGAGCCUAUGAGCAGCUCAGUUUUGUUAAUAGGUGGUCACAUCAGAGAACAAGACCUUUCGAUAGGGCACCUGCACAUGACCCAGAGGGUCCAGCCACCACCCAUGAUGUUGUCACAGUUUAUGGUCUCACAUGGCGUGAGGUUCCUAAAUCUGUAAAAGUCCAAGCAUCUGAGUUCUGUUCAUUGAGUCUCUGCUUUCAGCUUAGCAAAGCUCUGAGUUUGAAACACCCUCCAGCCGACAGUAAGAGGUUGCAGUUUUGAGUCAGAUUCAGGAAAUUAAGAUCUGAGAACCCAGGAUUCCAAAAAGCCAGUGGUUUUCUUCAGCAACAGCAGAGCCUAGACACUGUAGGGCCAGACAGCUGUGUUCCAAGUGCAAGAAACAAAGCAAGUCUUUCCUAAGACGACUUUAUCUUAUCAGUCUUUUUUUUUUUUUUUGAGAUGGAGUCUCACUCUGUCACCCAGGCUGGAGUGUAGUGGUGCGAUCUCAGCUCACUGCAACCUCUGCCUCCCGGGUUCAAGCAAUUCUUCUGCCUCAGCCUCCCAAGUAGCUGGGACUGCAGGCGCCUGCCACCACACCCGGCUAAUUUUUGUAUUUGUAGUAGAGACAGGAUUUUACCAUAUUGGCCAGGCUUGUCUCGAACUCCUGACCUAGUGAUCCGCCCUCCUUGGCCUCCCAAAGUGCUGGGAUUACAGGCGUGCACCACCGCGCCCUGCUAUUAUCAGUCUUACAGGCCAAUUGACUCCCUUUAAAAUAUGCACAACAGGCUGGAAAAUCAUCAGCCACAGGGGUCAGACCUCCUGUUUAAUAAGAGCACAUUAGCAAACCAAAAAGUACUUUUUAAAGUUCCAAAUGUGUAUCUUCAUGUGAAGAUUAUCUCUCUUAUCUUUUCUCCCUUUUUGCAGAUGCUCCUAUAUACAAAAAAUCGUAGUACAAAUCAUCACUUAUGGAGAACUGUUUUCUUUUCAAUACUCAAAUAAUUUAAAUUCCAUUGCACCUGCCAGCAGUAGAAAGCAAGGACAUUGUAUCCCACUAAAUUUUUGUGUGUACAGCUUUCCCGUUAGCAUUUAUGAAAUUGCAAUCAUAUAACAUGUUACAUCAGUUUUUCUCAUGCAUCCAGAAUCAUAGCCACAAAAUACAAAGCCAUUCUUAAAAAUCAUUACCUGCCUUUUAUCUCACUGCAUGUUUAUUCAAACAGCUAGCAGUAAAUUUAGCAAUUAAAAGAUGAAGGUUAUGGGGAAGGAGAGAAGGGGUGCAGCAGCUGUGGUAGCAGCUAGGCUAGAGUGGUUUCUUUUUUGAUCGUUUUUUUUUUUUUUUUCUCCUGAUUUCUCCAGUGCAUUGCUCCAGCCGUGUGAACUAACUUAACCUUUUUUCAUACCACUUGGAGAAAAGGGCAAUGAAGAUCUUUAGCAUUCUUGGUUUACUCAAUGCCCGCCUAUAGGAGUUUUCAGAUCAUUUCUCCUGCCACCUGGAGAAGAAAACUACAAACUAAUGUUUAUUAACUUUUCUCCCCAAAAAAAGCCCAUUUUGGGGAAUGUUUGGGUCUUUUAAACUCCCACCUGGAAGAAAGAACAAAAACCAAAGGCAUCACCCCAUCUGUGUUUUUGUCAUCACUUUAUCUAGCAAGGCCGAAAGCAGGUAGGGGAUCCAGGGGAGCCAGUUUGCCUGAGGUUGGAUCUAUCAUUUUGAAAUUUCACAGGUAACUUUUGCCUCUCAGCAAAGACAGCAACUUAGCUGCUAUUUCAUACCUUGCAUGACUCCAUAGCCACCCAGGAACAAACGUUUUGUCAUCACCCUCCCACACUUUUUUUCAAAUAGCUCUGUAGUUAUAUUUCAGUAAGUUAGGGGUCGCUCUAGUGAAUCCCGCCACAGUCACUGCUGUGUCCAGGGUCCCCAAGACCACUUCCAUGUUCCCUGAAUCACAAGAAGGACUCGUGGAACUUAGCAUAUUGUUUUCCUCACAGCUAAAAAUUUUGAAAGUGAUGUGUUAUAGUUACACAGCCAGAUCAUAAGGAAAAUAGGCAGAAGAGGAGUCUGGAGGAAGAAGGGUGCAGGUUUCCUUAUUCUUUCUCCCACGAACACUCACAGAGAGCACUUCCACCAGCAAUGGAAAUGUAGUAAUUUGUGUGGGAUGUUUCUGCCCAAGGAAAAAUUGGCUACAGACUUGGUGCCCAGAUUUUUACUGGAGUCUCAUCAUUUAGGUAGUUUCUGCCUAGCAUGUGCUAAAAUUCCAGACCAUCAAAAGGAACUCCUAGCAUUUGCACUAACAGUCUAGGCAUAGUGAGCCAUGCUUCUCAUUUGAGGAUUUUAAAAAAGAAAAAAAAUCAGUGUAAGAAACUUUUUACCAGUCAAGUCUCAGACACCAGCCAAAAGAAAAACUUGUAAUAACUCUUUUCUCUUCAUUCCUUCUUUCUUUUCCUUUUUCUCCCUCUCCCUCCCUCCCUCCCUCCCUUCUUUUUUGGAGGGGAGAGUAACAGCUUUAUUGAGAUAAAAUACACAUACCAUUACAAUUCACCCAAUCAGAGUGAACAGUACAAUGGUUUUUAGCAUAUUCAGAGUAGUGCAACUGAAGUGGGAAAAGUUCCCUUGUCCUGCUCCCAGGGCAUGCAAUGGGGGUGUGGCUCUUUUCUUUGGUGCCCAGCUGUUCAAAACCCUUAGAGGGUGCAGGCAGAUGGGCAGGUUGCGGGGAGCAUGAGCUCUGACACCACGGCAGUGUCUAGGGGUGAGGGUUUACAGCUGCUGAAGCCCCAGUGAGCGUGUGUUACAGGUUGCUCUUUUAGUUUUGCCGCCUGUAGGUGGCUUGUGUUAAUCAGCUCUAUUAGACUCCCUGCCUUACCACAAGGGCAGGGUGCUUUCUGUAUCCCGGGAUUUCUUGCCUUGGUGUACCAGAAGAAUUGGAUCACACGUGGGCUUGGAGAAUGAGUGCAAGGUUUUAUUGAGUGUAAGUAGCUCGUAGCAGGAGACAGAAGGGAGAUGGAGUGGGAGGUGGUUUUUUCCCUGGAGUGGGGCUGCUCAGCGGCCGGGCUCUCCUUUGAGCACUCUGGCCAAACUCCACAUUGUUCCGGCAUCUGCUGGUGCCUGUUGGUGUGCUCUGACAUCAGUGCAUUCCUCUCGACAUCCAGGCACUUGUGUGUGUGCUCGCUAGGGUCUCGGGGUUUUUAUAGGCACCGGAUGGGGGCAUGGCGGACCAGGGUGAUCUUGCGAAAUGCAACAUUUGGGCACAAAAACAGAAAUGCCUGUCCUCACCGAGGUCCGUGGACACAGGCUUGAGGGUAGAGCCCUCGUCAGGGACCCAUCCUUCUCCACCCAGCACUUCCCUGCCCCGCUCCCGUAUCACAACCAUCACCAAAAUCAAUUUUAGAACAUUUUCAUAGCCCCCAAAAGAAAACCUGUCCUCCUUAAGUAGUCACUCCUUACUGCCCCCUCCAUCCAAUCCCUGGCACCAGUAAUCCAAUUUCUGUCUCUAUAGAUUUGCUUAUUCCAGACAUUUCUUAUAAAUGUAAUCAUAAAAUAUUUGGCCUUUUAUCUUUGGCUUCUUUCACAUAGCAUAAUGUUUUAAAGGUUCAUCCACGUUAUAGCACAAAUCCGUAGUUCAUUUCUUUUUAUGGCUGAAUAAUAUUUUAUUGUAUGGAUAUACCAUAUUUGGUUAUCCACUCAUUAGUUGAUGAACAUUUGGGUUCUUUCCAGUUUUUGUGUAUUAUGAAUACUGCUACUAUGAGCAUUCUGGUAAACAUAUUUGCUUGAACAUCUGUUUUUAUUUCUUUUGGAUAUAUAUCGAAAAGUAAAAUAGCUUAAGAGAAUAUGUUAAAACAUUAACAGAAUAUGUUAAUUCUGUGUUCAAGUUUUUCAAUAACCACCAAACUAUCUUCCAUAGCAGCUUCACUAGUAUAUAUAUUCCCGCCAGCAAUAUAUGAAGGUUCCAAUUUCCCAAUAUCCUUGUCAACACUUGCUAUUUUCCUUUUAUUUUUUUCUAAAUCAUGACUGUCCUACUGGAUGUGUUACCUCAUUGUGGUUUUGAUUUACAUUUUACUAAUGACUAAUGGUGUUGAACAUCUUUUCAUGUGCUUAUUGGCAAUUUGUAUAUUUUCUUCAGAUAAAUAUCUAUUCUGAUUUCUUGCCAUUUUUAAAGUUGGCUUAUUUGUCUUUACAAUAUUGAGACAUGAGUUUCUCUUAUAUUCUACAUACAAGUCCCUUAUCAGAUAUGUAAUUUACAAAUAUUUGCUUCCAUUUUGGGGUGGACUUUUCACAUUCUUGAUAGUAUCCUUUGAAGCACAAAAGUUUUUGAUGAAGUUCAAUUUGUCUUUUUUUUUGUCAUUUGAAGUUUUGUUGUCAUAUCUAGAUGUCACUUGUGCUUUGCCUAACUCGAGGUCACAAAAAUUUAUGCCAAUGUUUUCUUUUAAAAGUUUUUUUAAAAAUUAUUUUUAGCUACUACGUUUAGAUCAGUGAUCCAUUUUGAGUAAAUUUUAGUGUGUGGUGUGGUAAAGAGUAAGUUUAAUUUCAUUCUUUCACAUAUGAAUAUCCAAUUGUCCCAGCACCAAUUGUUGAAAAGACUAUUCUUUUCCCAUUGAAUUUUCUUGGCACCUUUGUCAAGCAUCAGUUGUGCAUAAAUGCACAAUUAUUUCUGUAUGCUCAAUUUUAUUCCAUUGAAUUAUAUGUCUAAACUGAUGCCAGCACUACAUUUUCUUUAUUACUGUAGUUUUGUGGCAAAUUUUGAAAUUCAGAAGCAAGAAUUCUUCAACUUUAUUCUUUCUUUCCAAUAUUAGCUUGGCUUUUCUUGAUCCUUUAAAUAUCCAUAUGAAUCUUAGGAUCAGUUUAUCCAUUUAUGCAAAAAUCCAGCUAUGAUUUUAUGGGGAUUCUGUUGAAUCUGUGGACUGAUUGGGAAGUAUUGCCAUCUGAACAAUAUUAAGUAUUCUAAUCAAUGAACAUGCAAUGUGUUUCUAUUUAAAAAUUUUUUGCCAAUAUUUUGCAGUUUUUCAUGGAGUACGCAUGGACACAAAGAAGGAAACAACAGACACUGGGGCCUACUUGAAGCUGGAGGGUAGGAGGAGGGCGAGGAUUGAAAAAUUGCCUAUUAGGUACUAUGAUUACUAUCCAAGUGAUGAAAAAAAAUCUAUACAGCAAACCCCGUGACAUGCAAUUUACCUAUAUAACAAACCUGUGGGUGUGCCCCUGAACCGAAAAGUUAAAAAACAGUUUUGUAGUUUUAGAGAAUAAGUUUUGUACUUUUUUGAUAAAUUUAUUCUUAAAUAUUUCAUAUUUUUGAUGCUGUUGUUUUCUUCUCUUAACAUCAAAUUACUCAUUGCAAGUAUAUGAAAAGUUCAAUUGAUUUUUUCGCCCAGGUAUGGUGGCUCACGCUUGUAAUCCUAGCAUUUUGGCAGGCCCAGGCAGGUGUAUCACCUGAGGUCAGGAGUUUGAGACCAGCCUGGGCAACAUGAUGAAACCUCAUCUCUACAAAAAAUAUAAAAAUUAGGUGACUGACAAGAUGGCGGAAAAGGAACAGCUCUUGUCUGCAGCUCCCGGUGAAAUCAACACAGAAGGUGGCCGAUUUCUGCAUUUCCAACUGAGGUACCCGACUCAUCUCACUGGGACUGGUUAGAUAGUGAGUGCUGCCCUCGGAGGGCAAGCCGAAGCAGGGUGGGGCGUUGCCUCACCCAGGAAGUGCAAGGGAUUGGGGAACUCCCUCCCCUAGCCAAGAAAAGCCAUGAGGGACCGUUUUGUGAGGAACAGUGCAUUCCAGCCCAGAUGGUAUGCCCUUCCCAUGGUCUUCGCAACCCUCAGACCAGGAGAUUCCCUCGGGUGCCUACACCACCAGGGCCCUGGGUUUCAAACACAAAACUGGACAGCCAUUUGGGAAGACACCAAGCAAGGUGCAGGAGUUUUUUUUCAUACCCCAGUGGCACUUGGAACACCAGUGAGACAGAACUGUUCACUCCCCUGGAAAGGGGGCUGAAGCCAGGGAGCCAAGUAGUCUAGCUCAUUGGAUCCCACCCCCACAGAACCCAGCAAGCUAAGAUCCACUGGCUUGAAAUUCUCACUGCCAGCACAGCCAUCUGAAGCCAACCUGGGACGCUUGAGCUUGGUGGGGAGAGCGUCAUCUGCCAUUACUGAGGCUUGAGUAGGCAGCUUUCCCCUCAUAGUGUAAACAAAGCCCUUGGGAAGUUCCAACUGGGUGGAGCCCACUGCAGCUCCUCAAAGCCACUGUAGCCAGACUGCCUCUCUAGAUUCCUCCUCCCUGGGCAGGGCAUCUCUGAAAGAAAGGCAGCAGCACCAGUCAGGGGCUUAUAGAUAAAACUCCCAUCUCUCUGGGACAGAGCACCUGGGGGAAGGGGCGGCUGUGGGCACAGCUUCAGCAGACUUAAGUGUUCCUGCCUGCCAGCUCUGAAGAGAGCAGUGGAUCUCCCAGCAUAGCAUUUGAGCUCUGCUAAGGGACAGACUACCUUCUCAAGUGGGUCCCUGAGCCCCGUGCCUCCUGACUGGGAGACACCUCCCAGCAGGCAUCAACAGACACCUCAUACAGGAGAGCUCUGGCUGGCAUCUGGCAGGUGUCCCCCUGGGACGAAGCUUCCAGAGGAAGGAAAAGGCAGCAAUCUUUGUUGUUCUGCAGACUCUGCCAGUGAUACCCAGGCAAAUAGGGUCUGGAGUGGACCUCCAGCAAACUCCAGUAGACAUGCAACAGAGGGGCCUGACGGUUAGAAGGAAAACUAACAGACAGAAAAGAAUAGCAUCAAAAUCAAGAAAAAAGAUGUCCAUUCAAAAACCCCAUCUGAAGGUCACCAACAUCAAAGACCAAAGGUAGAUAAGGCUGAAAAUUCCAAAAACCAGAGUGCCUCUUUCCUCCAAAGGAUCACAACUCCUUGCCAGAAAGGGAACAAAACUGGACGGAGAAUGAGUUUGAUGAAUUGACAGAAGUAGGCUUCAGAAGGUGAGUAAUAACAAACUCCUCUGAGCUAAAGGAGCAUGUUUUAACCCAAUGCAAGGAAGCAAAGAAUCUUGAAAAAGGGUUAGAGGAAUUGCUAACAAGAAUGAUCAGUUUAGAGAAGGACAUAAGUGACCAGAUGGAGCUGAAAAACAUAGCACGAGAACUUCGUGAAGCAUACACAAGUAUCAAUAGCCAAAUAGAUCAAGCGGAAGAAAGGAUAUCAGAGGCUGAAAAUCAACUUAAUGAAAUAAAGUGUGAAGACAAGAUUAGAGAAAAAAGAAUGAAAAGGAAUGAAUAAAGCCUCCAAGAAAUAUGGGACUAUGUGAAAAGACCAAAUCUACGUUUGAUUGGUGUACCUGAAAGUGAUGGGGAGAAUAGAACCAAGUUGGAAAGCAGUCUUCAGUUUAUUAUCCAAGAGAACUUCCCCAACAUAGCAAGACAGGCCAACAUUCAAAUUCAGGAAAUACAGAGAACACCACAAAGAUACUCCUCAGAAAGAGCAACCCUAAGACACAUAAUCGUCAGAUUCACCAAGGUUGAAAUGAAGGAAAAAUGUUAAGGGCAGCUAGAGAGAAAGUUUGGGUUAUGCACAAAGGGAAGCCCAUCAGACUAACAGCAGAUCUCUCUGCAGAAACGCUACAAGGCAGAAGAGAGUGGGCGCCAAUAUUCAACAUUCUUAAAGAAAAUAAUUUUCAACCCAGAAUUUCAUAUCCAGCCAAACUAAGCUCAUAAGUGAAGGAGAAAUAAAAAUCCUUUACAGACAAGCAAAUGCUGAGAGAUUUUGUCACUAUCAGGCCUGCCUUACAUGAGCUCCUGAAGGAAACACUAAAUAUGGAAAGGAAAAACUGGUACCAGCCACUGCAAAAACAUACCAAAUUGUAAAGACCAUUGACACUAUGAAGAAACUCCAUCGAUGCUAUGAAAAACUGCAUCAACUAAUGGGCAAAAUAACCAGCUAGCAUCACAAAGACAGGAUCAAAUUCACACAUAACAAUAUUAACCUUAAAUGUAAAUGGACUAAAUGCCCCAACUAAAAGACACAGACUGGCAAAUUGGAUAAAGUCAAGACCCAUAGGUGUGCUGUAUUCAGGAGACCCAUCUCACGUGCAAAGACACACAUAGGCUCAAAAUAAAGGAAUGGAGGAAGAUUUACCAAGUAAAUGGAAAGCAAAAAAAAAAAAAAAAAAAAAAAAAAAAAAAAAAAAGCAGGGGUUGCAAUUCUAGUCUCUCAUAAAACAGACUUUAAACCAACAAAGAUCAAUAGAGACAAGGGCAUUACAUAAUGGUAAAGGGACCAAUGCAACAAAAAGAGCUAACUAUCCUAAAUAUAUAUGCCCCCAAUACAGGAGUACCCAGAUUCAUAAAGCAAGUUCUUAGAGACCUACAAAGAGACUUACACUCCCACACAAUAAUAGUGGGAGACUUUAACACCCCACUGACAAUAUUAGACAGAUCAACAAGACAGAAAAUUAACAAGGAUAUUCACUAUUUGAACUCAGCUCUGGAUCAAGCAGACCUACUAGACAUCUACAGAACUCUCCACCCCAAAUCAACAGAGUAUGCAUUCUUCUUAGCACCACAUCACACUUAUUCUAAAAUCAACCACAUAAUUGGAAGUAAAACAUUCCUAAGCAAAUGCAAAAGAAUGGAAAUCAUAACAAACAGUCUCUGAGACCAAAGUGCAAUCAAACUAGAACUCAGGAUUAGGAAACUCACUCAAAACUGCACAACUACAUGGAAACUGAACAACCUGUUCCUGAAUGACUACUUGGUAAAUAAGGAAAUUAAGGCAGAAAUAAACAAGUUCUUUGAAACCAAUGAGAACAAAGACACAACUUACCAGAAUCUCUGAGACAAAGCUAAAGCUGUGUUUAGAGGGAAAUUUAUAGCACUAAAAGCACACAGGAGAAAGUGGAAAAGAUCUAAAAUCAACACCCUAACAUCACAAUUAAAAGAACGAGAGAAGCAAGAGCAAACAAAUUCAAAAGCUAGCAGAAGACAAUAAAUAAUCAAGAUCAGAGCAGAACUGAAGGAGAUGAAAAAACUGAUGAAUCUAGGAUCUGGUUUUUUGAAAAGAUCAACAAAAUAGAUAGAAUGUUAGCUAGACUAAUAAAGAAGAAAAGAGAGAAGAAUCAGAUAAACACUAUAAAAAAUGAUAAAGGGGAUAUCACCACUGAUCCCCAUGGAAAUACAAACUCCCAUCAGAGAAUACUAUAAACACCUCUACUCAAAUAAACUAGAAAAUCUAGAAGAAGUGGCCGGGCGCGGUGGCUCCCACCUAUAAUCCCAGCACUUUGGCAGGCCGAGGCAGGUGGAUCAUGAGGUCAGGAGAUCGAGACCAACCUGGCUAACACAGUGAAACCCUGUCUCCACUAAAAAUCCAAAAAUUCUCCAGGCGUGGUGGUGGGCGCCUGUAGUCCUAGCUACUCGGGAGGCUGAGGCAGGAGAAUGGCAUGAGCCCGGGAGGCGGAGCUUGCGGUGAGCGGAGAUUGUGCCACUGCACUCCAGUCUGGGUGACAGAGCGAGACUCUGUCUCAAAAUAAAUAAAUAAAUAAAUAAAAGGAAAAUCUAGAAGAAAUGGAUGAAUUCUUGACCCCACAUACACCCUCCCAAGACUAAACCAGGAAGAAGUCGAAUACCUGAAUAGACCAAUAACAAGUUCUGAAAUUGAGGCAGUAAUUAAUAGCCUACCAACCAAAAAAAGUCCAGGACGAGAUGGAUUCACAGCCGAGUUCUACCAGAGGUACAAGAGGAGCUGGUACCAUUCCUUCUGAAACUAUUCCAAAUAAUAGAAAAAGAGGGACUCCUCCCUAACUCAUUUAAUGAGGCCAGCAUCAUCCUGACACCAAAACCUAGCAGAGACACAACAAAAAAUAAAAUUUCAGGCCAAUAUCCCUGAUGAACAUCGAUGUGGAAAUCCUCAAUAAAAUACUGGCAAACCGAAUCCAGUGGCACAUCAGAAAGCAUAUCCACCAUGAUCAAGUCGGCUUCAUCCCUGGGAUGCAAGACUGGCUCAACAUAUGCAAAUCAGUAAACGUAAUCCAUCACAUAAACAGAACCAAUGUCAAAAACCACAUGAUUAUCUCAAUAGAUGCAGCAAAGGCCUUCAAUAAAAUUCAACACCGCUUCAUGCUAAAAACUCUCAAUAAACUAGGUAUUGAUGGAAUGUAUCUCAAAAUAAUAAGAGCUAUUUAUGACAAACCCACAGACAAUAUCAUACUGAAUGGGCCAAAGCUGGAAGCAUUCCCUUUGUAAACCUGCACAAGACAAGGAUGCCCUUUCUCACCACUCCUAUUCAACAUAAUAUUGGAAUUUCUUGCCAGGGCAAUCAGGCAAGAGAAAGAAAUAAAGGGUAUUCAAGUAGGAAGAGAGGAAGUCAAAUUGUCUCUGUUUGCAGAUGACAUGACUGUAUAUUUAGAAAACCCCAUUGUCUCAGCCCAAAAUCUCCUUAAGCUGAUAAGCAACUUUGGCAAAGUCUCAGGGUACAAAAUCAAUAAGCAAACGUCACAGGCAUUUCUAUACACCAAUAAUAGUCAAACAGAGAGCUAAAUCAUGAGUGAACUCCCAUUCACAAUUGCUAGAAAAAGAAUAAAAUACCUAGGAAUACAACUUACAAGGGAUGUGAAGGACCUCUUCAAGAAGAACUACAAACCACUGCUGAAGGAAAUAAGAGAGGACACAAACAAAUGGAAAACCAUUUCAUGCUCCUGGAUAGGAAGAAUCAAUAUUGUGAAAAUGGCCAAUCUACUCAAAGUCAUUUAUAGAUUCUAUGCUAUUCCCAUCAAGCUACCAUUGACUUUCUUCACAGAAUUAGAGAAAACUACUUUAUAUGUCAUAUGGAACCAAAAAAGAGCCCGUAUAGCCAAGACAAUCCAAGCAAAAAGAACAAAGCUGGAAGCAUCAUGCUACCUGACUUCACACUAUACUACAAGGUUAUAGUAACCAAAACAGCAUGGUACUGGUACCAAAAAUAGAUAUGUAGACCAAUGGAACAGAACAGAGGUCUCAGGAAGAAUGCCACACAUCUACAACCAUUUGAUCUUUGGCAAACCCGACAGAAACAAGCAAUGGAGAAAGGAUUCCCUAUUUAAUCAUUGGUGUUGGGCAAACUGGCUAGCCAUAUGUAGAAAACUGAAACUGGACCCCUUCCUUACACCUUAUACAAAAAUUAACUUGAGAUAGAUUAAAGUCUUAAACAUAAGACCUAAAACCAUAAAAACCCUAGAAGAAAACCUAGGCAUUACCAUUCAGGACAUAGGCAUGGGCAAGGACUUCAUGUCUAAAACACCAAAAGCAAUGGCAACAAAAGACAAAAUUGACAAAUGGGAUCUAAUUAAACUAAAAAGUUUCUGCACAGCAAAAGAAACUAUCAUCAGAAUGAACAGGCAACCUAUAGAAUAGGAGAACAUUUUUGCCAUCUAUCCAUCUGACAAAGGGCUAAUAUCCAGAAUCUACAAAGAAUUUAAACAAAUGUACAAGAAAAAAAACAAACAACCCCAUCAAAAAGUGUGUGAAGGAUAUGAACAGACAUUUCUCAGAAGACAUUUAUGUUGCCAACAAACGUAUGAAAAAAAGCUCAUCAUCACUGGUCAUUAGAGAAAUGCAAAUCAAAACAACCAUGAGAUACCAUCUCAUGCCAGUUAGAAUGGCGAUCAUUAAAAAGUCAGGAAGGAACAGAUGCUGGAGAGGAUGUGGAGAAAUAGGAACACUUCUACAGUGUUGGUGGGAGUGUAAGUUAGUUCAACUAUUGUGGAAGACAGUGUGGCAAUUUUUCAGGGAUCUAGAAACAGAAAUACCAUUUGACCCAGUAAUCCCUAUUACUGAGUAUAUACCUAAAGGAUUAUAAAUCAUUCUGCUAUAAAGACACACGCACACACAUGUUUAUUGAAGCACUAUUCACAACAGCAAAGACUUGGAACCAACUCAAAUGUCUAUCAAUUAUAGACUAGAUAAAGAAAAUGUGGCACACAUACACCAUGGAAUACUAUGCAGCCAUAAAAACGGAUGAGUUUAUGUUCUUUGCAGGGACAUGGAUGAAGCUGGAAACCAUCAUUCUCAGCAAACUAACACAGGAACCGAAAACCAAACACCGCAUAUUCUCACUCAUAAGUGGGAGUUGAGCAAUGAGAACACAUGGACACAGGGAGGGAAACAUCACACACCGGGGCCUGUCAGGGGGUUGGGGGCUAGGGGAGGGAUAGCAUUAGGAGAAAUAUGGGUUGGUGGAUGCAGCAAGCCACCAUGGCAUGUGUAUACCUAUGUAACAAACCUGCACGUUCUGCACAUGUAUCCCUGAACUUAAAGUAUAAUAAAAAUAAAAAAAUAAUAAUAAGCCAAAAAAAAUAUAAAAAUUAGUUGGGUGUGGUGCCAGGCACCUGUAAUCCCAGCUACUCAGGAGGCUGAGGCAGGAGAAUCACUUGAACCCAGGAGGCAGAGGUUGCAGUGAGCAGAGCUUGUGUCAUUGUACACCAGCCUGGGCAACAGAGAGACUCUGUCUCAGUAAUAAUAAUACCUUUGAUUUUUGUAUGUUGGCUUUUACCUUCUGACCUCGCUGAACUUAUUUAUUUAUUCAUGAGAGAUAAAGUCUCUGUCAGCUAGGCUGGAGUACAGUGGCAUGAUCAUAGCUCACUGUCACCUUGAAUUCCUGGUCUCAAGGGAUUCUACCACCUCAGCCUCCUGAGUAACAGGGACUACAGGUAUGAACCACUAUACCCAGCUAAUUUUCUUUUAUUUUUUUGUAGAGACAGGGUGUCCCUAUGUUGCCCAGGCUGGUCUUGAACUCCUGGGCUCAAGCGAUCCUCCUGCCUUGGCCUCCCAAGUUGCUGGGAUUAUAGCCAUGAGCCACUGUGCUUGGUCCUUUUUUAUUAGUGGAUUUUGUAGGAUUUUCUAUAUAAGAUGGCAUCAUUUGUAAAUAGAGAUAGUUUUACUUCUUUUCUAAUCUCAAUGCCUUUUAUUUUUCUUGCCUAAUUGCCAGGGCCUCAUAAACUGUAAAUCUUAUCUAGACAUACGUAAAUAUUUAUUAUUUCUUAUAAAGUUGAGUCACUCUACUGGGUAUUUAGAUGAGCAGUAGAGAUCAUGGCAAGUCCAAAUCAACUACCGGUGAUUUUCUUUGGCUUCUGGCCUGUCUUUAAGAAAAGAUUCAUUUUUAAAAUUUAUACAAUGGCUAUUUUCUUUAUCCCUUUAUAUCAGGAAAGUAACCUUGGCUCUUAUUCAUAUCUGUAAAAGCUUGACAGAAUUGGUAGCAUGAUUGAGUAUGGGCCAAAUGCGGGGAUGGAGAGUUCUUAGUAUAUACAAUCCAUUCCUCCUCUAUUUCCUACAGGUCAUCACAGACCUAUGAAGAGUAAGGAUCCAUCUGCCAUAGAUAAGGUGAAUGAGAGAUUCCAGAGGUUCUGGGAUGGGGCUAGGAAAUGCUCACAUAAGGAAACAUUUAAUACAUAUUUAUUAUAGCCAUAUAAAUGUACAGAAAACUAUGAAAUAUGGGCUUUGCCCUCUUAUUUUCCUAUUUCCCAAAAAACAUCUAUAUUUUUUAAAUAGGAUCUUGAAAACACAAGCAGAAUUCCUGCAGAAUAAGCACAUAUUUAAUAUUUAAAAAUGAAUUAUACAAAACAGAGGCUUUUAAUGUUAUGCCAACCUUCCCUGCUCAUUUAUGCACUAUAACUCCAAAAUGUGAUUACAAGGCUAAUUGGAAUUAAAUUGAAGUCAAAUACACCUUUUGCUUGAUUGAUCUUAACCAGAUUAGAGAAAGACAGCCAGCUUUGUCCAUUAAAUUUGACGUAAUCUCAGGUAGCAAGAAGUUUUGUGGGUCUCAUUCAGUCAGCAAUUCUUUUUAUUUUAACUUCAUGGCCUAUAACAGGAAUAUAUGCUGAACUUUGGGUUACGUAAGUGAAACAUAUUGGAUAAUACAUUACAUGACCUGAAGGUAAUGUGAUUCAAAAUGAAAUUGCAAGUGAAAGGUGAGAAUUAAAAUGAAGUAUGAAAACUUGAUUCACUGAAGUGAACACUGUUUUUCACAGUAAGUGGCAAACUUAAGGAUUGGAACGUAAAUAAAAAUUGAAGGCAAUGCCUGGGGCUGUAAGCUAUAUUAAAUGUUGCCUAACAACACUGGGAAUCUCAGCCUCUACGUGUAUUAGAUCUUAAGAAACAGAUAUAAAAUAUUACCAAAAUUGAGCCAGGAGCUGUGGCUUGCACCUGUAAUCCCACCUAUUCCGGAGGCUGAGGCAGGAGGAUCACUUGAGCCUGGGCAACAUAGUAAGACCCCAUCUCUAAAAAAAGUUUUAAAAUUAGUCAGGCAUGGUGGCACAGGCCUGUAGUCCUAACUACUUGAGAGGGUGAGGAGGCUGAGGUAGGAGGAUCACUGGAGCCUAGAACUUUGAGGCUGCAGUGAGCCAUGAUCAUGCCACUGCACUCUAGUUUAGGUGACAGAGAGAGAUGCUGUCUCUAAAAAUAUAUAUAUAUAAAAUUAUAUAUUAUAUAUUAUAAUUAUAACAAUUAUAAUUAAUAUAUCACAUAAUCAUAUAAUUAUGUUAUUUAUAAUCAUAUUAUUUAUAAUAUAAUUAAUAUUAUAUAUAUCUCAAAAUGUUGUAAGGCUAUAGUGAUAUUUGUUGUCUUUUUACAUUACUACUAGAGAAAACACCUGUAGAGGGUCCUGAUAGUUAAAGGGUAAUCUCUAUCCAUCAGUAGCUACAAAUAGUUGAAAAUAUUGUAAAAAAGCCACCGUUGAACACUUCAAAAUGGGGUUUUACAGAAAAGUUUCAGUAGGAAAAUUUUGCCAUUAGACAAAGACCUUUACAACAAUGCUGCUAUUUUGUAGAGGGGAAGGGGAGAUAACUGGAUUCCAAAUAAGACUACUUCCACUCAGAAAAACACAAAGACUGUUGCCUACUAACAACUAAAUAGUGUACCUUGUUUGCCUUUGAGGAAAUAUGCCAUAAGCACAUGGAAUGAAAGUAUCAACCACAUGACUGCUUUUUUUUUUUUUAAAUACUAGCAUUUAUUGAGCACUUUAUGUAGACAGACUGCAAUUUAUCCUGCAUAAAAUAUUCUUUAUUUCCUAAUUUACUCCUUCUAACAAUCCUGUGAGGUAGGUACUGUUAAUGGGUCCCAUUUUUCAGACUUGAGAGUUUAGGGUGAUUAAGUAACUUGCCUAAUAUCGUGUAGCUAGUAAAUGGUGCAUAUAGACAAUGGUCUGUGACAACAGAGAUUGGGCUGUUUAUUUGGGUGGAGGGGAACAGGUUCUUGCUCUGUCGCCCAGGCUGGAAGGCUGGAGUGCAGUGGCACAACCUUGGGUCACUGCAACCUCCGCCUUCUGGGCUCAAGCGAUUCUCAUGCCUCAGCCUCCUGAGUAGCUGGGAUUACAGGUGCGCACCACCACACCUGGCUAAUUUUUGUGUUUUUAGUAGAGAUGGGAUUUCACCAUGUUGGCCAGGUUGGUCUCGAACUCCUGACAUCAAGUGAUCCGCCCACCUCAGCCUUCCAAAGUCCUGGGAUUACAGGUGUGAGCCACCGCACCCGGACUGAGAUAAAGCUCUUAACAAUAUUAUAUUCCAGUAUUUGUUUCUGGUAUUAUGUGUUUUAUUCUAGUGAGACAUAAUACUGACCAUGGAGGGAUUCAGAAAAUUAAAAUGAAAAUCAUCUUUGGAUCACGCUUUGUAGAAAUUGCUUUUUAUGAUCAACGGCUACAUAUAAAAAUGUUUUUACCCCCUUCUUAGAAGUACCAGUCUUUUCCAAUGUUUAUAUAGGCAUAUCUAUAUUUCUUUAAACAAUUUUAUUGAAAUAUAAUUAACAUCAAUUAACUUCAUAUAUUUAAAAGACACAAUUUGAUUAGUUUUAAGAUAUGUAUACACCUGUGAAAUCAUCACCACAAUCAAGAUAACAUUUUAAACAACUCCUAAAAUUUCCGCUUGCUUUUAAAAAAAUCUAUCCCUUCCUGCAUUAUCGCCUCCCUUUACCAGUGUCCUCAGGAAACCACUGAGCUUCUUUCUUUCAGUGUAGAUUAGUUAGCAUUUCCUGAAAGUUUAUAUAAAAGAGAUCACAAUUACACACUUUUUUAAAGUAGGGGGUGAGGGCCUGGCUUCUUAGAAAAACAUUAUAAUUUGAGAUUUAUCCAAGUUGUUUCUUGUGUCAGUAGUUCAUUCCAUUUGAUUGCCAAGGUGUAUUUGGUCAUAUGAACAUACCACCAUCCAUGAUCUAUUGAUGAAUAUUUAGAUUGUUUCCAGUUUGAGGCUAUUUACAAAUAAAAACAACUAUGGACAUUUGGAUGCAAGUCUUUGUGUGUAUAUCUUAGAUAAAUGUUUUCGAGGAAAUAGUUGGUGUAUAAUUAACUAUUUAGGAAACUCCAAGACUCUUUUUAAAAGCGGUUGUACUAUUUUAUAUUAACACCACUAAUGUAAGAGAUUUCAGUUGCUCCUCAUCCUUACCAACAGUUUGUACAGUGUUUUCAAUUUAGCCAUUCUAGUGGGUGGGUUUUUGUUUGUUUGUUUGUUUAUUUUGGGAUAAUUUUGUAGUUUUAACUUAAAUUUAUCUGGUAACUAAUGAUGUUGAACUUUUUUUUUUUUUUUUUUUUUUUUUGAGACAGCUCACUCUGUCAGUCAGGCUGGAGUGCAGUGGUGAGAUCUCAGCUCACUGCAACCUCCAUCUCCCAGGUUGAAGCAAUUCUCCUGCCUCAGCCUGUUGAGUAGCUGGGAUUACAGGCACCCACCAUCACAUUCGGCUAAUUUUUGUAUUUUUUAGUAGAGAUGGGGUUUCACCAUGUUGGUCAGGCUGGUCUCAAACUCCUGACCUCGUUAUCUCCCUGCCUCGGCCUUCCUAAGUGCUGGGAUUACAGGCGUGAGCCACCGCUCCCAGCUUUGAUGUUGGACAUUUUUAACCUGCUUAUUAGAUGUUAGAUGUUCAUAGAUCUUCUUUUGUGAAGUGUCUGUUCAUACCUUUUAUCUAUUUUUAUUGGGUUAUUUUUCUUUGCUAAUGAGUUAUAAGACUUCUUUAAAUAUUCUGGAUUGAGUUGUAAGAGUUCUUUAAAUAUUCUGGAUAUAAGUUCUUUUUUUGUUAUAUGUGUCACAAAAUUUUUCUUCCACUCUGUGGUUUGCUUUUUGCUUUUCUUUAUAUAUAUAUAUGUAUUUAUUAUACUUUCAGUUCUAGGGUACAUGUGCACAACAUGCAGGUUUGUUACAUAUGUAUACAUGUGCCAUGUUGGUGUGCUGCACCCAUUAACUUGUCAUUUAGCAUUAGGUAUAUCUCCUAAUGCUAUCCCUCCCCACUCCCCCCACCACACAACAGGCCCCGGUGUGUGAUGUUCCCCUUCCUGUGUCCAAGUGUUCUCAUUGUUCAAUUCCCAACUAUGCGUGGGAACAUGUGGUGUUUGGUUUUUUCUCCUUGCAAUAGUUUGCUGAGAAUGAUGGUUUCCAGCUUCAUCCAUGUCCCUACAAAGGACACGAACUCAUCAUUUUUUAUGGCUGCAUAGUACUCCAUGGUGUAUAUGUGCCACAUUUUCUUAAUCCAGUCUAUCAUUGUUGGACAUUUGGGUUGGUUCCAAGUCUUUGGUAUUGUGAAUAGUGCCGCAAUAAACAUACGUGUGCACAUGUCUUUAUAGCAGCAUUAUUUUUAAUCCUUUGGGUAUAUACCCAGUAAUGGGAUGGCUGGGUCAAAUGGUAUUUCUAGUUCUAGAUCCCUGAGGAAUCGCCACAGUGUCUUUUUGCAAUCUACUCAUCUGACAAAGGGCUAAUAUCCAGAAUCUACAAAUAACUCAAACAAAUUUACAAGAAAAAAACAAACAACCCCAUCAAAAAGUGGGCGAAGGACAUGAACAGACACUUCUCAAAAGAAGACAUUUAUGCAGCCAAAAGACACAUGAAAAAAUGCUCAUCAUCACUGGCCAUCAGAGAAAUGCAAAUCAAAACCACAAUGAGAUACCAUCUCACACCAGUUAGAAUGGCGAUCAUUAAAAAGUCAGGAAACAACAGGUGCUGGAGAGGAUGUGGAGAAAUAGGAACACUUUUACACUGUUGGUGGGACUGUAAACUAGUUCAACCAUUGUGGAAGACGGGGCUUUUUGCUUUUCUUAAGGGUUUCUCUUGUGUAGCAAUAUUUUUAAAAUAUGUGUUUUAUCUUUUUCUUCGUGGUUUGUGUUUUUUGUGUUCUGGCACAGGAACCUUUGCCUACAACAAGGUCACAGAGAUUUUCUCCUAUGUUUUUCUCUAGACAUUUUGUAGUUUUAGGUGUUACAUGAUUCAUUUAGAUUUUAUUGUUGCAUGUGGUGUAAGGUAAAUGGCCAUGUUUAUUUAUUCUACAUGAUGUCCAGUUGAAUCAGAACCACUUGUGAAGAACUUCUCUUUCAUCACUUAAUGUCUUUGGCACCUUUAUGAAAAUUGAUAGUAUGUGUGGGUGUGGGUGGGAUUUGUUUCUGUACUUCCAUCCUGUACCGUUUACCUAUAUGUGUAUCAUUUCAACAAUGCUAAUCUGAAUUAAUAUAGGUUUACAAUAAGUCUUAUAAUAAGGUAGUGUAAGUUCUCCAACUUCUGUUUUUCAAAAAUUUUUUAUUUUUCUAGUGUAGAGGAAGAAUAAUCCCCAUAGGUUCCUAGAUGGAACAUGCCAUUGUAACAAAAAACAAAUUAACAAGAGAAAAACAGAUGUUUAUUAGCAGGUAUAUUUUGUAUAUACAUGGCAACACCAGGGAAUGCGGUUGUUCUCAAAGAAGUAGCUUUGAAUUUCAGCACAUAUAUCAUCUUCAACAAAAAAACAGUAAGUUUUUAGAGAAGUGACAAGACAAAGGAAAAGGAGUGUGAUUCUCUAGGGGUAAUAACUUGCGGGAAACCAAAUAAAUGGCAGAUAAAGGCUAGUUAGUAAAGCUUGUUAAUGUAGAUUCCUCUGUUACUGUUACAGGACCAACAAGUUUAUAUGCCCACUGCAGAGUAACAGACCAAUUACAUCAAAACAGCAGGGUUUGCAGCAGAGGAAGUUUGACGAUUGUAGGGCAUCAAGCAAGGCCAUCAAAUUCAUCUCUCCAAGGAGUUCUGGGCUGAGAUUUUUGAAGGGAUCAUGGAGGGCAAGGGGCUGGAAAAUCGGGGCUAUUGAAUGGUUGGGUUAAAGAGGAUAUGGAAACUGCAUUCUUUUGUGAGUCAGCCUCUCCUGGGGUCCCUCAGACCAGCUGACAUCAGUAGUGUCACUGGUAUGCAGAACCUAAAAAAUUAUUUGAAAGCAGAAACAAUGCCUCAUAAUGUUCAAGUUAUUAUCUAGGGUAUUUAAGAGGAACUAUAAUCUUAUAACAGGGUCUCAGUGAUUCUGAGGCAAUAGACAGCAAAGGACUAGGAGGAAGCAGGCUGGGGAGCAAGCUGACCUCAGGACUAAUGUUAAAUGUGCUGCAAGCUUGGUUAAUUUUUUUUCUCCCCCUCCCUUCUCUGAUUCAUUCUAUACAGUUUAUAGGGACAGUCUCAGUACUAUCUCUAGAUGAUAAGGGUCUAAAGUUUGUUUUUGGUGGUUAACCUUUGUUCUCCCUGUUUAGGGGGUGGCCAUUUGUCUUUGUAAAUCUAUGUCCUGCUUUUAGGCAAACAGAGGGAGGAAAGGGAGCUUUCUUUUCUUUUUUUUUUUGACAGAGUCUUGCUCUGUCGCCCAGGCUGGAGUGCAGUGGCGCGAUCUCGGCUCACUGCAAACUCCGCCUCCUGGGUUCACACCGUUCUCCUGCCUCAGCCUCUCCCAGUAGCUGGGACUACAGGCGCCCUCCACCACGCCCGGCUAAUUUUUUUGUAUUUUUAGUAGAGACGGGGUUUCACCGUGAUCUCGAUCUCCUGACCUCGUGAUGCGCCUGCCUCGGCCUCCCAAAGUGCUGGGAUAGCAAGAGUGAGCCACUGCACCGGGCCAUGAGCUUUCCUGCAUCUGUUUCUUCUUGAUUGUCUUCAGCUCAACAAUCCUUCAUAUUUUGGGGUGAUAUAUUCUCUUCUGUCACCCCAGGUACUUUGCAUUUCCAUAUAAAUUUUAGAAUCAGCUUGACAAUUUAUAGUUUUUUUUUCUUUUAAGCCUUCUGGAAGUUUGAUUGUGAUUGCAUUUAAUGUAUAGAUUAAUCAAGGAAAAAUUCCCAUCUUAAAAUAAUAUCUUUUUAUUCGUGGACAUAUUAUAUUUCUUCAUUUACUUAAGCCUUUUAAAAUUUCUUUAGCAAUAUUUUGUAGUUUGUAGGGUAGAAAUCUUGGACAUCAUUUGUUAGGUUAAUUUCUAAAUAUUUUAUAUUUUGUUACCAUAAAUAGAUAUUUUACUGCUAGCAUAUACGAAUACAGUGGACUUUAAAAUAUUAAAAUACAUAUAUCUAAUUUGGAAGAUACUGCUAAAUUCACUUAUUAAUUUUAUUAUGAUAUGAUACCUUUCCCAUUUUAAGAACAGAAGUAAAAAAUAAGAAUAAAAAAGUCCUUGCAGCUACUUGUUUCCUCCUCUUCAUCAAAGUUUUCUUAAAAAUUGAAGUGUUGUUUCCACAUCUUCUCAUAUUCAUCUCUCAAUAAAUUCUAAUCUAUUUUACCUUCCUAACAUCUGCUGAGAUUCCCAUAUCUCUUCAUUGCAAUUUCUAACACCAUGCCCAGCAGAAUACUACUAUUUUCCCAUUAUACAAUGACAUUUUUUUACUUACUGUCUUGUUUGACCUCUUGCCAUUUUUAACACUGUUGAUAGCAUUUAAUACACCUUUGUUUCCGAUUUAAAUAAUUUCUACGUCUCUAGCAACUUGUUUUCAAUCUUCUCAGUAUAAGCUUUUUCCUUUGUUCAGUCUUUUAUAUUAGGAAUCUUGUGUUAGCCCUGCUUCCCACUUCACACACUCUUCUUGGAUUCUUUUAUAUAAUUCUCUGACUUCAAUUAUUAUUCAUAUGUUGAUGACUUUGACAUCUGUAACUCCAGGCCAGAUCUCUUUACUAAAAUCUAGAUAAAAACCGAGCAUCCUUUCUUAGUCUGGCAACUUGCCUCUUAAAGGACAGAGACUAACACAGAAAAAGAAACCUGGGUUUCAUCCUUGAUAACCAGCAUCUAGUCAUUGCCAAAUCAUUUCAUUUUAUCUCCUUAAUGACUCAUAAACUGUGAACUUUUUUCAAUUUCCAUUGAAACGAACUUAACUUAGGCCAAUAUCAUCUUUCAUUGGAACCUAAUCCUGAUCAUUUACCUGGCUUCCAUUCUUACUCCAAGCUCACUUACACGGCUCACUGCAAGCUCCACCUCCCGAGUUCACGCCAUUCUCCUGCCUCAGCCUCCCGAGUAGCUGGGACUACAGGCGUCCGCCAUCACGCCCUGCUAAUUUUUUGCAUUUUUAGUAGAGACGGGGUUUCGUCAUGUUGGCCAGGAUGGUCUCCAUCUCUUGACCUGGUGAUCCACCCACCUAGGCCUCCCAAAGUGCUGGGAUUACAGGCGUGAGCCACCGCGCCCGGCCUCAAGGUCUCUCUUAUCUUCUUUUGUUUCUGCCCGCAAGUGCAGGGAGGGGAUCUCUCUGAAAUUGUCUUCUCUUCCCUUAUUCAAAAGGAAUGCAAUUGUCUUGAACUCCCUCCCUAGGAAUCUCAAACAACCAGGGGUAUUAAUUACCAAAGAGGAGAUUAAAAGUCAUCACCACAUCCAGACAGGCUAUUGCCUAUUCUUCUGGAGGCUUCUCUGAAACAACUCUUGUUACCUGAGAGAUUUUAUCUGCAAAAUAAGACAACCUUUAUUCACCAUGCAAUUUCUCUCCUUUCCCUUCCAUUAUUUGUGAUCACUUUCCCACAAAGCUUCAAGACUUUAUUCUUUUAUGUUAUAAAAACUUCACUCAUCUGCCCCUUCUUUAAGACUCGUAUCUUUUUAUUAGGUUCAUUUCUGCAUGCACAUAAUUAAAAUGGUUUUUAUCCUGUUAAUCUGUUUAUUGUCAGUUUAUUUUAGCAGACUCAAUGAUCAAAUCUUUAGAGGGAAAGUUUAAACUUUCCUACAAUAUCAAAAUGAUUACCUUCUAAAACAUGUAAAUUUUCUCAUAUUAAACCAAUGUGUGUAAAUUCACUUCUAAUGUUUCUAAUUUGAAUUAUUAAGUUAGUCAAACAGAUAAGAAUGUUGUUCAAACUGAAGAUGCAUCAAUAAAAAUUAUCCAAUCUGAAGAACAGAGGGAAAAUAAAAACUGAAAAAUAAUGAACAGAGCCCCAGUGGCCUAUGAGCUACUAUUAGGUACUUUCAGAAAUCAAGUUUUUUCUAAAAAGUGUGAACUACUAACACAUACCAGAUCAUGAAUAAAUUUCAAAAAGAAUUAUUUUGAGGGGAAAAACCGGAUACGAAAGAGUGCAUUUUACCUAUUCUAGAAAUUAGCUAGAAUAUAGCUCUAUGAUUAUAUUUAUGUGAAGUUCUAGAGUAGGUAAAAUGCACCUAUCAUGGAAAAAAUAAGAAAUAUACAUGGAUUAAUUUUAUAUUGACAAAAGUUAAGCCAAGAAAGGCAUAGUCAUUUAAAAAUACUGAAUCAUACUCAAUAGCAACAAAAAUAAUCUAUAUUCACACACGUAACAAACAUAAAAUUGAAUGAAGGAGGCCAGGCACAAAAUCUAAUACUGAAUGAUUCAAUUUAUAUAAAUUUCACAAGUAAGCAAACAUAAACCAUGAUGCUUAACUGUAUAUAACUUUAUAAUCAAAGUAUAAAGAAAGGCAAGAUCAUGACUUCUAUAAAAGUCAACUUUGUGGCUAUCUUUGGAGCUGGACAUAGAAGGGUUUGUGACUGAGAAGAUGUUCAGAGUUCUGGCAAUAUUUUAUUUUUGAUUUGAGUGCUGGUUACUAGUGUUCACUUUAUAAUAAUUAAGGAGAAAAACAGUGGUUCAGUUAAGUGCAUUUGCUAAAUGUAAGCCGCAUCAAAACAUGGACUGUUUCUUCAGUGCUUUAUCUCUAGCAUCUAGCACAUAGUGAGUGUCCAAUAAAUAUUUUGAGAGAAUGAAUGAAUGAACUAAGCACACAUUCUGUGUUCAGCCUCCAGCUAGUAGGCAUUGCUAUGGGGUAUGCUGAAACUACAGAUGAUCUUAUUUUAAUGGGAGAAAUAGGAAUAUCUGCAACAUGCAGAGAACAACUAGUUAAUUCACAAAUUAACUUUUGAUUUAUUUUUCAUUUUCCAAGGCCAUGAUCUAGUUGUCAUACUUUAUUCAUCACCAUCAUAAUAUCAUAUUUAGCAAAUUCCUAUUCUCUAAGUAAGUGAUAGCAGGUUUGGCACUCAACUUUUGCAAACGGGUUCCUUUUAAAGUGUGCAUUUUUCUUAUGAAAGAAAUUACAUCUCAUUUGUGAAAAUGCACGUAAAAAUCAUUAUCAAUGGCUCCUAAUAAAGCUAGUAAAGGCAUAAUCUGCUAGCUAAAUAAUCAAGUUAUUUAUUUGAAGUAUAAAUAGAUUCUAAUUCAUUAUUUAACUAGUUAUUAUCUUCUGCUUACCUGAAUAUCCAGAUGUUUGCUUUUGUAUGAGAAAAUAUAUCAAAAGACAAACAGGUUAUUGCCAAUAGAAUAGUACCUAUAAAUUACAUUACAUUUGCUAUUUCAUUUUCUUCUUUUUUAAAAUGUUGCUAAAGCCUUCUCUAUUAUGGAGUUUUGAAAGUAAAUAAACUCAAUACCAUCAAGCUCAACAAUGCUAAAUGUCAGUGCAGGAAAUAGAGUAUAGAUAAUUAUCAUUUCAGUUCAUAAACAUAAAAUGUUCACCUAAUAACAUUUUAAUGUCUUUUUAAAAUAGCUUUUGCACAUAUGGGUUUGUUUUCCAAAAGAAGGAAUUUGUUACAAGGAGCUGCUUACAUUUAUUGUAAAUUGUGAAAUUGAAAAUUUCAAGAGAGUAGAAGCAGUUAUUCAAAAAAAGUAAAUACAUUUUAGUACAUACUGCCUCCCACAAGAAUAAGGACUAAAAAGAAAGCAAACAUUAAAAACAGCAAAUGCAUUAGUAGUGCUUGGUUCUAGAACUCAGAGCAAUAUUGUUUGUAUUGGAUUCCAUAGACAGUAAAAAAAAAAAAAUCUCCUUCAGAAGUGAAUAUGAUAUAAUUAGAUAUGAAAACAUAUUUUACCAAAAAAAUCACCAUCAAUUACCCUUAUUUUAUGAGGUAAAUGAGGUGCUGGGAAAAACCUUUAUUUAUUAUUUCUCUAACCCUUAUAUUUACUUUGCACUUUUGCUCUAAUCUUAAAGUAGGGUUCUUUCUAUAUCCUGUUCAUGGGAGAUAAAAUGGCUAAAGGAAAAAUGAGUUGCUGAGAUUGGAUAUGAGAGUAGGUAAGUACAAGGUCAGCAUUAGAAAAAACAGAAGAGCCAGGCACAGUGGCUCAUUCCUGUAAUCCCAGCAGUUUGGGAGGCCAAAGUGAGUGAAUUGUUUGAAGCCAGGAAAGACCAGCCUGGGCAACAAAGUGAGACCCCCGUCUCUACAAACCAAAACAAAGUUACCUGGGUGUGGUGGGGUGUGCCUGCAGUCCCAGCUACUUGGGAGACUGAAGCAGGAAUACUGUUGAUCACCCAGGAAUUCAAGGCUGCAGUGAGCUAUGAUCAUGCACGCCACUGCAACGAGACCCUCAUCUCUUAAAAAAAAAGAAGAAACAGAAGACACAGGUACAGCCCUUGUCCAAGUUAGAGCUAGUGAACAAUCUAAUACUCAUGAUAUUUCUAGUAUGUGCUUAAGUGUUGAAUGAACAAAGAAAUAGUUGUGGUAGAAAUCUGAAAGUUUGGGUAUCUAGUGGGUUGUUUACAUGUUUGAGGCCAGCAGAGAGAUCGCAGCUGAAACUGUGAAGCCUGAUUACAAUCCCCUUUGCAUAAUGAUAUUAAACGAACUGACAUUCUAUUAAUCUGCAAGAAUAAACACUGUAUUUUUCUUUCUUUCUGACUUCCUUGUCAAGGAAAAUCAUAUUUUUCUUAUAUCAGGUUUAUCAAGGCAAAAUUUACAUGGAAUAAGAUUCUAACUUUUUCGGUGUACAGUUCUGUGAACUGUGAAAAAUGGGUAAGGUUAAAUGACCAUCACUACAAUCAAGAUAUAGGAUAUUUCUAUCACUUCAAAAGAUUUUCUUUUGCGUGUUUGUAGUCAGUUCCAUCCACUAUCCCAAGCUCUUAGCAAACACUGAUCUGUUCUCUAUCCCUAUGGUUUUGCUUUCUUCAGAUCAUUGUAAAAACGAAUUAUAACAUGUAGCCUUUUUAAUCUGGCUUGUUGCACUUAGUGUAAUGCUUUUGAGAUUGAUCCAUGGUUUUCUUAUUACAGUAGGUUCUUCCUUUUUAUUACUGAAUAGCAUUCCAUUUUUUAAACAUGCCACAUGUUGCUCAGCCAGUCACCAAUUAGUGUAUAUUUGGGGUUAUUUCUACUUUGGUGAUUAUGAAUUAAGGUGCUAUAUAUAUUCAUGUAUAGGUUUUUUCCUGAGGACAUGUCUUCAUAUCUAUUUAUGAAGCGUAUAUUUAACUUUAUCAGAAACUAUUAAACUGUUUUCUAAAGCAGCUGUAUUAUUUUGCUCUACAUACUCACCAAGACGUCCCUUAUUCUGAUAGGUGUGAGUUUGUGGGUUUUAAUUUGCAUUUCCUUAAUCACUAAUGAUGUUUAUCAUCUUUUCAUGUGCUUAAUUACCAUUUGUAAAUCUGCAGUGGUGAAAUGUCAAGAAAAAUAUUCUUUAAGCUGAAAAGGGCAAGAUGUAUUUGGUGGAUCUUGGAAUUCUCCCUGUUCUCUGAGAACUACUCUCCCCCCAAGGAUGGCUCCUGGCCGCCAUGUUUAUAUUCUGAGACCUCACCACUUUCUUACCACAGAUAACUGGACCUGAUUCAGGAGAAAUCAAUCCAAUGACUGGGCUGGAUAAAUCAGAAGUCUGAAGCAGCUGCAUCAUUUAGCUAUAGAUAUUAAUUUGGAAUGGUACUGAACACAUUAUUUUUGGUCUGUUAUUAGGGUCCAUGUAUAAAUGGAGCCAGUCUGAAAAGAGAGAGAGAGAAAAUAAAAACAGAUGAGAGAUGGUUUCUGGUAGCUUUCCAGUUUGGGAAAGUCAUAACGUAUAGGUUCACUUUCUAUUCUUAAUUCUCUGUGAGAUAAUCCUAUAUCCUUUCCAUAAAUUUUCCCUUUUGAUUAAACUCACUUAAAUUAGUUUGGUUGUGUUUUUGUUCCUUGUUACCAAAUGAUCCCUGACUAAAAUAACAAAAAAAGAUGAUUUUGAAUGACAGAAAAGCAAAAUAGAGAACCAUUAAAAUUAACAGAGAUUUCAGCUUUUAUGUGUGCUGGGUUGUUUAAUUAGACAAAAAUGAGUCAAAGUAUUGAAGCCUGCCAGGCCAGUAGCUUCUUUCUGAGCCUUUCCCUGUGAAAUUAUAUUGCCAUAAUUUGUAACUCAUGGGCUUGCUACACUAAACCACAGCAGGUUUGACCUGAUACUGACAUCUGAAACAAAGGCAGCAAUCUAAAAAUUGGACAGCAAUCUGUGAGGGAGGCUGGAUCAUAAUAUGAACUAAUAAAGAUUCUCUAAAAUAUUUGAUUUGCUGAACCAAUAAGAUUCUCCAUUGUUUGUAACGAGUCUAAAUGUGGGAGUAGAGGGAAAGCAGGAGCCUCAGGAGCAGUGGAAGCAGAGGCAGAGAAGAGCUGAGUCACUAUUACAUUGAAGCACUAUUAUAGAGAACAGUAGACAUUCACUUGUGAGAUGUUCACUGGACUUCAGUCACUAAUGCCACUGCAGCAACUAGACAGUUUCUUUUCUCCCUUACUUGCUCACGCGCCUUUAUAAAAUACCACCAGUUAUUAAGGUAACCUACAUCUGUCUCUAUUAUUUUAGUUUGGCCAUCUCUUUGCAUCCAUAAAGAGCUGUAAGGGCCAAGGGAAUGCAUCCCCUUCACCCUCUGAAGGUUUGCUGAAAAAUCGACUCACAAAAGAUUCAUAGGAGAAAUGGCAUACAAAAUUACUACCAUACAUGUGGAAGAGAACCAGAGUUUUUUACCCUAACCCCUCAAUGGGGUGCAGAAGCUUAUAUACUUACCAUCUUGAGGUUACGGAAAGAAUAGAGGCCCAGAGCAUGGCCCAAAACAGGUUAUAGCGUCAAGACAGGUUAUGAGAAGGAAAGAAGAGGAGGCCAGGCUAGCAAAGGUGGUCUUGUUAUGUAGAUGAAACCUCACAGGUGGCAGCCCUCAGAGAGAAUAGGAGGUAAGUGUUUCUUUCAAGCCUUUAAAAGUAUCAGACUCUCAUCUUUCCUAGAUCUGGACAAGGGAAGGCCUCAGAGAAACCGUGGCUGCCUCAAUGCAGAUUCUAUACAGAUACAAAUCUCCUCAACAAAAGACAGCUUUGCAGCUUUGCAGGGGUAUUUUUUUUUGGUGCUCUCUGAACAGCCAUCUCAAAAUAUGUCAAAGAAGUAUAUUUUGGGGUAAAAUAUUUUGAUUUCCCUCAAGCUUAACUAACACUUUGUGAGAUCAAGAAAAUUAAAUGCUAUAGAGAUAAAUAUAAAGUCCUGCCCUUAGGUUUAAAUAAUGAAAUGUACAUAUUCUUUUACCAGUAUAUGUGGAAAAAAUUGAAUAUUAGAAUUACUCUAAGCUCAUUUAAAGUAGCAGUGGGAAGUGGCAUGCAAAAGAAAAAAAAGCUGGCCGGGCACGGUAGCUCACGCCUGUAAUCUCAGCAUUUUGGGAGGCUGAGGUAGGCAGAUUACUUGAGGUCAGGAGUUCGAGACCAGCCUGGCCAACAUGGUGAAACCCCAUCUCUACUAAAAAUGCAAAAAUUAACCAGGCGUGGUGGAGGGCGCCUGUAAUCCCAGCUACUUGGGAGGCUGAGGCAGGAGAAUCACUUGAACCUGGGAGGCAGAGGUUGCAGUGAGCCGAGAUUGCACCAUUGCACUCCAGCCUGGGCGACAGAGCAAGACUCUCAAAAAAAAAGAAAGAAAAAAGAAAGAAAAAGCUAUUAAACCCAUGGAGGUGAUGAGCCUCCUUUAACUGGUCAGAAUGGGUCAGAAACAUUGUUUGUAGUUCUGAGUUAUAUAUUUUUAACAAAACUCUUGGCUUAAUAGAGCUGUAUUUAUUGAAGGAUAAACAGAACCAAGACUGAUAAAGAAAUCAUAUCACUCGAGAAAGAACUGUAGAACUAAGAGAGAUUAGCCUGAGAAAGAGAAAUUUAGGAGAGUAUAUGGACUGGUGUGUUUAUAUAUAUGAGUGCUGUAAAUGCAAAUGAGGGAUAAAAUAUUUCGCAUACAUCCAGAGAAAAGAAGUCAGCUAUAGAUCCAAAUUAUGUAUAGAUUUCACAUCAGUAGAAUGAAUACUUAAUAACAAGAACUGCUCAAAAAUGGGACUGUGAUAACUUGUGACGUAAGAACAAGCCCAAGUCACAAAUCCCAAGAGGGGCUGCAUUUUUCUCUCCUCCUAGAUGCUUAUCUCCUUGAGGGCAAUAACUUGGCCUUUACUGUGUUUUUAAAAGUAUCCAAAUUCUGAAUGUAAUUCUUGCAAAACUAUUCAUUGUUUUAAAAUGACCUUUCGUUUGUAUGCCCUCUCUUUACUCUGUCAAACAAAUAUAUGAAAUGCCAGUGAACAGCAAAUAGUGAUAUCUGUUCUUUUCAAAAAAUGGAUGACUUCUAUCCUACAUUCCUUGAGGAUUUCUUAUCAUUCUGGCUUCUUCUCCAAAGAAAUUCACCGAGAGCCUGUUUCCCAAUCAAUGGAAUGUUGUUUUCAUAAUAUAUCAUCAGACAUUCCUCUGGCAGGAGCAGGAGGUCGGGAACUGCCCUUUUCAAAAACUUUAAUGGAAAAUAAUACAAUGAUCAAACUUACGUUAGACAGGCUCAGAUGCAAAGCUAGCUCCCUGCCUAUGAGUGAAAAAUAUAUUUCUCUUUAAUACCUCUAUACAUAGAGGUGAAUGAGAGGGUAGGAAACCAAAUCCUGAAAUAAACACAGGACUGGGAAUCAAGAGACUCUGAAUUUAAUCUCAGCAAAGAUUUUAAACUAAAGUUGUAAUCUCAGGCAAAUCAACUCUUUGUGCCUGUUUCUUCAUUUCUUACCUAAUGGCCCUCUGACGCCUGAUCUCACACACUGGUAGAUUCCUCGCUGCCAUGAGCCGUUAAAUAUAAAAAGAGAAGGUUUCCCCGUAAAAAGAGAGAAACCCUGGUGCCACUACUAGGCACCCACCCACUCUUUUUUUUUUUAAAUCCGUAUUCUGUUUCUCUGUUCACUAUAAGACACCAUGCUGUAUUGUAUUCCACUGUACACCAACUGGGCAAAUAAUUAAACUCAAUUAAAAGCUAAGGAACACUGGCAACCAAACUAUUUAAUCAUGGAGGUCUAAAUCCUUGCUCUAACCAUGUGCUCUUCAGCAAUAAAAUAUACUCAUCAAUAAGAAUAAUCAUUAUUAAAUCCUUUGGCUCACUUUCCUGGAGUCCUAGGGAUUCUCAUUGGCUCAUUAUAAGACCUUCUUAAUUUCAUUCAGAUCUUGGGUCCUGGAUCAAUCACCUAUUAGCUGUGUAAGCUUUGAUAAGUUGUUUUGUUUCUCUGGCACUCAGUUUUCUUCUCUGUAAGAAUAGGGGAUGAGCCUCCUUUAACUGAUCAGAAUGGGUCAGAAACAUUGUUGGUAGUUCUGAGCUAUAUAUUUUAACAAAACUCUUGGCUUAAUAGAGCUGUAUUUAUUGAAGGAUAAACAGAACCGAGUAUGAUAAAGAAAUCAUAUCACUUGAGAAAGAACUGUGGACUGCGAGAGAUUAACCUGAGAAAGAGAAGUUUAGGAGGGUAUAUGGACGGGUGUCUUCAUACACAUGAGUGCUUGUAUAUAAAGACUGGCGUCUUUAUAUAUAUGAGUGCUUAUAUGUAUAUAAGACUUUCACAGGUAUGGAAAGUACCUAGCACAGGCCAGGGUACUUGAUAGGCCCUUCUCAAGUGCUACUUCCAUUUCUCUGUCUUAUUUUCAGGCCCUUAGAUCUUCUAUUUCUCUUGAUUCCUCUAGGGCCUUGUCUUCCAUCUCAAGUUCCUCUUAAAUACAUUUUAAGCCUUACCAUGAGCCUCCUCUAGACCACUUUCACCUGCAGUCCUAGACUAUCCAGGACUUUAAUACAUAAUCACAUUUUUAAAAGCAGUCCUGUGGAUUUCUAUUUCCCUCUUAAAAUCCUUGGGAGUAUUUUAACAUUUGAAACAAACAUUCCAGAACUCCUCUACAAAGAUCGAACAUCAGUUUCUUGGGGAAGAGGAGUAUGUUCUCCCAAGGGAUAAUGCUACCUAUCCUUCCUACCUUACAAAGCAGCCGUGAUGAUUUUAUUUUUAUAAAAAAGUUAAUAAAGGUGACACUGUGAAUAGCUUCCAAUGGUAGAGAAGUUUUAUUAUUGAAAUUGCAGAAUCUGCUCUUCAAUCAGCUGGGAAUCUUGAUUUUUCUGACAAUCAGUAUGAAACCUCACAGCAAUUAAAGUUAUCUUUCUAGCUUGCUACAUCAAUGUCCCUUCCAUUGUGCCUCUGAAUUUGUUGGUAUUCACUGUCAGCAGCUAGUGAUGACUGAAGAAGUCAUUGUAGCAUGAAACCCUUCCUCAGCUUUACAGGAACUUAAUGGCAUGUUCCUCAUUACACAGAGAGAAUUCUGAUUUUGAUAAGAUAAACCAAGAGUGAAAAUAUAUUUAACCAAGAAGAAAACAGUAGUUAUUUCUUUGUCCUUUUUGUUUUCCUGCAUAUGUUGUGACAGGACUACAGCAAGGGGACAGUGAAUUUUUGGUUCCUAUUCUGAUGGAGUAUUCAAAUAUAAAUAAUUCCCAUGUCAAUGAUAAACAUCUUUAUUGCUAAAGAGAUCUGUCAUGGAAAGUGCCAGGGGAUCUCUUCGCACACUUUAAAUAUUAGGGCUGUAUGUGGAGACGCUCUUACUCACUUAGUGACAGCAGGGUAUGCAGUUUGAGCUCUAUUUUCUUUUUUUAUUUAUUUAUGUAUUUAUUUUGAGACAGGGUCUGGCUGUGUUGCCCAGGCUGGAGUACAGUGGUAUGACCUCAGCUCACUGCAACCUCUGCCUUCCAGUUUCAAGCGAUUCUCGUGCCUCAGCCACCCAAAUAGCUGGGAUUACAGGUGUGAGCCACCUUGCCGGCCUGAGCUCUAUGUUUACCUGUAGCAUUGGGUAGUUUUUUAGACAUACACCUUCCCUAUUCCCAGUUUCCUUACUGUCAGAGCCCAGAAUUUUGGGUGAAGGCAAUGGCAGAGAACAAAGUGACAACAACUGAAAUGGAAAGUGACUUUGAUUCUAUCAAUUCAUUCAUUCUUUCCCUCACUCAUAAAACCUACAUUAAGCACUUACAAUAUGCCAUGCAUUUGUAGGGGCAAAAGGCGUUUUCCCUCCCUGCUGAGGUUUGACGUUUGAGUCUGAGAAAUAAGCUGACAGUAGAUGGACAGGAGAAAAGGCAUACAAAUUCAUUAACAUGUAUAUGGACAUGAGAGUUCUGCAAAUAUGAGACUCAAGGAAGAGCCAGAUGAGUGAGGUUUUUAUACUACAUAGAAAGGAAUACAGGCUUGAAGUAUAGCGACAGGUUAUGGGAGGGAGAAGGGAGGAAAGGCAUGGUGAGCAAAAGCUGUCAUAUUAUCCAAAUGAAACUUCACAGGAAACAGCCCUUAGAAAGAAUAGAUGGUAGCCUGUAGUAAAAGUUUCUCUGUCAGAACUUUAAAAGUGUCAGACUUUUAAUGUCAUUUUCCUGUGAGUAAAUGUUUCCUAGAUCUGGAAAAGGCAAAUGUAUUAGGCUGUUCUUGCUUUGCUGUAAAGAAAUACCUGAGACUGGGUAAUUUAUAAAGAAAAGAGGUUUGAUUGGCUUAUGGUUCCUCAGGCUGUACAGGAAGCAUGGUGCUGACAUCUGCUCAGCUUCUGGGGAGUCCGCAGUGAGGUUUUACUCAUGGCUGAAGGCAAAGAGGGAGCUUGCAUAUCACAUGGUGGGAGCAGGAGCAAGAGAGAGUGGGUAGGGGAGGUGCCAUACACUUUAAACAACCAGAUCUCUCAAGAAUUCACUACCACGAGGACAGCACCAAGUCAUGAGGGAUCUGCCCCCAUGACCCCAACACCUCCCACCAGGCCCCACCUCCAACAUUAGGUAUUACAUUUCAACAUGAGAUUUGGGGUGGGGGACAAGUAUCCAAUCAACAUGAGAUUUUGGGUGGGGGACAAGUAUCCAAUCUAUAUCAGCAAAUAAGGGAAUCUCAGAGAAAGCCUGUUUGCAUCCACUUUGAUAAUGUAGAAAUGGUUCUGCAGAUGCAAAUUUCCUCCACAAAGGAUAGCUCUUCAAAACUAUUUCCUGUCUGCAGCCCCUCUAAACAGCCAUCUUGAAAUAUGCCAAAGAAGUAUAUUUUGGGGUGGCAUACUCUGGUUUCCUUCACAUUGUACUAGGUGUUAAGACACAAAGAUAACCUGAUACCCCAAGAGAUCACUUCUUAAGGAGGAUAUAGACAUGUAAUCAGUUAACGACACAGUCUAUUUAGUCUAUACACCACUAGCAAUAUAUCUAAAGAUAUAGAAAGUACAAUGAAUGUUCAGAAGGAGCACACUUCACUUGGCCUGAGAGAGUCUGGUGGGGCUUGAAAGACUUUAGAGAAUUGUCAGGGGAAUAGUUGGGACGGGGUAGGGCUGUAGAUCAUUUUAGCAGAGAUAAAACAAAAUGUGUAGGACCAGGGAGGCUCAAGGGAAGGUGUGUUCAUAAAACUGCAUCUAGUUUGCUAUUCCCAUAGCAUUAUAUAGUUUAUGUUCUCACUGGAUAAGCCAAAUUACAAAUAUGUAUAUACUGUCAGCCAUGCAGAGUGACUGUGGCAUGGUUGUUAGUUUUAUAAAAUUAGGUUCAUUCCACAUUAAAUCCAGCUGCGGAUAAAGAGGAAUUUUAAUGAAUUGCAGAACUAAGAGAACUGAGGCCACCGAAGCUUACUUUCCAGAGGUGCACUGGCAUUGCCAUAUCUGUCAAAAUGCAUUCAGGUCGAUAAAACUGUUCAAGAUUUGUAUUAAAGAAUGGUCUGAAUUUCCCUAGUUUUAUGAAAAAUACAAAGAUGAGUUGCAUAUAAAUAACACUUAAGUUCUCUUUCAGUCCUGAGAAUCUAUGAAAUGGAAUUUCAUACAUUUAAACCAAAAUAAAAAAUCAUGGUCAAGCAAUAUAAAAAAUAUAUAUAUUCACGCCUGUAAUCCCAGCACGUUGGGAGGCCGAGACGGGUAGAUCAUGAGUACAAGAGAUUGAGACCAUCCUGGUUUAGUAGAAACCCCGUCUCUACUAAAAAUAUACAAAAAAAUUAGCUGGGCGUAGUGGCGGGCGCCUGUAGUCCCAGCUACUCGGGAGGCUGAGGCAGGAGAAGGGUGUGAACCCGGGAGGUGGAACUUUCAGUGAGCCAAGAUUGUGCCACUGCACUCCAGCCUGGGUGACUGAGCGAGACUCUGUCUCAAAAAAAAAAAAAAAUUAUAUUGCAAAACUUAAGUCAUAAUUGAAACUGAAACUGGUAUUUCCCUUUCUCCAGUGAAAUAAGACUAUGUUUUGGAAGUGAAGAUAAUGACUACUGUAUCACUGUUAAGCAAGUCAGGUAUUUUGAAAUGUUUUUCUUCUGGUGAGAUAUAUGCGACUGAUUUAUUAUCUCUACCAUUUGUUGCCAAUGACAAAUAGUUAUAGGAAAAUAUAAAUUAAGUUUAAUAUAUAGUAGGCUAGGCUAUUUAUUUGUUUGCUUUCUUUUUAUUCAACCUUCACAAUAGGCUUAGGAAAUUGGUGCUAUUAUUUGCUUGUUGCUAUUAGUGUUGUAUGUGGGUUUUAUUUUAGGAAAUGGAGGCAGAAAGAGGUUCGGUCACUUACCUAGUAAUUGAAGUGGUGGGGAAGUGGAGAGAUGGCUUCUGUAUUUGUCCGUUUUCACAUUGCUGAUAAAGACAUACCUGAGACUGGGCAAUUUACAAAAGAAAGAGGUUUAAUUGGACUUACAGUUCCACGUAGCUGGGAAAGCCUCAUAGUCAUGGUGGAAGGCAAGGAGGAGCAAGUCCCAUCUUACAUGGAUGGCAGCAGGCAAAGUGAGAAUGAAGAAGAUGCAAAAGCGGAAACCCCUGAUAAAACCAUCAGAUCUUGUGAGACUUAGUCACUACCACAAAAACAGUAUGGGGUAAACUGCCCUCUUGAUUCAAUUAUCUCCCACUGGGUCACUCCCACAACACGUGGGAAUUAUGGGAGUACAAUUCGAGUUGAGAUUUGUGUGGGGUCACCGAGCCAAACCAUAUCAUUCCAUCCUGGCCCCUGCCAAAUCUCAUGUCAUCACAUUUCAAAACCAAUCAUGCCUUCUAAACAGUUCCACAAAGUCUUAACUCAUUUCAGCAUUAACUCAAAACUCCACAGUCCAACGUGUCAUCUGAGACAAGGCAAGUCCAUUCUGUCUAUAAGCCUGUAAAAUCAAAAGCAAGCUAGUUAUUUCCUAGAUACAAUGGGGAUACAGACAUUGGGUAAAUACAAUCAUUCCAAAUGGGAGAAAUUGGCCAAAACAAAAGGGCUACAGGGCCCAUGCAAGUCCAAAAUCUGGUGGGGCGGUCAAAUCUUAAAGCUUCACAAUGAUCUCCUUUGACUCCAUGUCCCACAUCCAGGUCACGCUGAGGCUGUACUGUGUGGCUUUGCAGGGUACAGCCUCCUUCCUGGCUGCUUUCAUGGGCUGGCAUUGAGUGUCUUCAGCUUUUCCAGGUGCAUGGUGCAAUCUGUCAGUGGAUCUACCUUUCUGGGGUGUGGAAGACGGUGGCCCUCUUCUCACAGCUCCACUAGGCGGUGCCCCAGUAUGGACUCUGUGUGGGGGCUCCAACCUAACAUUUCUCUUCCACAUUGCCCUAGCAGAGGUUAUCCAUGAGGACCCCACCCCUGCAGCAAACUUUUGCCUGUGCAUCCAGGCAUUUCUAUACAUAUUAUGAAAUCUAGGUGGAGGUUCCCAAACCUCAAUUCUUGACUUCUGUGCACCCACAGACGCAACACCACGUGGCCGCUGCCAAGGCCUGUGGCUUCCACCCUUUGAAGCAACAGUCCAAGCAGUACCUUGGCCCCUUUUAAUCACAGCUGGAGUGGCUGGGACGCAGGGCACCAAGUCCCUAGACUGCACAGAACACAGGGACCCCGGGCCUGGCCCAGGAAACCAUUUUGUCCUAGGCCCCCAGGCCUGUGAUGGGAGGGGCUGCCAUGAAGACCUCUGACAUGCCCUGGACACAUUUUUCCCAUUGUCUUGGGGAUUAACAUUUGGCUCCUCAUUAGUUAUGCAAAUUUCUGCAGCCAGCUUGAAUUUCUCCUCAGAAAAUGGGAUCUUCCUUUCUAUCACAUUGUCAGGCUGCAAAUUUUCCGAAGUUUUAUGCUUUGCUUCCCUUAUUAAACUGAAUGCCUUUAACAGCACGCAAGUCACCUCUUGAAUGCUUUGCUGCUUAGAAAUUUCUUCCACCAGAUACCCUAAAUCAUUGCUCUUAAGUUCAAAGUUCCACAGAUCUCUGGGGCAGGGGUAAAAUGCUGCGAGUUUGUUUGCUGAAACGUAACAAGAGUCACCUUUGCUCCAGUUCCCAACAACUUCCUCAUCUCCAUCUGAAACCACCUCAGCCUGGACCUUAUUGUUCAUAUCACUAUCAGCAUUUUUCUCAAAGCCGUUCAACAAGUCUCUAGGCCUAGCGUCCCAAAUUUUCCCACAUUUUCCUGUCUUCUUCUGACCCCUCAAACUGUUCCAACCUCUGCCUGUUACCCAGUUCUAAAGUUGCUUCCACAUUUUUGGGUAUCUUUUCAGCAAUGCCUCACUCUACUGAUACCAAUUUAUUGUAUUAGUCCGUUUUCACACUUCUGAUAAAGACAUACCUGAGACUGGGCAAUUUCCAAAAAAAAAAAAAAAAGAGGUUUAAUUGGACUUACAGUUCCACAUGGCUGGCGAAGCCUCACAAUCAUGGUGGAAGGCAAGGAGGAGCAAGUGCUGUCUUACACGGAUGGCAGCAGGCAAAGAGAGAAUAAGGAAGAUGCAAAAGUGGAAACCCCUAAUAAAACCAUCAGAUCUCGUGAGACUUUUUCACUACCAUGAGAACAAUAUGGGGGAAACCGCCCUCAUGAUUCAUUUAUCUCCCACUGGGUACCUCUCACAACAUGUGGGAAUUAUGGGAGUAUAAUUCAAGAUGAGAUUUGGGUGGGGACACAGAGCCAAACCAUAUCAGCCUCCCUCCACUCUCAUAGGUUAUUUAGCUGGGCUCCAAAUUAAAUUGACAUAAGACAGAUUAAUAGGAGAAAAAACAUUUAAUUAUGUACAUAUGUACAGGGGUUUUGCAAAAAUAGGAGACCUAAUGAAGGGCCGGAUGAUUGAAGCUUAUAUAGCCCCCUAUGCAAUGGAAAGGAAUAGGGGAUUGGGGAUUGUGGUGGUAGGGGUGAAGAGAAGUUAUGGGAGGGUGAAGGGAGAAAAUGUAUGCUGGAUAAAGUUUGCCUUGUUAUGCAGUUAAAAAAUCUUUCAGGUUAAAAAAAAUUGCCAUGGGAGCAGCCCUCUUUCUGAUACAGAUACAUUUACAAAUGCAGAUUUCUUUAAUAAAUAUAAAUUUCUUUUACAAAAGAACAGUUUUUCAGAGCUACUCUUGUGUCUGCAGUUUCUCAAAAUAAACAGCUAGAAAUAUACAAAAUAUAUUUUGGGUGGCAUACUUUCGUCUCCUGUUUUUUUUUUUUUUUUUUGAGACAGGUCUCACUCUGUCACCCAAGCUGGAGUGCAGUGACACGAUUGCAGUUCACUACAGCCUUGACCUCCCAGGCUCAGGUGAUUCUUUCACCUUAGCCUCCAAGUAGCUGGGACUACAGGAGCAUGCCACCACAUCCGGCUAAUUUUUUGUAUUUUUAGUAGAGAUGGGGUUUCACCAUGUUGUUCAGGCUGGUCUUGAACUCCUGGGCUCAGCAGAUACACCCACCUUGGCCUCCCAAAAUGCUGGGAUUACAGGCAUAAGCCACCAUGCCAGACCCUACUGUCAUCUUUUUAGGUGGUGUGUCCUCAGCCCCAACACUGACAUAUCAUGCCAUUAAUCUCUAAUAAGACCAGAAGUUGGCCAGGAUCAGGGUGUAGACAAUAGCCUGGCGCUAUAGAAGCUAGCAUUUUCAGCUCUUCUUCCGUGCAUUUUUAUGUUAAUGCUCCCCUUGAAUCAAACUGGUUCAAAAGCUGCCUAGUGUAGUCUUUAUUCCCUUUAUUGACCUGAUCUGUUAUGCCUCUGAUCUAAAAUGAAUUUAUUUAAGUUACAAAUGUUCUUUAAAUGUGCCCAACCUCUUCCCAGAAGCAUUAGGUCAAUUCAAUAAUGCCUUUCACCUUUGAAAUUCUGGGAGCAUUUAUUGUCUGUACUGCUAAAUUGGCACUCAUUAUGUGAACAGAUAUUUAUCAGAUUAUUUGCACAGUUUUAAAACAUUUUUAUUGUUAUAUAUAUAAUUUGUGUUAUAUCUGUGUGCCUUAUAAGACACUCUGUUCUGUAUGUCUAGUCCAACGAUUUACAGGAGUAAACAUUCAGUAUGUUUGCUCAUGAUUAUGGCAAUCAAAGAAUAUUUAAUUGAGCCACAGGAACAUCCAACUUAUGGCCUUAACUUUUUUAGAACCAGGAACUAACUCAUCUGAGAACACAAUUUUUUUAUUCUAGUAUUUAUUUCUUUGUAUACAGAGUUCUAGAAAAUGAUAUGCCAUACACGAUUAAUGAGUAAAUUAUAAUUAAGCACAAGAAAACAGCUUGAGGUAUCAAAAAUGCAUCAAAUGAUUACCUUAAGAGAAUGUACUGGCUCUUUCCAAUUUCUCCGUGGUUUUUUUUUUUUUUUUAUCCUUUUUGACAACAUCACAAAGGGGCUGAGGAACAAAUGUGGCAGAUGCUGUGUGUCUGUAUUGUCUGUAUUCAGACUGUGUAUAGAUAGUAUAUGAACCAGACUGCAACAUUGCUCGCAUGCUCAUUUAGAUUGCUGACAUGAUAGAUGCUGAUGACCAUAGUAAAACCCGUUGGGAAAACUGCCAAGCUGAAAUAAUCAUCAGGAUUUGGGGCCUUUAGAGGUCAUGAAUGUUUACAUUUUUCAGUAGUUUUAGAGAAUUUUGCUGUACUUUUAAAGCUACCAUUCGAAUUGUUUCCAACUUGAGACUUCUCUAGAUUGCAAAACUUCAUGUAAAUACCCAUAGAAUCACAUUUGUAAAGGGUUAUAUGCAAAUAUGUAGGAGUUGCUUUUCCUGAAAGCUUUUAUCAUAAGUGACUGUUGAUCAUCAAUUAGUUAAAUCUAGGUCUAUAGGAAAAGUUUCUCAAAUAUAUGGUUUGACCAAAACUAUUUUAUUCUACUACUUCUCCUCUUGUUUUUUGUUAAAUUGUUCUUAAAGAAAAAUCCAGGUGGGAACUUGACUUGCUGAUAGCCAAUAGAUAUAUUAUUUUCUCCUCAAAACUAUGUUUACACAACAGGAGACAAAAUAAAAAGAAUGCCAAGUACAAGAUUGGUUUCUCCAAGUUCCAUGAUUCAAUAAAGUUCUUACCCUUAAGUAGAGACAACAGUAAUUCUUAUUAUAAAAUAGAAGAUUGCGACUUCUACUUCCACAGAUAGCCCAGUCAGCUACAGAGUGACAAGGUUGAUCAAACUUUAUGCUGGAUGUAAGUUUAGGCUGUUUUGAUCAGGACGUCUAGGCCCUGAACUUAUGAAUCUCCCAUACUGCUACUUGUUUGCUCCAUCUCUGGCCCAGACCUCCACCCCGUGUGCAAAUAUCUCCUGCCUCAAACUUCCUGUUAUUGAAAUAUUUGAUGUAGUUUAAGCUUCAAUACCCUCCUAGUCAUUUUGAACCUCACCUUGCUCCCCCUUCUCCUUUUCCCAGCUAUCUGUCCAGCAAUUUCUGCUUAUAUGCUUGGCUCAGCUUGGUCUUUGAGUGUUUCCCUACUGCAAAAGUCCCUCUGCCUCUAUUACAAUAGUCCCCCUUAAUGAAGUGUUUUCUUACUAACUUCAAGACUUCCAUGUUUUUACGGUAGGGGGUGGGGGGCGCAGAACUUAGACAGCAGACACUAUCAUAUUCUAGAAUUUCCCCACAAAUAAUUACAUGAGCGAGGCUUCAAUUUUCUCAUGUCUAAAGUGGGAAUAGUGAGUUCUUCCUUUUUCCACCAGAAAAACAUACCCGUGUUUCUCAAUUUAUGAUGGGAGUUUCAUCCCAAAAAGCCCAUUGUGAAUCAGGGAGCUUACUGAAUGCAUAUCACUUCUGUACCAUUGUAAAGUCUGUACCAUUGUAAAGUCAAAAAAUUAAAAGCUGGCCAUGUAAGUCAGGGACGGUCUGUAUUCAGGGUGACACACGAGAAGACAUAUUUUGCUAUGAGUUAUUUUGAGUAUGGUGCUGUGUGAGAUCAUUACAAGUUGUUAUUAUUAUUCCCAUUAAUAUUGUAGGGGACGAAAGGUGUGAUCCCUUUCUUCACCCACCAUAAGUGGGUGCCAUAAGUGGCACAGCUGACACGCCUAUAUUAAAAGGCAGAUUAACAAAGCAUACAAAUUUAUUUAAUUCAAGUUUUAUGUGACACGAGAGACUUCAGAAAUGAAAACCACAAAACCCAGGGAAAACUUUUUAUGCUAAAGUUUCUGAUUUGAUAAUUUAAUGAAGUACAGAUAGCCAUGUAGAAAUGUGACUGGACAAGGGGGUAUGCUCUAAGGGUAAUAGACUGAGGGGGAGGCAGAUUCAGCAAGACCUGUCUGUUCACAUUCUUCUUGGUUUCUCUGUGUAGCAUUUCUUCCUCCGAGAUAUGUGGCAGGACCUCUCUAGAAUGAAAGCCUUCAAGAAAAAAAGAAUAGAAUCACUUUUCUAGGUUUUCUGGCUUGCUUUCGGGGACAAGGUGUUGCAGUUUCCAUGCUCUGCCUUGGGAAGGAGGAAUUCUGGUUACUAUGACUUGCUUCAGGGGGGCAAAAAAAAAAAAAAGGAAGAAAUGGAAGGGCGAGAGAAGGUCAGAGAGAUAUUUUGUUUCUGAGGCUGUUUCUGAGGCCUUCCAAUCUCCUUUAGUUCAAAGCACUCAGCAUGCCAAAGCACGAUACUUUAAGGGAUUGUUUUCUGGACCCCAGCAAUAUCAAUGACGUCUUUUAAUCCAGUGGUUUUCCAAGUGUGGUCCUUGAAAGGCUUUGGUCCAGUAGUAGCAGUAUUACUUGAGAACUUGUUAGAAAUGCAAAUUCUUGCUUCCCACUUUAGACCCAUCAAAUCAGAAACUUUCAGUCUUAGGCCCAGCAAUUUGUGUUUUAAUAAUCCCUCCAGGUAGUUCCGAUGUAUGUUCAAGUUUGAGAACUUAAUAACUAUUUAAAAGAUAUUAGUUUGAAAAAAAAUGCUUUUUUUUUUUUUGCCAAGAACUGGGAAAAAAUUUGUAUGCAACAGCAGUUGUGGUUACCCACGCCUAAAAAUAAUGCCUAAAUGCCUUAAAGUCAUUUUAAAUAAUGUGAUUAUAGGCAUUCUUUCUGGUAGAUAAUAUGGAUGUUUGACUCAUUUCUUAUUCUUAUUUCUUUGAUUCUUGAAGAGAUAUGAAUGAACACAAGAGGCACAUUUUCUGAAGCAGAGCCCUAGAAUUCCUCUCACAUACUACUCUCAUCAUGAUAAAAAAGAAAUCACUACUGAUGGAUGACUCCUGUACUCUGUGAGACAUCAAGCCCUAUUAGUCACUCAUUUAUGCCAUUUAAAUGCUGGAUUUUGUUUUCAGUGCUGCAGGCCCAUUACCAAAGAGGGCCCAGCUGUUACUUUUUUGCUUUGGGGACAUUCUCUGCAAAUUCAAUGGGUUUUGCUUCAAUUCAGAAAAUGGAAAGCAUUAGGUUUGUAACAAUAAUCAUAUAUCUCUCCAGGGCUCUUGUAGUAUCAAGCCAGAGAGAAGAAUAGUAGUAAUUGGUUAGAUUCAUCAGAAGGGCAAAUUUAUUCUCAUGUCUUUUUGCAGUGGGCAAGGGUCCACUGAACAGUUGGACCAAUAGGCACAAUGUUAGAAUUAUAUGAAUACCCAACAUUUGGGUGGCACUGUUAAAAAUACAUUCAAUAACUAUCUUUUCCAUAUUUAUGUUCAUAAAAACUCAGAUUAGGUAAGACAAGUAACCCACUAGUUUGAGCAGAUGAUAUCUCAUUCUUUUGACUCAAUAUUUUUCUUUUAAAGUGGAAGCAGUGGGAAGACUUACACAAUUAACAAUGGAGAUUAAUUCUAUAGUUCUUUCUCCCCCUGGAGGAGAAAGAUACUUCUUUGGUACACUUAACUACUGUGAAUUGAUCUCUAAGCAUUCCGACUUAUAUUUUUAGCAAAUAAGAUUUUUCACUCCCCUUUAACUUCUCCAAGUCAAGAGGAUGGCAAGGCCCACUCCUGUCAUCAAGCUAAGUAACCUGGCAUCGGGUUAAAAUGGGAAAGAAUGUAGAGAAAAUACCCACAUAAUGGGAGUGGAUGGAGGAUACUUAUGGAGAGAAAAAUACAUAAUUCAAAAUACUGAAGGGGAAGAUAAGAACUCAAGGCUUCUGGCUCAUUUCAUGUUUUCUCUGUGCUAAGAUUGAUCAGUUUUGGAGUAUGAAACUGUUUUACUUCAAGGAAGUCAUACCUAAUAUUAAAAGGCAGUGGUCCCCUAUGUUUUAUGAGUUGUGGUAGGAAUUGCUUUUCCUGAAAACUUUGAGAUAACCAAGUUAUUAAGCAUGUAUGACCAGAGUUAGGGGUGGGAAACACCUACGGCUGAGAAUAAAAUUGCUUGCAUCAUGGGAUGUGAAUGCUGUUGCUAGCAUGUUCCUCUCAGAAGUUGGAAAUUGGAGGAAGGAUUGAAAGCAACAUAAAGAUAUAGGAAAAACUCUAUUACAUUAUUUUUCUUAAGUAGAUUUAUUAGCAGUUUCAACAAGAAGGCAGAGUCUGUGGUUAAAAGGCAGCAAACUUCUUUAAAGAAUUUAAACCUCUCUAAUGUUGGCCUCAGAACACAAUACCCAAAAUUAUGGUACUUUGACAUGCUGAAUACAUUGAACUGAAGGAGAUUGAAAGUUCCUAGAAGCAAGAAGUUCCCCCUGAACUUCUGCCCUCCUUUCUUCUCCUCCCAUUUCUCUCAUGAAGCAGGUUCUAUCAACUAAAAUUCUUCUUCAUGGGAAGCUUUGAAGAUGGUGGAGGAGGUGUUAGAGGUUCAAAUAUAGAGAUUAAAAUAUGAAAUAAUCGCCAAUUAGUAUUAUCAACUGAAUAUCAAGUUCUAGGAAAAUGAUGUUUUAUAGCAUUAUGAAGAAGUGUAUUCCCAUUUGUUUGAUCCUCUAGGUGGGAAUGGAGAAUUAAUAUUUGUUGAGAAUGAAAUAAAUGUCCUGUGCAUUGAACCCAUUUGCAUUCUUAGUGAGAAUCCCACCUCGCACUCCUCAUGAAAGAAGUCAGAAAGAGUAAAACCUAAAUGAGGCAUUUAAAAAUUAUUUUUACAUAAUCUUUUUUUUUUCUUUUUUUUUCACUUCUUCUUCUUCUCUCUCUCUCUUUUUUUUUUUUUUUUGAGACAGGAUCUCACUCUGUAUCCCAGGCUGGAGUGCAGUGGUGUGAUCAUAGCUCACUAUAACUUCUAACUCCUGGGCUGAAGCAAUUCUCCUUUCUCAGUCUCCUGAGUAGCUGAGACUACAGGUAGUCACCACCAUGCUCAGCUAAUUAAUUUUUUUUUUUAAACAGGGUCUCACCAUGGUGCCCAGAUUGAUCUAGGCUCAAGGGAUCCUCCUGCCUCAGCCUCCCAAAGUGCUGGGAUUACAAGAGUGAGCUACCAUGCCCAGCCAUAGUCUUAUUUCUAUAGUUUACCUUAUCAGUGUCACAUGUCUUAGAGGUUUCAGCUUAUUAAUUUCGUCCAGUUUUUUUUUUCUUAGCAGAGGUCAAAAUGAAGGAUGCAGUAGGUCAAAGUUUAACAGCUGCUGAAACAAACUUAUUUCAUUGAAACUUAAGCUAUUGAGGUAAUAUGAGGGCUGCUAUUUGCAAUAGUGUGCUCUGUCAGAAAUUGAAUUUGUGUUUCUGAAAUGAAAAUUGUGUCCCAGUUUGACUGUACCUAAAGAGGAAAAUGACUACCUGGGGUCAGGAUAUCAGAUUGACUAGUGAUAGCAAUGAAAGAAAAUAUGUUUUAAGUGAAAUGGUACAUGUACUCUGACUUAAAGAAUUUAUAAAUUUCACAGCUUGAAAAUACUCUAUCCAUUAUAAAUUUUGGUUACUUUGAACUGGAAAAUAUUUUUAUUCAGUGGUCAUUUCCUCCUGUCAUCAUAUUCACUCUUCAUAUGAGUAUAGUUUGGCAUUACUUACACAGUUUUUCACUAUUUAAUUGUGUUUUAUAUUUGAUUUCCAAGUUUAUAUUUUUAGUUUUUUUUCCUUCUACUUUCGUUUGGCUUAUUUUGUUAUUCUUUCACUAGUUUUUGAAGUUUAAUGUUUAGCUAAUUGUGUUUAGUCUUUAUUUAAGCAAUAAAGUAGUAAUACUAAAUAUUUCUCUCUUACUUCAGCUGACUCUAUAUGCCAUCUCUAUUUUUAUCAUUUUGUAAAUAAUUAAUCAUUUAUGUUUUAUUUUUACUUUGAUUUAGUGCUUAUUUAACAAAAUGUUUUUAUGUGUUUAGGUCUGACGGUAUGUCUUCUUAUUGUUGACUUUUAAAUUUAUUAAAUUGUAGUUUAGGAGAAUGAGCUAAUAUAAUCUCUAAUAGCUUAGAAUAAUUGAAGUAAUUUAUUAUUUUUAUUUAUUAUUAUUACCAUUAUUAUUAACAACUUUGUGAACAAAAGCAUUUAUUUAAAUGUUUUAUGGUUAUUUGUAUUCUCUAUUUGUAGGAUUCAAAGUUUUAUAUUCAACUUAUUGAGAUUAUUAUAGAAAUGAGGUAUAUUUGAGAGGGUCAAAUAUUCUAAAAGAAUAUUUCAGACACCACCUCCUCCAGCAACAAAAAUAGCUACAAACCAAUAUAAAUUUCAUGUUAGUUAUUUUCAUACAUAUUGAAAACUUUACUGUACAUUAAAAGGUUGUACAGACAGCCCUCCAUAUCUGUGGGUUUCACAUCCAUGUAUUCAACCAAGCAUGGAUCAAAAAUAUUGAGUAAAAAAAAAAAAAUCCACAAAGUUCCAAAAAGCAAGACUUGAAUUUGCCAUGUGAUGAGUACUACGCUGAAUCCACAUGAAUGAAGAGAUGUGUAGGACUUGUAUUAGGUAUUAUAAGUAGUCUAGAGAUGAUUUGAAGUAUACAGGAAGAUGUGGUUAGAUUUUAUGCAAAUAGUAUGACAUUUUAUAUCAGGGACUUGAGCAUUCAUAAAUUUUGGUAUCCCAGAGGGUUCCAGGAACAAAUCCCCAACAGAUAUCAAGUGACAACUGUACUUGAAUAAAAAGUUUUCAUAAUCACAGAAUGUGGCAUAGUGGGAAAAUCAUUGGACAUUUAAUUUUGGCAUUAAGUAACUAUGUAACUUUAGAAAGAAUCACUUUACCUCUUUGUGCCCUUUCAAAAUUAGCAUAAUUAUUACUUAGCCUACCUCAUAGGGUUGCUGUGAGUAUCAAAUUAGUUACGACAUGGGGAUUGCUGUGAAGAGUCUUAUUACCAUAUAAAUGUGAGGCAUUAGUUCUACCUUGUGGGUAAAUGGCGGCGGUAGCUGACUUGGGCCUGACCUAAAAAUAUACAAUAAGAGUUACCAUAGCAAAUGCCUGUCAACUGGUCAUUUCUCCCAGCCUACCUAUGCUCAAUUUUGACUAUGACACCCUCUCUGGAAGUUUUCUUUUGCUCUGAAAUCCUCUACUUUAUUAGGUUUUUCACUUCAGUGAACCUAUCUUUGCUCUUUCUCUACGUGUAAUAAGCUUGGGGGCAACAGAUUGUUCAGAAACACUUUUAUCAACUGAAAACAAAGGGUCUAGGAAGCCUUCAGGGGUUUGGAGCAUUUUAAAUAAUCGCUUGACAUUCAGACUGUGUCUACAUGACUAAAACAAAUGACUGGGAAAUGAGUGAAGUAGAAUACACAGGGGUGUUAGUUUCAUAGUAUGAAAGUUAUGUGUGUCCUGCAGAAAGUUACGUCAAAAGACUUACUUGAAGCACUCAUAUUUGGGGGAGAUUGCAAGUUUGAUUGCUCUUUAGUGGUCCCAAUCAGGUAUUAGGCUUUUUUUUUUCUGUAUCUUUAUUCUAUUUUUCUUUCUAGAUCCCCAAAAAUGCGGAGGGAAAAGUGAUCAAGUUGUAUCUGAUGUGAGUGGCUUUAUGUAUUAGGAUACAAUGUAUAUAGGGAAAAGAUUAUAAAUUUAGCAUGAUAAUACCUAAACAGUGCCUGCCUUUUUCUGGUUAUAUGAGCUGGACAAGUCAUUUAAAAUCACUCAGCCUCAGUUUCUUUACCUGUAAGGUAGACUUAAUGACUAUUUCUUUUCUCACAGAGUUACUAUGGGAAUAUACUUGGAAUAAUGAAUGCAUAUAAAUGUUGCUAUAAAGAAUAAAUAUAAGGACUUAAAAUUAUUUUGGCAUUCUGAAUAGAAAUGUAUUCUCAAUAGGAGUGACUGUAUUAUUCUUGUUUUAUUUUGAAAUAGCAAAAACUAAUAAAAAUUUAACUCAACAUUCUGUCUCCUUACAGCACUUAGAAUUGAGAAGAAUUUGCUAUUUGUUUUCUGUGAUACUGAGACCUGAGAAAGUUGAAAUGUACAACUUUAGUGCCAGAGGGCUAAGAACAUGACAAUCCAAUACAAACUAAAACUAAUAAAGAAAAUUGUAGCCUGAGUAUAUGUUUCUGGUACUCUCUUCCUCCCAUCUCAUUGCUUACUACAUUUUAGACAACUAACCACUAAAAUAACCCUGAUUGUUGGGGCUGGCAGAUGAGCUCAGAUACAGCUGUGAUUGUGAGUCUUCAGGAAGAAUGUGUACAUUUGGGACAUUGUUCUUUUUAACUACAUGGACAGUUAAAGAUCCAGCAAUUUGGACAUCAGCCAACUUCUCUUACACAUCAGGGUUUACAAGCAUUCAAUAAGCAGGCAUAGAUGCCCUCAGAGUUGAAAGGUGAACAUGUAAGAGUCCCUGAAAUUCCAAAUGAUUGCAGCAGUUGGUGUGUGGGGGACUGCAUUGAAAGGAACUUUUGUCAAUCCAGCCAAAGUAAAGAAUCUGAAAGAGAAGGAAAAAGAAUCUGCGAAAUAUAAGAAAUUCUAAAAAUAAAAUUAAUGUAUAAGAAAUAUCUUACCUGUUAACUUGGAUGCUGAUGUACUAAAUUGCCAUAGCAAAAGAAGAAAGAUCCUCAGUUUGUGUAAAAGGUACUUUUUAUAAGACACUCUCCAAAAAUAAAGUGACAAAUAAAGAAAUAAGUAAAGAGAUACUAGGCAAAUGCAAACAAUAAAAGAAUAAGACUGGUAGUAUUAAUAUCACAGAUAGAGGCUCAAAUUCAGGCCUCUCAAUCUGAUUCUAAUUUUUUAUCAAAAUAUAUUGUAAGUGUCUAAGUUCACAAAUAAUAGAAGUCUAUAUUUCAUUAUUUUCAGUAGGAAAGAUAAUAAUGCACUUCUAGCUACUAUCCAAAAUUCUAGUUUCCCCAGAUAUCAUAAAAACCUGUUUAAAUGCCUAAAUUACAAUCUACCAAGAUGUCUGCAUAACAUAAAGCAGUUAAAACACCAGAAGCAUAACACAUAAUAAUUCAAUACUAGAUUAACUCAGGUGUGUUUUGGGGCAAUAGCCCAUGAUAUUGAAUAGCAGGUGAUAUGGUUUGGCUGUGUCUGCAUCCAAAGCUCACCUUGGAUUGUAAUAAUCCCCACGUGUCAAGGGCAGGGGCAGGUGGAGAUUAUUGAAUCAUGAGGGCAGUUUCCCCAUACUGUUCUCGUGGUAGUGAGUAAGUCUCACGAGAUCUGAUGAUUUUAUAAAUAGGAGUUCCCCUACACAAGCUCUCUUGCGUGAUGCCGGGUGAGACGUGACUUUGUUCCUCUUUCACCUUCUGCCAUGAUUGUGAGGCCUCCCCAGCCAUGUGGAACUGUGAGUCAAUUAAACUUCUUUCCUUUAUAAAUUACCCAGUCCCAGGUAUGUCUUUAUUAGCAGGGUGAGAACAGACUAAUACAGCAGGUUUUUCCAAUUAUGUUUCUUUCUACAAUGUAAAAAAACAAGUGCUGUGAUAUAAAUGAAGAAUGUCGGUGCCACUGCUUGCAUUUUCCAAAUUGUUAAAAUCUCCAAGAAAGGGUGGGAAAAGUGAUACUGAUAAUGUACAACAGGUUAAAACAACUGGAACACAGAUACAAUCCUAUCAGGAGAACAUUGGAGAUACUGUUGUAUAUUUUACAGCUUCUGGAAAGGACGCUGGUGCAAGGUAAUCAUUUUAGUUGGAGUGCCUUUGAGGUCCUUAUAGUAAAUUUACAAUUCACAUAGUGAAUUUUGAGUAAACAAUUUUUUUUUUGCAAUUAACUAUACCAAAUAUUUAGAGGGUAGGACUUCAAAUAUUGAGUGAUAUCUAUAUUGUAAAUAUUUUAUUUAACUGAUCUGCUUUCCCACUUGACAGUGAACUCUGCAAGGUAAGGAAUUCUGUCUCACUCAUUCUUGUGUUCCCAGAAACUAGCACAGUUCCUGGCACAGUAUAUAAUCAGUGGCUUAUGAAUGGGUGAAUGAAGGAAGAAUGCAGUGAUUUGACUAAGGUUUUGCAGUUAGUUCUGCACAUGGCAUGGCUUUUGAAUCUUUCGUUAAAAUAUUAUGCUUACUUACUUGAAUCUGUUUCCAACACUUUUUCAGAAGAGACAAGGCUGUUCUCAGUUAAAACAUGUAUUUCAUUGAUUAAUUUGCUUGUAAAGCACCAUUGUUUGUUUUUCACUAAAAGUUAAUCCAGUACGAUAAUGUAUAGUAUAAUAAUGUAUUGUGUGGUAUGCAAAGCAAAUAUUCUAAUUUACAGCCUCUAUAUCCCCAUGGAAUUAGUCUAACUCAUGAUUUGUAGAGUGUGCUAUCUAAUAUUAUUAAAAUGAUUCUGUUUGUUACAGUGUAUGAGGGUCUUGGCAGUGGUUGAGUAUGUGGUACUUUGGAGAAACAUCUGUAAUAUAAAUUAAAAUUGGUUUAGAAGUGAAAAUAUUAGUAUUACCAAUCUGGAAGCUAAUUUACUAUAUGAUGCACAGGGGUUACAUUAUAAAGAAAUAUUUCAAUGUCAAAUAUUUAAAUUUCUUGUGGACUUUUAAAACAUGACUCAUGGUACAUUUAUAAAUAAGAAUAAAUACAUUUUGCUACCAUAAAUUUCUAAAUAUUAUUUGAAAUAUUUUUAGAUUUGUUGAUUAUUAUGGGUUUUAAAGAUUCAAUUUAAAGAGAAAAUUCAUAUGAUAAAAUGAACAUCUUUUUUUAUUAUUAUACUUUAAGUUCUAGGGUACAUGUGCACAACGUGCAGGUUUGUUACAUAGGUAUACAUGUGUCAUGUUGGUUUGCUGCACCCAUCAACUCAUCAUUUACAUUAGGUAUAUCUCCUAAUGCUAUCCCUCCCCCGGGCCUCCACCCCCCAACAGGCCCCAGUGUGUGAUGUUCCCCGCUCUGUGUCCAAGUGAUCUCAUUGUUCAAUUCCCACCUAUGAGUGAGAACAUGUGGUGUUUGGUUUUCUGUCCUUGUGAUAGUUUGCCGAGAAUGAUGGUUGCCAGCUUCAUCCAUGUCCCUGCAAGGGACAUGAACUCAUCCUUUUUUAUGGCUGCAUAGUAUUCCAUGGUGUGUAUGUGCCACAUUUUCUUAAUCCAGUCUAUCAUUGUUGGACAUUUGGGUUGGUUCCAAGUCUUUGCUAUUGUGAAUAGUGCCGCAAUAAACAUACGUGUGCAUGUGUCUUUAUAGUAGCAUGAUUUAUAUAAUUACAUAAAGUAGUAAUGUGAUGACUGGGUCAAAUGGUAUUUCUAGUUCUAGAUCCUUGAGGAAUUGCCACACUGUCUUCCACAAUGGUUGAACUAAUUUACACUCCCACCAACAGUGUAAAAGUGUUCCUAUUUCUCCACAUCCUCUCCAGCACCUGUUGUUUCCUGGCUUUUUAAUGAUUGCCAUUUUAACUGGUGUGAGAUGAUAUCUCAUUGUGGUUUUGAUUUGCAUUUCUCUGAUGACCAGUGAUGACGAGCAUUUUUUCAUGUCUCUAUUGGCUGCAUAGUUGUCUUCUUUUGAGAAGUGUCUGUUCAUAUCCUUUGCCCACUUGUUGAUGGGGUUGUUUGUGUUUUUCUUGUAAAUUUGUUUCAGUUCUUUGUAGAUUCUGGAUAUUAGCUCUUUGUCAGAUGGGUAGAUUGCAAAAAUUUUCUCCCAUUCUAUAGGUUGCCUGUUCACUCUGAUGGUAGUUUCUUUUGCCAUGCAGAAGCUCUUUAAUUAAUCAAAUGAAUGUCUUAAGAGAUAGUUAAACAUUUCUAAAGGGGAGUACCCUUAGCUGUCCGGUUUUUCAGAGAUCCUAGAAUACUGGAACCAUUACCAUUUUGACUUAGAGUUCUUGGUGGGAAACCACAAUUAAACAAUACAGUAUUUAGUAUUUGUGUACUUAAUCAGCAUUAAAAAUGUGAUAAUACACUGGAGCAAAUAUAAACUUUCUAGAAUAGGUGUGCUUAAUUGUAUUUAGUGGUUCCAUUUUCCCAUUUUCUAAGGGAAAUACUGUCCUUUUUGGUAACAAAUUUGUCCCUAUGGGAAUGGUAGCUGCUUUUAUUUUGACACAUCAUGAAUAUUUACAAAUAUUGCUAUGGGAUAUAUUUGUAUUAUUUCAAUAAUAUCAAUUUUGAGCAAUCUGUAUUUUAAUCUCAUACCCUGAAACUAUUCAAGUAUUUUCAAUUUGGUUGCCAAGACUCUAGUUUAAAGCAAACUAUGAAAGACGUAACUUUGUCCAUGUUAUAUUAUUUUUGCUAUCUGCCAAGUUGGUUUGAUGUCAAGGCCAGUGGUCUGAUAUGAGUCAACGUAUAAAGAAGAUAAUAUAGUGGUUCAAAUUACAUUUAUUCCUAUAAGUGAAUAAAUAAAUCCAAUGACAAACAUCAAGAUAAUAAAAACUGAAAAAAAAAGUGUAUGCAAACCCAGAUUGGGACCAAGAUUAUUCAUUUUAGAAAAAUCAAGUUGUGUGUGCUGAGAAGGUUGGGGUGAAUAAGUAUGACGGGGUGAAAGGGUAGGGAUGCAAUCUACCAAAUAAUGACACAUAAAACAGUCCCAACUCUAGCUAAAGGAUUAAGAGAAGAAUAUUGCUUGACCUGGAUGUUACAUAUCAUUUCCUACCAACCUAGUCUUGUUCAGAAGCGGAUUCUCUAUUUGUUUAAACGUAAUUAUUUUAUUGAUUUUUGUAAAGUAUGUCAAAAAUAUAAUAAUAUAUGUUUUGUGAUGAUAGGGCUCAUUUAUAUUUUGCUCACGGCUUUAUCUCCAGUGGCUAAAACAAUACCUGGGACAUAGUAGACACUUGACAUUUACUGACUCAAUGAAACAGAUUUCUCCAAACAAUGAAGGUACUAAAAAUAGGCUAUUUUUGCCUGUUUGCUCUUCUUUCCAUUAGUUUGUAUUAUGAAAUCAAAACUAACCUCCCUCCUAAGAAAACCAACAUCAUGAUUUAUACACUCUCUUACACAUACACUUAUUCUCUCACAGUCCAGCUUUUGUUUUUAUUAAUUAUAUAAUCAUUUUUUCCUAAGGGGCAGUAGCAGUGGAAUAAAUUCAAAAUAUCUUCGGGGAAUAGUUUUCACUGACUAAUGAAGUUUAAUAAGCACUCUGAUGGUAGCUAAAUAUGUCCAAAAGCCUCUUCACUUGCUCAAUGAUUUUUACUCCCCUGAGCUUUGUAGCUGUCUAGUGUGUAACCACUCACUUAUUAUAAAUUUCAUAAUUUAUCUCAUCACCUGUUUUAUUUAUUCAGUCAGUGUAACUACUUUGCUCACUUGGUUUCUUGAUUGUUUCACUAGAACAAAAACUUUACUGCUCAACCCAGCAUCCUUAGCUCUAGGUAUCUUUCCACCAUCAUAAUCCAAGCAGCUGGCCCAUGUCAUCUUUCAUACAACUCAGCGUGUCUAAUGUCUUUGCUCUAUCACAACACCUGAUAAAAUUAAUGGUUUUCAAUUAUGGCUGUCGGUUAAGAAUCUCCUUGGGGGAGUGCUUUGGACACCAAAACUACGCCCCAGAUGAAUUGAAUGACAGUCUCUGGAUGUGAGGUUGAACUAAUUUACACUCCCACCAACAGUGUAAAAGCGUUCCUAUUUCUCUACAUCUUCUCCAGCAUCUGUUGUUUCCUGACUUUUUAAUGAUUGCCAUUCUAACUGGCAUCAGAUGGUAUGUCAUUGUGGUUUUGAUUUGCAUUUCUUUGAUGAUCAGUGAUGAUGAGCAUUUUUUCAUGUGUCUGUUGGCUGCAAAUGAUAUUCAUGUGUAGCCAAGUGUCGAGAACCACUGGGCUAAAUGCUCCUACUGCCUCAUCCCACCAACUUCAUUGGAACUCUUGUAUGGUGAACCCAACCAGGAUGGCACCUUCCUUAGGUACUAUAACUUAGACUAACCCAGCCCUUCAGCCAGGCGAGUGGCCCUAUCCCCAGUCCUGUCUCUCCAUGGCUUCCUCUCUUUUCCCUAUAGAUAAUUCAGUCUACCAAGGCCACAUAAUUUAUAGCAUCCUGUUACACAAAUUAAAUAUACUUAUUGUUUUCCUUUAGUGAGAAACUUGCUUUAUUUUAUCAAACAAUUCCAACUUGAAUUUAUUCUUUACAGCAUAGCUUAAAACAAAUUGUGAGCAGAAAGUUAAGCAGAAAAUAAACUGGAUUAAUAUCGAGGUCAUAAUGAUUAGCUAUGGAAGACACUACUUAGAAACAAAAAGGAUCACGGUAAAAUAUGCAGCUAAAACAAUUACUACAACUUGAAUACUUAUCAAAUAAAGUCCCCCAAACUAUAAUAAGAAUUGAAAAUAAAAUUAAAAUGUUCCUCUCCCCAAAUUUGGUUUUAGUACUUAUUUGAUUUCAAAUACAGAGGUAAUAUAGUUUACACUGAAAACAAAUCAACUAGCUAAAGUAGAUGGGCUUUAUAUGUGAAUCAGAUAUUAAGAUAUUAAGGUUUGUUUAUUCCGUUUUUAUCUCUCUGGACCAAUUUUUUUUAGGAAGAAUAAUGUGAUUAAGUCAAGUCUGCUGCCUGGCCUUCUCAAUUCCAGCAUCAUAGCAAUAAAGCACCUUAGCAUAUUAAAACAACAACAACAACAAGAUACUGUUCAUUGGAAACUUUUUUUUUUUUGAGACAGGGUCUCACUUUGUCACCCAGGCUGCCAGGCUGGAGUACAAUGGUGCCAGCAUAGCUUACUUUAGCCUCAAAGUCCUGGGCUCAAGCAAUCCUCUGGCCACAGUCUCCUGAGUAGCUGGGACUACAGGUACAUACCACCAAGCCUGGCUAUUUAAAAUUUUUUUUUGUAGAGACAGGGGACUUGCUAUGUUGUCCAGGCUGGUCUUGAACUCCUGGCUUCAAGCAGUCCUCCCACUUGGUCUUCAUUGGAAAACUUUUGACAAUGUGUUUCAACAAAGGGAAAAUAAAAUAUAACAGAGUCCCACAAAUCCUUUGAUGUGAGCUUCCCUUUAUUGUCUAACAUUUUCUUGAGUCCUCUUCUUUGCCUAUUGUGUUUGAGGUCUAGUUAAGCAGAUAAAGCUUCAAAUGCAGAGAGGGAUGACUUAAGAAAAUAAAGGGAGAGAUGACUUUAGAAAAGAAAAUAGAAACAAAUUUGCAGAGCCUGCAGCCAGCCACUUGGUUAUAUAAAGCACUGGCAAAUAUUAGAGAUCCACUGUUUCUAAUUUGAGAAAUUAUGGAUCAGUUCAUAUUCCUAAGGACUGGAAAAGAACAAAUAUGCACGUAUUUAAAAGGUAAAAAAGAUGCCCCUUCAAAUAGUAGAUUGGUCAUUUUAGCAUUGUCAUUUAAAAUAUAUAUUAGGAAAAAAAUGAUCUAACAGCCGUUAUAAAACAUAUAGAUGCAUAGAAUCAUGAAUAUUAAUUAAUGUGGAUUUGAAAACAGCAUAUCAUUAGCCAGGCUCAGUGACAUGUGCCUGUAAUCCCAGCUGCUCGGGAGGCUGAGGCAGGAGAAUUGCUUGAACCCGGGAAGCGGAGGUUGCAGUGAGCCAAGAUCACACCACUGCACUCCAGCCUGGGUGACAUCUGUCUCUUAAAAAAAAAAAAAAAAAAAAAGAAAAGAAAACAGCAUAUCAUGCCAGUGUAACUUAAUUUCAUUCAGCGUCAGCUUAAUGGCCUAAUGGGUUUCAUUGAAAAAGGGAAAAACAUAUUUAAUCAAUUCAAUUCAUGCAAGGCCAUUGAUUCUUUCCCACAUGACAUUCUCAAAUUAGGAUACAAAGCACAGACUUGAGUUUGAUGGCAUUAAUUGGACACCUCCCAUGUGCUAGACAUGAGCUAGGUACUAUUAUAUAACUAUGUCAACACAAUCCUCUGAAAGAAAUAUUAUCCACAACUAACAAAUGUAUAGAAAUGCAUAAAAAGUUUAAGUAGUUCAUUCAAAUUCAUACAAAUAUUAAAGAAAUUGGCUUCAGAUUCUAUGUAUUUGGCUUUUUCCUUCUACCCUUUAUGAAUUAGUCACACACGGAAGUUUUCCCAUGCUGACUAGACACCUUGCCAUCUCCUCUCUGCUACCAAUAUUGCCAUCAAUAUGAUCACCUCCAUCCUUUUUGCUGCUGUUGUAAGAAUCCAUGCCAUCAAAUCUUUAUUGUGCUGCCACAACUCCCGCCACAGAGCUUCUACCCCUAUCCUCCUAACAGUUAAGUGUGAGAGGUUCUUUUCUUGCACUGCUGAGGCCAUGUUGGGAAAUGAGAUUGGCUGCCUCCAUCUCUAAAGGAGCAGAAGCCAAGUUCCCAGUGACUUCUAGAAUUGAUUAAAGUAGAAUGGGAGAAGAAAUGUGCCCUGAGUGUCUUUAGAACUCAAAUAUAUACUUUGUUAACAAGAUGAUUCACGUCUAAACUACAAUUAGUAACACAGGCUGAUUGCAGUGGUUCAAGCCUGUAAUACCAGCACUUUGGGAAGCCAAGGCGGGAGGAUUACUAGAGGCCAGGAAUUAGAGACCAGCCUGGCCAACAUGGUGAAAACCCAUCUCUACUAAAAAUACAAAAAUUAGCCAGGCAUGCUGGUGCAUCUCUAUAAUCCCAGCUACUCAGGUGGCUGAGGCACAAGAAUCACUUGAACCAGGAGGUGGAGGUUGUGGUGAGCUGAGAUCACUCCACUGCACUCCAGCCUGGGCAGCAGAGCAAGACUGUCUCAAAAUAAAUAAAUAAAGUACAAUUAAUAACAUAGGGUAGUUACAUUGUGGAUUAAAGAGUCUGUGGGCUGACUUGGGACCUGAUCAUCAUUUAUGAUGGUGUUUCUAUCAGAAAAUUCACUUUGAUUUCAAAUUAACUUAAUUUUAAGUGAACCUCUGAAAUGCAGUUCAAUUAUAAGUUAGGUAUUGCGUACAUAAUCUUAGCCAUAUUACUUUCAGGCAGAGAGCUGAACUUUAUUAUUUACAUCACACUUUUUUUUUUUUUUUUUUACUAUGUAUGUGUGUGUCUGUUCUAUAUGUGAUGAUUGGUUUCUUGAAUACAAGAAGAGUGCUUUUUUUUAUAAACGGUAUCUGGAAAUAUGCUUGCGAGUUAUAGGCAAUCAAUAAAUAUUUAAUGAAUGAGUGAUUUACUGGAUAUAGCAAACAAGAAUACAGUGAGAUUUAUAUAUAUUAAAUUCCGCCAAUGCCAUUUUUUGAAGAACUGUUGUAACAUCUGAAAUAAUCUUUACUAAGCAGGAAAAAAAGAUCCUGAAAAAUAGGGAUAAACAACCAAGGGCAAGAAUGUCUAUGUAAGAUGGAGAAUACACAGCUGGAUAUUCAAACAAGAAAAAGAAAGAUUACAAGAUAAUAAGAUACUGUAGCAGCAUUGUGGGGAGAGGGAAAGACUGUGUUUCUGGGAUAUGUUACAGUGUAAAUGGCACACAUACCUAGAUUUUGAUUAGCCGCUAUAGUUUUUUAAAAUUAUGUGAGAAAAUUAAUGGAGAUAAUUCAGAUAAGAGUGACUAAACUAAACUGUUAAAGAAAUGGAAAGUGGACCUUUUGAGGAUUAAUAUGCAGGAAUUCGUUUUUAUUCCAUUAAAGAAGACUGCAGUAUGCCUUCUGACAUAUGAAUGAUUUUGUGAUACUACUGGUGACCAGUUAUCCGUCUCUCAUAGAGAAAAAAGCAAAAACAAAUGGGCUGAUAUUUAUAGUAAAUAUUUGGCUAUGGUUAAUCAUAAGAAAUAAUUUCUUAAGAGGUUGAAAAACCUCUCGACUAUUCACUUAAGACAAUGCACAUUAUUGUUUUUUUUUCCUUCUUGGGCAAAUGAACCUCUCUUUGAUGUGAAUGUCUUAGACAUUGGCCAAGGGUGCAAAGAAGGAACCAGAAUCAGUGAUUUCUUAAAGCCUCUUCCAAUCUAGAAUUCUAAAUUUCUGUAGUGUAACAGCUGAUUAGUUUGUUAGGACUAACUGAAAAAAGUACAACAGACUGGGUAGCUUAAAGUAGAGAAAUGUAUCGGCUCCCAGGUAUGGAGGCUAGGAGUCUGAAAUCAAGGUGUCAGCGGGGUUGGUUCUGUUCUAGGCCACUCUGCUUAGCUUGAGGAUGUCCAUUUUCUCUCUAAGUCCCUUCAUAUCAUCUUCCCUCUAUGCAUGUCUGCCUCUGUGUCCAAUUUUCCAUUUUUAUGCACUUGUCAUAUGGAUUAGGGCCCACCCUGAGGAUUUCAUUUUAACUUGAUUUCCUGUAUAAAGAUCCUAUCUCCAGAAAAGAUCACAUUUUGAAGUACUGGGGGUACGGACUCCGACCCAUCGUUUUUGGAGGGACGCAAUUCAACUCGGAACAAGCAGUCUCACGUACACAUAAUCACGCUGCAGCUAAAUAGUAUUGUCUAACGAAACAGAUUGUGACACGUAGAAUUAUGGCACAUUUUCUUGUUGCUGGGGAAUCUCAACUCCAUCUUCAGUCUCAUUUCACCAGUCAUCUAGGCUUCUGAGAUGGAAUAAUGUAAUCUGUUGCAAUUAAGGAUGCUACAUCUUUACAUAAAAGUUUUUCCCAUCUUUUUUUUUCGUUCUCUCCCCUCAAUUUUGGCAUUUACUGAGGUCCCAGAUAUAUUUAACAGUCUUGAAAUUGGAAGCAUCUAUGUUUCUCCCCAUUCACAAUGUGAAGAAUUAGAGACAGGGAGAGUAUACCCUGGGAAGUUGCCGGUAUACUUCAUACAAUCAGGUUAGCAUUUCUUCUAUAUGCCAUAUAUUUUCAUAAAGCAGAAAACACCUAUAUCACAGCAAAAUGGUAGAUUCUGCGAGAAAUGCAAAAGGACCUGGUGUUAGGUUUGGUUUCCCAGAGUAUACAGCACCCUCUAAUUUGGCAGGAAAUAAAUAUCUUGUAAUACUGUUUUCCACUUAGGAGUUACAUUGAGUUCAAAGAAGGAAUUUUCCUGAGCAGCUUCCUGAAUUUGACAAGUUAAUUUAUUCAGCUAUUAUGCAUUGGGCACUUAUUUUGUGUUCUGUGUUAUGCUAGGCCCUAUGAGGAUAUUCACUAAGGGAUGUAGUUCCUAUUCACAAAGAACUUAGGUUAGCGGAAAAGAUAAACAUGUACACAGCUAACAUGAAUUCAAAGCAACAUUCAAUAAAUGCUUUAAUAGAGAUCAAAACAAAGUGCUGUGGGGCCCAGAGGAGAGAGAGAUUAAUCAUGUCUGGAUUUCUUCUUAGGAAUAUAUAUUAACAUCAGUUUUUGGUCUUUUGCUUUUACUUAAAAUUCUAGAAGGUGAACUUGGGAAAACUUUGCAGCCACAUUUUGAGAACUGAUCCUUGAGACCAGAAGGUUAAAGCUGAGUACUGCAGCUGAUGAAUGCAGAGUAAUACAUCUGUGUCAAAUGAAAAUGCUGCUGAAUUAGUUCAGCAGUUCAAUCAAAUGUACCUAAUCCUACAUCAAUCUAAAUAGAACAUAGCUAUAACUUUUCCAGGCCAAGUGUACAAAAAACCUGCCAAGAGGAUGGAAAUGAAGCUGAAAUGACAGCCAUUUCAUGAAAUUUAUGAUGCCAAAAAUACCAUUUAAGUUGAGCCGCUGCUGGGACAAAAAAAAUUAAUUAAAUGUGUGGUGGACCAUUCAUAAUUUUCUUUGUGGGGUAGAGAGGCGUUUACUCUACACUACCCAUCAUUAUUGGCAAUAGUUCCUCUUGGUGAAUGAACAAUUUAAAAAUGAAAAUAAAUUUAAAAGACCAUCCUGCUUUUCAUCAUUGAAAAACAGCAAGAAAAAACAUUCAAAAGUUAAGAGGGUUCUGAAAGAAACUUCAAUGGUAAUGAUUUCUAUGGUAAUCAAGAUCAUCAGCAUACGCCUAUCAUAAUUAUACAUUCCAAAGCUCAGAUACAGUUAUAAAUCCCACAGAAAUUCUAUAGCUGCUAAAAAGAGAGAAUUAAGGUGAUUGUUAUCCAAAUCACAAGAAGUGUUUUCAGAAUAAAUACAUAAUAAAAUUCUGAAUACCUUUAAAACCAAUUACUUGUUACAAUGUUUCCUAGAACCAGGAUUAAAAGGAAUCUUAUUUAGCUCAAACCCAUCAGUGGACAGAUCAGGAAAAUGAGGUCCAAAGGACAGGAAAUUACCUGUCCAUGGUCCCUGUGGCUAAUACAUCUCAAACUAGAAUACAGGCUUUUUGCUUCCCAGUUUGUUGAUGUUUCCAAUAUGCCAAUUAUUUGUGCCUCAAGAAUACAGAAUUAAGGAUGUUAAUUCAUGUUUUGAGUAUAAGAAAUACAAGGCUGACUGUUACUCCAAGUUUAAAUACAUGAACUCUGAAGCCACACUGCUUAGAUUUAAAUUCUGGCAUAUACACUUACUAGUUCUGUGUUUGGACAAGUAACAAAUUGCCCUGUGCCUUGUUUCCUCAUCUGGAAAAUGAAAAUAAUAGUAUCUCCUCCCUCUUGGAGUUGUUGUGAGCAAUAAAUGAGUUAAUGAGUAUGAAAUACAUAAAAAUGUGCCUGAAACAUGUGUUUUCAUAUUAUUUUGAUCAUCUAAAUCAGCAAUUUGAACAUCUUCCCAUGUUGGGGGCAUUGCCUUCUACCAGUGCCUAAUCUUAGCAAAAUUUGGAAGCAGCUGUGUUUAUCUUUUCUGUAUUCAUUCUUCCUUGCUGAGCAUCCCUUGGGCACCUAGUAUUCUGACUAUAUUGUCUAUAUCCCAUAAUUGCAAUGUCCUGCUUGGUUCUGUCCACCUCUGGAAGCAAUUGUGUUCAAAUUUGCCAACCUAAAUCCAAGUGUGGUGGUACACAGCUGAAAUCCCAGCUAUCAGUAGACUGAGACAGGAGAAUCUCUUGAGCUAAGGAGAUCAUGGCUUCAGUGCACUAUAAUCACACCUGUGAAUAGCCACUGCACUCCAGCCUAGGCCACAUAACGAGACCCCAUCUCUAAAAAAACAAAACAAAGCAAAGUGAAAAAACAAUUGCCAACCAUUUCUUCUUUACUAGAACUUCCUGAUUCCACUCCGUCAGGGCUCCAUGAAGUAAUAUCUAAAAUGUUAAGGCAUAUUUGUUCAGUAUGUUGCCCUUUCAAAGGAUAUUGUACUUUUAAUCAAGCUUGUCUGUAGUGUUGUCACCUCAACAAUAAGAUUAAUAUCCACUUACAGAAUUUUAGAUAUUGUGAUAGGACAACAGUAAGGGGAAAGGGAAUCAAUGACUUUUGAAUAUUUGUUAUGACAUCUCAGUUCGUUCUCAAGCAUGGAAUUUAUUAUUCUCUUCCGUUUCAGAGAUAAGGAGACUAAGGCUCAGAGACAGGAGAUGAUAUAGUUAAAAUCAUACAACUAAUAAGUUGAAAAAGCAGUUUGAAAAUUCUGGCCUAUUUGGCUCCAAAGUCCAUUCUCAGUAUUUUUUUAUAAAGAGUUCUUUAAUCAGUGCUCCUCAAAUCAUACUAAUAUGGUUUUGCACUGUGUCCCCACCCAAAUAUCAUCUCCAAUUGUAAUCCCCACUUGUUGAGGGAGGGACCUGGUGAGAGGUGAUUGGAUCAUGGGGGCGAUUUCCCCCAUGCUGUUCUCGUGAUAGUGAGGGAGUUCUCAUGAGGUUUAAUGGUUUAAAAGUGGCAGUUCCUUUUGCACUCUGGCUCUCCCCUGCCGCCUUGUGAAGAAGGUGCCUGCUUCCCCUUCACCUUCCACUAUGAUCGUAAGUUUCCUGAGGCCUCCCCAGCCAUGCGGAACUGGUAGCCAAUUAAACGUCUUUCCUUUAUAAAUUAACCAGUCCCAGGUAGUAUCUUCAUAGCAGUGUGAAAACGAGCUAAUACACAUACUAUGUGCGCAAACGGCUCUUGUGCAUGUCUUAAGACUGGCUCUUUUUCUCUAGGAACUACUGAAUUUCCCUCAGCUUGACAUCACAAUUCAAAAUACAUUCAGAAUACUUUCUGCACUAUCUUAUAAUAUAUGGAAAAUUUAGGUACCAACUAAACUGCAUAAUGUAACUUACAUUGCAGUUUUUGAAUAUACUUUAUAUCAAACACACAUGUCAUUAUACAUGUGAACUCUCUGUUGGUUUACCAUGAACCAAAAAGAUAAAGUAGAAAUAAAAUAGGUACAAUGAGUAGGUUUUCAACAAGUCAAUGCAUCCCCUUGAUAAUCUAUUCCAUAGUAGGAGUGCAAUAUAAUGUUUGUAUUAAAUCAACAAAGUAUAUUCUGCACUAAUUAUUGACAUGAAAGGAGAAAAAAAAUUUGAAAAGCAUAAACAUAAUGCUUUUGUAUUGAAUCUGAGAUAUAUUGGUUGCUAAAGUGUGAGAGUUUAGCACAUGUGAAAUAAUUUACAAGCACAUGAAUUAGCACAAGUGCGUCAUAAGGUUUGUCCUAGUUUAUUCAGAAAGGCUUCAGGUUUUAUAUUUGGGGAAAAAAAGGAUUUUUUAUCACAACUGUUAUUCUUUGCUGAACCAACUCAUUUUAUAGUUAGAAGAAAAGCCAGCUGGAGGGUUUAUAUUGAUCUAUUAACUUUUCUAGAGUGUUUCCUUGAUAAAUGUAUCUUCUUAGAGAUUCUCAGAAUGACUGCUGAAAGGGACACACCAAAACCUUCAUUUUACCUCCAGGGUUCAUUGUACAUUGUCUGUCAGUUUAUUGACUGAUAAUAAACUAUCAUAUGCAAAGUAAUACACUAAAUAUUGGGGAUACAGAGGUAGUAUGGAUCUUAGAUUGUGUAUGGGAAGAAAAGUCAUCCAUAUAAAUGACAGUUAAAUCCAGAACACAUAAACUAAGUGGUAUAAACAAUGAGUGCUCUAGAUGAGGUGAAUGUUUCUGCCUAUUAAUGGUGUCAGGAUGAAAAUGGGUCAGUCUUUGUAGUUGAGUAUAUUGCAUAUAAUUUAAUUCUUACCCAACUUGUCUUCUAGAUGCCUUCAUGAUCACAUAAUAAGGAAAGGUAAAUGUGUUUCUUCAAAAAAUAGGUAGUUAACAAAAGCUAAAUAAAAACUGGUUUUAUAUACAGCAAGUGGUAAGCCCUGUGAAAGUAAUAAUUCAUAGUUUUAAGGCUCUGAUAUUAUAAAAAGACUUUAUACAUGUUAAGAUACAAUGUGACACAAGCCAAAAACAUUCAAAGCAAAAGAAAGUCAAAUGAAAAUUGUAGCCAUUUUCAUAGACAGGCUUUCCUCUACCUUGCUACUGCCAAAUGGAAUAUAGUAUAUCUAUAUGGUACCAACACACCCUGUUCUUCAGCUGUAAUGCAAGGUCAUGAACAACAAUGAUUAAGAGAAGGCCUAUGAGUCAGUACCAGUACUGACAAUAGAAGGUACGGGAGAAAAUGGGAAGAAUAAAUAAAAAGAGUAGUCUAGCCAUAGAUUAUAUCUAAAAGCUAGAAGACAAGAAAGUGAUGUAAGAAAAUCCAAACAAGUAGCCAAAGGCCAGAGAUCACAUAGAAAUAAUGUAUUAAGGCAGUGCAAUGGUCCAAAGCCAAGAAUGCAAUAAGAACAACAGAAGAUUGAGAGCAUUCAGAAAUAGUGCAUCCGGAAAAAAAGAAAGCCAGAUUUCUGAAAGAAAAGUUAGUUGGCUGACUUUCUAGGCCUGGCUAGUCCUAGGCAUGAAUCCUGAAAGGCUGCUGCAGUCCUAAAACUUUCUAUAUCUGGAAGAUCCUAUAUCUCAUUCCUCCAAGGGAGAAUUGCUAAAAUGAUGCAUGAUUUAGGGGCUUCAGUACCCUCAAUUCAUUAUUUUAAAAAAGUUAAUUUGCUACUGAAUUAAGCUAAAAUAAUGGAGAAAGUCUUUAAGGUCACCUUUGUUCUAACUUGCUUUGUUCUAACCUAGAAACUUUGAUUCUUAUUUAAGGUUCAUGCAAAGAUACUUUUGAUAAGGUGGGUAAAACCCAGAGACAGCUACAAGGAUUUUAAAUGUCUUUUAUAUUUGUAAAGCAGAAUAACCCGUGAUACCAAAAUGCUUUCAAACUUUCGGUUUGGACAAAGGAAUCUGCUUGUGGUUUAGGCAAAUGCUUUGGAGAUUAUCUCUUUCUGAAUUCAACUGAAACAUGAUUUAGUUAAUUAAUCACCUCAUUGAUUGUCAUGCUGCUAUUGUCGUAUUUAGAAAUAUUCCCACUGAGACACAGCCCUGAAAUGUUCAUAACACAUCAGAUGGUUUUGUUGCUGUAGUGACUUCGUUCCUUCAUGAAGACAACAUUUCUAGGAAUAAUUUCAAAAGAGAGCAGAUGAAUUGGACUCGUUGGAAGAUAAUGUGAACUUUUCUUAAAGACCGUGCCAGCAUCUGGGAGCCUUCAUUUAUCUUUAGUGUAUUCUGUCUGUACUUUUGUCAGGCACAAAGAAGCAAAAGAAAACAAAGCACAAAACAGAGAAUGAUAUAAAAAAAAUACUCCCCUACCCCCUUCCUUUUAGAAGUUUACAACAACAGAAGAAAUAUUUACUUUCCCCAAAUGAGAAGAACCCCAAUUAAAAUUAUUCUAGCAAGUUAACUAAGUAACAAGUUACUUUUCCUUCCUCCCUGCUACUGUUUUAGCAAGCACAGAGCUAAAAUGGUUUGACUAAUAUAAAUGCACUUCAGUUCUAGCUACUUAUUCUCUCCAUUUCACCUGAGGAUUGGAGUCAGAGUUGAUCAAGGGAUUUACUGCCACUCCAAUGAGGCAGAGUGAGAAUUGUUCAAGUCCUUGGCAUCUUCGUGGGACUAGAAAGAAGUGUUACUUGAUAUACAUUCUUGGCGAGUUUGCCAAGGAAAAGGAGGUAGAGCUACUUAUGGGAGCAAUCUAUUCUCAUCACCAACAUCAGAGACUGGUGGGCCUGAUCCUGCCUUAAAGUAAACAAAGUGAAAUAUAAUUCCUCCUGAGAUGGCAUUUCUUUUUCUAGGGGAACCAAUUUACAUCAGUCAGAUGAGCUCUCGGCACUGAUGAGAAAGAGUAUUUUACUCUUUUACCACUGAAUAACACUGGACUCAUAACUUUUAUCUUGGGAGGAACUCAGGUAUAAUUUGAUUUUGUAAAAAUUACACAUGUGAUAUACAUAUACAUAGCAUGAAGUUUGUAAUAGGAAGAAAAGUCAUCUAGGAAUGCCUAAUAUAUCAUUUAGCCUAGGAACUUCCUCAGCGGAGUUUCUCAGGUAAUAUGCUAUAUUUUGUCUUGUAUUUUAGAAAAUCAAAUCUCCCUUUUGCACCAUAUUCUGAGUUAAUUACAAUCUUGGAAUCAGCACUUCUGAUCACUAUUCCUUUUGGGUGUCCAGGACGUGCCUAUUCAGAAAUAAAUAUGUUACCCUGAGGGAGUAACAUAUGCAUCUCAGUACAUUGUAGCACAUGGGAUCAAAAUCCAGUUUGUCAGAGUAGACUCCAAAACAAUAUUUUCAAACUAUUUUCAAAAAAGAACAAGAUUCCAGCUCAUCUCAUCCAUCGCUACAAAGUUUUCUAAAUGCACACUCUCAAUUUCUGUACAUAUCUAAUCCAGUCCUGGAGCAACACUAGUCUGCAGACUAUAUGUUGAGUAACACUGCUCUAAAUGAAGAUGAUAACAGGGAGUUUCAUAUUUUGACAAGACAAGAGGAAACAGGAAAGCAAAGGUCUCCACUAGAGCCUUAAUCCCCAUCCAGUGGGAAGAGACAGGCCCAAGGAGGAUGUCACAGUGGCACUGAACCCUGGGCAGAACAUUAGAAAUACAUUGUCUAUUUCACAGUCUAGCAGAAAGGCCAGCCCCUAAAAUGGGAAAGCAUGGCACAAAUAAGUUACUGACAAACAAAGCGGAUCUCAGAAAGAAGAUUCUCUCAGUAUUUUUAGAAUUCUGCAAGUCUAAGAUACAAAGUUAGGAACAACUUUUGAUGUAGUCAUAAAUAGCCAUUGUAACUGUUCCAGAAUAAUUAGUGGGAAGCAGAAAAUAGUAGUUAUCCAGUUUUAUAACUUCUCUUUAAAACUCUUGAGCAGCUGUUAUGAAAUAUUAAAUUUCCUAACACCUUUGGGCUAUAAUCUUGCUAGUUCUCAAAAACUAAGCGGGAUUGAACUUAGGCAGAAACUAAAUGAAAACAACAAAGAAUUCCUUACAUGCUGGUGUUUAAGAAGCAUUUUCGGGAGAAUAAACUACUGAGUUUCUUGUUCUGAGCUAAACCAUAAACCAGCUUCAGAAACAUGAUGUUCUCCCAUCCGAAGAAACACUUUGGAAAGAAUGGAUGAUUUCCAAUCUUAAGGACCGUGUCACAUCUUAAGAGUGGUAGCACGUUAGCUUUAUUAUCCCAGAAAGCCAUCCAGUGGACAAAUUUAAUUUAACUUUUUAUGUAAAUUCCCAAAACAGCAAAAUUCUGCCACAGGUGUUAGAUAACCCACCCAAAUCCAAAAUCUGAUGAGAAAUAAGAAAGAGACGAAAAUGGAAACUGCAUUGUUGCUUAGGGUGUUCAUACCUAGGUAGAAUAUUUCUGCAGAGAGGUUCUUGAAGCCAGGAUCAGAGGGAUCAAAAGGAAGAGGACCCAAGGCAAAAGCAGGGCCCCCCAAGAACUAAUUUACAUUCCUUUAAUAUUUUACCUGAUGAAAGAUCUGACCCUUGUUCAUAACUGUAAAUUCUGUAAUUACUGUAUUACAUUAGAAUUACAUUUGAAAUAGUUUAUUUCAAAGUGCCCUGAAGGAUAUUAUUAAUAAUGUCAAUAAUAAUUAGUCAGCAUUCAGCAUUUAAACAGACAAGUAGCUGAAGAGACAAGAGUAUCCAAGAGUAUCUUCCUUCCAUGCCUUUUUUUUUUUUUUUUUUAAAUAAGACAUUAGGUCUCGCUCUGUUGCCCAGGCCGGAGUGCAGUGGUGCCAUCAGAGCUCACGGCAGCCUUGAACUCCUGGGCUCAAGCGAUUCUCCUGCCUCAGCCUCCCAAAGUGCUGGGAUUACAGGCAUGAGCCACCACACCUGGACUAGUUUUAAUUUUUGACCCAACUUUUUGUUUGAGAAGUUUAUUUUGUGUGGCUGGUGUGUACCAUGUCCUGUGUGAAAUGAAUCCAUUUAUGUUUAAAAUUUGCUCAUUAUUCAGGGAAGAAAAAAAUUGUUCAGGCAUUGAGGGUGAAUGACAUAUGCUACCUGGCCAUUCUAGAUUGUAUUUAUUUUUAUCUAUUAUUUAUUUUGCCACAUGUGUAAUCCACAAAAACUACCUGUAUAGCAAAUGCAUUUCCCCCAUGAUGAUUUAGAGUGAGGCUACAGUGAUGCAGUAAAAAGGAAAGAAUUCCGGCCGAGUGCAGUGGCUCACGCCAGUAAUCCCAGCACUUUGGGAGGCCGAGGAGGGUGGAUCACCUGAGGUCGGGGGUUCGAGACCAGCCUGACCAACAUGGAGAAACCCCAUCUCUACUAAAAAUACAAAAUUAGCCAGGCAUGGUGGCGCAUGCCUGUAAUCCCAGCUACUCAGAAGGCUGAGGCAGGAGAAUGACUUGAACCCGGGAGACAGAGGUUGCGGUGAGCCGAGAUCGCACCAGUGCACUCCGGCCUGAGCAACAAGAGCAAAACUCCAUCUCAAAAAAAAAAAAAAAAAAAGUAAAAGAAUUCCAGAUGGCUGAUUUCACAUAUCUGACAGUCACAGAGGGGCUGUUUUUAGCUGAAAUAUCAACUAGAAAUUUUUUCAUAGGGAGAGGGAGCAGGGAAGAUGCACACACAGAAAUUGGCACUCAGCACCCUCUGAUUUCUCACCAAGAAAUCAGGUAACAUUUUAGAGUUUUAGUAUUAAUUAGUAAUUCCUACCCAAAAUUUUAUCUCAGAAAUUCCAAUUUCCAUAGGUUUAGAAUGUUUUCCCUGUUUAAUUAUUUUCUAUCUUUUAAAUUAAAUAUGCCUGCUUUAUUCAGAGGCGAGCCUUUCUUUACAUUUGUCUAAAGAAGAGCUUGGGGCAAUCUAAGGAGAUACAUAGACUAAUUCUCCAGAGUCUUAUUUGCAAUCCUAUCAGCAACUGAAUUUUAGUGCAGAAAAGUCAUUAGUGUCUGUUAGAGAAAAUGUGCAAAGCAUUUGAAAAUAAGGUGAAUUUUACAAGUCACAUAUUUUCUAGCAGAAAUUUAAAGUUUUUCUUUCUUUUCUUAGUUUACCUGUUGGAUUCAAGGCCCUGGGCUUUCCUCAAGUUCCCACAUGAAGAUGGCACACAUUAAAGCUACAUUUCAGACCCUAAUUUAUUUGCAUUUUCAAGAUUUUUCUCUUCACAGACAUUAGCUAUCUUAGGUGGUACCAUGAAGAAUAAAUGCCAUUAAAGGGUUACAGAAGAAAGCCAUGGUAUACUGUGGUCUAAUCCGUUUAACUAUUACAAUGAAAAGAUUUUUUACCAUGGGAUUAGGGUCAUAAAAACAACUAGACUAGGAAUUGCCAUUCCCAUCCAGGUACCUGCUGCCAAUGAGGCUAGCAAUAGUAACAAAUUUGACAACCCUCCCUUCCCCUGACCCUAACACAAAUGUACACAACACUAUUCUCUUUGAAAUGCUCCAAACAAGGUCAAAUAUAAAGUGAUGCAGAUUGAAAUAUGCAAUUAUUUCUCUCAUUUAGAUUUUAAUUAUUCUUAAACUCAACCUUGUUAUUUAACCUUGACCUAUGUAGUUUUCUUAAUAUCACUUAGAAGUGAAUUACAAAAAAAUCUCUUGCAUUCUGUCCUAUUUGCAAUUCAAAAAACAGUCUGGGUUAACUGCAACUCACAAAUAUUGCUUCUUCUAUAAGAAGACAUGUCUUUCUAAUAAUAUCUUGCAUUCAGAAAUAGCUAUGAAAUUUGUGGAGUUAUGUGCAAAAUAAAAAUGUGAGCCCCUUGUUAAAAAAUUAUUAAGAAUUUCAAGAUGGUGACAACAGUGCAAUAAACCAAGUGUGGGGCCCUUCUAAGCAUAGGGCACUGUACAGCUGCACAGCUUGCAUGCCCAUGAAGCUGACCUCACUUAUGUUUAUACGUUAAUUUCAUAGUUAAUACACAUAAACUAAUUUAUUUGAUUCUCAUAACCACUUGUGAGGUAGGCAGAGAAACUAACAGCAGUCUUAUUUUUUUUUCUUGAUAUGUACAGCAUCUGACAUUCAAACAACAUGUAUGACCACCCAACUUGUAAGUGAUUGUAUUAGUCAAGGUUUUCUAGAGGGACAGAACUAAUAGGAUAUAUAUAAAGGAGAGUUUAUUAAGUAUUAACUCACAUGAUCACAAGGUCCCACAAUAGGUCGUCUGCAAGCUGAGGAGCAAGGAGAGCCAGUCCAAGUCCCAAAACUGAAGAACUUGGAGUCCAAUGUUCGAGGGCAAGAAGCAUCCAGCAUGGGAGAAAGAUGUAGGCUGGGAGGAUAGGCCAGUUUUGUCUUUUCAUGUCUUUCUGCCUGCUUGUAGCCACACUGGCAGCUGAUUAGAUGGUGCCCAUCCAGAUUAAGGGUGCGUCUGCCUUUCCCAGCCCACUGACUGAAAUGUUAAUCUCCUUUGGCAACACCCUCACAGACACACCCAGGAUCAAUACUUUACAUCUUUCAAUAUAAUCAAGUUGACACUCAGUAUUAACCAUCACAAGUCCACCUCUUGUCAACUUGAACACAUAUACAUCCCCUGAGAUUAUACAUAAUCUUCAAAUAAAGACAAUAAUAAGGUCAUAAUUAUGCCUAACGUAAUACAUCUAUCCUUCAUAUAACUGAAAAUGCACCAAUCCCCAACCCAAAUACUAUUACAUAAAGUUAACAAUUCUUAAAUAUUGAUAUGAAGUCAAUAAAUCUUAUGUUACAUGAUAAAGGAAAAAGGAAAUUAAAUGAAGAUAUUUUCUUAGUGCAAGUGUAUACAUGCACAAAUACAUUUUUAACAAAAGGAUGAAAUACUCAUGACAAUUACAGUCCUCAUUUAUACAGCUGGCCACAUGGCUGUAGCUGAUAUUGAUGACUACCUUCUUCUACUACCCAUUCUGUAUUCCCUUUGCCUUCAGCAAGCACCUCAGCAGGUUGUGGUUUUUUUCCUGGAAGAGUGACCCAAACCUUCAUUCCUGAAGGGUCUAGGUCCUCGUGCAUUGGGCUGUUGUAGUUUCCCAUUGACCUUAAUCAUAGGGCAUGGUAAUACUAAGAGACACCCUAAUGGAUAUCCUGUAUUCCAUGCAUAUUCUUCCUUGCCUUUGUUGUGGAGCCAUAGACUUAUUUCAUCUUGAUAGUCUGGGUCAAUCACCCCAGCCAACACUGUGACUCCCUUCUUAGCCUGUUGACUUAAAGGUAGGAGGAGCCCAAAGUGUCCACUGGCAAUCUUCCAGUUUAAUGGAAUCAUUGUGUCUCGUGGUGGCAGUGUUCCUCCCUCUGGAACUAAGACCUCUAGGCCAGCAGAACAUAAUGUCCUGGGAACAGGAAGCAAAAAUUUUGCUAGUGGAUCACUAGGGGUGAUGAUGAGUUGUACCACUUCCACCCCUUGAUUCCUGGACCCGUGAAUCUGGCUAUAGGAGAAACAGUGCCAUGUAUUGGAAGCUGAUUCCGAGCAUACAUGGCCUUCUGGGGAACUUUGCCCCAGCCUUGCAAAGUAUUGUCACAUAGUUGGCAUUGUAAUCGUGACUUCAAAAGGCCAUUCCACCGUUCUGUCAAUCCAGCUGCUUCAGGAUGGUGGGGAACAUGGAAAGAGCAGUGAAUUCCAUGAGCAUGAGCAGCCUGGACCUGUUGCAGAGCCUUCUCCUGUUCUGGACCCUACUCAAAACUGGCAGCCUUUUGGGUCACUCGAUAAAUGGGCUGGAGUAACACACCCAAAUGAGAAAUGUGUUGCCUCCGAAAUCCAAAUAGGCCCAUUAGGUGUUGUGCCUCUUGGUUGUAGGAGGGACCAAAUGCAGCAACUUAUCCUUCACCUUAGAAGGAGUAUCUUGACAGGCUCCACAACACUGGAUCCCUAGAAGUUUUACUGAUGUAGAAUGUCCCUGAAUUCUAGUUGGAUUUAUUUCCCAUCAUCUGGUGGGCAGAUGUCUCACCAAUAAGUCUAGUGUGUUUGCUACUCCUUGCUCACUGGAUCCAAUCAACAUAAUGUCAUCAAUAUAAUGGAGCAGUGUGAUAUCUUGUGGAAGUAGAAAGUGAUCAAGGUCUCUCCGAAUAAGAUUAUGACACAAAGCGAAAGAGUUGAUAUACUCCUGAAGAAGGACAGUAAAGGUAUAUUGCUGGCCUUGCCAGCUGAAGGCAAAUUGCUUCUGGUGGGCCUUAUGGACAGGAAUGAAGAAAAAGGCAUUUGCCAAGUCAAUGGCAGAAUACCAGAUACCAGGAGAUGUGUUAAUUUGCUCAAGCAAUAAAACCACAUCUGGUACAGCAGCUGCAGUUAGAGUUACCACUUGGUUAGGCUUACGAUAAUCCACUGUCAUUCAAGAUCCAUCUGUCCUCUGCACAAGCCAAAUGGAAGAGUUGAAUGGGGAUGUGGUGAGAGUUACCACCCCUGCGUCUUUCAUGUCCUUGAUGGUGGCACUAAUCUCAGCAAUCCCUCCAAGGAUGUGAUAUUGUUUUUGAUUUACUAUUUUUCUAGGUAGAGGCAGCUCUAAUGGCUCCCAUUUGGCCUUUCCUACCAUAAUAGCCCUUAUUCUACCAGUCAGGGAGCCAAUGUGGGAGUUCUAUCAGCUGCUAAGUAUGCCUAUCCCAAUUAUGCCUUCUGGCACUAGAGAAAUAACCACAGGAUGAGUCCGGAGACCCACUGGACCCACUGUAAGUCAGACCUGAGCUAAAAGUCCAUUAAUUACCUGACCUCCAUAAUCCCAUACUUUAACUGGAGGGCCACAGUGACGUUUUGGGUUCACUGGAUUAAACGUCAGCUCAGAGCCAGUGUCCAGUAGUCCCCAAAAUGUCUGAUCAUUUCCUUUUCCCCAAUGCACAGUUACCCUGGUAAAAGGCCAGAGGUCUGUUUGGAGAAUGAUGGGAGAAAGAUUAACAGCAUAAAUUGUCAGUAGUGUAGUGGGGUCCUUCCUCUAGUGGACCUGGCCUCCCCUUCAUUCAAGAGGUUCUGGGUCUGUAAACUGGCUGAAGCCUGGAAAUUCAUUGAGGGGCCGUGAAUCUCUGUUUUUAUAAUUCAAAUUAAUCUUUUUUCCAUUCAACCUAGAAGUUUUCUGCUUAUCUAAAUUAAGUAGGAAUGCAGUAGGCUUCCUAUCAAUUUCAUUCCUAGGAACACCAUGAUUAAUUAGCCAAUGCCAGAGCUCUACAUGAGUCAGAAAAUUCUGAUUGCUGCUUUGCCUCUGCUGUCCAUUAUGGUAGCUAUGCCUACCUUGCCUUUGAUUGUUGAGUGCCACUACUUGGCCCCUGCCACCUUGGGAUCCAAUUAUUCCCAUUGUAUUUAAAUUUUGUAGUUGAAUGACUGCAGUUCCCACUGUUAGACCUGACAUACAGAGAAGAGCAAUUACAGCGCUCUUCAAAAAUGCAGGUGCUACCCCCACAAAUCUAUUUCGCAAGGCAUUGGUCAAGGGUAUAUCUUCUGGACCCUCCCAGCUGGGAUGAAUAGGUCUGAAGUGACUAAUCCACUCCACCAUCCCAAUCUCUCUAAGCCUGUGGAUCCCUUCCUCUACAUUAAACCAAGGGAGAUCAGGCGUUUGCAGCUCACUCACAGUAGGUCAUCCAUAUUUUAGCUAACCAAGCAAAUAAACUAUAAGAACUUUUUUAACUCCCCGAGCUGCAACAUUAAAUGAAGAGUCCCUACUUAGUGGGCCGAAAUCAAUAAAUUCAGUCUGAUCCAACUCUGUGCUCCUUCCACCAUUAUUCCACACCCUUAAUAUCCAUUCCUAUGCCUGUUCUCCAGAUUUCUUCUUAUAUAAAUUAGAAAACUCAGGCAGUUCUUUUCAAGUGUAGCUCACCUCCUCAUGGUUCACACUCUCAACUUCACCUCUAGGGGCCUGCUGGGACUUUAGUCUAGUUAUAGGUCUGAAAGCAAACAGGGGUGUUGGGGGUGGCUCCUGAGGAUAAUCAAUACUAUCUUGUCUGGCAACUGCCUCAGGGGAGGCCAUUACUGUUGCCUCAGGCAGCACAGGGUUUAUCUCCUCAGACAAAGGUGGAAAGGCUGAUGGCAGCAUGGGUUGGGGGUUGGGGGGAUGUUGCCACUACUGGGGAUGGGGAAGCUGUUUCUUCUGGCAAACAAGAUUCAUCAGAGUUUACAAACUCAGUGUCCCCAGCUUCAACAGGGUCCUCCCACACAUCCCUAUUACAAGUUUCAGGGCCCUGUUCUUUUCCAAUCAAUUCCCUCACUUUAACAGUAGACACCUGGUGGGGCUGUGCAUGCACCUUUCAUUGCAGGUCAGCCACUCGUAUGAUAAGAGCUUGUGUCUGUUUUUCCACAAUUUCAGUUCUUUCUCUACAGGAGAUAAGACUCUCACUCAGGGCAAUCUUAAUAGAUUUGAGGCUCAGUAUCUGCUUCUAAAGCUGGGAGUUAGAAUCCCUGAGUUUAUCCUUUUCUUUCAUCACUUGGUCCACUGAACUUAGAAACAACCAACCAGCUUCAUUGUGUUCCUUGGUUCUCCACAUAUGGUCAAAGGUAUUAUGUAUAGAGUCACUAAACUCCUUGCCUCUCAUGAGUGGUGAAUCAGGAGUGUCAAAUGCAUUUAUUUUGCAUAACUCUGUAAGCAGUUCAUGCCAAGGACUAUCAGUGUUCUCCAUACUAUUUGAAGUAGAAUCCUUAGGAUUUGGGGGUCUAAUUUUAUUAAGCAGCCAACUCCAGAAACCCCAAAACAAACUAAAGAACUCCAUCCUUAGUAUUCUGUUCCUCUAGAACCACUCCUGGCACCAAAAUCUAUAUUAGACAGGGUUCUCUAGAAGGAGAGAACUAAUAGGAGAUAUAUAAAGGGUAGUUUAUUAAGUAUUAACUCACAUGAUCACAAGGUCCCACAAUAGGCCAUCUGCAAGUUGAGGAGUAAGGAGAGCCAGUCCAAGUCCCAAAACUGAAGAACUUGGAGUCUGAUGCAGGAAGCAUCCAGUAUGAGAGAAGAUGUAGGCUGGAAGGCUAGGUCAGUCUAGUGUUUUCACGUUUUUCUGCCUGCUUUAUAUUCUAGCUGCACUGGCAGCUGAUUAGAUGGUGCCCACCCAGAUUAAGGGUGAGUCUGCCUUCCCCAGCCCACUGACUCAAAUGUUAAUCUCCUUUGGCAACACCCUCACAGACACACCCAGGAUAAAUACUUUGCAUCCUUCAAUCCAAUCAAGUUGACACUCAGUGUUAACCAUCACAGUGAUGGAGUUCUAACUCUGGCCUUCCAACAUCUCUUCCAUUGCUCCUUCUACUAUACUACAUUGCUUCUUUAUGAAAACAGCAUCACAAAAGUGUAACUACCUGUUAAUUAGAUACACUUUGUUAGUAUGCAAUUACAGAAAUAAUAAGCAUGUAAAAAUGACCACAAAUUGGUAUCCCUUUGAAAUUCUGUCAGUAACUCAAUGGUUAUUCAAUCACUAUUGUUAAAAAAAAAAAAAUUAAAUGGGCCUGUAAUCCCAGCUACUUGGGAGGCUCAGGGAAGAGGAUUACUUGAGCCUAGGAGUUCAAGACCAGCCUGGGCAACAUUGUGAGACCCCAUCUCUAAAUAAAUAAGUAAGUAGGUAAAAGUUAAAUGAGAGGCCAUUAGGCUGAGAUGGCUCCAGCAUUCUGGGUUCCAAAAUAACCAAACUGAAACUCAUCUCAGAGUAAUUUAACCAAUCAGAAAUUGCCCACUAACCUAUAAUUGGGGACUUUUCACUUUAACCAAUCAAAUAUAUAUUUUUAAAUUAUGCUUCCAUGACUACCUUAUAAGUUUUCCUUUUGCAUCUGUUGGGGUGGAGCCCCAAAGUGCCUGUGGUGUGGAGCUGCCCGAUUUAUGAAUUGCUGUCUGCUCAAAUAAACUCUUUAAAAUUUUAAUGUGCCCAAGUUUAUCUUUUAAUAUUGUUAACCUAAGACCUGAGUGUUCUUUUUCCAACUGAGAAACAAACAAAGCAAAACUAAAUGAAACUAAAAGCAAAACGAGCAAACCAACAAAAACAACAUUACUGUUUCUCACCAAGAGUAGUUCCAGGCAAUGGAAAUCUUUAUGUCCUUUGCCUGUUCACAGCCUUCAGCAAGCCCCUUACAACCUUACUACCAAAAUUCAUUAUAGUACUUUUUUUUCCACCUGCAUUUUUGAGAGUUACUAAUGGCAGAACUCAGUCAAGAAAACAGCUUGUUAUUAAAAUAGUUGGCCUCUCUCCUGAAAGAGAGCUCCAAGAGAAAACCACAAAUUGUCUUUUCUAUAUAUCUAUUAAUUCAUUUCCAAAACAGGAAAAAAUUAAGAAAAGAUCAUGCUGUUCUCUCCUCUCCCAUUAUUGUCAGUUGUGUAAAAUCUGCUCUUGACCCUGCUAUAAUUUCUUUCCAAUCAGGAAAAUGUUGCCAUAGCAACCAAUUUACUAACUCAGUCAAUUGGCUUUGCUCAGGUUUCUCUGAAUACUCAAUUAACAUGAAUUGCUUCAUUCAUCUAGAAAUUUGAUUUUGACUUCCUACUAUGUGCACGGCACCAGAUCCAGUCUCGUGUCAGAAAUCAAAGUUUGCAGGUCUGAAAGAGAAAACUGCUAGGCUGACAAUAAAGAAUUAAAGAUGUAAAAUACACACACAUUUGAAUUUUAUAUAAUGUACAGAAUUUAUAUAUUAUGUAUAUUUGUAAAAAUAUACAUAUUUUGUACAUUAUAUUUAGUUAUUUAAUGUUUUGAGGUCCCGUUGGUUUUGGGGAUUGUGCACUGGUAUUUUGAAUCUAGGGACUUUGGGUGGGAUGUUGCUUGCUUUUUGAAAUGUAGGGGAUGGGAAAGGAGGCUGGCUGUCAUAAUUCAAGAGUAAUUGCUUCUUGAAUGCAGAACAAAAGAACUGCUAAUAAUUUAGUUUAACUCAGCUUUCCUUUCAGUGCACAAUAUAGUCUAGUUCAUUCAUUAUAGAGAGCACAAUUGUUACAAGGAUGGAAACCAGAGAGAGCCCUUGUGCAGGGAUAAUCAUUAUGCAGAGUGUAUUAUAUUCAGAUCAACAAAGAUUUGUUUAAAUAAUGAUAAUAAUUAGUAUUUUUGAAAUCCCUUUCAUUUGCAUACACUUCAUAUUUUGGAAGUGCUCUCCAGGAUCUUGUAAUCUCACAAAUAUUCUAGAUCUUGUAGAUCAUAGGAAUAAAUUCCUAGAACACUACAUUUCAGUGGGGCUUAGUUUGGGGCCGAGGGAAAAGUUAUUUCCUUCCCUUGAAAGUAGGCUGUAUUUAUGUCUUUGCUAAAGGAUAGAACCCCCAAGUCCCCAUUCUUUCUCUGUGUGAGGAGAGGGGAGAGAGAAAGAAAGAGAGAAAAAGAGAUAAAAAUAUUUUAAGGAUGAAGGUGGGAAUGUCAACAUACACUGUCCUGAGAGAUAGCAAUUUGGAUUACAGCCCUCCUCUCUUAGAAUGGGGUGGAGGAUUGAAGAAAGACACUGCCUCUUAUAUUUCCUUCCAAGCCAAGCUUCUGGCUCCCAUCCUGGGUUGUCAACUUUUUACAUUUGUGCAUUUGAUUUCUCUGUAAGUUUCAAGAUUCUUGAAAACAAGGGUCAUAUUUUUGUAUACUCUGGAGAGCUUUCACAUCAGAGGUGAAGAUAUAAAAUAGAUGUUUGUUGUUUUUUUUUAUUGAAUGCCACAGAAGCACACACAAAUAUACACACAAUUAGUUGUUUGUUCAUAUAAAAUUUCCCAGGCUUCCUGACUUUAGCACUUGAGGAUAUAUGGCCUAGCUCUUUCUUACCAAUUCCCAAUACUCUACAAGGAUGCCAGCAGCAUCCAUUAAGGCAGGCUUAAUCUCCUGAGUUCUAAGGAAAAUUUAUACCCCUCAUUUCUGCUACUGGCCAAAGUCACCUUCGCCAUAUUCUUUAGGGAGAUCUUAAAAUAGCAGAAAGAUCCCAAUUUCCAGUUCCAACCCUAUUCCAAAUUGGUUUUGCAACCUUAAAAAAAUUACUUAGCCUAUUUGUGCCUCAGUAUUCUCAACUGUCAAAUCAGUUUCAUUAGGCCUCACUUAUCUGUUUCACUUGUUUGUAGCAGUUACCAAAUUAGUGAAGAACAUCAAAUGGUGUCACUGAAGAAAGAGAACUUAGAAAUCAUCUAAAGCAGCCCGAUAUUUUAGAGAAUCACUGAUAUUCAUAAUUACCUAAAGUCACACAAUAGGAAAUCCGUGCCUGUGUUUCACUUUUAUAUUCUAAUAGUACUUUCUGUUAAGAUUCUGAAAGCACCUGGAAAGGUGCAAGUGCAAAAUGUUAUGAUUGGUAUUUGUUAUAUGACUCCUUCAAGCUCUGCAAGGAAUGCUGAGGAUGAUGAAGCUCAUGACAGCAAUGCCUUUAUCAGUGGUCAUAAUAAGAAACUGGUACUUCAGCUGCCAAGGAAGGGGUAGGAAAUUAGGCAGUGUCUUUUAAUAAAUUAAAAAUCGAAGUCUCCAAGAUAAUAAUGAAAACAGCAUCUGCAUAUAGAAAAGAUAGCUAGAACCCCGGGACCUGGCUUUUUUUUCCCUAGACUCGCCUUCCUCUUGAGAGUGUUGCUAUUCCAUGUUGCCAUCUCCAUGCUGGCUACAAGGUAGUGAUGGUUAGCGGGGGAGAGGCUGUUUCCCCUUUGUCCCCGUGGAUGGACAAAUUACAGAUAAUGAGGUAUUCAUCAUCAUUUUCUGUAGCACAGCUGAAAUCAGGCUCUUAUUUUUUACAAGAUGAAUAAAUGUUUAGAGACAGUAGGAGGGAAACAAACUCAAAAACAUGUAACUAGAUAAUCUUGUUUCUAAAAUCCAAGAUACUCAUCCUCAGCUUGUCAUUUCCCAAAAGAUACAUUCAGACCAUGCUCCCAGAAUAUCUCCAUGUGACCAUUGUAACCAGUACUAGAAACGUUUGCAGUUAUGUAAGGGUUCCUAGAAUGAGGUGCUAAAGAGGGACUCUAUUUUCCUUGCUGUUGUUGCUUACGACUCACCUUUUAUCUUGGAGGGGAAUUAAAAUAUCAACUUUAAUAUAUUGUUCAGUGAAGAUAGCAAUAUUUGAAACAGCAUGUAUAGUAGGCCAUCAUUUGUGCAAAAAAAUGGGAUACUCCCACAUACCUACAUACAAUAUGCUUGUAAAUACAUGGAGUAUCUCUGGAAGGAUACAUAAGUAACUGGUAACAGUGGCUACUUUUGGAAAAUUUGACGGGAGGAUUGAGGCCAAGAGUGGGAAAGAGGAAAAUAAACUUUUUACUGUAUACCUUUUUGUAUUGUUUGACUUUUUACCAUGGGCAUAUGUUAUUUUUUAAAAAACAGUUUAUAUAUUACAGUUUUUAAAAAGAAUACAAAUAAAUAUCAGCUUUAUAGCUAAUAAGCUGAAUUGGAGAAUGUGGCUUGGACCUGAAGCUGAAAUGAAUUUCUACCACAAAUCUAAGGACUUUCAGAUCCCCCACUCCGAGGGGAGAGAGUUGAGUCUACAUAGCAUAUGUUUGGCAGGCCAGGUAGUGAAGGACUGCAGUCUUUUCCACACCCUGCUGUGUGGAAUAAGCUCAAGAGCCAAGAGGGGCCUAGGCUGUCUAUCCAUUAUAACCCUUUUCUGAAUCUCAUCAAGUUAUUCCUCCUCCCAUGCAUAAGGUUGAAUGAGUGGCAAGAGGAGAUGGGUAGAAACUUGCUUCCAAAUAUUUUUGAAAGAUGCAAGACUUUAUUUUUUUUUCCUUGAAGACUUACGUUUUAAAUUUUAGUUUUCUAUGUGAUGAUUUGCUUCUUCCCCCAAAUGACUGACUUUGGAAAAGUCUAUUCCCAUUAAGAUAGAUCUCUCUCCAACCCGGUUCCAAUCUUCUCAGGGGGAUUAGCAAAGGCCUUGGCUGAGACUGCCUCACAGAUCACUAUUUCCCUUUUAUAAUCCUACUUCUUUCACUUCCCUGCAGGUUUUGAUGCCAAGGUCACUUCCUAAUAAACUUCCUGAAUGCAAAUCUUGACCUUAGGGUCUGUUUCCCAGGUAACCCAAUCUAGGAGGGAUGGUUUCAGAAAUAAUAGAAAGAAGCAGGCUCUAAAAUGGGAUUUUGCAGCUAGUUCUGCUGCUAAUUAGCUGGCAAUUAGGGUCUUCAUUGCUAGGGGUAGGUAAAGCACUGAUAAUCCCUGACAUACAAAAACUUAUUAACAUUUUCACAGGUUGUAAAAUAGGCCUUUGAAAUAUUUGGGUGGAAUAUUACUAAUAAGGGCAAUGGAAUCAAAUGUUUUUUGUUAAAUGCCAUCAAUUCACUGGAGAAAAAGAAGGAAAGGCUAAGGGUAAUUAAUCAGAAAUGGAAGUUCAAAUGUGAAAGCCAUAGGAGCUGUUUGGGAUCAUGUAAACAGAAUGUUAUCUCCUGUAGUGAUAGGGCAGGAAAAGCUAAGGAUUUUGUCCAGGACCUGAUCAUAAGAGUAACUGAAGAGCUGAGAAAGAGGAAUGCUCAGUUCUAAAAUAUCUGCUUGCCAAGAUCAAGGCCUGGUUAUUAGGAAGGGUGGGACCCUGAUACUGGGGGAUGGAAACAUUUGUACUGAUUCAUCAAAAACCUUGAAAGCCUAGAUUCCCCUGAAGUAGCUCAUUUCUCCCUGUUACAGGCUGCCUCUCCAGUAUUGCUUGAAGACUAUGCAAAAGCUUCUGCCUUGCAAAUCAACUUGCAUCUGUAUCAGGAUAUGCUCUCACCUCCCCUCCUGGUCCCUGGGCUGGCCAUUUAAGGGAGAAAAGGGACUAAAUUUCAAAAGGAGCUGAGGGACCCAGCCAAUACCUACUAGCAGAAGCUGGGAAAAUAUACAUGUUGACUAUCCUAAUAUAAAAAUGUAAACUCUGAAAUGCUCCAAAAUAUGAAACUUUUUGAGUGCCAACAUGAUACUCAAAGGAAAUUCUCACUGGAGCAUUUUAGAUUUUUAGAGUUUUGGAUUAGGGAUGCUAAGCCAGUAGUGCAAGUAUUUCAAAAUCCAAAAAAUUGUAAAAUCCAAAACACUUCUGGUCCCAAAAUUUUGGGUAAGGGGUACUUAACCUCUGUAUGGUACUGGAUCAUGAGGUUCUGGAUCAAGGAAAAGCAGAAGAUAAGGUUGGAUAAGUGUGAGUUUAUUCAUAUGGGCACAUUCUCCCAUGAUAUAGAAUUUGACUUCUGACAUGAGCUUCUGCUUCAUUUAUCGUUCACUCAUACCUUAUAAUCAGUAAUAGUGGGAAUCUUUUUUUUAGGUUUCUGUACAUUUUAAGGUACUGUACCAAGCUACUAACCUGUUGCUCACAUUUUGCCCACUCUCUUCCUGGAAUUCCAUUACCACCUUUCUUUACUUGAUUAUAUCCAGCUCAUCCUUCAUGAUUUAGCUCAUCUCCAAAUCCUCAGCUAAGGCUAAGUAUACAUUCUUAAUUUUCUCAUAGCACCUUUUUCAGAUCUCUUAUAUGGUGAGCUCAUUUAUUUAUUGAACUUUGUCUUCCACUUCAUUCUCAAAGUCAAGAAUUAAGUGUUAUUUAUCUUUGUAUUCUUUAUGUCCACCAUGGUUCCUUUCACAUAGAGGCACACAACAAGUAUCGGCUGAACUACAUGAAACACACUAACAAGUGUCAUUUUCUAUGUGAAGCCUUUUCCAACCAUGAGCAAAGCUUUGCUUACAGCUAUAGUCACUGUUACCAAGCUGCAGGUUGAGGCUACUACUUUUGUGGAUUGGUCAGUGAAUGAGUUUUAAAGUUAUUGUGUAAAUACAGUUUGAUAUGUGGUAUAUAUUCUGUGAGAAUAACCCAUUUCUCAAUGUAGGGAAGGUUUCUUUCUAGAUGGAGGAAGAGGACAGUAAGUAAACUGGGUAAAUUAGCUUCCCAAGUUUGCUGCAUCUAGUCUAAUUCCCCUUCCAUCACACAACACAUAGAAAACAAUCCUGUCUCAGUCUGCUUUAUGCUGCUAUUACAGAUACCACAGACUGAUUAAUUUAUAAUGAACAGAAAUGCAUUUGGCUCACACUUCUAGAGGCUAGGAAGUUUAAGAUUGAGAGAACACAUCUGGAGAGAACCUUCUUGCUGCAUCAUAACAUGGCAGAAGGCAUCACAUGAGCAAGAGAGAACAAGAAUAGGGGCCAAACUCAUCUUUGGUGAGUAAAGACUUCACUCCCAUGGUAACAAACCCACUGCUGCAAUAACUGCAUUAAUCCAUUCAUGAAGGCAGAGCCCUUAUGAUCUAAUCAUCUCUUAAAGAUCCCAUCUCUCAAUACUGUUGCACUGGGGUUAAGUUUUCGACACGUUAACUUUGGAAGACACAUUCAAAUUAUAGCAAAUCUUAUUCUACUUAUAUCAAAGAUUUUAGCUAUAGAGAGAUCAGUUGCCUUUCAUUUAACAAGGGUUUCGGUUGCAUGAAGAAAAAUUGAUUAAAACUCACUUAUUACAAAGUAUAAAGCCAAAACUUAGAGUUAAAAAGUAAAUGUAAAAAUAACUCAGCAUUUUUCUUCUCCUAAUAUUGGUAAAAGCAAACUCUAAAACUCUGGAAUGCUCUAUUCUGCUCUUUAAACUUUGUCGUUGAAGUUAAAUUAGCUAGUAUGAUAUCACAUAUUUUUCAAUUUGAUAGAAGAGUAUCAGGGAAUAAUGAUCAUUGUGCAUAAAUGAAGAGAGUGGCUGCCCUCUUUACUAUGAAUUUAGUUUGCCAAAAAGACCACCCACACCAGAACAUUGCCACCUGUUGAAGCCUAAAAUUCUACUUAAAUUCCAGUAGGACCCUGCAACCUGACUGCAGAUUCUAUGUAUGCAUUUGUUAGGCAUAUGUGUGCCAAGUGCAAGGCAAAUUCUCCCAGGAGAAGCAACAUGUUUACAUGAAUGAGCUCAUAUCAAUGAAAAAGAGAAAGGAAUCAAUACUUGUGGAGAAGACAGUGUCAGUUUAUAGAGGGAAAGCAUGAAGAGAGAAAGCUUGGUCGGGUGGGAUGGCUCAUGCCUGUAAUCCCAGCACUUUGGGAGGCUGAGGCAGGUGGAUUGCUUGAGGACAGGAGUUUGAGACCAGCCUGGCCAACAUAGUGAAACUCCAUCUCUACUAAAAAUACAAAAAUUAGCUAGGCACGGUGGCAGGCGCCUGUAAUCCCAGCUACUUGGGAGGCUAAGGCAGGAGAAUUGCUUGAACCCAGGAAGCAGAGGUUGCAGUGAGCUGAAAUUGCCCCACUGCACUCCAGCCUGGGCAACAGAGUGAGACUCCAUCUCAAAUAAAAUAAAAUGAAAUAAAAUAAAAUAAAAUAAAAGAGAAGGCUGAUGCUAUAGGGAAUAAGUUGGCUACCUCAAAAUUAAUCUGAAAGCUUUACCUGGUUGAGAAAGCUCAUAUUAAAUAUAUACUUUUAAAAAUUUGAGAACAUAAUGGAUCCUUGCCAUUGUUAGAUUCUUUUUUUUUAUUAUUAUUAUUAUACUUUAAGUUUUAGGGUACAUGUGCACAUUGUGCAGGUUAGUUACAUAUGUAUACAUGUGCCAUGCUGGUGUGCUGCACCCACUAACUCGUCAUCUAGCAUUAGGUAUAUCUCCCAAUGCUAUCCCUCCCCCCUCCCCCCACCCCACAACAGUCCCCAGAGUGUGAUGUUCCCCUUCCUGUGUCCAUGUGCUCUUAUUGUUCAAUUCCCACCUAUGAGUGAGAAUAUGCGGUGUUUGGUUUUUUGUUCUUGCGAUAGUUUACUGAGAAUGAUGAUUUCCAAUUUCAUCCAUGUCCCUACAAAGGACAUGAACUCAUCAUUUUUUAUGGCUGCAUAGUAUUCCAUGGAUUGUCUAUGAGCUUUAGAGAACUGGAGGGAGGAAGGUACUGUAGGAAUAUCUUUAGAAGCACGUCAUUCAUGUCAUUGGGAGGAGUGUCAGAGGAUCCAGUGUAAUGGUAGUCAAGGGACUUUCAAGUAUCAGGUAGUGAACAUAAUCACACAGUAACUGGUAACCCUUUAGAAAGUAAAAAUGAUGCCUGAUUAAGCAAGGCAUGUAUAGGAACAGCACAAAACUUUUUAGGGUUAGAGUGUAAGAUGUCUCUUUGGGAGGUUGCAAUCAGUCUGCAGAGAUAAGACUUGAAUGCCUUAUUAAGUAGGUCAGCAUUUAUCCAGUGAUUUUUUUCUUUUUUUUGAGACAGAGUUUCGCUCUUGUUGCCCAGGCUGGAGUACAGUGGUUCAAUCUCGGCUCACUGCAACCUCCGCCAUACGGGUUCAAGCAAUUCUCCUGCCUCAGCCUCCCGAGUAGUUGAGAUUACAGGCAUGUGCCACCACGCGUGACUAAUUUUUUAUUUGUAGUAGAGACAGAGACAGGGUUUCACCGUGUUGGUCAGGCUGGUCUCGAACUCCUGACCUCAGGUGAUCUACCAGCCUUGGCCUCCCAAAGUGCUGGGAUUACAGGUGUGAGCCACCGUGCCCAGCCUCGCCAACGAUUUUAAGCAGAGACAUGACACCAUGUUCAUAUUUGAUAAAAAUAACUCCCAGAUGGUAUGUAGAAUGGGAUGGAAUGUAGAAGAUAACAAUGUAGAAGUCCAGGCAAAUGCAGUCAUCAUCUAAGGUCCAUGUAUAUCAGAAUUACCUGGGGCAAAGGGGAAAAUUAUUGUUAACUUCCAAUUAUCAGGGUCCAUCCCAGAUCUACAAAAUUAGAAUUUCUAGGCACAAGGCUUAAUCUACUUUUUCAAAAAUACCCCAAGGAAGAUGUUAGACCCACUAAAUUCUGCUCUAAAGGAAUAAAUUCUCAUACUUUAGGGCUCACCAAUAUCACUUAUGCAUAGCUAGGUGAUAUUGGCUCCCACCCUUGGGAUUCUGAUUCUAUAUAUCUGAAGCCCAGGAAUCUUUACUUCUGAAAAGCUCCUCCAUCUGCUCAGUUCUGGGGCAAAAAUAAAAAUAAAAAGCCCUUCUGUUGAUUCUGAUAAUUUUCCAAGUUUAAGAACUACAGAAAGAAUUAAUUGAUAUUGAGAAUGGAAAGAGGAUAUUUUCUUCAGAAAACCUAUUCAUGAUAUAAUAGAUAAAAUACAAUGCCAGAUUUAUAUGUUAAAAGUGAGGAAAGAGUCAAAGACAGAAUGACUUAAUGGAAAGAAAACAGGUUUAGGAUUCUGGAGACCUCACUGCACAUCCUGCCUCUGUUCCUGUUAGCUGUUGUGACCUUGGGCGCAUGAUUUAUUUCUCCCUCUGUGUUCUGUAAAAUGUGAAAUAAAUGAGUUAGACUUUAUAUGUGUUCCCAAAUACGUUCCACAGGUGUUAUACAGAUGUGAUACACUUGCACAAUAAUGGUUUGAUGGGUAAAUAUUUUUGAAAAUUUGACUUUAACAAAUGAAACAGUUUAUUUACAGGUUAACAUGUCAGAACACUUAAUGUAUUUACAUGUACUGUAAAACUCUAAAAAGGAGUUGAAAACGAAGUGUUUUACAUACUUACUUGACCACACACUUUUUUUUGAGGGAUAUUUGAUUUACUUAAUCCUUUGCAGAACGUAGGACUAAGUGAUUUUUUAAGCUAUUCUAUCUAACUCCAAAAUGCUUUGAGAUCUAUAGUGCCUAGCCAAGGUGACUAAGAAAGAGGUGAAACAAUUAAGUAGGUAUAAAAUGGAAGAGACAGGGAAACAUUCAGUUUGGGGAUUAAGAGGUCUUAUGUGCCUUGGUUCACAAAUGAAAGCACUUGUUGACAUGAUGAUGGAAUUAUAAAGUCCUCCAGAAUAUGUAGUAAGUAACUUUACAAGAGACAUAAACAUAAAGCAUUGGGAGUCUGAAUUUGCAGCUCAGUGUCAGCCAGGUAGCUUAUCUUGCCGCAUGUUUAUUGUGGUUUAAAAUUGCUGUCUUUAGUUUUGAAAAUUCAUAAUCAUGAGACCUUCUUGCACUGCUUCUCCAUCAAAUAUUACUUUUUUUUUCUUUUUUCUGUGGUUUGGUUAUACAUUUAGAACUCCAAUUGAGUGCAAUGGGUUGACUAGUACACCAGGUUCCCUACUUUCCUUAUUGCUUUUUAUCCUUAGUCUUUUUUGUCACACCAUGUUCCUUUGCCCCACUCCAUUUCUGGCUCAUUGUCUGAUUGCAAGCAAAUCACUUAAUCUUUCAGCAGAUCAGUUCCUCUGUGUAUAGAACCAGGAUGAUAUGGUUACCUCCUGCCCAACUUGGAUGGAUGGUAUAAGGAUUAAUGGAGUGAACCAUUGAAAAGAAGUUGUAAUCCCUAAGGGAGGGGAAUCCUAGAAGUAGAAUCCAUUGUCCUCAUUAUUAUGUUUCAGUUUUGUUGCAGAAUAAGCCAGCAUCCACAUUUUUACAACCAGAAAUCUUAGCACACAGGUGGGAACUGUAAUUAUUUAAAAAUUGCAAGUGUUGAAACGUAGUUUAGCUAUUUUUUCCAUGGAAUCACAAAAUUGUAGUUCCAAAAAUUGUCUCCACACAUAUGUGCCUCUUUUAUAGAGUUCCUAAAUGUGUUCAUGAACUGUGUUUUUGAAGAUGUUUCUCUCCAAUUUGUUGAAAUGAUGGAGAGGCUAUUUUACAAUUACGUUAUGUUGUCAGGCCUUAGUGUUAAGUGAAUCAAUACUGACAUCGAUCUUUUUUCUCUAAGACAGGAAGAGACAUUAUGUGCAACUAAAGUUAGGUAGAAAUUCUGAGUCUAAGCUAUUGGUGUUACUUUGGCAUAAUGUGAAAAUCAAAUAAAAUCCUUGAUAUUUGUGAUAGGUGCCCUCCUAGGGAAAGAGAGGAAAGCUGUUUGGGGUUUUCAUGUCUGUUUAUAAAUUGGAGUAGUGAAAUAGACCAAAAGAAAAAAAAAAAUCUUGGUUGGUUCAUGGAUCUAGAAGAGCAGAUUUGGAAUUUGUGAAAAGAUGUUUUAAUUGUGGGACUUUUAAUAAUAGAUUCAUUCAUUCCAAAAUAUUUAUUUAGUACUUACUGUGUGUCAUCAUCUAUGAAUUUUAAAUAGCACCAUUGCUAUUUCAGCACCUAAUACCACUUUGUUGGGAUUAUUCAAUGAUUGUCAAGUUAAUUUAAAUUGGUAAUGAACAAAAACAGGUUGUGCAACAGAAGAUAUCUUGCUUAAUUUUCUUGUUUUAGGACGUUCAUUCUGUUUAGAAACAGAAGAAAGGAGGCCGAUGGUAUGAAAUGUUAAAAAUGCAAUUAAAUGCCAGGCGCGGGGGCUCACGCCUGUAAUCCCAGCACUUUGGGAGGCCGAGGUGGGCGGAUCACGAGGUCAGGAGAUGGAGACCAUCCUGCCUAACACGGUGAAACCCCGUCUCUACUAAAAAUACAAAAAAUUAGCCAGGCAUGGUGGCGGGCACCUGUAGUCCCAGCUACUCAGGAGGCUGAGGCAGGAGAAUGGUGUGAACCCAGGAGGUGGAGCUUGCAGUGAGCCGAGAUAGUGCCACUGCACUCCAUCCUGGGGACAGAGAGAGACUCCGUCUCAAAAAAAAAAAAAAAAAAAAGCAAUUAAAUGACAUUAGAAAAUACUAUGUUGGCACAUGCAAAUCAUAGAGACUAUUUCAUGUUAUAUAUAAGGCAUGUUUGUAUUGCCAGGGCACAAUAUCUCUGUCAAGAAAUUCCAGGCAAAACCAAAGUCAAUUAAGCAUACCUCCAAACUUCGGAAUUUACUGCCAUCCUGUUGCCAAUUUUUCAUGUUAUUUUGUUCAUAGAAUAUUGGCUACAAAAUAUUUUGAGACAUAACCUUUAAAAUAUUUGUUCUUCUCAAUUAAUAUUAUUGAACACAUUAGAGAGCUUUUUGACAAAUAAAUAAGUAAUACAACAAAGAGAUGGUAUUUACAAUACAUUUUGGGUACUUUUCAAUGGUUUCCAUGGCAAUAGCAUCAUUGCCCUCAGUCUAAUCACUGAGUUAUUAUGUUUGUCUUCAGAUCUUUUCUUUAUUCUCAAGUUGGCAGCUCUGACUUAGAGCAAGUGCACUUUUUACUUGUCAUUAAGCACACUGUAAUAAUUAUCAGUCUGGUUUAUUGUUGGAUAGUUCCACCUACCUUUAUGUAACUUUGUGAGUGAAAGAUAAGAAAGAAACAGGAAGUUGAGUGACCAGAUUUCCUCUGGGUAAUUACAAUAUCUCUCUGUGUGUGACUUAGAAAACACAUUUAAAAAUAUUUUCCCAAAGAAUUUUCCUUUUGCAGGUAGUCGGGGGUGGGUUCUAGUUUCUUCUUACCUAGGGAUAGGCCUAGCAGAAGAUGGCUGUGCACUUUUUCAUUUUGCCAAAUUCAUCUUGGCCAAAUGUUUUCUUUCCUGUAGCUAUUUUGUAGUUUGAAUUGCCUUCAUCUAUAAUUAGCUUUCUCAUAUCCUGUUUCUCUAAUCAGGUUCUUUAUGGGUCCUGAAACACAGCUGGUAUCCCCUGAGGGCUGAUAGAGGCAGUGAGAGAAUUAAAAAGUUACAAAGGGAAUAAUGGGAUAAAUACAACUUUCUGACUGUAUUAAGUACUAUUGGAUUUAUAAAUCAUGGAUCACUAUUUCUCUCAUAAGAACAAGUAUAGGAAGGUAGUGUACAGGUGUUUCCUUGAAUGUUCUUAUGUAAGAAUUUCUUGUGGAAUUUUAGUGAUGUCCUUAUUACACAACUUUAUUAUAACCUAAUGAAUUCUUUUGACAUUUUUUCCCUUUUAUUCCACCAUUAUUUUGAGCUCUUCUUACAGGUCACGGCUUUUCUACUAGUACUGGCUUUGUAAUGGAAACAUGGAGUUCACUGGGUGGCUCAGUAGUGGAGUUUGAAAUAGAAUAAAAAGAAAAUUAGUUUAGAUUUAGCAAUGUGUGAACCUGGUAUGUAAAUCUUGAGUAUCUGGACACUCACCUGUGUUAACUUAUUUUGGUAAGGAAAGCCUAGGUCGGCUGCUGAUACCAAAUCUGAGUUCAGAUAAAUAGAACAUAGACAUUAAUAAAUAAAAAGAAAUAGAAAAAUAAACAAGCUCAGUGUUACAUAGAAGUAAAAUAUGCUGUGAUUUAAAGGAUACUAGGAAUGUGUCCCUGACUCCAAAUGUCUUUUUGUACCAUUUUAGUUGCUCCAAUAAUAUUUAUUAGCAAUGAUUAGGUUUUAUCAUUACUUGUCCAGUAAUUCUCUUUAGCUAAAAAUUUCCUUUGAACAGCACAUCAGUGAUUUUUUGGAAUGGAUGAGUUUAUCAGACUAUUUAUUAUCACAGAUGUAGCUGAGGGAACAUGAGGAUACUGAAUGGCUAGAGACAAAAAGGAUGUUUUUAGCAGGAGAAAAGGAGUGUCUAUGGUACAAUACCUAUUUUGCACGUUCGCUUGACACACACUCUUUAACCUUCAACUUUCUUCCCAAAGCUUAUACUGUAGUACUUGUUCAGAGCUUUAUGAGUAUUUCUAAGAUGAUUAUAGGCCAAAUAAGAGACAAUGUGGAAGUCUGGAAAUUCUGCAUACCUUGAACAGUUAUGAAUUUGUUCAUUUUUAUUCUAGAUUUACAUGAAGAAUUCAUAGGAGUGUGUAACUUGGUGAUGCCUUCAGUGAAGUUGCUGAUUGUCGUAUUUGCCUCUUAUGUCCCAAUGGUCAAAACAAAUGUAUAACAUGCCUAUUCUAAAGGAUUCAACAGGUGUUUUAUUGGUUCUGAUAGCUGGAGUCCACCUGGUGCAGCAAACAAACCCCAAAUUCCAAUUUCUGUUUCCAUAUUUUUGACAUUCAUUUAAUGCUUAACAAGACAAACUUUUACUCCUUUAUAUCCAAAAAACUGAGACAUGAUGGCUUAACACCAUUAUUUCACAUUCCAGAGUAUAAACCCCUUAGCUUUCCAUUUGCUUUCAUAAUUAAAUCAGAAUAGCACAUCACUUAUAUAAGGUAGUCUUUCAAAUAUCAAUGACAGCUUUUUAAGACUGUAAUGUCUUCAGAAGUGAACUUUUAUAAGGAAACAUCUGCCAAUAUUUUAGCCAAGUCUCAGCUAUAAUCUUGAUCAAUCAGAUCUGUUGAAGUAUGAUAAGUACCUAAGUGUAUCAGAGGGUAAGUGGACAUUUCAGCAAAGUUUUGAUUGGUCAAUAAUGUAUUCAGGAACUUAAGAAGAUUUUAAGAUUCAUUAAAUCUUCAAAAUGGUCCUUUCAAACAGACAGAGUAUACUUUCUGAGAUGGGCAUGAAUUAACAGAUACACAGAAUUAACCUUUUAUGAAGAAAAUUUCUCUAGGUAUAUAUAUUGAAUAAUUUAUUUUUGGUAGUAAUUAUGCAACUAAUGAAUUAUUCUUUGCAAUCACAAAUGCUAAAACUAGUAAGAAGCAAAUGAAUAACUUAUAGGCCAUUGAACCUAGUCUUCAAGGCUCAAAGAGGAUCUACCCAUAAAAAAGACAAUGGGAGCUUUAGUGCUACAUGUUCCAGAAAUUUAGGAAGUAUGAGGUUCUGUGGAUGCAACAAUCAUCUCAAUGUAAAUGUUUUAACACCUUGAUCUCAUCUUACCGUGUGAAAUGAUGAAGUUACUACAGAAAAAGAAAGAUACUUACAACCUCUACUUGGACUAAUUCAAACCAGUGUGAACACUUUAGAGGAUGCUUCUAUUUGUCCCAAAUAGGGAGAGAUUGGAAUUUAGAAAUCUUAUUAAGGGUUUCACUAAAUUCACAAAGUGGAGAGGGAUAAAGUUUAAUGUAUUAAUUAGGGCUAGAUCAAGAAAUCAGAGCCACUCUAUAUAUGGAAAGUAUGAAAGUUUUAGUUGGGGGAAUUGAAAGUUAUUCAACAUUUGAAAGGAAAAAACAGGCGGAGCAAAGGUCAAGGAAGCCACAGCCAGUGAAUUCAGCCUUCAGCAUUGAAGCAGGUGGUUCUCCUAAGGUCAUCCCAAAGCCACAGCAAAUCCCAGGAACAUUUAGAAGAUUCCCUAACUAUUUCAAUCUGCAGCAGUGAAGUGAGCGGGUCUCAAGAAUGUCCCUUGAAGCUGCUGUGAAUGCCAGAAAUGUUUGGAGGACUCUAACCAACUAUAACUAUACAAGUAUGAUAUACAAAACAGGGAUGUCGGUGAUUCUUAAGAAGUUCCUUCAAACGUCAUGUCUGCCCACUUGUCUGACUGCAGUUGUUUCCAGAGAGUAAUGACCCCUCCUUCUCUUCUGUUUCCCAUAUUCUGUAUGUCUUUCAUUGGCAAAUUUUAACAUGAGGAAGGAUACUCUGGGAAAUGUGGUUCUCAGCUGCUUCACUGUAUUGCAUAGGAGACUAUGAGGGUGGUUGACACAGAGUUAAUACUAGACAAUAUAGUGUACCUAUUAAGAUGUAGGUAAUGACAGAAUUUCUUUUUCUACUAGAAAGUCUCUAUUCUUUAUCUAUUGAAAGGAAUGGCAAAAACUACAAUGACUUUUGCACCAACCUAGUAUGAGCAUAAGGGGCAACAGUGAUAUUAGUCAAAGAGUCCCAGAAUAAGGUAGUAAAGCUUUUGGGAGCUGAUACAUCACCAUGAUGAAACAACAUGGCCAUCAGAGGAGCAACAUUUAAUUAAGUGGGGGAUGGGUUGUUGUGAUACUUGUUACCAGAAAGAUUCAUUUUGGUGCUGGUGACAUCCUUGUAUACUAUCCUGACAAGGCAUGUUUAUGUGAGUACACAUAGCAGGUGGAGGCAACAUCAAAUAACAGAAAAGAUUUCAGGUGAAAAGGAGAAAUAAAAAAGGCAGUAAAUCUUAAGUUUUAAAAGAAAUGUUGUAUAUCUGAAGGAGAUUUCUAUAUCCUCUAUCUCUCAACCAACAAAUUGGAACCAGAACAGAAAAUUAGCAGCUUGAAAAAGACUUCCCCUGCUCAAGGGUUUGAGUUUCUAAGAUUAGAGUGGAGCACACUUGUUCUAUUUUUCUCCUCAUUCAUUAACUAGAAGCAACCUGUUGACUCGUAGAGAAGGGCAGGUUUUCACAACGUUUGGCAUCAUUCUUUAUGGAGUGGGUCUCUUCCACUUUCAAUGCACAGAGAAGAACAAUGUUGUUGACAGGUAAAUGGCUUAAGAAAAUGUGUGUAAUUGUAAUAGUUGUUGAUGCUGAAAAGAAAUGUUUUAAUUCUUAUAUGCUCCAGUUGGCAAUCCCAGGGCAUAUCCCCAAACUUUCAUAACAGUGUUAUUUGGAAAUUUUAUUGUUACAAUAUAACAUUUAGAAGUAUUAACCAAUAUGUUUUCCAAUUUUCUUGAAUGUCCUUUUACCUCGAAGCUCUCUCCAUUUCAAACUAGACCUUGACAUUCACUGCCUCAGGACAUAAAGGUUAUGGAAGAAAUGCAGAGAAAAAAUCAAUUUAAAGUCUAUUUUGGAACUAGUGGUAAAGAAACAAUUUAGAGAGAAAACUUUCAGAAGCCUAGGCAUUGAGAGUCAGAACCCAAAGUCAUAAAAAAUUGAUUUGGAAGAAUGCAUAAUGAUGUAUAAGCAAAUUUUCCCACACCAGAGGAAAUAAGAGAUCCUCUGAACUGGAGGAAAACAGAGAAUAUUUAAGAAGCAAGAGAGGAAGCUCUGGUUAGUACUUCUCAGAAGUGAUUCUGAGAAUUCCUCUUCACAAGCUGUGUCCCUGAGUUGGGGUGGGGGAAAUAGAAACUGAAAAUAGAUUUGGGGAUCUGAAAGAGAGAAGCACCCAUGCUUUAUACUUCAGGUGAAGUCCACGGUGGUCAUAGACCUUGAAAGGUCUCUGGUGCCACCAUAGUUCAGCAGCAGUACCAUGGAAAUGGUGGUGUGGUGGGUCUAUGAUAGAGGGCCUGAUACAGUUCCAGUAGUUUUCUGAGGCCCAAGAGAGGGAGGGGAGGGUAUCUAAAUAUUUUCUAUCUGUUAUUAGUGGAGAACGUGGUAGCUAAGAAAAGAGUGACAGACCAAAAGAUAACAGAAUUAAGCGGAUACAGUGUGUCUCACACGGACCUUUGGCGGGAUAUUAUAUGGAUUUCGGCAGAUGCUAACAGGAAUAUUGGCCAAGGACGAAGAAAUAGACACCCCUUCCCAACAAUGCCGUGGUAUUAGACCCUUGGAGCUUUCAUAUGCUGGGAAAAAUGCAGGGUAUGAGGAAGAAACACAACUUAACUGAGAAAAGCUUAUAUUCAUUGAGUUAAGCUUGAAUCACCUAAGAUGAAGUGUUCAACAACAGAAAAUGGAGCCUCGAGAUAUAAAUUAGAUUUUGUUUUAGGGAAAAAAUCAUUUUGCAUAGUAGUUUGUGUUUCAUGGAAUUCACAGUAACUACACAUUUUACUCUGUGAACAGAGGACAUGUAUGACACAUACAGGAUGGGAACGCAUCAAGAUGAUUUAAUCUAAAACUGUUAAGUAUCGUGGAACUAACAAAAACAUCAAUGUGAUGCAAGUAAACAGUGAAAGAAAUGAGCUACAUUUUCUAUUUUAAAGGAUGGCAGACGUAGCACAUUAAUGAAUACCUACUGGGUUCUAUUUUAAAAGCCCAGUGUCUCAGAAAUUAGGCUAAAAUGCAAUCUGAGUUACGCCUUUUCUUGGCAUGGACGUGCUCUUCAAAAUGUGGCAGAAAGUGAUUUAGCACUUUUAAGAGAACUUACAUAUGUUGAAGAUGGUAAACCGAAAUUGAACCUUUGAGAAUAUUUCCCUGAUAUACUAUAUGCCAUUCAUAUUUAAUAGGAAUGUAUAUAAUAUUUAAAUAUUCAAUCUGUCUUUGUCAUUAUAACUUGUCCAACAACUCACAUUUCCCACCAUUUUGGCCAAGUGUCUCCAAAGCCUCUCAUACAGGCUCAUUCAGGGACUGGGAAAUUGCCCUGUUCUUUAGGAGCUGCAGAUGUCGAACUGUCAACUUUGAUUCAGGCCAGAGCUCUAUGGGCAUGGGUCUUGGAAAGUCUGAGAAUCAUUUCUAUUAAAAAGCAGUAGAACUUCCAUGUGGCACAAUUUCAGGACUGGUUGAGCAACGUUAAGGCUAUUGCACAGUUUCUGGAUUUGGCAAACUUUUCCCAACAGAGGGUGCUGUAAACCUGAAAGAGGUACCAAAUAUUUGUGAGCUUUUAGAAGCCAGGUUGUCUCUUGACUGGAAAGGUCUUUUCUGUCCAGCACAGAAAUCACUGUGAAUCUUGUUUAAGCAGUUGGAGGUUGGUGGUUGACUCUGAAGCAGCUAUAUAACACAACCAAUGCUACAGCAGCAGCAGAGAGAAGUGGCCAUGCUCUGAGCAUGAAGUACCUAUAGGAAAACAGAGGACUGUUUCCUUUCUGACCAAUUCCUUUUUUCAGAGGGAGAUAAAAAGUAGGAACAGGGGAUAGAGCAUUUUUGGGGUCAGAAUUUCAGUAAAAUUUAAAUUAGGUGGCAUCAAGAACCAAAUACAUCUGUUACUAUAAUUCAAACCCUAAUUUUUUUUUUCAGUAAUGAAUAUGACCUGGGAAAUCAAUUUAUACUUUUAAAAAUAUCCAUUUCAUAAUGUGAAAACAACCUGUGUAAAACAGAUAUGUUGGAGGAGGUGCAGGUAGGUAGGAUAAUUUGCUCAGCAAGUCCCUUCAUUUGCUUAUAGUUAAAAUCAAAAGUAAGGCUGGGCGCGGUCGCUCACGCCUGUAAUCCCAGCACUUUGGGAGGCCGAGGCGGGCGGAUCACCUGAGGUCGGGAGUUCAAGACCAGCCUGACCAACAUAGAGAAACCCUGUCUCUACUAAAAAAAUACAAAAUUAGCCAGGCUUAGUGGCACGUGCCUGUAAUCCCAGCUACUCGGGAGGCUGAGGCAGGAGAAUCACUUGAACUGGGGAGGCGGAGGUUGUGGUGAGCCAAGAUUGUGCCAUUGCACCCCAGCCUAGGCAACAAGAGUGAAACUCUGUCUCAAAACGAAACAAAAGUAAGAUCCAAAUAAAGCAACUAGUAUCAUUUCCUUAUACAAUCAUGUAUUGAGCACUGACAAUGCAUCUGUACCAUGCUAGGCACCAGGAAUAUACAAAUUCUUUUUCUUUCUCUGCCUCCUCUAAAAAGAAAACCAGAUCUCAAUAUUAUUGACUCUUGUUAUUGUGGCCACUACCUGAAGUUUAAUCUGUAGUUAAGAUAAAAAGAUAUAAACAAACAUGUACACAUUUUUAAAAUAAUUAUUUUAAUUUAUGUUUUUAAGAAGGGAUAGACACUCGGAAAAUUUUGCAACCAGACUUUUUUUUUUUUUUUUUUUUUUUUUUUUUUGAGACGGAGUCUCGCUCUGUCGCCCAGGCCAGACUGCGGACUGCAGUGGCGCAAUCUCGGCUCACUGCAAGCUCCGCUUCCCGGGUUCACGCCAUUCUCCUGCCUCAGCCUCCCGAGUAGCUGGGACUACAGGCGCCUGCCACCGCGCCCGGCUAAUUUUUUGUAUUUUUAGUAGAGACGGGGUUUCACCUUGUUAGCCAGGAUGGUCUCGAUCUCCUGACCUCAUGAUCCACCCGCCUCGGCCUCCCAAAGUGCUGGGAUUACAGGCGUGAGCCACCGCGCCCGGCCGCAACCAGACAUUUUUUAGGUGCUUAGAAAAUUCUGUCUCAAACAUUAAUAGACACUAUCAGAGAAGAUUUAGUGAAUUUUGGUUAAAGAUUCACAAAUGGUGAAACUGGGUCUCAGUUUUUCAAGUUUAUAUAUCCUCCUACCUUGUUUACUGGUAAUGAGCAAAAUCAAAGGCAGGUAACUGAGUUUGUGUGUAUUGGGGGGAAUUUAUCCCAUUACUGGCUUGGCUAGCAACAAUUAUUUAUCUUGGAAAUCAGUAAAAUUCUUUGCAAUGUAUUUACCUCAUGAAGAAAGUAUUAUGGAAAAGAUAUUUUUUCAACAUAAAUUAAUAGUAUGGCAGAAGUUAAAAGACCAUCUUUUUCAGACCUACUUUUAAAUCCCAAUGUUAAGAAAAGAGACUAGGGAUGUGAAUCCAAUCUCUUCCCUCUACUACAAAACCCCACUGUUGUAAUUCCCCUUGAAUAAAAUAUUUCUUGCUUUCUCUGAAAGAAAAGGAAAAAAGGCUCAUUUUUAAUGGCACAUCUCAAAUGAUGGGAUAAUUCUGGAGAUAAUUCCCAACCUGUAAAACAAAUAUGUGUUAAUAUCCUUAGGUAUUUGAGUGAAUGGAAAUCCAGACACUGGUGGUUGGAUUGGCACGUUAAUCUCCUGUCACUCUGAUCUAUUCCAAUUCCUGAGAAACCUAAACUCAAGAAUAACAAAAACCACUCAGUCCUACCCUUAUAAUUCUUUUUUUAACUUCUAGAGAAAUGGCAGAGGCCAUAAAACAAGAAUGAUGGAAGAGUUUACCACAGUUUUUCCUUGUCACUUAUUUUGAAAGUCAGCUGCAAUUUGUAAUUUUCUCAGGUUGGCAAAUGUGUCCAAAUGGGGAAUGCUCUGUAAUCUGUCAAAACCUCACAGAUGUCAUCAGCAAAAGGAGCAUAUACACUUAAUGUGUUUGUUAAAUCUUUUAUUCUGCAUGUGGAGCUAUACCUUGAGUAAAGACUCACCAAACAGAUAUCAUUCCUUCAAAAAAGUCAUCAAGACCUUUGUAAAUAAACUCACAUAGUAACAGAAGUGCAUAAUCUAGAGAGUGGUUGUGCUGAUGCAAAACAUUGGAAUCUGUUUUUUAGUUCCUAUCUCAGAUUGUUUCACAGGCUGUGUAAACUACAUAAAUAGGAAGAAGUGAGAAAAUGAAGCUCCAAGAUACUUCUCACACCUUGAAAAAUCACACCUUUUUGAUUCAGUAGAACUCUAGUGGUGGCCAGAACUGAAGUAAUGGCAAUGGGAAGGAGAAACAAAGGCAGAUUAGGGAGCCUUUGGAGAUGGACUGCAUUUAGUUCUCUUUGCUUGUCCCUCCCCUCUUCUUUACCUGUGAAUGUUGGGUGUCACAGUUCUUAGUUCUUGCAUCUCUUCUCUACCUGUACUCUUUCUCUAAGUGCUCUGAGUCAGUCUUAUAACCACAAAUGUUAUCUAUACCCUAAAUUUCUGAAAUCUCUCUCUAUAUAUACCUAAUGUAUCCCUGAAAUUUCUUGAUUGAUAUUCCUUCUGCAUACUUGACAUCUAUGCUUGGAUGCCUCAUGGGCAUCUGAAAUGUAACUUUACCUCAUACCUCUAUUCACUUUUUCUGUUUCAGUCUUUCAUAUCUCCGUAAAUGGCAGUACAAGCAACCUAGAUUUACAAACCAGAACGCUUGGAGUCAUCCUUAAUAUUUUUCUUUCGUUACUCUAUGUGGACAAUCAUUCAGUGAGUACUGCUGUUUAUAAUUUCUAAAUAUAAAUAUCAAACACAUCUAUUUCUCUUCAUCUCUACUAUCAUCAACAUAGUUUUGGCUACCAGCAUGUCUCUCAGAGGCCAUUUCUAGGGUCUUUUAAAUGGUCUUUGUACUUCUGUUGCCUCCUCCACAUCAUUGCCACAUGUAGAAGUCAAAGAGGUCUUUUAAAAAUAUAAAAUUGUAUCAUGUUUCUCUAUUGAUUAAAACACUCAUGACUUUUCUUCACUCUUAGGAUAAAAUCCAAAUUAAUUCCCAUGGCCUACAAGGCCUUGAGUGGUUCAUCGCCUAACUGCUACUUCAACUCAGUGUGGGCCAUUCUGCCCUUGCUCACCACUCUACAGUCACACAGGCUUCCUUUCGGUUCAUGGCACAUGACAGGCCCCUCCCCACUCCAGGGCUUUCAUACGUGCUUGUUCUUCCAUCUAGAAUAGAUUUCCUUCUCUUGCCUGCACGAGUGGCUCAUUAUCAUUCUUCAGGACUACCUUAAGUGUUAGCUCUUCAGAGACACCAUCCCUAAUAUCGUACCCACCAUGGGGCCCUCAUUAUACUUCACCAUCUGUUAUGUAUUCAUCUUCUUCACCAAACAUAAUAAUUUUAUUUAUAUCAUUACUUGAUUCUUUAAUUAUUUCUUUUCUGUCAUUCCUACCAGAAUGUGAACUCCAUAAAUUUAGGCAUGGUAUUUGUUUUAUUCCCCAAUAUAUAUUUAUAACCUAAUAAGUUCUCAAUGACUAUUAAUACAAAAAUGAAUGACUAUUGACACAACCAGAACCAAAAUAUAAUCCAGCAUUCUUUCUACCUUGUUAUUUGUAUAUCUGUGCUCUAAGAAAAUCUGACUAACGUUAACUCUAGUUUUUAAUCUCUGCAGAGUUGUAGUGUCUAAUUUAAUUGUAAAUAUGUGCCUGGGGCUGUUCAAAAUAUAUCUAAUGUGAACAUGUCAGAUAAAUCCAUUUUCCAACAAUAAAAAUAACAACUAUUCCUUAAGUGCUUUAUACCAUUCACUGAACUAUACUUUAAGUGCAUAAUUUCAUGUAGUGCCUGAGAAAUAGGUAAUAUUGUCCCAUUUAACAGCUAAAGAAACUGAAGAUUGGAGAGAGGUCAAGCAUUUCACCUUAUCCAAUCAAUUUGAAACCAAUCUCACUUAUUUCAAAGUCCAUGCACCUGGUAAUAAUUGCAUUAUGACUGGCUCUAAUUCUCUCAAGACAAACCUUGUGCAAUUCCUUCAGGAAGAAAUGCACGAAGGAGAAAUCUGAGGGGGAAGCAGUAAAAUGAUGGCUUAGUAGUUCCAAUCCUUUUAUUAUGGUCUUAAUAUAACUUUUAAAGGGUUAGGAUGAAGGGUGAAAUAUGUGUUUUGCUUAGAGAGACUGAUUAAAAAGGGAAUAGAAUAUUUGAAGAACAUUAUCUGCGGUAAGGCCACAGAAUUUGAAGUCAGAUUUUCAUUUCAACACACUAAAUUUCUAAUAAUUGAUUUCAUCAGAAUUUCAUAGGGCAUCCAGCAAUGUAUUCUAAGUAAUGAUUUCUCUGAGUCCUUCCUCAUUACUUAAAGUGCAUUUGAUACUCAUGGAUAUUGGGGUGAUCAUGUUUUAUAAAAGCAAGGGAUUGAUAUUUCAGAUAUCUUGGAUUAUAGUUUCAUUUCUCUCAUUCUGACUUUUUUGUUUUUCAUUUUUAGUGGUAUGGUUUAAAGAGCAGAAGUUUUCAAUUUCAAUAAACUCCAAUUAUUAUUUUAUGAAUUGUAUUUUCAGCAUCACAUCUAAAAAUUCUUUGAAUAACCCAAAGUCAUAAAGAUUUUAUCCCCUUUUUUCUAAAAAUUAUAAGUUUUAGCUCUUAAAUUUAGGUCUAUAAUCCAUAUGGAGGUAUUUUUUGCAUAUUAUCUGAGGCAAAGGUCUUAAGUUCAUUUUUUUUUUGCAUAUGGAUAUCCAGUUGUCUCCAGUACUGUUUUUUGAAAUAAUUAUUAUUUCUCCAUUGGAUUGUCUUGGCAAAAUCAACUUAUCAAAAAUGUAAGUGUUUGUUUCUGGCCCCUUAAUUCUGUUUCAUUGAUCUAUAUGUGUACUAUUAUACCAGUUUUAUAUAAUCUAUAUACAGCCUAUGCUUUUCUAAGCACAUUAUACCUGCUUCCAUUAAAAUAUAAUCCCUUUUACUUGAUUAAUUUGCAAUCUUGAUUAAAAUACAAGUCUAAGUUCAAGAUAUAUUAUGUAAUUGAUAUAAUAAAAUGCCAAAUAAGAGUAGAUAAUACAGGGUUGUGGGCAAGAUGGCCGAAUAGGAACAGCUGUGGUUUGCAGCUCCCAGCAAGAUCAACGCAGAAGGUGGGUGAUUUCUGCAUUUCCAUCUGAGGUACCAGCUCAUCUCACUGGGACUGGUUACACAGUGGGUGCAGCCCACGAAGGGUGAGCCGAAGCAGGGUGGGUCAUCGCCUCACCCGGAAAACUCAAGGCAUCGGGGAACUCCCUCCCCUAGCCAAGGGAAGCCUUGAAGGACUGUGCCGUGAGGAACAGUGCAUUCCAGCCCAGAUGCUAUGCUUUUCUCACUGUCUUCACAACCCACAGAACAGGAGAUUCCCUUGGGUGCCUAUGCUACCAGAGCCCUGGGUUUCAAGCACAAAACUGGGUGGCUGUUUGGGCAGACACUGAGCUAGCUGCAGGAGGUUUUUUUUGGUUUUUGGUUUUUGGUUUUUCGUACCCCAGUGUUGCCUGGAAGGCCAGCGAGAGAGAACCAUUCACUCCCCUGGAAAGGGGGUUGAAGCCAGGGAGCCAAGUGGUCUGACUCAGUGGAUCCCACUCUGAUGGAGCCCAGCAAGCUAAGAUCCACUGGCUUGAAGUUCUUGCUGCCAGUAUAGAAGUCUGAAGUCAACCUGGGACGCUGGAGCUUGGUGAGGGAGGAGCAUCCGCCGUUACUGAGGCUUGAGUAGGUAGUUUUCCCCUCACAGUGUAAACAAAGGGGGAGUUCAGACUGGGCAGAGCCCACAGCAGCUCCUCAAAGCUGCUGUAGUCAGACUGCCUCUCUAGAUGCCUCCUCUCUGGGCAGGGCAUCUCUGAAAGAAAGGUAACAGCCCCAGUCAGGGGCUUAUAGAUAAAACUCCCAUCUCCCUGGUACAGAGCACCUGGGGGAAGGGGCAGCUGUGGGAGCAGCUUCAGCAGACUUAAACUUUCCUGCCUGCCAGCUCUGAAGAGAGCAGUGGAUCUCCCAGCACAGCGUUCGAGCUCUGCUAAGGGACAGACUACCUCUUCAAGUUUGUCCCUGAGACCCAUGCCUCCUGACUGGGAGACAUCUCGCAGCAGGGGUCCACGGACAUCUCAAAUAAGAGAGCUCCUGCUGGCAUCUUGUGGGUGCCCCUCUGGGACAAAGCUUCCAGAAGAAGGAACAGACAGCAAUCUUUGCUGUUCUGCAGCCUCUGCUGGUGAUACCCAGGCAAACAGGUUCUGGAGUGCAUCUCCAGCAAACUCCAGCAGACCUGCAGCAGAGGGGCCUGACUGUUAGAAGGAAAACUAACAAACAGAAAGGAAUAGCAUCAACAUCAACAAAAAGGACGUCCAUUCAGAAACCCCAUCCAAAGGUCACCAACGUCAAAGACCAAAGGUAGAUAAAUCCACAAAGAUGAGGAAAAUCCAGUGCAAAAAGGCUGACAAUUCCAAAAACCAGAACGCCUCUUUUCCUCCAAAGGAUCACAACUCCUUGCCAGCAAGGGAACAAAACUGGACAAAGAAUGAGUUUGACAAAUUGACAGAAGUGGGCUUCAGAAGGUGGGUAAUAACAAACUCCUCUGAGCUGAAGGAACAUGUUCUAACCCAAUGCAAGGAAGCUAAGAACCUUGAAAAAAGGUUAGAGGAAUUGCUAACUAGAAUAACCAGUUUAGAGAAGAACAUAAAUGACCAGAUGGAGCUGAAAAACACAGCAUGAGAACUUUGUGAAGCAUACACAAGUAUCAAUAGCCCAAUUGAUCAAGCAGAAGAAAGGAUAUCAGAGAUUGAAGAUCAACUUAAUGAAAUAUAGUGGGAAGACAAGAUUAGAGAGAAAAGAAUAAAAAUGAAUGAACAAAGCCUCCACGAAAUAUGGGACUCUGUGAAAACAUCAAGCCUACAUUUGAUUGGUGUACCUGAAAGUGAUGGGGAGAAUGGAACCAAGUUGGAAAAACACUCUUAAGGAUAUUAUCCAGGGGAACUUCCCCAACAUAGCAAGACAGGCCAACAUUCAAGUUCAGGAAAUACAGAGAACACCACAAAGAUACGCCUCAAAAAGGGCAACCCCAAGACACAUAAUCGUCACAUUCACCCAGGUUGAAAUGAAGGAAAAAAUGUUAAGGGCAGUCAGAGAGAAAGGUCGGGUUACCCAAAAAGGGAAGCCCAUCAGACUAACAGCAGAUCUCUCAGCAGAAACCCUACAAGUAAAAAGAGAGUGGGUGCCAAUAUUCAACAUUCUUAAAGAAAAGAAUUUUCAACCCAGAAUUUCAAAUCUAGCCAAACUAAGCAUCAUAAGCAAAGGAGAAGAAAAAUACUUUACAGACAACCAAAUGCUGAGAGAUUUUGUCACCAUCAGGCCUGCCUUACAUGAGCUCCUGAAGGAAGCACUAAAUAUGGAAAGGAAAAACCGGUGCCAGCCACUGGAAAAAUAUACCAAAUUGUUAAGACCAUCAACACUAUGAAGAAACUGCAUCAACUAACAGGAAAAAUAACCAGCUGGCAUCAUAAUGACAGAAUGAAAUUCACACAUAACAAUAUUAACCUUAAAUGUAAAUGGGCUAAAUGUCCCAACUAAAAGACACAGACUGGCAAAUUGGAUAAAGAGUCAAGACUCAUCGGUGUGCUGUAUUCAGGAGACCCAUCUCACGUGCAAAGACACACAUAGGCUCAAAAUAAAGGGAUGGAGGAAGAUUUACCAAGCAAAUGGAAAGCAAAACAUAAGAAAAGCAGGGAUUGCAAUCCUAGUCUCUGAUAAAAGAGAUAAACCAACAAAUAUCAGAAAAGACAAAGAAGGGCAUUACAUAAUGGUAAAGGGAUCAAUGCAACAAGAUGAUCUAACUAUCUUAAUAUAUAUGCACCCAAUACAGGAGCACCCAGAUUCAUACAGCAAGUUCUUAGAGACCUACAAAGAGACUUAGACUCCUACAGUAUAACAGUAGGAGAUUUUAACACCCCACUGUCAAUAUUACACAGAUCAACGAGAUAGAAAAUUAACAAGGGUAUUCAGGACUUGAACUCAGCUCUGGACCAAGUGGACCUGCUAGACAUCUAUAGAACUCUCCACCCCAAAUCAACAGAAUAUACAUUCUUCUCAGCACCAUAUUGCGCUUAUUCUAAAAUUGACUGCAUAAUUGAAAAUUAAACACUCCUCAGCAAAUGCAAAAGAAUGGAAAUCAUAACAAACAGUCUCUCAGACCACAGCGCAAUCAAAUUAGAACUCAGGAUUAAGAAACUCAUUCAAAACUGCACAACUACAUGGAAACUGAGCAACCUGCUCCUGAAUGACUACUUUGUAAAUAAUGAAAUGAAGGCAGAAAUAAGUAAGUUCUUUGAAACCAAUGAGAACAAAGACACAACAUACCAGAAUCUCUGGGACACAGCUAAAGCAGUGUUUAGAGGGAAAUUUAUAGCACUAAAUGCCCACAGGCGAAAGCAGGAAAGAUCUAAAAUUGACACCCUAACAUCACAAUUAAAAGAACUAGAGAAGCAAGAGCAAAUAAAUUCAAAAGCUAGCAGAAGGCAAGAAAUAACUAAGAUCAGAGUGGAACUGAAGGAGAUAGAGAUACGUAAAACCCUUCAAAAAAUCAAUGAAUCUAGGAGCUGUAUUUUUGAAAAUAUUAACAAAAUAGACUGCUAGCCAGAAUAAUAAAGAAGAAAAGAGAGAAGAAUCAAAUAGACACAAUAAAAAAUGAUAAAGGGGAUAUCACCACUGAUCCCACAGAAAUACAAACUACCAUCAGAGAAUACUAUAAACACCUCUAUGCAAAUAAACUAGAAAAUCUAGAAGCAAUGGCUACAUUCCUGGACAUAUACACCCUCCCAAGACUAAACCAGGAAGAAGUUGAAUCCCUGAAUAGACGAAUAACAAGUUCUGAAAUUGAGGCAGUAAUCAAUAGCCUAGCAACUAAAAAAAAAAAGCCCAGGAACAGAUGGAUUCACAGUCAAAUUCUACCAGAGAUACAAAGAGGAGCUGGUACCAUUCCUUCUGAAACUAUUUCCAGCAAUAGAAAAAUAGGAACUCCUCCCUAACUCAUUUUAUGAGGCCAGCAGUAUCCUGAUACCAAAACCUGGCAGAGACACAACAAAAAAAGAAAAUUUUAGGCCAAUAUCCCUGAUGAACAGCGAUGUGAAAAUCCUCAAUAAAAUACUGACAAACUGAAUCCAGGAGCACAUCAGAAAGCUCAUCUACCAUGAUCAAGUCGGCUUCAUCCCUGGGAUGCAAGACUGGUUCAACAUACACAAAUCAAUAAAUGUAAUCCAUCACAUAAACAAAACCAAUGACAAAAGUCACAUGAUUAUCUCAAUAGAUACAGAAAAGGCCUUCGAUAAAAUUAAAAACCCCUUCAUGGUAAAAACUCUCAAUAAACUAGGUAUUGCUAUAACAUAUCUCAAAAUAAUAAGAGCUAUUUAUGACAAACCCACAGCCAAUAUCAUAUUGAAUGGGCAAGAGCUGGAAGCAUUCCCUUUGAAAACCAGCCCAAGACAAGGAUGCCCUCUCUCACCACUCCUAUUCAACAUAGUAUUGGAAGUUCUGGCCAGGGCAAUCAGGCAAGAGAAAGAAAUAAAGGGUAUUCAGAUAGGAAGAGAGGAAGUCAAAUUGUCUGUUUGCAGAUGACAUGACUGUAUAUUUAGAAAACCCCAUUGUCAGGCCGGGCGCGGUGGCUCACGCCUGUAAUCCCAGCACUUUGGGAGGCCUAGGCGGGUGGAAAAUAAGGUCAGGAGUUCGAGAUCAGCCUGGCCAGCAUGGUGAAACCACGUCUCUACUAAAAAUACAAAAAAAAAAAAAAAAAAUAGCCGGGCAUGGUGGCACACGCCUGUAUUCCCACCUACUCGGGAGGCUGAGGCAGGAUAAUUGUUUGAACCUGGCAGGCAGAGGUUGCAGUGAGCCGAGAUUGCGCCACUGUACUCUAGCCUGGGCAACAGAGCAAGACUCCAUGUCAAAAAAAAAAAAAUAGAAAAAGAAAACCCCAUCGUCUCAGCCCAAAAUCUCCUUAAGCUGAUAAGCAACUUCAGCAAAGUCUCAAGAUACAAAAUCAAUGUGCAAAAAUCACAAGCAUUCCUAUACACCAAUAAUAGACAAACAGAGAGGCAAAUCAUGAGUGAACUCCCAUUCACAAUUGCUACAAAGAGAAUAAAAUACAUACAACUUACAAGAGAUGUGAAGGACCUCUUCAAGGAGAACUACAAACCACUGCUCAAGGAAAUAAGAGGGGACACAAACAAAUGGAGAAACAUUCCAUGCUCAUGGAUAGGAAGAAUCAGUAUUAUGAAAUGGCCAUACUGCCAAAAGUGAUUUAUAGAUUCAAUGCUAUCCCCAUCAAUUUACCAUUGUAUUUCUUCACAGAAUUAGAAAAAUCUACUUUAAAUGUCAUAUGGAACCAAAAAAGAGUCAGUAUAGCCAAGACAAUCCUAAGCAAAAAGAACAAAGCUGUAGGCAUCAUGCUACCUGACUUCAAACUAUGCUACCAGGCUAUGGUAACCAAAACAGCAUGGUACUCGUACCAGAACAGAUAUCUAGACCAAUGGAAAAGAACAUAGGCCUCAGAAAUAAUGCCACACAUCUACAACCAUCUGAUCUUUGACAAACCUGAUAAAAACAAGCAAUGGGGAAAGGAUUCCCUACUUAAUAAAUGGUGUUGGGAAAACUGGCUAGCCAUAUACAGAAAAUUGAAACUGGACCCCUUCCUUACAACUUACACAAAAAUUAACUCAAGAUGGAUUAAAGACUUAUAUGUGAGACCUAAAACCCUAGAAGAAAACCUAGGCAGUACCAUUCAGGACAUAGGCAUUGACAAAGAGUUCAUGACUAAAACACCAAAAGCAAUGUCAACAAAAGCCAAAAUUGACAAAUGGAAUCUAAUUAAACUAAAGAGCUUCUACACAGCAAAAGAAACUAUCGUCAGAGUGAACAGGCAACUUACAGAAUGGGAGAAAAGUUUUACAAUCUAUUCAUCUGACAAAGGGCUAAUAUCCAGAAUCUACAAAGAACUGAAACAAAUUUACAAGAAAAAAAAAACCCAUCAAAGAAUGGGUGAAGGAUAUGAACAGACACUUCCUCAGAAACAGAUAUUUAUGUGGCCAACAAACAUAUGAAAAAAAGCUCAUCAUCACUGGUCAUUAACUGCAAAUCAAAUGCCAGUUAGAAUGGCGAUCAUUAAAAAGUCAGGAAAAAAACAGAUGCUGGAGAGGAUGUGGAGAAAUAGGAAUGCUUUUACACAUGGGUGGGAGUGUAAAUUAGUUCAACCAUUAUGGAAGACAGUGUGGCGAUUCCUCAAGGAUCUAGAACCAGAAAUACCAUUUGACUCAGCAACCUCAUUACUAGGUAUAUACCCAAAGGAUUAUAAAUCAUUCUACUAUAAAGACACAUUUGCACAUAUGUUUAUUGCAACACUGUUCACAAUAGGAAAGACUUGGAACCAACCCAAAUGCCCAUCAAUGAUAGACUGGAUAAACAAAAUGUGCCACAUAUACACCACGGAAUACUACGCAGCCAUAAAAAGGAUGAGUUCGUGUCCUUUGCAGGGACAUGGAUGAAGCUGGAAACCGUCAUUCUCAGCCAACUAACACAUGAGCAGAAAACCAAACACUGCAUGUUCUCACUCAUAAGUGGGAGUUGAACAAUGAGAACACAUGGACACAGGGAGGGGAAUAUCAUACACCAAGGCCUAUCGGGGUGGGGAGCUAGGGGAGGGAUAGCAUUAGGAGAAAUACCUAAUGUACAUGACAGGUUGAUGGUUGCAGCAAACCACCAUGGCACGUGUAUACCUAUGUAACAAACCUGCAUGUUCUGCACAUGUAUCCCAGAACUUAAAGUAUAAUAAAAAACAUUCCCAUACAAAAAUAGAUAAUAACAAAUGUAAUAAAUAUUAGAGCUUAGAGUUAUCAUUGUGAUACAAAGUACUCAAAGAUGAUUUACUUGAAGUUUGGAGAUGCUGUAUCUGGGCAACCUGGGAUGGAUCCAGUUUCACUAUGGCUAAUUUAUCUGACUUAAGGUUUUAUUUGUCCUCUUUAUUGUAAAUCUUCUCUAGAUAGGGAAAUAUAGCUACAUCCUUAUAUCCAAAGUGAAAUAUAGGUUUUAUUAUUAUUUUUUAUUCUGUGGUAAAGGCCCACUGAAACUCUUCUGUUAAGUAGCAACAUGAUCAGUUCAUGUCCCAACUUAGUUGCUAUAUUGACUGUUUCAAUCAGAUAGAUUUAGGUUUUUAUGAGUAUUAGAAACUCGUGUCAGUGCACUGGAUUGACUCUGAGGAGCCCGAACAUUUUUAAAUGAGUACUUAAUGACUAACAAAUAGAAUGUUGAACUGAGAAAGUCACCACUGUUUACCAAACCUUUCUGCUAAGGAAGGGCAAGAUGUCACCACUAUUACCAUCCCCUCAUUAGAAACAAAUAAGCUGGUAGCCAAGAAAGUGAAUGGCUUUGGCAAAUAUCACACUUAGAAUGAAAACUAAAACCAAGAAUAGACACCAUAUGGUUGUCUAAAAUACCUUAGCAUGGUUGCUAACUAUGUGAUACCUUGGGCUCUCAGCUGAUUUAGGCUGAAUUAAAUUAUUAUUGAAACUAAAAUGUCACAUUUUCAGGGAAAAAUGUGAAAACUGUUUAGAUAAACUCUUCAAAGAUUUGAGAGCACCACUAGAAUAUAGCUGACAAAAGCUUGAAAUAAAAUCCAUUGUAGGUCAAUUUAAGAAACCUAUCUAGGUUAAUGGGUACAAAAGCAGAAUGAAUAAGAUCUAGUAUUUGAUAGCACAACAUAGUGAUUACAGUCAACAAUAAUUUAUUCCACAUGUAAAAAUAACUAAAAGAGUAUAAUUAAAAUGUUUGUAACCCAGAGAAAUGAUAAAUUCUUGAGGCGAUGGAUACCCUAUUUACCCUGAUGUGAUUAUUAUACAGUGUAUGACUAUAUUAAAGUAUCUCAGGUGCCCCAUAAAUAUACACACCUACUAUGCACUUCCAAAAAUUAAAAAAAAAAUUAAAAAGAAACCUAUCUAAUUGAUCCAGCUCCAGGGAGUAACCAAUGGACCUUAUUAACACACAGGCUACACCAUGAUUUCUUUUCUGAGCUCCAGAUUCACUUCCCAAGACAUUUUCAUUUAGUAGCUUUACAGGCACUUCACAUCACAAUGUCUAAAACCAAAUUAUUACUCAUCCCUUCCUAGUAUGCACCUCAUCUUCUGUUUCCUAUACUGGGAUAAGGGGAAAAUAUCAAGUAAAAACUUGAGAUGGCCUUGGUCUCCAUGCUGUGGAUACACCACAAUCACUCCAUUAAUCAAAUCCUUGAAUCCUUCUGUCUCACCCUCACAUCCUAUCAAUCAGCGAGUGCUGCUGACUUACCUCCUUAGAAUCUCUCUAUUCCUUCUGCUUAUCUGCAUCCCAUUGCCUCUAUGUUAGUUCAGAUUAUUGUUCUCCCCGCAGCCUCUUAACUUUUCUUUCUAUUCCUACCCUCAAUAUAUGUUGCAGCCAAAGUAAUCAUUUAAAACGCAAAUGUGAUCCAGUCAUCCUUCUGCUUAAAUGCUUCAAGAUUUCCCAUUGCCUGUAUGGUAAUAUCGAAAUUUCUAGAGAUGCAUUUCAAGGUCCUGUGUGAUCUUUCCCCAGUCUGGAUCAGUAUGAGCCUCCAUCAACCAUAUUGAACUUUUCUCAGUACCCUAAACCCACCACAUGCUCUCUAGUCUCAUGGCUGUUCUCUCUUUUUAUAACACUGUUACUCCUGUAAUGUGCCUUCACACUCUGCCUAACUCCUACACAUCUUCCAUGCACAAUUUUAGAAUAAUAUCCCCAAUGCAACCUUCCCUGAUUCCCCUGAGAGCUGGCUAGUUACCUCAAUGAUCACAUGUAUGAUAAUUGCUUGCCUCCCCUACUAAAACAUAUUUUCAUCCCUGAAAAUACUUUCAGCUCCCAGCAAAAGGCUUGGCAUCUAAUAAAAUUAAAAACCAUAGUAACAAUAAAUAACAUGAGUGAUUUUUAUGUGUUCUAAGUAUGUUACAUAUAUUUAACCCUCACUAAAACCACAUGCAGUAGGUACCAUUAUUUUCUUGGUUUUGCAAAUAAGAAAACUGGACAUGGAGAUGUUAAGUCAGAUGUACCACAUGGUCAAACUGCAGAAAGUGGAGCAAAUAUCUGAAUCCAGGCAGUCUGGCUCCAUAGCCUGGGAACUUAACUACCCCACUGUACUCUCUAAAUGUAAAUUUUGUAAUGGUCCUCACCUGGGGGAGGGAUCCUGCACUCUUCUCAUGUUAGCCACAGCAGCAUUUCCAGAACAAGGGGACCCAUAUUGGUAUGUACAGAUCAUUUGUCUUAACCAACAUGUUAGAUUUCCAUAGCUCUCAAUUAGAUGCCUAUUGAACAAAUGGAAUGAUUGGGUUUGACCCCCAGCACAAAGCUGAAGGAUUUCACAAUUAGCAAGGAGGCAUUGGUUUUACAUUCCACGCUCACCACAGGCAGUUGAACCACUUCAAAAUAGAAAACAUUCAUGAGGCACGUACUUCCUUUGCCCAUCAAAGCAGUCUAACUGAAUGUCAAGUUCUAGUUUAGAGUCAAAACCUGAGCUGAAGAUACAGUAAGUGGAGGAAAAGCUGAAACAUAUAUCGAAAGACAGAAAAAAGUGUCAGAUAUUAUUGACUUUGGGUUAAUUUACUCUUGAAGCUGCCAGUCUAAAGAAGGAUCCAGACUGUAGCCAGAAGUUAGCAAAAUUUGUAGCAAGGCUAGAUUGAAAUCAUCGGGGUACUGUGUUACGCUGAGAAUGAUAUAAUCGACUUUCAAUGAAUUGAAACUUUCUCUUCAUUUUGCACCAUUAGUCUCUCAACGAUGUGCAACUACUUGCCUUGCAGAAUAAUAAACUUGGAGAAUUGAACCUAGUUAAGAACUCUAAAUGUUAGAUCUUUCACUUUCUUUAUGUCUAAGCUUGAGCAGACUUUGGUACUUUUAUAAACAGAAGCUACAGUGCAGGUCUGAACAGAGAGAUGCUUUCUUAGAAGUUUAUAGCUAUUGUAUGUAAGAAAUCACUUUAGUUGAGAAGUUUUAAAUUUUUUUGUCCUUAAAAUUUAAGAAAUAUGUAUUAUUGCCUAGCCCUGGAGCCUAGCACAAAGCCCUCCACAUGUAAAACACCAGUAAAUGCCAGCCAUCUUUUGUAUGGGUCACUGCUCUCUUUUCUUCCAGAUCUUUUCCCAUAACCAUAGCUGGCUCUUAGCAAAAUGGAAGGAGUUUCAGUACUUUUUGAUCACCUCCACAUACUGCAUUCACAUCCCAAUUUAUACAAUCCCAUAGGUGUUAAUUAUGGUCCAACGUUCUCUAAUGCAGUGCCAAGUGUCACCCUCAUAAAUGGUGCCUUACAUUCUGUACGUAGUUUCACUUCUCCAUCAACCUUGUCAAAACCAAAAUGAAAUCAAGUUAGAAAAAAAAUUUAAAGUUUAUUGUGCAUACAAAAAAUCAGUUUGUGAACCGGGAGACCUCAAGCUGAAAGUGGUGAGAAGCCCUGCUCACAGUUGUUAUAGCAUAGUUUAUAAAGCAUAAAGAAGAAAGUACUUUGACCUUUUCUGUGAUUGGCUGCUAACAUUAACAUUCUUGUUACGGCAAGCAGAGAUGUUUAAAUUGAUUUGUCUAUAGCUGAUUGGCUUUAUUUCACUGAAUCAUGUUGAAAGAACAUGAUGCUUACAUUCUGUGUUAGGUUUAUAAGGAGAGCUAGUGUUUGGGGGAAAUCAGAAUGACUUAAAUUUUAACUACGUGGCUCCAGGCGUUGGCUUUGAGGGUAUAUCUACACUGUGGCCUCCAUUUUUAUUCUUCUUUAACAUACUUUACCUUGCUGGUCAUGCAUUCCUGUGGGGCCUGCCAGCAUCUAGCGGGACCCUUGGGAAGCAGUCAGAAAAAUUAAGAGCUCCUCAACUAUGAAUGUUUUUUAAACUAAAAACUUUUGUAGAGAUGAAUGAUUUCUCUGAUAGUGAAAUUUCAGGUAUAAUGGGAAAUAUUGGUGAAUCAGAUAUUGGAGGACAACUUAUUCUACUUGUGCAUGAUGACUAACCCUAACUCUUCACCUUGAACACCAUUUGUAGUGUAAAUGAGCUUUCAGUGUGUGCUAAAGUAAGGCAUUUAUCUUCUCUUAACUUGUGUAGAAAGUUGUAUGUCUUGACCGGGCGCGGUGGCUCAUGCCUGUAAUCCCAGCACUUUGGGAAGCUGAGGCGGGUGGAUCACCUGAGGUCAGGAGUUCAAGACCAGCCUGGCCAACAUGGAGAAACUCCGUCUCUACUAAAAAAACAAAAAAUAGCCAGCUGUGGUGGCAGGCACCUAUAAUCCCAGGUACUCAGGAGGCUGAGGCAGGAGAAUCGCUUGAACCCAGGAGGCGGAGGUUGCAGUGAGCCAAGAUCACACCACUGCACUCCAGCCUGGGUGACAGAGCGAGACUCCAACUCAAAAAAAAGAAAAAGAAAAUUAUAUGUCUUGCCUGUGUACUCUAGCUUUAGAAGAUCAGGUUUAUGUGAGAGCAUAUGGCUUAUGUUAUCAAAAGGCAGGGAUAUAUACUUUUCUGUCACAUAAAAAACUUUAAUUAGUAAGUUUGUACCAACACUUUCUCUAUAGCACAGUGGCAAGAUCAGUUUGGCUUAGAGGAAGAAAAACUGAAUUAGGACUCAAGCCACUCUUUAAGCCUUUUUCUUUUUCCUCUGUAAUGUGAAGGAUUUGAAUGAGGGGAUCUCUAAGAGUUCUUCCUGCUCCAACAUUUUUACUAAAUGUUAAAGGCCUAUACCAAUAUUUUAUUGAACAAAUGUCCUUACAUAUGUGAUUACAUUAGGCUCUGAUAAAAAUUUGGAAAUGAGUGAUGUUGGGGUUUAUCGCUUCUUUGCAGACACCUUGUUAGCAUGUCUAUUAAACGGCUGUGCUGCUGAAAUCCCACCAAUUUAAAACUUUGCUGUUAUUAUUGCAUUACAUGAUUCUUAGCAAAUGAUGGAUCUGAUAAGGGCCUAAGGAGCUCCCCUAACCAAAUGUAUUUCUAUUUAAAAAGAAAACUUUAGAAGAUAUAAAUAUGUUUUAAAUCCAAAGGAAUGCUUAUCUAAUAAUGUAAUGUUAAACAUUAUAAUAAGUGUGUGUGUGUGUGUGUGUGUGUGUGUGUGUAUUCUGAAGAAAGUGAGCCUCUAAAAUUUGACCACAGAAUAGUUUUGGUCCAUCUGCAAAGCCAGCUUUAUACAAGUCAAAUACUACAAAACAUAAGAUGUACAAUUUGGGGGAAUUUUUCUACAAAAAACACUGCACAAGUACUUACAUGUCCUUGUUAUUUAAAUGGUAUGCAUGCACCUUUGGAAAAUAAAAUAUUUGGGAUAAGGUUUUCAAUUUUGUUAAUGAAAAUCCCUAAUAGCAAGCAAAGAUAUGAGAGUGCUCACAGAUGGACAGGGAUGUCCAAUCUUUUUGGCUUCUCUGGGCCAUAUUGGAAGAAGAAGAAUUGUCUUGGGCCACACGUAAAAGACACUAACACUAACCAUAGCUGAUAGGCUAAAAAAAAAGGGUUGAAAAAAAUUCUAAUGUUUUAAGAAAGUUUAUGAAUUUGUAUUGGGCUGCACUCAAAGCUGUCCUGGACCACAUGAGGCCAGUGGGCUGCAGGUUGGACGAGCUUGGACUGUAAGAAUAAGGCACAGAGGGGCAGGGAGCAGCUUCUCUUUUAAAUCAAUCAAAAGUCAUAAGAAGCCAUGAGGUUUGGGUUUUUUUUUUUUUUGACAGAGUCUUCUGUCACCCAGGCUGGAGUGCAAUGGCUUCAUCAUGGUUCACUACAGCCUGGAACUCCUGGGCUCAAGCGAUCCUCCCAUCUCAGCCUGCCAAUAGCUAGAACUACUGGUGUGUGCCACCAUGCCCCUCUAAUUUAUUUAUGUAUUUAUUUAUUUAUUUAUUUAUUUAUUUAUUUAUUUGAGAGACAGGGUCUUACUAUGUUGCCAGGGCUGGUCUUGAGUGAGUUCCUGGGCUCCUGGGCUCAAGUGAUCCUCCUGUCUCAGUCUCCCAAAGACAUGAGAUUAAAGGCUUGAGCCACUACUCCUGGCCAGGAAGUUAUGUUUUAAUUUUUGUAAUGUGCACCUAGAGACUCAUUUGAUCUACUAUAAAUAAGCAAAGUUUAUAACAGAUCGUAGUUCUUUCUAAGGGGAAAAAAUGGGGUUGGACAAGGAAGAGAAUAAACAAACACACACAAAGAGACAUUUCUAUAAAAGGUAUUUUGUUUUUAAGCAAUAACAAAUAUUUUAUUUUCAAGUGCUCUUAAGGAAAAAAUGCCAUUUUGAAAGUAAAAAGGAAAAGGAAAAAGUUAUAGCCACCUGAGACCAAACUAUCCAAGUGCAUUAUUAUCUAAAGUGUUACAUGCACACACAUAUUAACUAGCAGAGAGAAGGGUUGUGGCAGUCUCUUCCCUUGAUCAUGCCAACCAACAUCUUAAAAUGGAUUGAUACACUGAAAGGGUACACUUAAAAAAGAGAGAAUGAACAGGCAUAACUUUCCUGAUAAUUCCUGCUGUCUAUGAUAUACCCUUCAUGUGGCAUUCAAUAUAUAAGUCAAAAGGAGGCCCUUUAAUGUGGGAAGGAGUUGAAGAAUCUUAUAUGAAUAGAGAAUUCUCCUCAUUGCACCGUAAAGAACACUUUUUGAGAGCACGUGAACAGAAAAAUAACAUCUGCUGAAUAUAGACUCUUGCUCUCCUGGAGAGCAUUGUGUAGACACCAGUUCAGUCUUAAUUCUGAAACACUCUGCAAACAGCUCCACCACCAAAGUUUUACAAAAAGUGUAUAUUUUAGUCCUCUUGACGAGGUGGGGUUACAGUGCCUAAGAUCAAGUUCUGGAAGAAACCCCAGUAGAAAUAACAUUUACAGUUCAUCUCUUAUGGUGGAAGAUUUCUCCAUAUGAGCAAUCUAAUCCAUUUAAUAUUGAUCCUAAUCAGUGUAAGCUUUGGAGAAUGAUGUUUCCUGACCUUUUCGCAUAAUUUCAGAGCUACACCCUAAUUAGAGUCUAUAGUCUAUUCUGCAAUGAUUAGGCAACCAAUCAACAUUUGAGCAGGUAAUUUAAGCUACAUAUUCAACUAUGAGGAUUGAUUUUUCUUCAGAAUCUUGGUCUUUAACCAAGUUCCUCUGGACAGCUAGCUGUGAUUAGAGCAGAAUCAGUGGCCCAAUAAGCAAGUGGAGCCUUCUGCUAUGGUAGGAUGCUACUGUUGAUCAUUAAUCAUCAGAAAACUUAAUCAGCACACGACUAAAUCAUUGACUUAGGCAUCACUAAUGAUUAGAUCUUAAAUUUGUAAUUCAUGAAUAUUGGGUGAACAUCUGUACAACUGGCAGGACAAUGUUAUUCAUCCUCCUUGUCUAAGCUUCAACCUAGUGGCUUAAGGUAGGAGUAGAAACAGAACAGAUUAUUCAUUCAUUAAGAAAUCUGUAUCCAUUCAGAUCUGUAACCAGUCUUGACAGAGGCUAGACAAAUCAACUCUUUAUAACCAUUCCUACCCUAAUUUCACUACCAACAGUUAAAUUUAUUCUUUCAUUAAGCCUAGAUUUUUUAUAUGAUAUCUACUACAUACUAACAAUUAUGUUAGGUACUACAGCUAUAAAAUGAACAAGGGGAACAAAAAUUGCCUACCCUUUAGUUACAUACAAUCCAGUUGAUCAGAAAGCAAAUAAUAGAACAAUUACAAAUACUGGAAAAUAAUAAACCUUUUUUUAUUUUUUUUUUUUUUGAGACAGAGUCUUGCUCUGUCACCUAGGCUGGAAUGCAGUGGCACGAUCUCGGCUCACUGCAACCUCUGCCUCCCGGGUUCAAACAAUUCUGCCUCAGUCUCCCUAGUAGCUGGGAUUAUAGGCAUGUGCCACCACGCCUGGCUAUUUUUUGUGUGUCUUUAGUAGAGACAGGGUUUCACCGUAUUGGCCAGGCUGGUCUCGAACUCCUGACCUUGUGAUCUGCCCACCUCGGACUCCCAAAGUGCUGGGAUUACAAGCAUGAGCCACCACUCCUGGCCUUAUAUAUAAUAAACUUUAAGAUAGAGUAAAUAAAGUGUGCUGUGUAAUGAUGGAGAAUGGCCACCUAACCCAGUUUUGGAGGAUUAAGUUAUAACUUUCAAGAAUAAGGGUCUAAACUGAGUUCUGAAGAAUGUCAAAUUUGAUGUUGAAAAUUCAUUUAUUUAAAGGAAUUGGUUGGAUACUUCAAUCAAAUUAGCAGACCUUAGCAGACCUGUAGUCCCACAUAGACAUAAUCACAGGAGUUACUUAAUGCCUUUAGUGAAUAUGUACUAGAGAAGCAGUGUGGCCGAAUGAAAAAAAGAACAGAGAAUGGGACAGAAGACUUAGGUUCAAAUAUGAGAUGUUUUUCAUGUACUUCAAAACUGGUUUAUCGGACCUAUUUACAUUUUACAAACUAGUUUUAUAUAUACAGUAUACGUUUCAAUUGCUAUUUUACUAUGAGUUUGAGUACAGCAUAUAUAAUUCUGAUCUUGUCUCUUCUAUUGUUGUGGAAAGUCAGGGACCCCGAACAGAGGGACCAGCUGAAGCCACGGCAGAAGAACAUAAAUUGUGAAGAUUUAAUGGACAUUUAUCAGUUCCCAAAAUUGAUACUUUUAUAAUUUCUUAUGCCUGUCUUUACUGCAGUCUCUGAACAUAAAUUGUGAAGAUUUCAUGGACAUUUAUCACUUCCCCAAUCAAUACUGUUAUAAUUUCUCAUGCCUAUCUUUAAUCUCUUAAUCCCAUCUUCUUCAUAAGCUGAGGAUGUAUGUCACCUCAGGACCCUGUGAUGAUUGCAUUAACUGUACAAAUUGAUUGUAAAACAUGUGUGUUUCAACAAUAUGAAAUCAGUGCACCCUGAAAAAGAACAGAAUAACAGCUAUUUUCAGGGAACAAGGGAGAUAACCAUAAGUUCUGACUGCCUGCAGGGUUGGGCAGAAUAGAGCCAUAUUUUUCUUCUCACAGCCAGCCUAUAAAUGAAUGUGUGAGUAGGAGAAAUAUCGCUGAAUUCUUUUCCCAGCAAGGAAUAUUAAUAAUUGAUAACCCUGGGGAAGGAAUGCAUUCUCAGGGGUAGGCCUACAGAUGAUCACUCUGGGACCGUCUGUCUUAUGCGGUUGAGAUAAGGGAUGAAAUAUGCCCUGGUCUCCUGCAGUGCCCUCAGGCUUACUAGGAUUGGGAAAUUCCAGCCUGGUGAAUUCUAGUCGGGCCAGUUGUCUGCUCUCGAACGCUGUUUCCUGUUAAGAUGUUUAUCAAGACAAUGCAUGCCCAGUGGGACAUGGAGCCUCAUCAGUAAUUCUAAUUUCGCCCUUGCCUUGUGAUCUUUCUCUGCCCUCUGCCUUGUGAUCUUUUAUGGCCCUUUGAAGCAUGUGAUCCUUGUGACUUACUCCCUGUUCGUACAUCCCCUCCCCUUCUAAAAUCCCUAAUAAAAACUUGCUGGUUUUGUGGCUCAGGUGGGCAUCAUGGAACCUGCUGAUAUGUGAUGUCACCCCCGGAGGCCCAGCUGUAAAAUUUCUCUCCUUGUACUCUUUAUUUCUCAGACUGGCCGACACUUAGGGAAAAUAGAAAAGAACGUAUGUUGAAAUAUGGGGGGCUGGUUCCCCCAAUAUUCUAUAAACUGGGAAUAAUAUUAAUAUUGCUAAUAUUAACUUUGUAAAAUUUAAACUGCUGAUCAAAUUUUAGACAUUACUGUAUUAUUAUUGUAAAGUUUUGGGCAAUGCAAAUGAUAUACACAUGACAGUUUUCAUUUGUUUGCCUUGGGGUUAUAUCUUUUAAAAAUUUCUACAUAUUAAAAUUAUUUCACAGGAAAUGAACAUUUCCUUUUCUAGGAGACUAAAACACUUAUUAAAUUUAGGGGUAGAUUAAAGUGACUGAGGUUUAGUUCAAAAGCUGGAGAAUAAAUAUAAAUGAGCUUUCAAAAUCCUUUUCCAUUCAACGAUGCUAUAAUAUUUAGUUAUGUUUUAGAAUUUUCCAACAUAAGUUAUCACCAUUAUCAAAAGAUACAUUCCAAAACAUUACAAUUAUUGUCAAUACAAUAAUGUUGACACUUACAAGGCAGGAACAGUGAUGAAAUGGCUAUAAUCUGUUUUGAAUGACAUAAAAUUGUGUUCCAUGCCAAAACAUGAAAUAAAACAAAUGGCUACUUUGGAAAUUCUAGUUUCAGUGUGUCCUUAGAAAAAUUACCUUGUAUCAAAUAUAUACACCACCUGGUGGACUAAUGCCCCAAAUGAUGACUGAGUGGUUAUCUAUCAACAGAUGUGCAAACACUCUAUUACAAAGGAAUGUCUGGUGGAAGGAAAUUGACAAUCAUAAUUUGACAAUUAGACAUUGGUUCAUUGGUUGAUAAUACCUAUGAGCCAAUGUCCUUGUACUUCUUUUUUUUUUUUGAGACGGAGUCUCACUCUGUCGCCCACGCUGGAGUGCAGUGGCGCGAUCUCUGCUCACUGCAAGCUCCGUCUCCUGGGUUCACGCCAUUCUUCUGCCUCAGCCUCCUGAAUAGCUGGGAUUACAGGUGCCUGCCGCAACACCUGGCUAAUUUUUUUGUAUUUUUAGUCGAGACGGGGUUUCACUGUGUUAGCCAGGAUGGUCUCGAUCUCCUGACCUCAUGAUCCGCCCGACUCGGCCUCCCAAAGUGCUGGGAUUACAGGCGUGAAUGUGUUUGUACUUCUAUUUGUUGUUUUUUUAAAUUAGUUGCAGUGUUUUCAUGGUGGAGAAUUUAGCUUAAAAAUGACAAUAAUUUCUUUGCUCUUGAAACUAGAUAAUCAUUUGCUAUUUAAUAUUUAAUAACAUUAUUAAUACUUAUUGUGUGCCUAAAUGCAUUUGAGAAAUUCAAUUAAGUCUACAUUUAUCUCAGAAGUAUAAUUUUCUUUUAAUUUUAUAUUAUAAUGCAGUAGUAAUUAACUCUCCAUAUGUGAAAUAUAGUUUACCACCAUUUACAUGACAUUAUUCUGAUAAACACAAAUCUGUUGUUACAAUCAUAUAAGGAUGCUUUCAAGGUGAAAUCAGUAGUCAGUAGGCUGUGAGAAGAUUAAAUUUCUGUUGUAUUUUGGAUGGAGUUCUUGCUUGUUUGAUUAUGUUCAAUAGCUAUCUGAAAUACAUACAAUAUAAAGGGAGUUGCCACUGUGUGAUUCUAAAAAUUUUUAAUGAUGUGUCUGAAAUAAAGUUAUUGGAUAGCAAUUGACCAAAGGCCACAAGGAGAAAAUGGAAAUAUUCUCUUGCAAAGUUCUUAUGCUACUCAUAAAUUAGUAGAGUAUCACUUGAAGACCGACUAUAAGAAGUUAAAGAAGUAUAUUGUAAACUCUAAAGCAACUCCACACAUACACACAAAUAAAAUAAGUGGAUAUCUCUGUGAUUAAAAAAGAAGACCUUUUUCUUUGCCUCACACCAUAUAUAAAAUUCACUCAAAAUUCAUCAUAGAUCUAAAAAUAGAUUUCUUAAGAUGGAACAAUACCAAAAUACCUCACAACCUAUAAAAGAUCAACAAAUUAAACAUUUUAAAAAUUAGAAAAAUCCCUUUAUUCUUCUAAGAAAACUGUUAGAAAAAAAAUUUUAGAGCAGGAGAAAUAUUUUUUAAAAAACAUACCUGACAAAGGACAUGUAUCUAGACUACAUAAAGAACUUCUACAACUCAGUUAUAAGACAAUCUAAUUAAAAAUAGGUUAAAUAUUUUAACAGACACUUACUCAGAAAAGAUAUGCAAGUGGAAAAUAAGCUCUUGAAAAGAUGCUCAAUGUCAUUAGUCAUUAAGGAAAUGCAAAUUAAAACUGCAAGUAGAGAAUACUAUAAUCCAACUUAAGCAACUUAAAUGUAAAACCCUGACUAUAGUAAGAGUUAGCAAGGUUGUGAAGCCCUGGAACACUUCUGUAAUGCUGGUGGGAAUGUAAAAUGCUACCAACACUUUGGAAAAUCAUUUGGUAUUUUCUUAAAACUUUGAAUAUUCUCCUAUCGAAAGUCACUCCUAGGUAUUCACCCAAGAAAAAUGAAAUGCUGAACCUUUUAAGAUAAUAUUUUGCGGCCGGGUGCCGUGGCUCAUGCCUGUAAUCCCAGCACUUUGGGAGGCCGAGGCGGGCAGAUCACGAGGUCAGGAGAUCUGAGACCAUCCUGGCUAAUGCGAUGAAACCCCGUCUCUACUAAAAAUACAAAAAAUUAGCCGGGUGUAGUGGCAGGUGCCUGUAGCCCCAGCUACUCGGGAGGCUGAGGCAGAAGAAUGGCGUGAACCUGGGAGGCGGAGCUUGCCGUGAGCCAAGAUUGCGCCACUGCACUCCAGCCUGGGCGACAGAGCGAGACUCCGUCUCAAAAAAAAAAAAAAAAAAAAAAAAAAGAUAAUAUUUUGCUUUGAUAUCAAUGAAUGGGAAACCAAGUGCCAAAAAAUAAUAAUCAAGUUAAAAAUCUGUAUUUUGGAGUUUAUAUCGUGUGUAAAAGUGAAAAAUUGAACAACACUAACACAACUAUUUGGAGAGUUGUAAAUGGUAUUAUACUCUUCUAAGUUUCUUAUUUUGUGUGUGAAAUGCUAUAAUAAGGACUUAAGUCAUACUGAAAUAAGAUGAGGAUGCCUACUGUAAUCACUAAAGCAACCAUAAAAAAUAAAAUGAAGAGCUGUAGCUAAAAACUAAUGAAGGCGUUACACUGAAUUUAAGAUGGCCUAAAUAAAUGAAGAGAUAUAAUAUUUUCAUGGAUAGGAAAAAAUAAAAAUUUUAAGAUAUCAUUCUCCCUAAACUUUUCAGUAGAUUCAACAUACUUCCUCCAAAAUUUCUGCAGCUUCCUUCUUUUAGAAAUUGACAAUAUGAUUCUAAAGUUUAUAUAAAAAUGAAAAUAAUCUGAAAUAGUCAAAAAAAAGUUGCAUUAUGAAGUACAAAGUUUGAUGACUUAGCACUAUCUAAUUUCAAGAUAUCUAUGAAGCUACUGAAAUGGGAGUUCCCUUAUCUUCCCCCACUGCCCAAACCCCUAGGAGAAGCAUGCAAAUGGGCAGGUCGUGGGGAGUGUUUUUAGGGUCCGACUCCACGACAGUGUUUAGGGUUGAGUGCUUAUAGCCCCCGAAGCCCAAGCGGGCAUGUCUUAUAGUGUGCUUUUUCAGCUUUGCCAUCUGCAGAUGGCUUGUAUUAAUCAGCUCAAUUAGACCCUCUGCCUUAUUGCAAGGACAGAGGGCUUUCUAUAUCCUGGGUUCUUGCCCUAGUGUACCAGACAAAUUGGAUCACACGUGGGCUUGGAGGAUGAGUGCAAGGUUUUAUUGAUUGGUGGAGGCAGUUCUCGGUGAGAUGGAUGGGGAACCGGAAGGGGAAUGGAGUGGGAAGGUGGUCUUCUCCUGGAGUUGGGCCUCCCAGUGCCUGGACUGUCCUCCGACUGCCCCCGGCUGAAUUCCCCUUGGUGUCUGUGUCAUUCCACUGUUGCUGGUCUGCCAGUAUCUGCUGGUAUCUGUCAGUGUGUUCUUCCGUUCCUCUUGACAUCCAGCCACUUGUGUGUGUGCCUGCUGGGGUCUUGGGUUUUUAUGGGCACAGGAUGGAGGCAUAGUGGGCCAAAAAGCAACUUUUUGGGUGUAAAAACAGAAAUGUCUGUCUACAUUUAGGUCUGUGGGACAGGUCCGAGAUUGGAGCCCUCACCAGGGACCCUGCCCUUCUCUACCCAGCACUUCCCUGUCCCCUCCCGUAUCACUACAAUAAUUAGGACAUUGUGGGAUUGGCAUAAAUGUAGACAUGAGGACUAAAGGAAAAUAAUAGAAUGUCAGAAAUAAAUACAUACAUAUAUUAACUGAUUUCAAAUUCAAUUCAAUGGGUAAAGAAAAUGUUUCACAACAAAUUGUGCUGCAAGAAGAUAUUCACAUGAAAAACAAAGGAACUCUAUCUUCUGCUAUGUACCAAAAAGUAUUUAGAUGUUUGUUAUUUAUUAUGCACCUAAAUAUACCAAUCUAAUAUUUUAAUGAUUUUAGAUUAGAAUGUAGGAAAAAAAUUUCCAAAAUAAGAUAUAAGAAUGGAGAUUAAACACAUUAAAAGGUUCUUAGUACCAUUAUUCAUCUGGGCAAUGCAAACUAAAAGUACAAUGAGAUACCACAACCCUCACAUGCUAGAAUUUCAAAAGUUAAAAAAUGUAAACAAGGCAAGGAUGCUCACUCUCACUACACUUAUUCAACGUAGUACUGAAAUUCCUUGCCAUGGCAAUAAGGUAAAAAAAGACAUACUGAUUAGAAAUUAUAAAAUAUAUUUUCUUUAUUUACAGAUGACACAACUGUCUAUGUAAAAAAUUCCCAUGGAAAUUAUAAAACCAAAAACCUCCUAGAACUAAUAAGAGAGUUCAGCAAGGUCUCAGGAUACAAGAUCAAUACACAGAAAUUUAUCUGAUUUCUAUUUUCUAGCAAUGAACAUGUGACAAUCAAAAUUAAAAGUACAAUAUCAUUUACAAUUGAUAGAAAAGAGACAUACUUUGGUAUAAAUCUAAAAGUAAUAUAGGAAUGAUAUGCUGUAAAUAAUAAAAUGCUGAUGAAAGAACUAGAAGAUCUAAAUAAAUGGAGAUACAUAACAUGUCCAUGGAAUGAAAGACUUAACGUAACAAAGAUGAUAAUUAUCCCCAAAGUGAUAUAUAGACUUAAUGCAAUGCCUAUUAAAAUUCUAUCAAGAGUUUGGGUAGAUACUGACAAGCUUAAACUAAAAUUUAUAUAAAAAGGCAAAAUAGCUAGCACAGCUAAAACAAUUUUCUAAAAAAAGAAUAAAACUGGAUGAAUCAUUCGAUCUGAUGCUAAUAGCAUCAAGAGAGUGUAUUAUUGACAGAGAGACAGAUACAUAGAUCAAUGCAACAGAAUUGAGAGACCAGAAACAGACCCACACAAAUACCCCAGCUGAUUUUUGACGAAGGUAUAAAAACAAUUCAGAAGAGGAAAGGCCGUCUUUUCAACAAAUACUUGUGGAGUAAUAGACAAAAUAUGAACUUCAGCCUAAAGCUCUCACAUUAUACACAAAUUAUUUGAAAAUAGGUUAUGAGUUUAAAUGUAAAAUGUAAAUCUAUCAAACAUUUAGAAGAAUUCUUAGAAGAAAAUCUUUGGAACUGGAGGCCAAGUGAUGAGUCCUUACCCAUGACACCAAAAGCAUGAUCCUUCAAAAGGAAAAAUGAUAAAUUUCACUCUAUCAAAAUUUAAAAGUUUUGCUUUGAGAAAGGCUGUUAAGAGAAUAAAAAGACAGGCUCCAGAUUUGUGAGAAAUAUCACACACAACAAAGAACCUGUAUCUAGAAUGAAUAAAUGAUGCUCAAAAUUAAAAAAUAUCCCAAAAGAUUGAAUUAGAAAAUAUGCAAAAGAUAUGAAGAGACAUUUGACUAAAGAGAUAUAUGGAAUGCAAAUAAGCAUGUGAAAAGAUGUUCAAUAUCACCUAUAAAAACAGCUGAACUAAAACAAAUUAGUGGUUAAUACCAAAUGCUGGUAAGGAUGGAGAGAAACAGAUCACUCAUACACUGCUGGUAGGAAUGUAGAAUUGAUACAACCACUCCUGAAGAUAGUUUGGCAGUUUCUUAUAAAACUAAACAUGCCAUCACCAUACAAACUAGCAAUUGCAUUCUUGAGCAUCACACAGAAACCUGUACAUUUAUUUUCACAGCACCUUUAUUUACAAUAGAUUAAAACUGGAAACAAUCCAGAGGUCCUUCUAUAGUUGAAUGAUUAAAUAAAUUCUGGUAUAUUAAUUUCAUAGACUAUUACUUGACAAUGAAAUGAAACAAACUAUUGAUACAUCCAUCAAAUUGGAUGAAUCUCAAGAGUAUUAUGCUUAGUAAAAAAAAAAAAAAAAAAAGCCAGUCUCAAAGGGUCACCUAAUGAAUAAUUCCAUUUAUAUAAUACAUUCAAAAUAAUAGUUGUAGAGAUUGACAAUACAUUAGUGAUUGCCAGAGCACACAGACAAGAUAUAAGAUAUCUUGGGGUGUUGGUGCAACUAAAAACGGAUAGCACUGGAGUAUUCCUUUGUGGUGGUGGUUAGAAGUGGGAUAUAAUUGCAUAGAACCACUUACGACCACCCCGAACCCUGCCACACACACACAGGUGCAUACACAGGGACACAUUCAAAUGAGCACAUGUAGAAACUGGUGAAAAUUGAAUAAGGUUUGUAGUCUACUUAGCAGAAUUGUAGCAAUGUCCACUUCCAAAUUAUACUAAAGUAACGUAUCACCACUUGGGGAGGCUAAGUGAAAAAAGUUGACAGCACUCUACGUAUUCUUUUUUCAACUUACUGUGAAUUUAUAAGUGUUUAAAAAUGAAAAACAAAAGAAAAAGACAGAAAAACUGUUAGAAAGGAUGUGGAGUAAAAGAAACUCUCAAACCUUUGGAAUAAAGAAUUGGUAGUUUCUAAAAAUAUUAAAUAAUCAACUACCUGUGACUCAGCAGUUGUCCCAGAUUAAUGAAAACAUAUAUAUACAAAAAAGAUUUUUACAAUAAUGUUUAAAACAGCCUUAUUCAAAAUAGCCCCAAACUAGAAAUAACCCAAAUGUCCACUAACAGGACAAUGGAUAACCAAAUUGUGAAGUAGUCGUAUAUUGGAAUACUAUUCAACAAUAAAAAGAAAUUAACUACUGACACACACAACAACAUGGAUUAAUCUCCAAAAUAUGUUGAGCAUAAAAAGCCAGAUACAGUGGAGCAUAAACUUAGUAAUUCUAUUUAUAUGAAAUUUGAAGGCAAACAAAACUAUAGUAGAAAAAAAUCAGAACAAUGGUUGCUCUUGGGUGGGAAGUUUUGAUUUUAAAGGGGCGUAAGGGAACUUUCAAGGUAAUGGAAUUAUUCUUUAUCUUCUUUAGGUUGAUGGUUACAUGAAUUAAUGUUAUAAAAACUCAAUGAACUGUGUAAUUAGGAUCUGUGCAUGUUAAUAUAUCAAACGUAAACCUUAAUAAUAAAAAAGUAAAAGAAAAAAGUGAUGGUUCAAAGUAAUUGUGGUAACACUGAAAAUGCUUUUCAUUUUAAUUUUAGGUGGAAUAAAAUCAGAAUGCAAAUUUUUAAAAUGUAGUAUAUUUACAAAAAUGUUAGCAAAAAGUAAAGAAAACAUGCCUAAAAUAACUAAAAGGAAAUAUGUCAAACUAUUAACCAAGGGUUGGCCCAUGGCUGUUUUCUUCCUUCCUAUCUUUCUGUGGCUCCAUAAUUUUUUAAUGAGUAUACACUAUUAUGAACAUUAAAGCACAUUUAGAAAUAAAUAUGUUUCAAAAGAAAAAUCCAGAAAUUACAAUUCAGUGUAAGACUUUUUAUAUAAAUCAUUCUCAAUCAAAACACUACCACACAAGAAAUAGAUAACAAUUUGACUUAUGUCGUAUGAUACUUUCUUAACUGGUUUAUUGAGAGACCAGGACUCAACGGGAUGUCAGCAGAAAGCAAUUUUAUUUGUUUAUUCCGUUGUCCCUUAAAACCUGCCCUGGGAUUUUAUUUUUUUCUACCCCAGGCUGAAAACUCACCCGUAUCCCAGUUUUUCUGUUCCUCUUAAGUCAUAAGCAAAUAUUUCCUUUGUUUUAACAUUUAAGAGUCUAAUCCAAUGUAAUGGUUACGUUACUUUAGUUCAGUACAGCAUAAUAGCUAAAACUCUUUUUUAAAAAAUAUUUUUAUUUUUUAUUUUUAUUUAUUUUUAUUAUACUUUAAGUUUUAGGGUACAUGUGCACAACGUGCAGGUUUGUUACAUAUGUAUACAUGUGCCCUGCUGGUGUGCUGCACCCAUUAACUCGUCAUUUAACAUUAGGUAUAUCUCCUAAUGCUAUCCCUCCCCCCUCCCCCAAGUUUUCAUUUAAUUUAAAUCUUUUCUCUUCUUCUAGCUGGGAUCUGAAACAAACAAAAAGCCCAGAGUUGGUGGAGCUGGGAAGGAUAGCACAGUAGAUCACUUCUCUCUUUUCUAAUCCAUCUCUUUCCUUCUUAUUAUCCAAAGGUCCUGGCCUCUGCAAAGCUUUGGCAAGGGGGAAACACAAGGUGCAAAAAGGUGGUAAACUAGCAUGUUUGUUUUUUGAAUAUGGAGAAUGUAAUAUUAUUUGUUCUUUCACUUGAGAGGUUCCUUAUGGAGUUUCCAUACCAAGGACCACCACAAUGUAGAUAUUUUAAUGAGAAAAUGUCUCUUCUUAACUGACUUCUUAAAAUCUUCUCCUUUAUCUCAUGAGUUUUGGGUUUCAUCACAAUAUCAGAGUCAGAUCAUCCCACUGUUGUCCCUUUUGAGAAACACCAGAGUUGUUCUCUAUAAGGAAGUCAACAUUUGCUUCUUAAAAACAUACACCUUUGCCCUACUUUCUGUGGAAGUUCAGCCUGCUGUCAACAGAGCCCUCUGUUUAUCUGCCCUACACCAAUAGUACUAGCUAGUCUUUUACGUUUAGCUUUCUCAGGCAAUUGUAAAUCUGUUUCACAAAUUACAUAAACACUUUUUCAUAAAACUUUCCCAAUAAUACCCUUGAAGCCUUUCUCUCUAACUCAUUUAAGGUAAGACUUAAGAAAAGUACGAGUCCUCUUGUUCCCCAUUACAGAGCAUGCACAAAAGUGAAACUCUCCCUAAAGAUAGAUUAAUCCACUAUUCAUUUUCACAUCAAGUCUUAAAUAUUCACUAAGUGGAUGAACAAAUAAUAUUGACAGAACAAGUUUUAUAAUCCCAUAGCAUGUCUGGCUUCAGAGCUACCACAUCUAGUCAAGAAACCUGUCUUGUGCAUAAAGGCACCUAGCAGAGAGGGUGUUUGUCUCACCAAGCCCUGUGCUAACCACUGAGACUGAGCUGGGUGGGUGGUCUUCCUCUGUGCUCGCAGGGCACACUGUGCAUUCUUCUCAUUCUGUCACUGCCACAAUACCAACUGGGGGUUCAUUUGUCCCUCUUCCUCCCUAGGUGGCAAGCCAUUUGAUAGCAGAGUCUGUCUUUUCUCUCUGUAUUCAUAGGGCCUGACUUAAUGCUUGCCACUUCAUUAGAUAAUCGAUAAGUGGUUGCUAAAUAAAUGAAUGAACCUAUCUUCAGCUUAUACUCUAAUGAGAAAAUAGACCCUCGUGCCUUGUUCUAAUAUGUCAUCCAUUUUUGGAUCGUUGCUUUACUAUUUGACAUCUUUUGUCCACUGACAACAUAGCAAGGGCUUUCAAGAUAGAGUUAAAACAUGACCCCGGAGGAGGAGGCAUACAAACUAAUUGAGAUCAUUUUGUUGUAAAAAGCAGAACAAAUAUAAAUUUCAGGUUGGUCACAAUUAUUGCAUUAAGGAGAGCUUUAAAAUGAUUUCCACAGAGUUAAUUAAGAAUGUCUCUUGUUAUCUAGGUUCUUAAUUGGUUUAUACUCUUUUCUUAGUGAGAAACUUCAGGAGAGGCUCAGCAGACAAAUACUGAAUAAAUUAUCAUAUGUUAAGCAAAAAUGUGUAAAUAUUCUUAAGUGAACAGGCUGACGGUAAAGGCAGUUAAAAAGGAGCAUGGACUUUGCAAUGGAACCUUUAUAUAUAUAUAUAUUUUUAUUAUACUUUCAGUUCUAGGGUACAAGUGCACAACAUGCAGGUUUGUUACAUAUGUAUACAUGUGCCAUGUUGGUGUGCUGCACCCAUUAACUCGUCAUUUACAUUAGGUAUAUCUCCUAAUGCUAUACCUCCCCCCUCUCCCCACCACACAACAUGCCCCGGUGUGUGAUGUUCCCCUUCCUGUGUCCAAGUGUUCUCAUUGUUCAAUUCCCACCUAUGAGUGAGAACAUGUGGUGUUUGGUUUUUUGUCCUUGUGAUAGUUUGCUGAGAAUGAUGGUUUCCAGCUUCAUCCAUGUCACUACAAAGGACAUGAACUCAUCAUUUUUUAUGGCUGCAUAGUUCUCCAUGGUGUAUAUGUGCCACAUUUUCUUAAUCCAGUCUAUCAUUGUUGGACAUUUGGGUUGGUUCCAAGUCUUUGCGAUUGUGAAUAGUGCCGCAAUAAACAUACGUGUGCAUGUGUCUUUAUAGCAGCAUGAUUUAUAAUCCUUUGGGUAUAUACCCAGUAAUGGGAUGGCUGGGUCAAAUGGUAUUUCCAGUUCUAGAUCCCUGAGGAAUCGCCACACUGUCUUCCACAAUGGUUGAACUAGUUUAAAGUCCCACCGAGACUGUAAAAGUGUUCCUAUUUCUCCACAUCCUCUCCAGCACCUGUGGUUUUCUGACUUUUUAAUGAUCGCCAUUCUAACUGGUGUGAGAUGGUAUCUCGUGGUUUUGAUUUGCAUUUCUCUGAUGGCCAGUGAUGAUGAGCAUUUUUUCAUGUGUCUGUUGGCUGCAUAAGUGUCUUCUUUUGAGAAGUGUCUGUUCAUAUCCUUCACCCACUUGUUGAUGGGGUUGUUUUUUUCUUGUAAAUUUGUUUGAGCUCUUUGUAGAUUCUGGAUAUUAGUCCUUUGUCAGAUGAGUAGAUUGCAAAAAUGUUCUCCCAUUCUGUAGGUUGCCUGUUCACUCUGAUGGUAGUUUCUUUUGCUGUGCAGAAGCUCUUUAGUUUAAUUAGAUCCCAUUUGUCAAUUUUGGCUUUUGUUGUCAUGGCUUUUGAUGUUUUAGACAUGAAGUCCUUGCCUAUGCCUAUGUCCUGAAUGGUAUUGCCUAGGCUUUCUUCUAGGGUUUUUAUGGUUUUAGGUCUAACAUUUAAGUCUUUAAUCCAUCUUGAAUUAAUUUUUGUAUAAGGUGUAAGGAAGGGAUCCAGUUUCAGCUUUCUACAUAUGGCUAACCAGUUUUCCCAGCACCAUUUGUCAAAUAGGGAAUCGUUUCCCCAUUUCUUGUUUUUGUCAGGUUUAUCAAAGAUCAUAUGGUUGUAGAUGUGUGGUGUUAUUUCUGAGGGUUCUGUUCUGUUCCAUUGAUCUAUAUCUCUGUUUUGGUACCAGUACCAUGCUGUUUUGGUUACUGUAGUCUUGUAGUAUAGUUCGAAGUCAGGUAGCGUGAUACCUCCAGCUUUGUUCCUUUGGCUUAGGAUUGACUUGGCAAUGCAGGCUCUUUUGUGGUUCCAUAUGAACUUUAAAGUAGUUUUUUUCCAAUUCUGUGAAGAAAGUCAUCAGUAGCUUGAUGGGAAUGGCAUUAAAUCUAUAAAUUACCUUGGGCAGUAUGGCCAUUUUCACGAUAUUGAUUCUUCCUAUCCAUGAGCAUGGAAUGUUCUUCCAUUUGUUUCUAUCCUCUUUUAUUUCGUUGAGCAGUGGUUUGUCGUUCUCCUUGAAGAGGUCCUUCACGUCCCUUGUAAGUUGGAUUCCUAGGUAUUUUAUUCUCUUUGAAGCAAUUGUGAAUGGGAGUUCACUCAUGAUUUGGCCCUCUGUCUGUUAUUGGUGUAUAAGAAUGCUUGUGAUUUUUGCAUAUUGAUUUUGUAUCCUGAGACUUUCUUGAAGUUGCUUAUCAGCUUAAGGAGAUUUUGCAGAUGACGUGAUUGUAUAUCUACAAAACCCCAUCGUCUCAGUGCAAUGGAAUCUGUAAGAAAAGCUCAGAGACCCUUUCCAGGUCUUAAGAUUUGCUGAGCACAGAUGGCUACAUAAAAGGCCUAACACUAACGAAAAAUAGAUUAAUUCUUUCUAAAUAUGUAAGUGCCACAUAAUUAAAGUUUUACAGAUUUAUAGUGAAACAUGAUGAUAGAGAUUACAAAAAUGGUUUGCUAUAUACAUUUUACAUUUAAUUAUCCUAUAAAAAGAAUAGCAUAAUAAGCAUAAUAUUUAGAAAUAUUUUUUUUACCUUGUUAAGAUAAAAACUUUAGACAAAUUAAAUUUAACAGAGUUUGAGCAAAGAACAAUUUGCAAAUUGGGCACCUUGCCAACCCCCUUCCCUGGCAUCCAAACCAGAGUAGGUUCAGAGAGACUCUGGUGAUGCCACACGGUCAUAGAGGAUUUAUGGACAGAAAAAGAAAAGUCAUGUAAAAAAAAAAUGGAAGUGAGGUACUGAAACAGCUGAAUUGGUUACAGCUUGGCCUUUGCCUCAUUUGAACAUGGUUUGAACAGUUGGCCACCUGCGAUUAGCCAAAACUCAGUGAUUAGUACAAGAGUAGCUUUCAGUCUGUGUUUACACAUCCAGUUAAGUUCCAGUUUACUAUGUGGGGAGAGACCUUUAAUACAAACUUAAAAUAUGUAAAGAGGCAGAUUGCAUAAUUUAACAACCUGAAAAUGACAGACCCUACAAUUAGUACUUAAUUUUUUUUCCAUUUUGUAAGACAUUGAAAUAAGAGUUUGAUUGAAUUUGAGUAGUGUUAAUAAUUUUUUUUUAGUGGAGGCCAGUAAAAUGUCCAUAUAUCACCACAUCAUCAUCAUAAAAUAAUGCAACACAUUUUAACAAAAUUAAAAAACAAGGUAAAUAUAUUUUUAUAGGCACAAUACUGUCUUUUUGUACAUCAGUAACAAAGAGACGUCCAGGGACUUCUGCGUUCCCAUAGGAUAAAUUCAGCUAACAACAUGUGAAUUUUUACAUAUGUCAUCUGAAAACCAUACAGAUAAAUGAGAAGAGCAAAUAGAAUUACCCAUAUCCUAUGUCUACAUCUUAGCCAAGACACCGAGACUAGAACAAAAUUUCAAGUACUUGCAAGUGUAAAUGAACAUUCCAAACCAGUACAACCAUUUCCAGGGCCCAAGCCAGAUUAGAAAAGCAGGUAGAACAUGCGAAAAACAAGAGAAAGAAGCAGGGAACUAUGAGAGGUAGAACCAGUAAUAUAUCACUUCCAGAAGAAGAGGGAUACUCUUUGAGAGAGAAAAUGCUUACAAAACCCUGAAAACUGGUAGAUCACAAAGCAGGAUAGCGAUGAAUUGCAAGAAAUGGGCAUAGAAGUGUGCACAGCUGGAAGUAGCAGACUUGGGAAAACAUCGUAUCUGGAAAAAGGAAAGGCAAAUUGGAAAAGGGGUGCAUCACUUGAAUGCUUGGUAGAGAGAAAUAAAGAACUCAGUAGAUAAGUAGAAUUUUUAAAAGAACUAAAUGGAAGCUGAAGAAGUGAAAAAAAAAAAUUAAAAAAAAAAAAAAACCACGGCCGGGCGCGGUGGCUCACGCCUGUAAUCCUAGCACUUUGGGAGGCCGAGGUGGGCGGAUCACGAGGUCAGGAGAUCAAGACCUUCCUGGCUAACACGCUGAAACCCUGUCUCUACUAAAAAUACAAAAAAUUAGCUAGGCAUGGUGGCAGGUGCCUGUAGUCCCAGCUACUCGGGAGGCUGAGGCAGGAGAAUGGUGUGAACCCGGGAGACGGAGCUUGCAGUGAGCCAAGAUUGCGUCCCUGCACUCCAGCCUGGGCAAUAGAGGGAGACUCCGUCAAAAAAAAAAAAAAAAAAAAAAAAAAAAAAAAAAAAAAACACCACGAUAAUAGACAUUUGAGUAGAAAUUACAUAAUCUUAAGAACAGGAGGGAAAGGAUAUUUUAAAAAUGAAUACAAAGGACCCAGAUUAGUCAACACAAUAUUGAAGGAGAAUAAAGAAGAUUUCACAAAUAUAAAACUCAUAGAAGAUAUCAUAGGAAAAAAAUCUAGAUAUCUUUGGGUAUGGUGGUCAGUUUUUAGAUACAAUAAAGGCAUUAUUCAUAAAUGAAAUAAUUGAUAAGCUGGCCUUCCCUGAAAUUAAAAACUCUGCUCUGUGGCAGACACUGUCAAGAGAAUGAAAAGAUACGACACAGUGUAGGAGAAAAUAUUUGCAGGAGACAUAUCUGAUAAAGAAUGGUUAUCCAAAAUACACAAAGAACUCUUAAAAUUCAACCAUAAGAAAACAAACAACCUGAUUAAGAAGAUGGGCCUGAGACUACACAGACAUCUCACCAAAGAAGAUAUACAGAUAACAAAUAAACUUAUGAAAAUUGCAAAUUAAAACAACUAUACGACACCACUAUAAACCCAUUAGAAUGACCAAAAUUCAAAACACUGACACCACCAAAUACUGGUGAGCGUGUGGAGAAACAGGAACUUUCAUUCACUGCUCGUGGAAAUGCGACAUGGUACUACCACUUUGGAAGACAUUUUGGCAGUUUCUUACAAAACUACAAAACUAAACAUCCUCUUAACGUAUGAUCCAACAAUCAUGCUCUUUGGUAUUUACCCAAAGGAUGUGAAAACUUAUGUUCACACAAAAACCGGCACAGGAAUGUUUAUAGUAGUUUUGUUCAUAAUUAGCAAAACUUGGAAGUGUCCAAGAUGUUCUUCAGUAGAUGAAUAGAUAAAAUAAACUUUGGCAUAUCUAGACAAUGGAGUAGUAUUCAGUGCUAAAAAGAAAUGAGCUAUCAAGACAUGAAAAGACAUGAAGGAAAUUUAAAUGCAUAUUACUAUGUGAAAAAGCGAGCCUAAAAAGCUACAUGUUAUGUGAUUUCAAGUACAUGACACCCUGGAAAAAGGAAAAAUAUGAAGACAGUAAAAAGAUCAGUGGUUGCCAGGGGUUUCAGGGGAGGGAAUGAAUAAGUGAAGCACAAAGGAUUUUUUUAGGGCAGCAAAACUGCUUUGUAUGAUACUACUAUAUAAUGAUGAAUAUAUGUCAUAAUACCUUUGACCAAACUGAUAGAAUGCACACUAAUGUAAACUAUUCACUUUGGGUGAUAAUGAUUUGUUAAUGUAGGGUCAUUAGCUGUAACAAGUGUAUUAUCUAGUGCAGAAUAUUAAGAAUAAGUAUAUGGUUUAUUGUAUAUGUAUGUACUGUGAUGUUUAGCCUCUUAAAAAUUGUUCUGGCUCGGCUGGGCGCGGUGGUGGAUCACGAGGUCAGGAGAUCGAGACCAUCCUGGCUAACACGGUGAAAACCCGUCUCUACUAAAAAUACAAAAACAAAAAAUUAGCUGGGCAUGGUGGCGGGCACCUGUAGUCCCAGCUACUUGGGAGGCUGAGGCAGGAGAAUGGCAUGAACCUGGGAGGCGGAGCUUGCAGUGAGCCAAGAUCGCACCACUGGACUCCAGCCUGGGCGACAGAGUGAGACUCCGUCUCAAAAAAAAAAAAAUUGUUCUGGUUCAGGAAAGCUUGACCCUUCUUGGGCUAGCUAAUUCUUUAGAGCUAGCAAAAGGUUCAGCCUGGAAUAUGCCUUCUAUAUGCAAACUAACCAAUCUAGAGUCAUACCUCCUCUCUCUGGCCCAUACACCCCAGGAAGCAAUAUUUCUCUGCUUUAAUCAUUCCAGGGCCAGGUACCAGGCAACCAGGUGUAUGGAGCUACCCUUAUAGCUUAGAGCUUUCCCAGAUGUUUCAAGCUAGCCAACCCCAAACUGUUCACCCUGCUCUGCCUUGCCUUUGCCAUGGGAACUCCAAUAAAGGCAUGACUUAGGCUUUUUCCCUUGCUCCUGCACCUUUUGACUCCUGACCAAUGCUGGUACUUUUCCGUGUGGUCUUAUGUGAUGUGCCAUUUCUCUUGUUUCUAGAACCUGUGAGUACAAUAGACCUUGUUUUCCUGAGCCUCUCUUCUGGCUGUAUCUGACUGAUCAUCACACGGAAGAACAAAGAAUAGAGGAGGAGGCUAUGCAUGUGUGUGUAGGGGGCAGAAAUAUAUGGUAACACUGUGUAGUUUCCAUUCAAUUUUUCUGUGGACCUAAAACAGCUCUUAAGAAUAAUCUUAUUUUAAUAAUUUAACAGAUCUUUAGAGACUUGAUGGAUGAUAACAAACUGGCUAAAGUACAUGUAAUUGGUAUCUCAGGAGGAGAAUAGCGAGAAUAUGGGGUAGAAAAUAAAUUUGAAUAAAUAAUGGUUACAACAUUUCCAAAUUUGAUGAAACACAUAAAAUUAUAGAUCUAGAUGCUCAAGGGACUCCAAGCAGAACAAACAUUAAGCAAUCUUUGUCGGAACACUUCAUAAUCAAAUAGCUGAAAGCUGAAAUAAAGAAAAUGUUAAAAGUAAGGAAAACAUGGUGUAUUAUGUAGUAAGGAACCAUGAUUUAAUUAAUAGUUGGCUAGUCAUUAGAAAGCUAGGAAGCUGGAAGAGAGCAAAAUAUCUGUAAAGUCCUGAAUGAAAAAAUACACCUUUCAACCAUGUUUUCUUUAUCCCAUGAAAAUAUCCUUCAGGCAUGAAGGACAAAUAAAGACAUUUUCAAAUAAAAGAAAAAUAAGGGAAUAUGUUGCUGUUAGACCUGCAUCACAAGAAUUAAUAAUGAAAGUUAUUCAGGUGGAAGAAAGUUGAUACCAGAUGGAAAUUUGGAUCCUCAGAAGGGAAUAGAAGGAGAUGGAAAAUAUAAAAAGACAAUUGUUUCCUUGAAAUUCCUUCAUAAAACAUAUGACAGUUUAAGCAAGCUUUAUAACAUUGUAUUUUAGGGUGUAUAAUCUAUGAUAUAGUUUAUAGAUUGCUUGCUGUUUUUCAUAUAAUGCAUAUAGCAACUAUAGCACAAAAGAUGGGAAGGACAUAAGCUGAGCUUUGUGGUUACAAGGUUUCUAUAUUUUAUUUGAAGUCAUGCAACAUUAACUGUAGGUGGAUCGUGAAAUGUUAAGAAUGUAUCUUUAAUCCUCUUAUGUAGUUUUAAAAGUACUAUCUUGGAUCAGUUUUGAGACCCAGGUUAGGAGCAAGUCAGUUCCCAUUCUUCGGUAGCCAAGUAAGCCCAAACCCCCAAGCAUCUCCCUUAUCAGGCUCUCAUCUUCCAGGUCACUAUACACCUGCCAUAAACAGAUUUAGGAUUAACUAGUUUGUUUUUGUUUUUUAUUUAUUUAUUUAUUUAUUAUUAUUUUUUUUGAGAUGGAGUCUAGCUGUUGUCGGCCCAGGCUGGAGUGCAAUGGCAAGACCUUGGCUCACUGCGACCUUCCCCUCUCGGGUUCCAGCAAUUCUCCUGCCUCAGCCUCCUGGGUAGCUGAGAUUACAGGCGCCCGCCACCACGCCAGGCUAAUUUUUGUAUUUUUUAGUAGAGAUAAGGUUUCACCAUGUUGGCCAGGCUAGUCUCGAACUCCUGACCUCAGGUGAUCCACCCACCUCGGCCUCCCAAAGUGCUAGGAUUACAGAUGUGAGUCACUGCACCUGGCUGCAAGGCCAGCAUAUUCUCUAUCAAAAUUAUACAUCUUUUUUAUUUGAAAGACAUAGUGAAACAAAUGAAAAGGCAAAUCAUGGAGAAAAUAUUUGCAAAUAUUUGCAAACAUGUCUAUGACAAAGGUUUGUAAAUAAAAUAUAUAAAGCAAAUGUUAAGAGAAAUAGUCCAAUAAAGACUGGCAAAAUAUUCUAAUAGAGACUUCAGCCAAGACGAUAUGUGAAUGGCCAAUGGGCACAUAACAGAUGUCACCACUAAGCAUCAGGAAAAUAAAAAUUAAAAGCACAAUGUUACAAUACUAUACACCCACUAGAAAGGAUAAAAUUUAAAAGACUGACAAAAUUUAGUGUUUGCAAAGAUGUGAAUAAACUGGUGGUAGGAUAGCAAAAUGGUAAAAUCUCAGUGGAAAACAGUUUUGCAAUUCUUUAUAAUGUUAAAUAUACAUUUACUAUGCAAUCGAGAAUUCUAGGUAUUUAAGCUGAAGAAAUAAAUGAAUAUAUUCACAAAAGAUUUGUAUGUGAGUUAAGACUGCAUUAUUCACAGCUGCAUAACUUAUAAUAUCCAAACAUGGCAAGUGACAUCCAUGUCCAUGAACUGGUGAAUAGAUUUCUAAAAACAGUAAAUCUAUACUGUUUACAAUUACUCAACAAUAAAAAGAAAUGAACCAUUGAUACAUAAAACAACAUGGAGUGAUCUUGUUCUAAUGGAAAAAAAUACAUACAUAAAAUAUAUAAGUAAAAUAUAUGUAAACAUAAUAUAUAUGUAGUAUAUAGUAUAUAUAUUAAAAUAUAUAUAACAUACUAUAUAAAAUAUGUAAUAUAUAGUAUAUAGUAUAUAUGUAAACAUUAUAUAUUGUGUAUUUUAUAUAAAAUGUAUAAUGUAAUAUUUACAUCUAAUAUAUAUUACAUAAUAUAUAAUAUACAAAUAUAAAUUAUCCAUUUGCAUGGAACUCUAGAGAAGUCAAAAAUAUAGCAUUAGGAAGCAUAUUAGUAUAUUAGUUGGCAUCUAGGGCUGUGGUUUGUGGGAUGAGAUUGAAUGUAAAGGGUAAUAAUAAAACUUAAUAGCAGGAUGGUAAUAGUCUAUAUUUUAAUUAUGGUCAUUGCUCAUUAUAUUAUUGCAUACAAUUGUAUACCUAAAACUGGUGUAAUUUAUUUUAUAAUUUGUUUUAUGUGUAUAUAUAUAUAUACAUAUAUAUAUAUAUAUAUAUGUGUAUAUAUAUAUAUAAAAUGUUUACAUAUAUGUAAGUUUUACCCCAAUAAAAAUGGGUGGAAAAACAACCAAGAAAAUUAAAACAUAAUAAUGAAGAGAUAAAAAUUAUAUGAGAGAACUAAAGUAGCAGAUAAGCAAGGAAAAUACCACAUACUUAUAAUUUAAAUCCUUAAAGAAGAAAAACAAGACAAUAAGACAUAGCUUUUUCAUAGUUAAAAGAUAAUAUGAAUCUAAAUAUUUAAAAGACUUCUUGUGAUGACUGAGUUGUCUACAUUGAGAUAUUCUAAUAAAAUUUUUAGACCUUAAAUAUGAAGAUUACAUCUUCAGGUCUUUUGGGGAUGGGGAAAAAUGAGUCAUUUACACAGAAGAGAAAAUCAAGUUGGUAUGUCUUCUCAACCACCAGUCACAAUGCAAGUCAACAGUGAAACUUUAUUAAAAACAAAAACAAACACACAAAAAUAACCUUAAAUAAAUAAACUAUAAGACAAAGCUUUUAUAUCUAACAAAAUUGUCAUUUCACUUUCAAGGCUAUAGAAAACCAGUUUCAGUCAUUUGACUUACUCAGAUAAUAUUGCAUUCAGAAAUUCUUACAGAUGAAUCUAGUAGAAGACUGGCUUUAUUCAAUCAAGACAUAGCUGCUGAUAGGCAAAAGAACUGAUGAUGAGUAUUGAGUAAUAAUUUUGACUUAUAUUCAUGUGACUAUUCUACAUAUUCAAAAAUUGAAGUGAAUCCAAAAGAUUGGGGAAAAAAACAAACACUAAAAUGUACACAGAGAUAAAUGAAUGCAAUAUAUAAAAUUGGUAAACACAGACAAAAAAUAAAUCUGUUAACUUGAACACAUAUAUUCUAAGCACCAAAAUGACAAUAAAGAAAUCUUGGGUUGGCAGCAAGAUGUAUGAACAGAAGCCUCCACUGAUUGUCCCCCGACUGCAGUAAUGCCAAGUUUUAAUAACAAACUACUCACAAAAAAGCACCCUCAUAAGAACCAAAAAUUAGGUGAGCGAUCAUAGUACUUGGUUUUAACUUCAUAUCAUUGAAAGAGGCACUGGCGUGAGUAGGAAAGACAGUCUGGCAUCUCUGAUGCCACUCCUCUACCAGCCUCCAGCAGCAGCCUUGUAAUGCACCGACAGAAUCCGUGCACAUGGAGGAGGGAGAGUGUAGCAUCUGGGGGACUUUGCCUGAACUCAGUGCUGCUCUGUCACAGUGAAGAGCAGGGUUGUGCUGGGCGCAGCUGGUGCCUGCCAUGGAGGGAGCAUUUGGACCAGACCUAACCAGAGGGGAGUCACCCAUCCCGGCAGUCGGAACUUGAGUUUCUGGGCAAGCCUUGACACCACAGGCUAAUGUACUCUGGGGUCCUAGGCUUGAAAGCCAGUCUGGGACACAAGGACUGUGAUUCCUAGGCAACUCCUAGUGCUACGCUGGGCUUAGACCCAGAGGACUAGGGUGGCACAUGACCUGAGGACUUACCAGUUGUUGUGGCUAAGGUAGUGCUUGUGCCACCCCUCCCCCCAACCACAGACAGUGCAGCUCACAGCAAUGAAAGUGACUCCUUUUGCUUGAGGAGAGGAGAGGAGAGGGAAGAGUGAAGAGAAAAGAAGACUUUGUUUUGCAUUUUCUAUACCAGUUCAGAAGUAGCAAGACAGGACAUUGGUUACAGUUGUGAGGAACCCAUUCCAGGCCUUAGCUUCUGAAUGACAUUUUUAGAAACACCCUGGGUCACAAGGCAACUUGGCUGCCUUGAAGAGAAGGACCCAGUCCUGGCAGGACUAAUCACCUGCUGAAAAAACAGUUGCUGGGCCCUGAAGAACCAACAGCGAUACCCAGGUAGUAUGCCAUGGGCCUUGGGGGAGACUGAGACAUGCUAAGUUUAGGUGAGACUCAGAACAUUCCCACUUAUUGUGGCUUUGGUGAAAUACUUUUGCUUAAGAAAAGCAUAGGGAAAAGUAAAGGGGACUUUGUCUUGCACCUUCAGUGCCAGCUUGGCCACAGUGAGAGCUCCAAGUGAGCUCUUGGGGUCCCCAAUUCUAAGCCUAGGUUCUUAGCAUUUUUGGACCUGCCUUGGGCUAGAGGGGAGCCCACUGCCCUGAAGGGUGAGCCUUAGACCUGCCAGCGUUCACCACAAACUGACUGAAGACUGCAGAGCACUUCGGCUUUAAGUGAACGUCAGCAGUGGCCUGGCAGAAUUCUGCAUUGGCUGGUGGUGGCGGUAGUCAUGGGAAGAAGCUCCUCUAACUACGGAAAGGGGAGGGAAGAGCCUGAAGGACUUUGUCUUGUGUUUGCGUGCCAGCUUAGCUGCAGUAGAAUAGGGCACCAGGUAGAUUUCUAAGGUUUUUAACUUCAAUCCUUGGCUCCCAGAUAGCAUCUUGGAACUUCCCUGGGGCCUGGGGGAACUAGCUGCCCUGACGGGAAAGACACAAACCUGGAUGAUUUCACCAUCUUCUGAUUGUAGAGCGCUAAAGCCUUGAUUGAACAUAGGCAAUAUCCAGGUAGUGGUUAUAGCAGGCCUUGCAUGAGAUUCAGUGUUGUGCUGGCUUCACCUCUGACUCAGCACAGUCCCAGUGGUGGUCGCCACAGAGGUGCUUGCAUCCACCCAUCCCUAGCUCCAGGCAACUCAGCAGAGAGAUACUCUGUUUAGAAGAAAGUAAGAAAAGAGAACAAGAGUACCUGACUGGUAGGCCAGAGAAUUCUUCCAUAUCUUUCCCAAGACCACAAAGGUAAUAACUCUAGGGGUCUGUAAGAACCACAGCUUUAUUGUGCUUGGGACCCAAAUCCCUUUGAAUACCUGGAAAGUCUUCCCAAGAAGGAUGAGUACAAAUGAGCCCAGACUGCAAAGACAAAAUAAGUAAUUCUUCAGUGCCCAGACACUGACCAACUUAUAUAAAAAUCAAGCCCAUCCAGGAAAACAUGGCCUCAUCAAAUAAAUAAGGCACCAGGGACACUCCUGGAGAAACAGUUAUGUGACCUUUCAAACAGAGAAUUGAAAAUAGCAGUGUUGAGGAAACUCAAAGAAAUUCAAGAUAACACAGAAAAGGAAUUCAGAAUUCUAUCAGAUAAAUGUAACAAAGAGACUGAAAUAAUUAACAAGAAUCAAGCAGAAAUUCUAGAGUUGAAAAAUAAAAUUUACAUACUGAAGAACACAUCAGAGUCUCUUAAUAGCAGAACCAAUCAAGCAGGAUAAUUAGUGAGUUUGAAGGCAGUGUAUUUGAAAAUACACAGUCAGAGGAGACAGAUGAAUAAAGAAUACAAAAGAGGAACUGCUGGCAAGAUGGCCAAAUAGGAACAGCUCUGGUCUAAAGCUCCCAGCGAGAUUGAUGCACAAGGUGGGUGAUUUCUGCAUUUUCAACUGAGGUACACAGUUCAUCUCACUGGGACUGGUUGGGCAGUGGGUGCUGCCCAAGGAGGGCUAGCUGAAGCACAGUGGGAAGUGCAAGAUGUCGGUGAACUCCCUCUCCUAGCCAAGGGAAGCCAUCAGGGAAUGUACUGUGCACUCCAGCCCAGAUACUGCACUUUUCCUGUGGUCUUUGCAACCCGCAGACCAGGAGACUCACUCCCGUGUCCACGCCACCAGGGCUCUCCGAUUCCAGCACAAAACUGGGUGGCCAUUUGGGCAGACGCCAAGCUAACCGCAGGAGUUUUUUUUUGUUUUUUUUUUUCCCCCACAUACCCCACUGGCACCCGGAACGCCAGUAACACAGAACUGUUCACUCCCCUGGAAAGGGGGCUGAAGCCAGGGAGCCAAGUGGUCUGGCUUGUUGGGGGGUCCCACCCCCAUGGAGCCCAGCAAGCUAAGAUCCACUGGCUUGAAAUACUCACUGCUAGCACAGCAGUCUGAGCUCAACCUGGGAUGCUCGAGAUUGGUGAGGGGAGGGGUGUCCACCAUUGCUGAGGCUCCAGUAGGCGGCUUUACCCUCACAGUGUAAAGAAAGCUGCCGGGUAGUUUGAAUUGGGCGGAGACAACCAUAGAUCAGCAAGGCCACUGUGGCCAGACUGACUCUCCAGAUUCCCUCCUCUCUGGGCAGGGCAUCUCAGAAAAAAAGGCAGCAGCCCCAGUCAGACAUGUAUAGAUAAAACCCCUACCUCCCUGGGAUAGAGCACCUGGGGGAAGGGGCGGUUGGGGGCACAGCUUUAGCAGACUUAAACGUCCCUGCCUGGCAGCUCUGAACAGAGCAGCAGAUCUCCCAGCACAGCAUUCAAGCUCUGAUAAGGGACAGACUGCCUCCUCAAGUGGGUCCCUGACCCCCGUGUAUCAUGACUGGGAGACACCUCCUAGUAGGGACCGACAGACACCUCAUACAGGAGAGCGCUGGCUGGCAUCUGGCAGGUGCCCCUCUGGGAUGAAGCUUCCAGAAGAAGGAACAGGCAGCAAUUUUUGCUGUUCUGCAGCCUCUGACGGUGAUACCCAGGCAAACAGGGUCUGGAGUGGACCUUCAGCAAAUUCCAGCAGACCUGCAACAGAGGGGCAUGACUGUUAGAAGGAAAACUAACAAACAGAAAGGAAUAGUAUCAACAUCAACAAAAAGGACAUCCACUCAGAGACCCCAGCCGCAGAUCACCAACUUCAAAGACCAAAGGUAGAUAAAUCCACGAAGAUGAGGAGAAACCAGUGCAAAAAGGAUGAAAAUUCCAAAAACCAGACAUUUCCUCCAAAGAAUCACAACUCCUCGCCAGCAAGGGAACAAAACUGGACAAAGAAUGAGUUUGAUGAGUUGACAGAAGUAGGCUUCAGAAGGUGGGUAAUAACAAACUCCUCCGAGCUAAAGGAGCAUGUUCUAACCCUAUGCUAGGAAGCUAAGAACCUUGAAAAAAAGUUAGACAAAUUGCUAACUAGAAUAACCGGUUUAGAGAAGAACAUAAAUGACCAGAUGGAGCUGAAAAACACAGCAAGAGAACUUUGUGAAGAGUACACAAGUAUCAAUAGCCAAAUCGAUCAAGUGGAAGAAAGGAUAUCAGAGUGAAGAUCAUCUCAAUGAAAUAAAGCAAGAAGACAAGAUUAGAGAAAACAGAGUGAAAAGAAAUGAACAAACGCUCUGAGAAAUGUGGGACUAUAUGAAAAGACCAAAUCUACAUUUGAUUGGUGUACCUGAAAGUGACAGGGAGAAUGGAACCAAGUUGGAAAACACUCCCCAGGAUAUUAUCCAGGAGAACUUCCCCCAACCUAGCAAGGAGGUCAACAUUCAAAUUCAGAAAAUAUAGAGAACACUACAAAGAUACUCCUCGAGAAGAGCAACCCCAAGACACAUAAUCAUCAGAUUCACUAAGGUUGAAAUGAAGGAAAAAAUCCUAAGGACAGCCAGAGAGAAAGGUCAGGUUACCCACAAAGGGAAGCCCAUCAGACUAACAGCAGAUCUCUCAGCAGAAACCCCACAAGCCAGAAGAGAGUGGCGGCCAAUAUUCAACAUUCUUAAAGAGAAGAAUUUUCAACCCAGAAUUUCAUAUCCAGCCGAAUAAAGCUUCAUAAGUGAAGGAGAAGUAAAAUCAUUUACAGACAAGGAAAUGCUGAGAGAUUUUGUCACUACCAGGCCUGCCUUACAAGAGCUCCUGAAGAAAGCACUAAACAUGGAAAGAAUCAAACAGUACCAGCCACUACAAAAAUAUACCAAAUUGUAAAGAUCAUUGAUGCUAUGAAGAAACUGCAUCAACUAACAGGCAAAAUAACCAGCUAGCAUCAUAAAGGCAGGAUCAAAUUCACACAUAACAAUAUUAACCUUAAAUGUCAAUGGGCUAAAUGCCACAAUUAAAAGACACAGACUGGCAAAUUGGAUAAAGAGUCAAGACCUUUGGUGUGCUGUAUUCAGGACACCCAUCUCACAUGCAAAGACACACAUAGGCUCAAAAUAAAGGUAUGGAGGAAUAUUUAUCAAGCAAAUGGAAAGCAAAGCAAGCAGGGGUUGCAAUCCUAGGCUCUGAUAAAACAUACUUUAAACCAACAAAUAUUAAAAGAGACAAGGGUAUUACAUAACGGUAAAAGGAUCAAGGCAACAAGAAGAGCUAACUAUCCUAAAUAUAUAUGCACCCAAUACAGGAGGACCCAGGUUCAUAAAGCAAGUUCUUGGAGACCUACAAAGUGACUUAGACUCCCACACUAUAAUAGUAGGAGACUUUAACACACCACUGUCAAUAUGAGACAGAUCAAUGAGACAGAAAAUUAACAAAGAUAUCCAGGACUUGAACUCAGCUCUGGACCAAGAGGACCUAGUAGACAUCUACAGAUCUCUCCACCCCAAAUCAACAGAAUAUACAUUCUUCUCAGCACUACAUCGUACUUAUUCUAAAACUGACCACGUAAUUGGAAGUAAAACACUCCUGAGCAAAUGCAAAAGAAGAGAAAUCAUAACAAACAGUACUCAGACCACAGUGCAAUCAAAUUAGAACUCAGGAUUAAGAAACUCACCCAAAACUGCACAAUUAUAUGGAAACUGAACAACCUGCUCCUGAAUGACUACUAGGUAAAUAACAAAAUGAAGGCAGAAAUAAAGAUAUUCUUUAAAAACAAUGAGAACAAAGACACAAUGUACUGGAAUCUCUGGGACACAUUUAAAGCAGUGUUUAGAGGAAAUUUAUAGCACUAGAUGCCCACAAGAGAAAGCAGAAAAGAUCUAAAGUCAAGACCCUAACAUCACAUUUAAAAGAACUAGAGAAGCAGGAGCAAACAAAUUCAAAAGCUAGCAGAAGGCAAGAAGUAACUAAGAUCCGAGAAGAACUGAAGGAGAUAGAGACAUGAAAAACCCUUCAAAAAAUCAAUGAAUCAAGGAGCUGUUUUUUUUUAAAAGAUCAACAAAAUAGACCAGUAGCCAGACUAAUAAAGAAGAAAAGAGAGAAGAAUCAAAUAGAUGCAAUAAAAAAUGAUAAAGGGGAUAUCACCACUGAUCCCACAGAAAUACAAACCACCAUCAGAGAAUACUAUUAACACCUCUAUGCAAAUAAACUAGAAAAUCUAGAAGAAAUGGUUACGUUCCUGAACAUAUACACCCUCCCAAGACCAAACCAGGAAGAAGUCAAAUUCCUGAAUAGACCAAUAACAAGUUCUGAUACUGAGACAGCUAUUAACCAACCAACCAAAAAAAGUCCAGGACCAGACGGAUUCACAGCCGAAUUCUACCAGAGGUACAAAGAGGAGCUGGUACCAUUCCUUCUGAGACUAUUCCAAACAAUAGAAAAAGAGGGACUCCUCCCUAACUCAUUUUAUGAGGCAAGGAUCAUUCUGAUACCAAAACCUGGCAGAGACAACAACAACAACAAAAAAUUCAGGUCAAUCUCCCUGGUGAACAUUGAUGUGAAAAUCCUCAAUAAAAUACUGGUAAACCAAAUCCAGCAGCACAUCAAAAAGCUUAUCCAGCACGAUCAAGUCAGCUUCAUCCCUGGAAUGCAAGCCUGGUUCAACAUACACAAAUCAAUAAACGUAAUCCAUUAUGUAAACAGAACCAAUGACAAAAACCACAUGAUUAUCUCAAUAGAUACAUAAAAGACCUUUGACAAUAUUCAACACCCCUUCAUGCUAAAAACUCUCAAUAAACUAGGUAUUGAUGGAACGUAUCUCAAAAUAAUAAGAGCUAUUUAUGACAAACCCACAGCCACUAUCAUACUGAAUGGGCAAAAACUGGAAGCAUUCCCUUUGAAAACCGGCACAAAACAAGGAUGUCUGCUCUCACCACUCCUUUUCAACACAGUAUCGGAAGUUCUGGCCAGACCAAUCAGGCAAGAGAAAGAAAUGAAGGGUAUUCAAUUAGUAAAAGAGGAAGUCAAAUUGUCUGUUUGCAGAUGACAUGAUUGUAUAUUUAGAAAACCCCAUGAUCUCAGCCCAAAAUCUCCUUAAGCUGAGAAGCAACUUCAAGAAAGUCUCAGGAUACAAAAUCAAUGUGCAAAAAUCAAAAGCAUUCCAUACACCAAUAACAGACAGACAGCCAAAUCAUGAGUGAACUCCCAUUCACAAUUGCUACAAAGAGAAUAAAACACCUAGGAAUACAACUUACAAGGGAUGUGAAGGACCUCCUCAAGAAGAACUACAAACCACUGCUCAAGGAAAUAAGAGAGGACACAAACAAAUGGAAAAACAUUCCAUGAUCAUGGAUAGGAAGAAUCAGUACUGUGAAAAUGGCCAUACUGCCAAAAGUAAUUUAUAGAUUCAAUGCUAUCCCCAUCAAGCUACCAUUGACUUUCUUCACAGAGUUGGAAAAAACUGCUUUAAAUUUCAUAUGGAACCAAAAAAGAGCCUGCAUAGCCAAGACAAUCCUAAGCAAAAGAACAAACUAGAGGCAUCAUGCUACCUGACUUCAAACUAUACUACAAGUCUACAGUAACCAAAACAGCAUGGUACUGGUAACAAAACAGACAUAUAGACCAAUGGAACAGAACAGAGGCCUCAGAAAGAACUCCACACAUCUACAACCAUCUGAUCUUCAACAAACCUGACAAAAACAAGCAACAAGGAAAGGAUUCCCUAUUUAAUAAAUGGUCUUGGGAAAACUGGCUAGCCAUAUGCAGAAAGCUGAAACUGGAUCCCUUCCUUACACCUUAUACAAAAAUGAACACAAGAUGGAUUAUAGACUUAAACAUAAGACCUAAAACCAUAAAAACCCUAGAAGAAAACCUAGGCAAUACCAUUCAGGACAUAGGCAUGGGCAAAGACUUCAUGACUAAAACACCAACAGCAAUGGCAACAAAUCCAAAAUUGACAAAUGGAAUCUAAUUAAGCUAAAGAGCUUAUGCACAGCAAAAGAAACUGUUAUCAGAGUGAACGGGCAACCUACCGAAUGGGAGAACAUUUUUGUAAUCUAUCCAUCUGACAAAGAGCUAAUAUCCAGAAUCUACAAAGAACUUAAAUUUACAAGAGAAAAACAACCCCAUCAAAAAGUCGGCAAAGGAUACGAACAGAAAGUUCUCAAAAGAACACAUUUAUGUGGCCAAUAAACAUAUGAAAAAAAGCUCAUCAUCAGUGGUCAUUAGAGAAAUGCAAAUCAAAACCACAAUGAGAUACCAUCCCAUGCCAGUUAGAAUGGUGAUCAUUAAAAGUCAGGAAACAAGAGAUGCUGGAGAGGAUAUGGAGAAAUAGGAACACUUUUACACUGUUGAUGGGAGUUUAAAUUAGUUCAACCAUUGUGGAAGACAGUGUGGCAAUUCCUUAAGGAUCUAGAACUAGAAAUACCAUUUGACCCAGCCAUCCCAUUACUGGGUAUAUACACAGAGGAUUAUAAAUCAUUCUACUAUAAAGACAUAUGCACACGUAUGUUUAUUGAAGCACUAUUCGCAAUACUAAAGACUUGGAACCAACCCAAAUGCCCAUCAGUGAUAGACUGGAUAAAGAAAAUGUGGCACAUAUACACCAUGGAAUACUAUGCAGCCAUAAAAAAGGAUGAGUUCAUAUCCUUUGCAGGGACAUGGAUGAAGCUAGAAACCAUCAUUCUCAGCAAACUAACACAGUAACAGAAAACCAACACCGCAUGUUCUCACUCACAAGUGGGAGUUGAACAAUGAGAACAGAUGGACACAGGACACAGGGAGGGGAACAUCACAUACUGGGGACUGUUUUGGGGUGGGGAGGCUAAGGGAGGGAUAACAGGAGAAAUACCUAAUGUAGAUGACAGGUUGAUGGGUGCAGCAAACCACCAUGGCACGUUUAUACCUAUGUAACUAAUCUGCAUGUUCUGCACAUGUACCCCAGAACUUAAAGUAUAAUAAAAUAUAUAAAAGAAUGAAGCAUGCUUACGAGAUCUAGAAAAUAGCCUCAAAAGCCAAAUCUAAAAGAUAUUGACCUUAAUGGGGAGAUAGUGAAAGAGAUAGUGGCAGAAAGUUUAUUUGAAGAGAUAAUAACAGAGAACUUCCCAAACCUACAGAAAAAUAUCAAUAUUCAAGUUCGAAAAGGUUAUAGAACACAAAGCAGGUUUAUGCCAAAGAAGACUACCUCAAGGCAUUUAUAAUCACACUUCCAAAAGUCAAAGAUAAUGAAAGGAUCUGAAAAGCAGCAAGAGAAAAGAAAGAACAAAUAAUAUAAUAUGGAGGUCCAAUCUGUCUUCAGCAGACUUUUCAGUAGAAUAUGACCAGCCAGGAGAGAGUGGCAUGAAAUAUUUAAAGUGACGAAGGAAAAAACUUUUACCCUAGAAUAGUAUAUCUAGUGAAAAUAUCCUUUAAGCAUGGAGGACAAAUAAAAACUUUUCUAGAAUAACAAAAGAUGAGGGGUUUCAUUAACACCAGGCCUGUCCUACAAAGAAUGCUAAAGGAAGUACUUCAAUCUGAAAGAAGGCGAUGUUAAUGAGCAAUAAGAAAUCAUCUGAAGGCACAAAACACACUGGUAACAGUAAGCACACAGAAAAACACAGAAUAUUAUAAGACUGUGAAAGUGGUGCAUAAACUAUUCAUAUCUUGAAUAGAAAGACUAAACAAUGAAACAAUAAAAAACAACUUUUUAAGACAAACAACAAAAAGUUAAAAGGGGAUGAAGUUAAAGUGUAUCAUUUUAAUUAUUUUUUUCUUUUUGUUUUUUCGACACUGUAUGCAAUCAGUGUCAAGUUGUCAUCAGUUUAAAAUAAUAGGUUGUAAGACCGUAUUUGCAAACCUCACAGUAACCUCAAAUUUGAAAACAUAAAACGGGUAUACAAAAAGUAAAAGGAAGAAGGAAGAGAGGACCACAAAAUAACCAGAAAACAAAUUAAAAAAUGGCAGGAGUAAACCCUUACUUAUCAAUAAUAAAAUUGGAAGUAAAUAGACCAAACAAUCCAAUCAGGAAAUACACUUCACCUAUAAAGAUACAAACAGAUUGAAAACAAAGUUAUAGAAAAAGAUAUUUCAUGCCAAUGGAAGCCAAAAAAGGACAAGAAUACCUGUACUUACAUCACACAAAACAGACUUCAAGACAAAGCUAUGGAGUCAAAGAAGGUCGUUGAAUAGUGAUAAAGGGGUCAAUCAGCUAAAGAAUAUAACUAUUUUAAAUAUAUUAAUAUAUGUACCCUAGACUGGAGCACCCAGAUGUACAAAGCAAAUAUUAUUAGAGCUAAUGAGGGAGAUAGACCCCAAUAUAAUAAAAGCUGGAGAAGAUUUCAACACUCCACUUUCAGCAUUGGACAGAUCUUGAAGAUGGAAAAUUAGCAAAGCAACAUUGGAAUUAAUCUGCACUAUGGAGGAAAUGGACCUAAUAGGUAUUCACAGAACAUUUCAUCCAACAGCUGCAGAAUACACAUUCUUCUCCUCAGCACAUAGAUCAUUCUCAAGGUGAGACCAUAUGUUAGGUCACAAAACAAAUCUUAUAACAUUCAAAAAACUUGAAAUACUAUCAAGCACUUUCUCUGAUCACAAUGGAAUAAAACUAUAAAUUUUUUUAAUUUAAAGAAUAUAAAAAGUUAAUAUAAAAAGAAUGAUAACAGAGAGCAGAUAUAUAUGCUUAUCUGUCUUCCUUUGUUAAGUAUAUGCCUUUUUAUAAAGUAUAGGUAUCUAUUUUUCUCUAUAGAAGUAGGGAAGAUCUCCAUAUACUACUUUUCUAUUCCAUACUCAUACAGUGAGAAAUCUGGAUCCCCAAAACUUAAAUACAUUUUCUCAUUUGCAAAAUUAUUAUCUAAUACCACCACUUAAAAUAAACCUACUAAAAGGUCCAAGAUUGGAAUAGUUUCAGAAGGAAUGGUAGCAGCUCCUCCUUGUACCUGUGGUAGAAUUCGGCUGUGAAUCCAUCUGGUCCUGGACUCUUUUUGGUUGGUAAGCUAUUGAUUAUUGCCACAAUUUCAGAUCCUGUUAUUGGUCUAUUCAGAGAUUCAACUUCUUCCUGGUUUAGUCUUGGGAGAGUGUAUGUGUCGAGGAAUUUAUCCAUUUCUUCUAGAUUUUCUAGUUUAUUUGUGUAGAUGUGUUUGUAGUAUUCUCUGAUGGUAGUUUGUAUUUCUGUGGGAUUGGUGGUGAUAUCCCCUUUAUCAUUUUUUAUUGUGUCUAUUUGAUUCUUCUCUCUUUUUUUCUUUAUUAGUCUUGCUAGCGGUCUAUCAAUUUUGUUGAUCCUUUCAAAAAACCAGCUCCUGGAUUCAUUAAUUUUUUGAAGGGUUUUUUGUGUCUCUAUUUCCUUCAGUUCUGCUCUGAUUUUAGUUAUUUCUUGCCUUCUGCUAGCUUUUGAAUGUGUUUGCUCUUGCUUUUCUAGUUCUUUUAAUUGUGAUGUUAGGGUGUCAAUUUUGGAUCUUUCCUGCUUUCUCUUGUGGGCAUUUAGUGCUAUAAAUUUCCCGCUACACACUGCUUUGAAUGUGUCCCAGAGAUUCUGGUAUGUUGUGUCUUUGUUCUCAUUGGUUUCAAAGAACAUCUUUAUUUCUGCCUUCAUUUCGUUAUGUAGCCAGUAGUCAUUCAGGAGCAGAUUGUUCAGUUUCCAUGUAGUUGAGUGGUUUUGAGUGAGAUUCUUAAUCCUGAGUUCUAGUUUGAUUGCACUGUGGUCUGAGAGAUAGUUUGUUAUAAUUAGUGUUCUUUUACAUUUGCUGAGGAGAGCUUUACUUCCAAGUAUGUGGUCAAUUUUGGAAUAGGUGUGGUGUGGUGCUGAAAAAAAUGUAUAUUCUGUUGAUUUGGGGUGGAGAGUUCUGUAGAUGUCUAUUAGGUCCAGUUGGUGCAGAGCUGAGUUCAAUUCCUGGGUAUCCUUGUUGACUUUCUGUCUCAUUGAUCUGUCUAAUGUUGACAGUGGGGUGUUAAAGUCUCCCAUUAUUAAUGUGUGGGAGUCUAAGUCUCUUUGUAGGUCACUCAGGACUUGUUUUAUGAAUCUGGGUGCUCCUGUAUUGGGUGCAUAUAUAUUUAGGAUAGUUAGCUCUUCUUGUUGAAUUGAUCCCUUUACCAUUAUGUAAUGGCCUUCUUUGUCUCUUUUGAUCUUUGUUGGUUUAAAGUCUGUUUUAUCAGAGACUAGGAUUGCAACCCCUGCCUUUUUUUGUUUUCCAUUUGCUUGGUAGAUCUUCCUCCAUCCUUUUAUUUUGAGCCUAUGUGUGUCUCUGCACGUGAGAUGGGUUUCCUGAAUACAGCACACUGAUGGGUCUUGACUCUUUAUCCAAUUUGCCAGUCUGUGUCUUUUAAUUGGAGCAUUUAGUCCAUUUACAUUUAAAGUUAAUAUUGUUAUGUGUGAAUUUGAUCCUGUCAUUAUGAUGUUAGCUGGUUAUUUUGCUCGUUAGUUGAUGCAGUUUCUUCCUAGUCUCGACGGUCUUUACAUUUUGGCAUGAUUUUGCAGCGGCUGGUACCAGUUGUUCCUUUCCAUGUUUAGCGCUUCUUUCAGGAGCUCUUUUAGGGCAGGCCUGGUGGUGACAAAAUCUCUCAGUAUUUGCUUGUCUAUAAAGUAUUUUAUUUCUCCUUCACUUAUGAAGCUUAGUUUGGCUGGAUAUGAAAUUCUGGGUUGAAAAUUCUUUUCUUUAAGAAUGUUGAAUAUUGGCCCCCACUCUCUUCUGGCUUGUAGAGUUUCUGCCGUGAGAUCUGCUGUUAGUCUGAUGGGCUUCCCUUUGAGGGUAACCCGACCUUUCUCUCUGGCUGCCCUUAACAUUUUUUCCUUCAUUUCAACUUUGGUGAAUCUGACAAUUGUGUGUCUUGGAGUUGCUCUUCUCGAGGAGUAUCUUUGUGGCGUUCUCUGUAUUUCCUGAAUCUGAAUGUUGGCCUGCCUUGCUAGAUUGGGGAAGUUCUCCUGGAUAAUAUUCUGCAGUGUUUUCCAACUUGGUUCCAUUCUCCCCGUCACUUUCAGGUACACCAAUCAGAUGUAGAUUUGGUCUUUUCACAUAGUCCCGUAUUUCUUGGAGGCUUUGCUCAUUUCUUUUUAUUCUUUUUUCUCUAAACUUCCCUUUUCGCUUCAUUUCAUUCAUUUCAUCCUCCAUUGCUGAUACCCUUUCUUCCAGUUGAUCGCAUUGGCUCCUAAGGCUUCUGCCUUCUUCAGGUAGUUCUCGAGCCUUGGUUUUCAGCUCCAUCAACUCCUUUAAGCACUUCUCUGUAUUGGUUAUUCUAGUUAUACAUUCUUCUAAAUUUUUUUCAAAGUUUUCAACUUCUUUUCCUUUGGUUUGAAUGUCCUCCCGUAGCUCGGAGUAAUUUGAUUGUCUGAAGCCUUCUUCUCUCAGCUCGUCAAAGUCAUUCUCCGUCCAGCUUUGUUCCAUUGCUGGUGAGGAACUGUGUUCCUUUGGAGGAGGAGAGGCACUCUGCUUUUUAGAGUUUCCAGUUUUUCUGCUCUGUUUUUUCCCCAUCUUUGUGGUUUUAUCUACUUUUGGUCUUUGAUGAUGGUGAUGUAGAGAUGGGUUUUUGGUGUGGAUGUCCUUUCUGUUUGUUAGUUUUCCUUCUAACAGACAGGACCCUCAGCUGCAGGUCUGUUGGAGUACCCGGCCGUGUGAGGUGUCAGUCUGCUCCUGCUGGGGGGUGCCUCCCAGUUAGGCUGCUCGGGGGUCAGGGGUCAGGGACCCACUUGAGGAGGCAGUCUGCCCGUUUUCAGAUCUCCAGCUGCGUGCUGGGAGAACCACUGCUCUCUUCAAAGCUGUCAGACAGGGACAUUUAAGUCUGCAGCAGUAACUGCUGUCUUUUUGUUUGUCUGUGAGUGACCUUCAUUCCUACCUUCUUUUUUUCUUUCAAACACAAUCAUCCUUUGGGUAACAUGGCCUAGAAUUUACACCUUUUAAAAUAAUUUUAAAAUCCACAUCUUCUUUUUAGUCUCCACUGUCACAGUGUUAGCUUAAGGACCUAUCUUCUCCAUGGACUAUUAAUUGUCAUAGAUUUGUAACUGGUCCUACUGUCACUAAGUUUUGUUCCUAUCCAUUUUGUUCUUCACACUGCUACUCUCAAAUCCUACUUCUUUUCGUCAAGGCAUAUUGUCUCUUACUAGGACUACUUCUAGAGACUACUAAUUUGUUUUUUCCUCGUACUGUUGCUCUGCUUAAAUCAGGCAAUAUUACAUUAUAACCUGCUCAUGCCUUUCAUCUGAUCAUUAUGUAAAGGUCAAACUCCUUAGCUUGGUAUUAAUGAUCUUUUGUGAUCUAUUCCCAACUUACCUUUAUAGCAUCAUUCUCAACACUCCUUCACAUUAAUCUUAUGCUCUAAUAAUCCAAGGCAUUUUUAGCUCCCAAUUCACAACAUUUUUUUACAAGUACCAUUUAUUGAUUUCCUGUAAUAUUUCAGACACUGAAGUAGGUUCUAUGUAUAAAAAGAUGGAUAAGGCUAAGCCCAUGCCCUCAAUAAUAUUCUUUAAUCGUAGUAUUUCUACUUUGUAAUACAUUUCCCAUUUUGUCAGUCUGGAAAGCUCUCUUCAUUCAUCUGGACUGAGCUUAAACAUGGCUUCUUCUGUGAAGCCUUUCCUGCUGAAACCAAUUAGAGAUAGCCACUCCCUCUUCAGCAUCCCCUAAUACUUUGUGCACAUUUUUCUUACAAUACUUAUUGCCGUACUAAUUUUAUUCACUUAUACGUCUUGCUCUCUGACUAGAGUCUAAGUUAUAUUAGCAUAUUUUGCAAGUAUUUUUAUCCGUAGUGCAUAGAAGCAAUGUCAAAAUGUUUGUUAAAUGAAAGGAUGAAUGAUGAAAUCAGUGAAUUAGGGUAAAAGAGCUAAGGCGAGAGAACAGGAAAGCAGAGAAGAGAAAAGGAAUAAUAGAAAAAGCCUCCACAACACUCAGUUUGAAAGUGUUUUGGGGCCAUAGUAUUUUCAAGUUGAGACAAAAGGCAGGAGACUAAGAAGUAUGUUUUGUAAUGUUCAAAUAAUUUGUACUGGGCAGUUAUCUUUAUAAUGGAUUUCAUUUCAAGGGCUAUAUUUUGUAGCUAUGUUUUAAUUAAUGGAAAGUGAUUCCAUGUGUCAACAGUUGGAAAGCCUACAAGGUGACCUCAUUACAGUCAAUGAGAAAGGUCAUGUACAGCACUGUUCACAUGUGCAAUCUUAUCUAGAAGCAGCCCAAGCUAUAAACCACAUUUCCCAACACUGAUUUGUAGGAAAUAGCUUAUCCAGUGCUAUUACUUAUAGUGUCUGAUAUGGUUUGGCUCUGUCCCCACCCAAAUCUCAUCUGAAAUUGUAGCUUCCAUAAUUCCCAGAUAUUGUGGGAGGAACCAGAUGGGAGAUAAUUGAAUCAUACUGGAGGUUUCCCCCAUACUGUUCUCUUGGUAGUAAAUAAGUCUCACAAAUCUGAUGGCCUUUCUAUAAGGUGAAGUCCUUUACACUUGGCUCUCAUUCUCUCUUAUCUGCCACCAUGUAAGAUGUGCCUUUCGCCUUCCACCAUGAUUGUGAGGCCUCCCCAACCACAUGGAACUAUGAGUCCAUUAAACCUCUUUUUCUAGGUAAAUUACCCAGUCUUGGGUAUGUCUUUAUCAGCAGCAUGAAAAAUGGACUAAUACGGUGUCUGUGCAAUACAUUGUGGAGAAAGAAAUUUGAGUGCUGAAAUUAAUCAGAAGGUGCUUGAUUCUCAGAUGAAUUAGUCUUUCCUUUCACAUGAGUUAGUCUGGGAAUCUCAGUUCUGUUUUGCUAAUUAUCUCAAUGUAUUAUGCCUUCCUUUCCUAUUUAUAUGAUCUUCAUUAUAAUUUUGAGAAAGAUAAAUACAACUAUAAAUAUAUUUUCAUUUAGUCAGAGGUUAAAUGUGUUUCCACUUUAAAAAUACUUUGUUUAUAUUUGGGAAAUUACUACUACUGAAAAUACAGUAAAAGAGAAAGGAAAGUCUUUGAGAGUGGUGAAAAAAGCACUGACUGGGGCUUUAUGUGACCUAGGGUCCAAUCUUUACUUUGUUAGCUAAUUAGACAGGCAGGUCUUAGACUAAGUAACUUUCCUGUGGACUCUAAUUUUCUCUUCUGGAAAAAUAUAUGCUUGACUAGAUCAGAGGUGGCAAACUAUAAUAUCACAGUUUGAAUGCCAUAUCAGAUGGAUUUUAUAAAAACAUUUUGGGUCUGAGUGGCAUUAAGAAAUGAAUUAGAAAUAUUCACGUAAGUCUGCAAUCUCAGAUUCGCCAAAGUCCCCUGACAUGUGCAGUUUGCCCUUAAAUGGCACAUGCAUGGAACACACCUGAAGAAGUAUAAUAAAGGCCUUGGGAACUAAACUUCCAUAUAAACACUGUCCAAGACCCAGACCAAACUCUGCUCUGGAAAUCACCCCCAAUCUUUCUGUUGUUAUACUUAAGUUCGAGUUCACAUCUGAUAUGUACUUGUAGAUAUAUAAGAAAUGAAUUUGUAGUCUUUACAAUGAAUGACCACUAAAUUCUCCUUCUACUUUAAAAUGUUGUGUCUUUUUUCAGAGAAGUUUAGAAAUUUUAGAAGGAAGAAUAUUUAGCCUGUGUUUGGGAAAGUCUUUCACUGCUAUGUGUUGUUUAAGUAGAGGCUAUGAGGCAGUUUUACUAUAGUCAUUGAUUUCAUGCUUAGCUAUCUGAUGUCUUCUGAAAUAUUAGUAAUUUUUGCUGUUUUCUGAAAACAGGACCCAAGAGAAUUAUAUUUUACACUCCUGAGUGUGGCAUUUAUAUUCUGAUUCCCAAAGAUACAAAUGAACAAUACUGAAUUAUAGGCAUCAUUUGGGAGCACCUUAAACACACAAGCAAACAUUUAUCUAACUUCUUCAAGUUCAAAGAUAUAUGAUAUCUAAAUAGCUAAAUUAUAAAAAAAUUAUAAAAGGAUUAAGCCAAUUGGAAGUCAAGGGAAAGAGAAAGUGUUCCGAUCAAUCAAUUUAGAUUGCUGUACAAUUAGGCAUUUCCAAUUCUUGCAUAAAUGACUCUUCUGAAUUUUAAUAAUAUUCAUCCUGCUUUAAUUUUUGGAGUAGAGGUAAAUUAAAUAAUUUUUCUUAGGGGAAAACUUUAAUAUCUUCCAAAAGACAGAGAUUGAAAGCUGCCUUUUACUUUGUCUGACAUAUUUUAUAUAUUGGCCAAUCUGUAGUUAUUCAUAGAGUUUAGUUUUAAGGAUUUGUUUUCUGUGUCUGUGAAUUUUAAACUUUCUUUUAAAUUAAAAUUUAUAAAUUACAUACGUUUUGGCAGAAGCUUGGAGUUGAAUUUAAGCCAAAUGUAACAGGAUUAAUUAGCUACUCAUUUACUUACAUAUUUUCAUCUUUUAAAUAAAGUCUAAUUUUCUUUAAAAAUGUGAAUUUUAACUCAAAAUAUUGAGUGAUCAUGACAGCAGGUAGGAGAAAUGGGACAUAAUGUUGGUUUUAUUGGUCUACUGGGUUAAGUAAAUUUAUCUACUAAAAUGAACUUCUGUCAAUUUCUAUAAACCAUUUUGUGAUGAAAAAAGCACAGGCUUAUUACUUUACAUUUUCAGGGUUAUUAAAGGAAGUGUUAUUAGUCUCUGAUGAUCAUCAAAAAGUAGCAAGCACAUAGGUUUGAGGAUGUGUCCAUUUGCAGAAACUGCCUGCAAAGAAAAAUGUGCACAGUUAUAUUUUGAAAAUCAGAAUAUGACUACCUGCUAUUUGAUUAUCUGAAAUUUCACCAUGCCUGCUGAGGUGUGUCUUUUUUAUUAUGAGAUAUCCAGCUUAAAAGAAAUUACAUCAUUUCUCUUGUCCCCUCAGAUCAUUGAGGAUACACUAUAUAAAUAAUUGUUUAUAAAAGUGUUUGUCUUUGUGAAAUUGAAGACAACAUGACAACUGAAGAGUCAUUGCUAACUUUGUUUGGAAGUAAAUUAUAAGAACUUUCUUCUUCUUCCUCUGUCUACUUUGUUGACUGUGAUUUAUCUUAAAGAUGAAAUAUUCUUAUUUUGUUUUGUAUUCAGGUUGAGAUGAAAUGAAGCCUGGUUUCCCAUUCAAAAGGAAAACCAGAGAGCAGAGGAAUUCAUGCAAUUUUUACCUCCUUCAAAUUUAGCUAAUAAUGAUUUUUUUAAACUAAUGGAUUGUUGAUGAUAAAGAGAAUUAUAUUAAUUAAAAAUAUUAAUUUAAGAAAAAAGGUCAUGUUUUAGCAUUUGCCAUGACUUCUUGGUGUUAUUUGUGGAGUUAACCUAUACAAUAACUUAAUCACUUAAAAAUAAGAAUAUAGGACAUGGUUGUAGCCGCAAUGAGUAAUCCUAUUAUAUUGCAAUAAUUAUAUCUAAAGACAUCACAAAAUACAAAACACUGACUUACUUCAGAACUCUGAAAAGUAAACAAUAAGUAUAUUGGAGCAGGAAAUCAAAACCUGGAGAAAGGCUAAUGUAGAGGAGGUUUAUUUUUUUCUUCCUUUAUCUUCCAGCAUUAACUCUAGGGCAGGCUAAACCAGUAAUUGCACGGCAGGCAGGCCAGCAAAUACUCCACAAAAAGCUCAUCUUUCAGUGCAAGAGAAAUAUUUAUUUUUUUCUUCCUUUCUAAUAUUUCCUGUCAGCCCUGCCUCAAGACCAGCUCCAUCUGAGGCACAGAGGUAUGGUAUGAUCACCUAAAACCAGGAGAGAAAGCUCAUCUCUCUGAAUAGAGAAAUUAGGAAAAGAUGUUUCUGUUAUGUAAGUGUGGAGGAAAUAUCACAUUUUCAUAUCUCUCUUUUAUCACUUGACCUCAAGUGACAAGGAUCUGCACAUCAUUGUGGGAAGAUAAAACUUUGAGAAAAUUCCAUCUUUCUAGCCAGACGAAUAGGAAGAUAGACCCCUUCUGGGUAGAGAGUGUGGGGAAAAUCCCUGAGCGAAGAAAGAAAAGAUCACUGAUUCUGAGUAUGAAGCAACAAAAGUUCAGGGCUCACCCCCCAAGCUAUGCAUGCAUUGUUUUACUCCGUUUUCACACUGCUAUAAAGAAAUACCUGAGACUGGGAAAUUUGCAAUGGAAAGAGAUUAAUUAACUCACAGUUCCACAUGGCUGAGGAGGCCUCAGGAAAUUUACAAUCAUGGCAGAAGGCAAAAGAGAAGCAAGUACCUUCUUCACAAGGUGGCAGGAAAAAGAGAGAGCAGGGGAAACCACCACUUAUUAAAAACUUCAGAUCUCAUGAGAACUCACUUACUGUUAUGAGAACAGCAUGGAGGACACUGCCCCCAUAAUCCAAUCGCUUUCCAUCAUGUCCCUCCCUCGACACGUGGGGAUUACAAUUCAAGGUGAGAUUUGGGUGGGGACACAAAGCCAAACCACAUUAUGCAUGAAAUACACAUAAAAAAUAUAAUAAACCAUUUGACACCUGAGAUGCAAUAUAAACAUUGCCCAGAUCAAACCCCAAGUGGCAUAUGCAAGAGACACACAUGAACAUUCUUGAAAAGUCUUUGAAAAAUGAACUGGCAUUGCAACCACCUCACACAGAAAGCAAGAGAGAAUGUGGAGUCUUAACAUAACUAGGUUGAUUACCUACCGCAAGAACAACAUUGAUAGCAACAGCACCAAAAACAAAUCAGCAUUCUCCAGAGGAUUUUAAAAGGAACCAAAGCCUCACAUCAAAAUAUUCAAAAUGUCCAGGAUACCAUGAAAAAUUACUCAACAUACCAUGAAACAAAAAGCCUCAUAAAAUCUUAAGAAAAAUACAAUCAAUAGCUGGAUAUCAGCUCUGAGAUAAAAGAGUUAAACAUUGUCAACAGACUUGAAAGCAGCUGUUAUUAUGCAUCGUUAAGUAAUAGCAAACAAUCUCAAAACAAAUGUAGUAAGGAGAUAAAUUCUCAAUAUAGAAAUAUAAAGCAUAAAACAAAUAGAAAGUUUGAACUUAAAAAUACGAUAUUUGAAAUUUAAUAAAUGUACUAAAUGAUCUCAGUAACAGAAUGGAAAUGGCAAAGGAAAGAACCAAUGAACUUGAAAUUAGAUCAAUAGAAAUUAUCCAAACUGAAGAGCAGACUGAAACAAAUGAAAAACUUAAAUGGAACUUCAGAGACUUCUAGAAUGACAUCAAAACAUUUAAUGCUCAUGCCCUGGAGUCUCUGAAAAAGAGGAGAUUAGCACAGAGAGAAGAAGUAUUUGAAAAGCUAGCAUUUGAAAAACUAAUGAUGAAACGUCUAAGAUUCAGUAAAAUAUAUAAAUUAACAUAUUCAUGAUGCUCUGUGAGCCACAACCAGACAUACUCAGAGAAAGCCAUGCUCAGACACAUCAUAUACUGCUCAGCACCAAAAAUAAAGAAAAAAUAUUGUUCUCUACAUAUAAGGGCACAACAAUUGGAAUAAUUGCAAUUUCUUAUCAGAAACCAUGGAAGCUGCAAUAUUUUUCAAGUGCUGAAAUAAAGGAACUGUCAUUGUAGAAUUGUAUAACCAGAGAAAAUAACCUUAAGGAAUGAAGGCAACAUAAAGGCAUUUUUAGAUAACAGAAGCCCAGAAAAUUCAUCACUAGCAGACCUACUCUGAAAGAAUGCCAACGGAUCUUCUUCUCAUUGAAAGGAAAUAAUACCAGAAGUAAACUUGGAACAUAAGUUAUUAAAGGAUGAGUAAUAGGCAUGAUAAAGAUGCAGGUAAAUCUAAUAGAUAAUAGCUCUCCUCUUAAGAUCUUUGAUGUAAGAUGUAUGACUGUUGAAGGAAAAAUUAGAACACUUUCUGGGGGGCAUUUUGAUGUAUGUAGAUGUAAUACCCGUAAUAAUUACAAAAGAAAGAAAUCAUGCCCUUUGCGGCAAUGUGGAUGGAGCUGGAGGCCAUUAUUCUAAGGGACCUAAUGCAAGAACAGAAAACCAAAUACUGCAUGUUCUCACAAGUGGGAGCUAAACACUGAAUAAACAUGAUUGUAAAGGUGGGAACAAUAGACAGUAGGAAUCACUAGAUGUGGGAGGGAGAGGGGUGUGGGUUAAAGAACCACCUGUUGGGUACUAUGUUUAUGGCCUCGGUGAUGGGAUUGUGGGGACCCCAAGUCUCAGUAUCAUAAAACCCAUGUAACAAACCUUCAUGUGUACCUUUAAUCUAUAUUAAAGGUUGAAAAAAAAACCUAUAAUAUAAAGAAAAGAGAAUAAAUAGAUCUAUAUGGUUAUAAGACACUUUGCUUACUCUAAAAAGACUGUGAGAGUAUAUAUUAAAAUUUGUAGUGCAACCACAAAACAGAUAAAUGCAUAUGAACCAAAAGAUAAAAUGGAAUAUUAAAAUAUAUUCAGAUAUCUUUUAAAAAUAAUUGAGACACUGUGGUUUUAGUGAAAGAUUAGACACAUAGAUCAAUGCCACAAAAUAAAAAGUUCAGAAAUAGACAUAUAUGUAUAUGACCUAUUGAUUUUUGACAAAGAUGCAAGGGCAAUUUCAAUGGAGAGAGGAUAGUCUUUUUAUCCAAAUACAAAAGGAAAAAAAGAAUCAUAAUCAACACUUCACCCUUUAUACAAAAACUCACUCAAAUGGACCACAGACUAAAUCAUAAAUUUAUAAAACUUUGAUGGCAUUCAUAGCAUGCCAUUCCAACAGAUGCCGCUUUGGCAUAUUUAUCAUUUUGAGUUAAGGACACUUGGAAAACAGGAGAUGCAAGAAGGGCACUCUGACCUUCCUUUUUCUUCCUGAAAACAGGUGAAGAUAAAACACUCAUGUGAAAGGUGUCCUUGCUGCACUAGGAAGAACAUUCUUAUCACCAGAGAUGAAAAGUUGAGACUGAGACAUAACUGUACAGAAAAAACAUUAGAAUCAUCUUUAUCUUCCCAGUCACCUUUCCACAAUUAACUGCCUUUGCCCAAAACCUUUUGGCUGGUCAAAUUUUCACAAUUUACUACCCUUUGUCUAACCUAGUAUAUAAUCUUUUGGUCCUAACUACUUCUUUGGAUCUUCAUUUUUCUUGUGAGAGCCCCUGUGGACAUGCAAACAUUAUGAAAUAAAAUUUGUAAUCAUUUCUCCUGCUAAUAUGUCUUAAGCCAGUUUAAUUCUUAGGCCCAGCCAGAGAUCCUAAGAGGAUAAAGGAGAAAUUUUACCUCCCUUACAACUUUUAGAAGAAACAAAAGGAGGAAAUCUUUGUGACCCUGGGUUAGAUAAACAUUUAUUGAGUAUGACAUUAAAAGCAUGACCCAUUAAAGAAAAAAAUUGAUGUAUUUAAUCAAAAUUUAAAAUUUUGCUCUGUGAAAGACAAUAUAAAGACAAGCUGUGGGCCAGGCACAGUGGCUCACACCUGUAAUCCCAGCACUUUGUGAGGUAAACGUGGGAGAACUGCCUGAGCCGAGGAGUUCAAGACCAUCUUGGGCAACAUAGUGAGACCCUGUCUCUACAAAAUUUUUAAAAAAGAUUAGCUGUGUGUGGUGGUUCCUCCUUGUAGUCCCAGCUACUCAGGAGGCUGAGAUGGGAGUAUAGUUUGAGCCUGGGAGUUUGGGGAUGCAGUGAGUGGUGAUCAUGUCACUUACUGUACUCCAGCCUGGAAGACAAAGUGAGACCCUGUCUCAAAUAAAUAAAUAAAUAAACAAAUAAAUAAAUAAAAGAAAAGCUGUAGACAGAGAAAAAUAUUUGCAAGUCACUUUUAUCCUAAUAUUUAAAGGUCACUCAAAACUUAACUAUAGAAAAAAAACCCAAUGAAAAAAUAGACAAUAUGAACUGACACUUCACAAAAGAAGAUAUUUUAAUGGCAAAUAAGCACAUGAAAAGAUGUUCAAAAUCAUUAGUCAUUUAGUUAGGUGCAAAUUAAAAUCAGAAUAAGAUAUUGCUGCAUACCUAUUGGAUUGACUGAAAUCCAAAAAUUUGACAAUGCCAAGAGCUGAGAAGGAUAUGGAACAAGCAGAACACUCAUAUUUUGCUGAUAGGAAUGCAAAAUAGUACUGCCACUAUGGAAAAUAAUUUGGCAGCUUCUCAAAAGGUUAAACUUAUUAUAUGAACGAAAAAAAAUUCCUCCUCCAAGUAUUUACCUGAGAAAAAACGGAAACCAUAUUUCACCAAAAAUCUUGGAUGCUAAUGUUCAUAGCAGCUUUAUUCAUAAUAAUCAUAAACUAGAAACAGCUCAAACAUCCCUCAAUUUGGAAGCUAAGAAACAUACUGUGCCAUAUCCAUACAACUGGAAUAUUCCUGAGCAAUAGAAAGGAGCAAAUUAUCAACACACCCAGCAACAUAGAUAAAUCCCAAGUGCCUUAUGUUCAGUAAAAGAAACCAAACUCAAAAGGUAUGAUUCCAUGUGUAUGAUAUUCUGGGAAAAGCAAACUGUAAGGACAGAACACAGUUGCCAGCAUCUGAGAGUCUGGGGAGAUUUUAAUUUCAAACGGUCAGUACAAGGAAAUUUUUUUAAUUGCAGGGUAAUAGAACUUCCCUGUGCAACAGCUGUAACAGUUACCCAAUCACAUGCAUUAGUUAUAACUCAUAGAUCGGUAUCCCCAAAAGAAUGAAUUUUACUGUAUUUAAAUGAAUAUAUAAUAUAUACUUAAACCAUAAAUACAUAAAUAAAUUAAAUCAGUAAAAUAGCUGUGAUGCUUUUUUCAAAGUCCAUGUCUUAUUGUGAGGAAGAUUUUCCAUCAUUCGAUUUUUAUUGUUUAUGUUAAAAACAUACCUCUUUAUUAAAGCAGCUGAAUUUGCAACUAUACUUACCACACCCUUGUCUUCCAAGCUGUAUCUUAAUUGUACUUUAAAGAAACAAAUACCUAGGCUGCAAUUUAGCACUUAAUUAAUUUUAACUUUUUAUUUGUGAAUUUAGCCUGAGAUUGUUAGGCUUUCAUAAAAGUUAUGUUUAGCAGUUUAUAUUAUUCUUCUGAGCAGUUGUGGUACUGAGCCGAUGCACAUAAUUUGACACUUGACUUUUUCAAGGGUGUUUCUUCAGAUACUCCAACUCUAUGGCAUGCUUCUUAAGUCUCUGGAGUUAGAUUGGGAAAUAACCUAUCUAGACCUCAUCUUAGUGCCUUCCCAAAAUUUGAAGAAGAAAAAAGAUCCCUGUAAAAUAAGGUGGGAAGACAGUUUGGUUUUCUCCUCAGGAUGUGUGCUAACAACAAUUUAAAAAAUUCCUAUGUGGGAGCUAAGCUAUGAGGAUGCAAAGGCAUAAGAAAGACACGAUGGACUUUGGGGACUCAGAGGGAAAGGGAAGGAAGGGGGUGAGGGAUAAAAGACCACAAAUUGGGUGCAGUGUAUACUGCUCGGGUGAUGGGUGCACCAAAAUCUCACAGAUCACCAGCAAAGAACUCACUCAUGUAACCAAACACCACCUGUUCGCCGGUAACCUACGGGAGUAAAAAAAAGAAUUUAAAAAAAUUCCUGGACAUCUUCCUUCUUAUUUCCUGAACGCUGUUUUCUAGCACAAUAAGAUCACUGUUCCCUAUCUUCACGUUGAGCUUUCUGCAUCAGUUUUCCAUGAUUAUCAAUUUCUUCCCAAGCAAUAUGCCUGAGAAAUAUUAUCUAAAAAAUCACUAAUAACCAUUCACUACAACAGUCAUUCACACCAAGAUAGGUGUGGGAGCAGAGACACAUAGUGGGUAUAAUUUAUCAGAGUAUGUAUAGUUUAAUAAACACUCAAUGUAUUAUAAUUUUAAUGUGUAGAAUUCUCAUCCCAGUUUAAUGUCACAUAUAUUUUAAUACUACAAUUUACUAGUAAAUAUGAUAUGAUUUGAAAGACUGUUUGAUCUGUCAAUGGUAAAUUGCAUAGUGGCAAGUAAGCUCCAAGAUGUAAUGAAGGGUGGUAAUGCUUUUUAAUUUUCUGUCUAGCGUAUUUAAUCACUCCCUCUGGUAACAACCUUCAUCUCCCCUUUCUUUAGGAAACAGCUCUUCCCCAAUUCCACAGUAGCUGCUACAUUCAGGCCAAUCAUAUAACGCAUUUCCUUGAAUUCAAUGAUUAUUCUGCAGUUUAGUUCUGAAAUGUUACAUACAGGUGCAUGUGAAAAGUUCUCUUUUACAAUUUUGUUUUGCGAUAUUCGGUCAAUGUUCAACUGAGUCCAUCAGGGGUCAACAUUGCCUGCUGCAUGGCAUGAGCCUAUCUGCAGUAAGGGAGCAUAAAACAAGCAACUAGAAGAAAGAAAAGAAGAGAGACUGGAUGUUGGAGAGACAUAAAUAAGGAGACUUGUCCUAAAAGAGCUGAUCAUAUCAUUUGAUGUAAACCAAUAACUCUCCUUUUUAACUUUUGUUCGAUUGGGUUGGGCCCUUGUAGCUUGGAAUAAACCUUAAAAUGCAAGAGCAGGAAUAAAGCCAAUAUUACAAUUAGCAAAAUUGCAAAAUGUAUAUCCUUUGAAAUGGAUCACAUCAUAUAGAGUGAGACAGAUUUAAGAAACUGAUGCAGAUAGUGACAAAGAGAAUAAUGAAAUAUGAUAUGUGGAAGAUAGAUAAGAAUGAAAUAACCUAAACAACAUAGGUGUUUCUGAAGAUGAAAGAAUAACUAGAAUAAGAGCAAAAAUAAAUGUUAUAAUUUUUAAAAAAAUGAGUUUAAUAAAAAGACAGACGGUAACUCUUCUAGUACCCAAGGGAGGCCAGAAGUGUUGGGUAAUUCCCUACCCCAGCAUUCCUAUGACUCUCAGGAGUGGUUAAAUAGCAUAGCUCUUUCACAACUCAGAUGGCAUAAUCCUGAGGUGUGUGUUUUGCACUUAGAGUUUACUGGUGGAAAUAAACUUCAGUUGCUCACUGUGGUAACUGGUUUACUAAAGCAUCUCUACUGGCUUCCUUCCCUUUCCAUGGCCACUCUCCUAUUGUUGACUCCUGCAUCUCCCAAAUAAACUACUUGUAUUCAAAUCCUUCUAUCAAGGUCUGUUUUAAGGGAUGCUUUCCCUGGUUGUCUAGUGAUUGGGGAAAAAACAUGAAGCCAAAAACAAAAAUAAGGAAGGGUACCAACUAAGACCACUAAUCCUUUUGUUUCUUAUUUCCGUAAUGAAACAGAAUCAAUCAGAAAAGAUGUUCCACAUGCUCCCUGCAUGACAUUUACCAUACCAACUGCAGACAACUUCAGUAUGGUUCUCCACCGCAUAACUAAAAGUGGAGCGCCACUCUCAGUGUAGUUGGUAAUUAAUCCUCAGAUCUUAUUUUGUUUGACAUAACAGAAGCAUUUAACAUGUUUGGUAACUUUUUCCUAUUUACAGGAAAAACGUUCUUUUUCUAUAACGUCCCAGAUAUACUCUACAAGUUUUUUUUUGUUUUUUGUUGUUGUUUGUUUUUGUUUUUUUUGGGGUUUUUUUCCCCCCCACUAGCUGCUACUUCACAGUUCCCUUUGCUCAACCCUCUUCUUGAAUUCUCACAUUGGAAUACUGCAGAGCUCAGUUGUUUGCCACCUUAUCUUCUCUGUCUAUAUUCAAGUCUCUCAGUCAUCUCACUUUAAAUGUCAUCUGUUCAGUACAUCUCCAGCUCAGAUCACUAACGCAACUUUAGGUUCUUUCAUUCAAUUAUAUUCUGGACAUCUGCCUUUUGGUAUUAAGCAGAAGAAGUGAACACCCACCCAAUCUACCCCUCAAAAGGAGCACCUUCUGUAGUGUUCCACAUCUAGGCAAAUGCUAUCCCCAUGAUUCCAGUUAGUCAGAUCUAUAUCCUGGUGUGAUUCUUUAUUUUUCUUUCUUUUACACCCCACACAUUGUCCUUCAGCACAUUCUGUUGACUCUGUUCGCCAAAUAUAUCAAAACUAUCGUUGUUUGUAGAUAUUUUGCCCUUAGUCAAAUUGUUUUCUAGUUUAUGAAAUGUAUUCUGUAUAUGUGCUGAUUUUUGAGGUGUCCUACAAAUAGUAUUAAAACUACACUGUUUGCAUUAUCAAAACUUCAAACUGGUCUAUUUUGGAAAAUGGUGCCUAUUAGAAUAUAUAUCCGAAAGAAAAGCAUAUUAUAAUUUCAAAGCUACAAAUAUCACUCACAUUCCUGGAAGGAGCCUGUAAUUUAAACGCUACUUUGUUACUUUGGAAGUAGAAUUAUUAUACUCUUAAGGAUCUAACUUUCUCAUAAGUAGAAUAACAAAGAGCCUGCUAACAAUGGUUACUGGUGAGCUGGGAGAGGAAGUUGAGCAGGAUCCUUUCUCUUUCCUCUACAUAUAGCUUUGUAAUGUUUAGAUUGCUCAUCACGUGCAUGUGUUAACUACAAGAAAUGAGUAAAAGUAUCCAAGUGAUCUUUGUAAAAGUGCUAUUGAGAAGGAGACUUGUCCUAAAAGACAUAAAUAAUUUUUACAAAGCCAAUAUAAUUAAAUAAUGUUGUUUUGGUAGAAUAAUUAUGAAAUACAAAUGUGAGAAGAAGACAUAGUAGCUAAAAUAAUUCAGAUUAUGACAAAUGAAUAGUAUGCUAAUCAAUAACACAGAUUUUAGAGCCGGAAUACUGGGUCCAAGUUCUGGAUAUACUUUUUAUUAACUAACUAUGUGAAUUAUUUAUGUCUCAGUUAAGAAACAAUGAUGCUCACUAUUGACACUUAUAUUCAACAUUGCACUAGUUGUGUUUGGCAAUGCAAAUAGGUAAUAUGAAUCACUUUAAGGCAGAGGAAUUCAUAGGGAGAAACCAAAACUAUUUCUAUUUGCAGACGAUAUGAUAGUAUACGAAAAAGAAAAUCAAUGAUGAAAGUAACUCAAACCACGAACAAUGCGCUAUUAACAGGAUAUAAAAUUAGCAUACAGAAAUCAAUAUACUUCACAUAGGUAAACAAUAAUCAGUUAUAGGAAUGAUGAUAGGAAAGUAUUCAGUUAAGACAGCAACAAAGCAGACUAAAACUUCGGAAUAAACAAUAAGAAACAAAUAUAUGUAAAGGAAAUUUUAAACAUUUAUCAAAGAUAGAAAAGUAGAGUAGAAUAAAUGACAAAACUUUUUUAUUCUUGGAUAGGGAACAAGCUGUUUUAUGGAGUUAUUCAACCUCAAUAAAAUUCAUACACAAAAGCAAACAUGCAAAAUAGGUAGGAAAUCAUUGAAGAAAAUUAAGUGGUGAAGCUAGCCUUAACAGACAUUAAAACUUAUGAAAUUUUUAUAACUAAAACAGUGUGGCAUAUUAAUAGACAAAUAGACCAAUGAGAGAGAAUACAAUGUCCAGAAGUAGAUCAAACUACAUACAGAAAUGUAUUUGAUAAAAGUAGCAUCUCACAUCAAUUGGAAAAUAUAGACUUUAAUAAAUUGCUCUAGAACAUAUUAGUAACAAUUUGCAAUAAGGUAGAAUUAGAGGCCAGGCAUGGUGGUUCACGCCUGUAAUCCCAACAUAUAGGGAGGUUGAGGUGGGCUGAUCACUUGAGGUCAGGAGUUUGAGACCAGCCUGGGCAACAUGGUGAAACCCUGUCUCUACUAAAAAUACAAAAGUUAUCUGAGUGUGAUAGUGCAGGCCUGUAAUCCCAGCUACUCGGGAGGGUGAGGCACAAGAAUCGGUUGAGCCUCGGAGGUGGAGGUUGCAGUGAGCUGAGAUCAUGUUAUUGAACUCCAUCCUGGGUGACAAAUGGGACUCUGUCUAAAAAAUAAAUAAAAAGAAGAAGAUAGAAUUAGAUUCAUACUUCUCACCAUAUCAAUAAAUUUUAAAUCGAUCAGAGGUCUAAAUAUAGAAAAUGAGACCCUACAAAUACUAAAAAAGUCAAUAAAUUCUUCUUUAACCUUGGCACAGGGAAAGUUAUUGCAAGUAUGUCUUAAAAUUCAGGGGAAGUGAAUGAAGGGAUUGAUAAAUUUGACUACAUAACAUUGAAAAAAAGCCAAGCAAAAAUCGUCAUAAAUUAUGAAGUUGUCACGUUGAGAAAGAAUAUCAACUGACAAUUUACCAAAAAUAUAUAAAACUUGCUCUAAAAUGUAUAAAAAGAUAUUCAAACUCACUAAGGAAAUGCAAAAUAAAACAGCACUAAGAUAUUAUUUUUCACCUAAAAGAUUAGUAAAAAUUAAACAGCAUGACACCGCAGUCUAUUGGUGAGCCUGUGAGAAACAGCCAAUCUCAAUGUAUUAAUAAUAGGGAUGCAAAUUGGCACAACCCUUCUGGAGGUCAAUUUAGCAACAUUAAUAAGACUACAUAUACAUUUACCUUUGACUCAGUAAUUACAAUUCUAGAUUUUACCCUGAAGAUGCACUUCUGACAAUAUGAAAAUACAUAUGUACAAAUUAUACAUUGCAGCAUUGCUUGCAGUUGCAAAAUAUUAGAAACUAAAUGUCCAUAUAUAGGAGAGUGGUUGAAUAAGCCAUGGUAUAUGCACAAACUGAAAUAUUAUGCAGGUUUAAGAAAUGAUGAGGAAAAAUAGAAAGAAUGAAUAUGACCUACUAUUUGAUAGCACCACAGGGUAACUAUAGUCAAUAAUAAUUUAAUUGUACAUUUAAAAAUAACUAAAAGAAUAUAAUUGGAUUGCUUGUAACAUAAAAGACAAAUGCUUGAGGGGAUGGAUACCCCAUUUUCCAUGAUGUGAUUAUUACACAUUGCAUGCCUCUAUCAAAGCAUCUCAGAUACCUCAUAAAUAUGUACAUUUACUCUGUACCCAGAAAAUUUACAAAUUUAAAAAUUUAAAAAUUCAGUGAUGAGAAAGAUCUGUAAACUGGUAUGGAGUGAUUUCUAGUCUAUAUUAAAUGAAAAAAAGCAAAGGUGAAAGAGUAUAUAUCUAUAGUGCACUACCUUUCAUGUUAAAAGGAAGGGACUAUAAGAUGUACAAGUUUUUUUUUUUUUUUUUUUUUUUUGCAAAAACAAAAACAAGAAGAAAGAACAAGAAACUAAUGAGAUUAGUUAUGUAUAGGAGAUGGGGGAAAAUGGGAUGGGAAAAGCAAAGUAAUGCGAAUAAAAGUGAUGAAACAAUAAAAGUGAUGAAGCUUCUAUGAGUAUUUUUAAAAAUAGUUUUGACCUUUAGAACCAUGGUAAAAUUUUAUGCAACCAAUAAAUAAAUAGGUAGGUAGAUACAUAGAUAGACAGACUAAAUGAGAAUGCAGAGGAGGGGGGAAAUAGAAUACAAACAGAAAUAAGUGAGCCUAACAUCAUUUCAAAUUAAUAACAUAGUGACAUUGACAGGGUCAAGGAAGAAAAUAAGGAAAAUGGUUUUUUGAUAUUACAUAUUAAGGCUGGGAGAAAAAAGAACUGUAAAUGAAUAUUAUAUGCUGGCUUAUAAAUUUGUUUUUCAUGAAGGUAUGAGUUAGCAAUUCUGGAACUUGCAUAUAAUAGGAUUGAGCAAAUAAGUAAAUAUAUUUUCAAUAAUGAGAGCCAGGUAUCAAUAAUAUCCUGGUAUUAUUAAUUAUACUAGUUAUAUGAGAUUUUAAUAUUUGAGAGAGGUAGGGAAUGGGUUUACAGGAACUCUGUGUUGCCAUAUGAAAAACAUGAAAUCAAAAUGGAUUAAAGAUUUAAAUGUAAGACCUGAAACUAUAAAACUACUACAAGAAAACAUUAAGGAAAAUCUUCAGGACAUUGAUCUGGACAAAAAUUUCUUGAGCAAUACCCCACAAGCACAGGCAACAAAGCAAAAUGGACAAAUGAGAUCACAUUAAGUUAAAAAGCUUCUGCACAGCAAAGAAAACUAUCAACAAAGUGAAGAGACAAAAUGGGAGAAAAUAUGUGUACGGUUUUGCAAGUGAUUUUGUAAAUAUAAAAUUAUUUCAAAAUGAAACAUUAAAAUGAUAAAUCAAUGGCAAAGAACGAUAUAACACAUAAUAAAAUGUGUUAACUAUGAGUAAAAAAACGAUUGCUCAUUACAAAAUAAAACGUAUUCCAGGUGAACAUAAGAGGUUUUAUGUAUAACUUUUAAAACAUUGGAAAAGCCUAUAUGAUAAUACCUAUGUUACUUCCAGAUUGAGAAAUGCUUUAUGUGCAUACAACCAAUAUAAGACAUCAAAAAGAAAGUAGAUAUUAAUCAUACAAAGUAAAUAUUUUAUAAAGAUAUCAUAAUACUAAUUAAAAGGCAAUGUAAAAGUUGGGGUUAAAAACCUACUAAAUGUUAGAAAAAGAAUUAAUAUUUAGGUAGCAUAUAAUGAUCUCCUAUAAAAAAAAUAAAGGAGUAUCUAUCACCCCCAUAAGAAACUUGGUGUAGCUAAAAAAUGUCUGAUGAAGUAGGCUUUAAGAUAAAAAUCAUUACUAGAAGUAAAUAGGUGAUUUUAUAAUAAUAAAUGCUUCAAUUCACUGGAAAGAUAUAAUACGGUUACAUUUGUAUAUUGCAAGUAGUAAAACUUCAAAACAUAUAAAGCAAAAAUUGACAAAAUCCAGGGAGAAAUAGAAUACUCCACAACCAUAGCAAGAAUCCUCCACAACCAUAACAGGAAAAUUCAUCAUGUCUAAGUAAUUAAUAAAACAAGUAACCAAAAAUUUGAUAGAAACUUGAAAAUUUGAAAGAAAUGAAUAAUUGACUUAACGAAUGCCUACAGAGUAUUUAGUACAACUGUGGAAUGCAUAUUUUUUCAAAUAAGUUCAUAACAUUUAUGAAAAUUGGACAUAUACAGCUUUAGAGAGCAAAUCCUACCAAAGUUCAAAGAACCAAAAUAAUAGAGCAUAUUCUAAAAUAAAAAUAUUAAGCUCCAAAUCAAUAAUAACUGAAAAACAUUUGCGAAUUAAGAAGUACACUUCUGUAUUAGUCUGCUCUCAUGCUGCUAUGAAGAACUGCCCAAGAUUGGGUAAUUUAUAAAGGAAAGAGGUUUGACUCACAAUUCCUCAGGGCUGGGGAGGCCUCAGGAAACUUACAAUCAUGGUGGAAGGGGAAGCAAACACGUCUUUCUUCACGUGGUGGCAGGAGAGGGAAGUGUCGAGCAAAAGAGGGAAAAGCCCCUUACAAAACCAUCAGAUCUUGUGAGAACUCACUAUCACAAGUACAACAUGGAGGUAACUGCCCCCGUGAUUCAUCACUUCCCACUGGGUCCCUCCCACGACGUGUGGGGAUUAUGGGAACUACAAUUCAAGAUAAGAUUUUGGUGGGGACACAACCAAACCACAUCAGCUUCUAAAUAAUUAGUUGGAUCAGGUUGAAAUAAUGAUGAAAGUCAAAAUAUUUUAGAUUGUCCACAGAAAAUGCUAAAUAUCAAAACUUGGGAUAUGCAGCUUCAGCAAUAUAUAGAGAUGGAUAUAUAAAUAUAAAAGAGAGGUUAAAAUUAUCUAAGUAUAUAAUUUAAGAAGUUAGAAAAAGAGCAAUGUAAUAGAUUCAAAUAAAACAAAAGUAGUUAAAUAACAAAGGUAAAAUCAGGAAUUAAUCAUAUAAAAAUUUAAUAAAGAUAAUCAACAAGGCCAAAUUUUUGAACAUACUAACAAUAUUAAGAAACCUCAGGCACAUUGAUGGAGGAAAAAAGAAAAUACAUGCACGCAUGCACACAUACACACAAACACAUAACUUAGUAAUUAUAUACAGGACCAAAGUAUAAGUAUAAAAUUCACAAAUAAUUACCAGUAGGUUACAUACUUAAAUCCAAUGUCAAAAAUUUUAAAAAUAGAGGAAGUUAUAUAAAAUGUUAAUAUUAUGAGCUUGGGGUAGAAAAAUAUUUCUUACAGAAGCCACAAACAAUGAAAACUAAAAUGAAAGAGAUUAUAAAAUUUAACUACAUUAAAAUUAAGAGCUACUAUUUAUUAAAAAUAGCAUAAAUGGCAAAAAAAUCUAUGAAAUAGGAGAAAAUAGUGCAGUACAUGUAACUGGAAAGCACAUUAUCAAUUAUAUAUAAAUACUUUCUACAAAUUGAUUUUUAAAAACCUAAUAGAAAAGGACAAAAGAUAUAAUUAGCUAUUUCACAGAAUGAGGAAAAAGUAAUAGCCAAUAAAAAAUCUAUGGCUAGAAGCAUACCCUUGUUAAAUAACAUGGAAAAUAUAUAUUAAAAUCAUUUCAUCUCACACCCACUAGAUAGGCAAAUAUUAUAAAUUGGACAUUGCCGAUUUGUGAGAAUGUAAGACUUCUAGAACUCCCAUGUACUCCUGGUAGGAGUAUAAAUUAUCACAAUCAUUUUGGAAAAAAAUAUUUGGUAUUAUCUAGUAAAGUUGAUGAUACACAUAUCAUUUGAUGCAGCAAUUUCAUCUAUAGAUAUAGAUGUUAGAGAAACUCACAUAAGUAGGCAACAUGACAUGUAGAAGAAUGCAGAUAGCAGUGAUGUUGGAAAACAAAACACUGGAAACCAAAUUUACAUGAGGAACAAAACUCAUAAAUCAUUUUGUAUUCAUACAAUGGAAAACCAUACAAUAAUGAAAUUGAAAGAGCUAUAGCUAUCUCAAUAUGGAUGAAUCUCACCAAGUUGAAUGAACAAAACGAUUGCAAAAUAAUAGUCUGAUGCUAUUUAUAUAAUUUGCAUACGUCCAAAAUUAAAGAGUAUAAUAUUUUGGGGCACAUACCCAAGUGGUAAUAUUUAGCAAAAAGCAAAGGAAUAAUGAACAAAAUUUAAGACAGUGGUUACCCCUGGCAGGGAGGGAAGAAGAUGAAUAAGAUCAAGGAGGGGUACACAGAAGACAUCAAAGGUAUUCAGAAUAUGAUAUUUUGUGUGCUGUGUGUUAGGUACACUGUGCUCUUUUUAGAAAUUUUUUUCACAAAUUGUAAGUAAUGUUUCAGUUAUUUCAUACCAAAAUAAAAAUAAAGCAUAAACUGUAAUAUCAGGAUUUUCCAUAGUUCACUUCAAAUUUCUUAAUGUUUGGUAGGUGCUGUUUCCUAGCAAAUACAUGUUAAAUGGAUGCUGGAAAAUUAAGAGAUUAUUGUAUGAGCUGAUUCUAAAGUGACCACCCUCCUUUUGCUAAUAAUGUGUUCAUCUGUUAGUCCUGUUCAGUAAGAUAUGUCUGCAAUUACCAUGCAUGAACUGUUGCUUCCAAGCUGAAAAGGAAGAUGACACUUAGCACACUGUGUUCCACACAAGCAGCUACCUACAUGUUUUUUCCUUUUCAUUCUGACCCAAAAUGGAAACUUUGUUUGAAAUUAAUUUCCUUUUUGAUUAAGGGUAAGACAAUAUUUUCACAGUCACUGAACCAAAAAGCUGGUAAAAACCUUGCCACAGAGAUGCUAAAUAGUGUAUUUAUUUAAUUUUCUCAUGUUUCUUCAUGUAUGUCAAGGCAUAUCCAAAUAACUGAAUUAAUAAUUACCACUCCUUACUAAGAGCUACUUCAUCUGUUCUUCCAGUGAGCGGAAAUCAGGUUUGAAAGAGAUAUUAUGCAAGCCAGCAAUUCCCUACCAACUGGUCCUGAAAAGUUAGCUUUGGUGAUUCAAAGGUCCUUUGGAAUACUAAGUUGCAACAAUAUCCCCAAAGGCAUGUCUCUAAAUUGUCCCACUAAUAUACCUGAGAGUAAAUCAAAUGAAUCAUGCUUUCUCUGAUAUUUAUAUUAGUUUUCUAAAGUUAAUCCUAAGGAGAAAAUAAGUAGUUAUUAUUGUUGCUAUUAUUUCUAGGAAAUUAUCAUUUUCAAAACUUGAAGAUGGGUCUUGUCAUUUACAAAAUCCUAUCUGAUUUAAUCAAAUGGUAUUUCUAAUGCUUGUACUUCUGUUGAUUUCCUCACAGAGCAAAAUCAAGUGCCUUUCUUUUGGAAAACUCAAAACAUCAAAUUAAACAGCACAGCAUCCAAUCUGAGUCAUACAUUUGAAAUCAAUUUACCAGGAAACAAAGAGUCAAAGAUUGCAGAACUCAGAGGGAGAGAAAAGAGGUUGCUCAUAGAAGCAAAUUAGAGAAAGAAGGUGUUCAAAUUCUUCAAGGCUCCUACCAUCUGCUUGUCAGGCUGCUGCUGAAUUUCAGAUACCUCUUUCGCAGUGCUUUCUCCUUAAUGUCCAAAAUUUUACCUCCCACCCAAUCUGCACAUUAUCAUUUUGUUCAGCUGUGUAAAAACAUGAACACAAUGUAUAUCGUGAAGGUUGUCAGCGUACCAUGUUGACAUUCGAAUUCAAUCUUUGGUGAUAGACAUUGGAAUAACAUGUCCCUGUAGGGUGGUGGAGGGUGGCGGGGUGAGGUGAUUGACUGGAUAUAGUUGUGAGGGAAAUUUCUGGGGGUAAUGGGAAUGUUAUUUAUUUUGAGCUGGGUGAUAGGUAGAUAUACAGCGGUCCCCCUUUAUCUAUAGUUUUGCUUUCCUUGGUUUCAAUUACCAGAGAUCAACCUCAGUCUUGAAAAUACUAAAUAGAAAAUCCCAGAAAUAAACAAUUCGUAAGUUUUAAAUUGUCCUCCCUUCUGUGUAGUGUGAUGAAAUCUCAUGCCAUCCUGGGAUGUGAAUCAUCCCUUUAUCCAGUAUAUGCACGCUGUAUACACUACCUGUCUAGUAGUCAGUAGCUAUCUCAGUUAUCAGAUUGAGAAAACAUAGUAUGUACUAUAUAGCAGUGGUCCCCAAACUUUUCGCCUUUUUGGCACCAGGGAUGGGUUUCAUGGAAGACAGUUUUUCCAUGGGGGUGGCGGGCAGGGAUGGUUUUGACAUGAAUCUGUUUCACCUCAAAUAAUCAGGCAUUAGCUAGAUUCUCAUAAGGAGCACCCAACCUAGAUCCUUCCCAUGCACAGUUCACAAUAGGGUUCGCACGCCUAUGAAAAUUGAAUGCCACAGCUGACCGGACAGGGAGUGGAGCUCAGGAGGUAAAGCUUGCUGGAUGCUCACUUCUUGCUCUGCGGCCUCCCUCCUACCAGGCCACAGACCUGUACUGAUUGGCAGCCCAGGGAUUGAGGGCCCCUGCAGAGUUCGGUACUAUUCAAGGUUUCAGGCAUCCACUAGGGAUCUUGGAACGUAUCCGCAAGAAUAAGGGGGGACUACUUUAGUUGUAAAAAUUCACUGAGCUAUACACUUAAGCUUUAUGCAUUUUACUCUAGGUAAUUUUUCAGUAAAGUAUUAUUUGCAAAAAAAAAAAAAAGAAUGUUAAUUAGAGAGUGUCAUUAUUUAUGGCUUGCCACUAUAUUUACAAUAAAAUCCAAGUGCCUUACCACCGCUUGUGAAACUACAUAAUCUAGUUCCCAUAUAUCUGUCUUCCUUUUCUAAUAUUCUUUCCUUUGCUUGAUUUGUUUUUCUUGGGGUCUUUGCAUUUCCUAGUUCACUCUUCCUGAAACACUCUUUCCAGAUAUUUGCAUGAUUGACUCCUUCAUUUAAUUGAGGUUUCUCAUCGAAUGCCACUUUCUCAUAGAGGUCUUUCCUAGCCACCCUCCCCUUGGUCUGCUUUAUUUUUUUGAAGCGCAUGUUGACAUUCUACAUUAUAUAUUUCCUUUUUGUUGUUUAUUGUCUCUCUCCCCAUGGUAGUUAAGAGUAGGCUAACUGAUAAAAAUAGACCCAAACUUGGGAUAGCUCAAUAGAUGGAAUUUUAUUUAUUGUUCACCUAACAGUUCCAGGUGGCUGUUUAGAUUUCACUGUUGGCUCAUCUCUAUUCAAUAGCACCUUCCAUCUUAUGGAUUUGUACUCCCGUAGAGCCUCAUUGUCUUCUGCAUCAAGCUAGCAAGAGGAGAAAGAGCAUGAGGCAAAAACACAUAUGAACGGUGUUAUGAACCAGACCUGAAAUUAUCACACUUUACUUUUAUUUAUACUUCCUUUGCUAGAACUCAGUCACAUGUUCCUAUAAAUUCAAGAGAGACUGGAAAAUGCAGUCUAGCUAUAUUACAGAAAGAAGAAAAGAUAGAUAUGGUAAUCAAUUAGCAGUUUUAGUACACUGCCUCAGCUGAAAUACAUGUUUCAUGAUGGCAGGAACCUUCCUUGUCUGUUUGCUCAUGGCAUAUGCUGAACUUCUAAAACAGUGCUGGUACAUAGUAUGCAUUUAAUAAAUAUUUUGGAGUGAAUAAAUACAUUUCAGUGAAACAUACUAUACUGAGCUUAGCUGGUUGAAGGAACACGGCUCCAAAUUUACUCAGCUCUUCUAAUUUUGGUCAUAGACAUUCUUAAGGGGAUGCCACACUCACCAAUGAAAAUCAGUGUGAGCUCUAUGCUGCUACUCUCCCUCUGUAAACAUAUCCCUCCAAAUACUGGGAAAGAAUACACAUUUCUUAAGCCACAGAGCUAAGGUAUGCAAAAAUGGAUUUAAUUUGUGGCUCACAGUGAUCUAUAUUCUGAGUUUUCAUUCUGUUGAGAAUAUAAAAUAUAAUCUCAGUCAAUUCUAGCUAAACCGAUUAAUUUAUUGCUUAACAUCAGUUAAUUCAGAACUUUUUCCGCCUCUUCCUAGUAACACCUACGUUCCAGGAAGCUUAUGUAACAUCAUGAAGUCUGGUUCCAAGAUGGCAUCUUUUCACACUGCAUCCUCAGAUCAUCCAGUCUCUAGUUCUUGGCUGUCAUUAUUGUUCCACAUUGACAUGUGUCAAGAUGUCCUCAUUCCCAUAUGCUCCACACAACUUUCCUCUGUAGCAUUCCCUAAUUACAACUGCAUGACCCCAUCAGGUCUGUCAACUUACUCUUUCUUUCUUUCAGCUAUCUUCAAGCAUGGUAAAAGCUGGCUUCUUUAUCUUUCCAAUUUGGAUCUGAAGAAAACUCAGUGGAGCUAUCCCCAGGUACUGUCUUAUCAUGCAGCUAUUUCUUAUCUGCUGUUCUCGUGCUGCUUCUCAGGGUUCCAAUAGGGAGAACACAGAAAUCGUCUACUCAUGGAUUCUUGGAUCCAGAUAUUACACAAACUUGUAAGUCUGUAGCUUGCCUUUCAACAUUCUAUUUUUCCACUCUUUCCUUUUGCAACUCUCCUCCUACCUUCAUUUCUUGUUUUUGUGGAAUCUUCAUUAAGUCUAAGGGAGUAUAGUAUUUUUUAUGCAUUGUUUGAAAAUUUUUUUAUUUGUGGUAUAAAUGUUAUUUCCAAACUCUCAUAGGUUAGAGAGUCGAACUGCAAAAAUUCUAGUAAUUAAAACUUGAAAAAAAUUUUUUUUAUAAACUAACAUACCUUUCAAGAACAUUUUUGUUGUAGCUUCAUUUUCCUGGGGCAAUGAAGGUGGAGUGCUUUAGUUUCCUUGGCUAGAAAAUACUGUAUUAAAAUCAUGUUUUGGGGCAAUAGCAUUAUAUAUUGUUUAAUACUUCAAAAUAUUAUAUAGCCAUAGAAAGAAAGAUAGAUACAUACACACAUAUAAAAUUAGCAUAACAGAAAUGGUAAUGCCUUUCUUGAAGUAGAAAAUAAGUCAUAAAAAUAGAAGAGAGCAAUCUAUGUGGGCUUCAUGUUAGGUGUGGUGGUCGUCAUGUUGGAAUGCUUAUGUGCCAAAUAUGUUUGCACAUGUGGAUAAAAGCAUGUGAAUAAAUAUAGAUUUUUUUAAACUUUUGAGUUCAGAGGUACGUGGCAAAAUGUGUAGGUUUGUUACAUAAGUAAAGUGUGUCAUGAGAGUUUGUUGUACAGAUUAUUACAUUCCCCAGGUAUUAUUCCUGGAAUCUAUUAGUUAUUUUUCCUGAUCCUCUCCCUCCUCCCACCUUCCAUCCUCCAAAAAGCCCUAGUGUGUGUUGUUCCCCUCUGUGUCCAUGUGUUUUCAUCAUUUAGCUCCCACUUAUAAGUUAGAACACGUGGUAUUUUGUUUUCUGUUCCUGUGUUAGUUUGCAAAGGAUAAUGGCCUCCAGCUCUAUCCAUGUCCCUGCAAAAGAUAUGAUCUCAUUCUUUUUUAUGGCUACAUAAUAUUCUGUGGUGUAUAUGUACCACAUUUUCAUUAUCUGGUCUAUCACUGAUGGACAUGCAGGUUGAUUCCAUAUCUUUGCUAUUGUGAAUAGUGCUGCAAUGAACAUACACGUGCAUAUGUCUUUAAAACAGAAUAAUUUAUACUCCUUUGGGUACAUACCCAGUAAUGGGAUUGCUGGGUCAAAUGGUAUUUCUGACUCUAGGUCGUUGAGGAAUUGCCACACUGUCUUCCACAAUGGUGGAACUAAUUUACAUUCCCACCAACAGUGUAAAAGUGUUCCUUUUUCUCCACAGCCUCACCAGCAUCUGAUAUUUUUUGAGUUUUUAGUAAUAGCCAUUCUGACUUGUGUGAUAUGAUAUCUCAUUGUGGUUUUGAUUUGCAUUUCCUUAAUAAUCAGUGAUGUUAAGCUUUUUUUUGUAUGUUUGUUGGCCGAAUAAACGUCUUCUUUUGAGAAGUGUCUGUUCAUAUCCUUUGCACUAUUUUUGAUGGGGUUUUUUUUUAUUGUAAAUUUAAGUUCCUUGAAGACUCUGGAUAUUAGACUUUUGUCAGAUGGAUAGGUUGCAAAAUUUUUCUCCCAUUCUGUAGGUUGUCUGUUCACUCUGGUGGUAGUUUCUUUUGCUGUGCAGAAGCUGUUUAGUUUAAUUAGGUCCCAUUUGUCAAUUUUUGCUUUGGUUGUGAUUGAUUUUGGUGUCUGUCAUUAUAUUUUUGUUUGUGCCUAUGUCCUGGAUGGUAUUACCUAGAUUAUCUUUUAGGGUUUUUAUAGUUUCAAGUUUUACAUUUAAGUCUUUAAUCCAUCUUGAGUUAAUUUUUGUAUAAGGUGUAAGGAAGGGGACCAGUUUCAAUUUUCUGCAUAUGGCUACCCAGUUUUCUCAGUACUAUUUAUUCAAUAGGGAAUCCUUUCCCCAUUACUUGGUUUUAUCAGGUUUGUCAAAGAUCAGUUGGUUGUAGAUGUGCGGUCUUAUUUCUGAGAUCUCUAUUCUGUUCCAUUGGUCUAUGUAUCUGUUUUUGUACUAGUACCAUGUUGUUUUGGUUACCAUUAACCUUGUAGUAUAGUUUGAAGUUGGGUAGUGUGAUGCCUCCAGCUUUGUUUUUUUGUUUUGUUUUGUUUUUUGCUUAGGAUUGUCUUGGCUAUACAGGCUCUUUUUUGGUUCCAUAUCAAUUUUAAAGUAGUUUUUUCUGAUUCUGUGAAAAAUGUCAAUGGUAGUUUAAUGGCAAUAGCAUUGAAUCCAUAAAUUACCUUGAGCAGUAUGACCAUUUUCACAACAGUGAUUCUUCCUAUUCAUGAGCAUGGACUGUUUUUCUAUUUGUUUGUGUCCUCUCUGUUUUCCUCGAGCAGUAGUUUGCAGUUCUCCUUGAAGAAGUCCUUCACAUCCCUUUUUAGCUGUAUUCUUAGGUAUUUUAUUCUCUUUGUAGCCAUUGUUAAUGGGAGUUGUCAUUUUGGCUCUCUGCUUGUCUAUUGUUGAUGUAUAGGAAUGCUUGUUAUUUUUGCACAUUGAUUUUGUGUCCUGAGACUUUGAUGAAGUUGCUCAUCAGCUUAAGGAGCUUUUGGGCUGAGACACUGUGGUUUUCUAGAUAUAGGAUCAUGUCGUCUGCAAAUAGUGACAGUUUGCCUUCCUCUCUUCCUAUUUGAAUUUGCUUCCUUUCUUUCUCUUGCCUGAUUGCCCUGGCCAGAACUUCCAAUACUAAGUUGAAUAGGAGUGGUGAGAGGGCAUUUGUCUUGUGCCAUUUUUCAAGGAGAGUGUUUCCAGUUUUUGCCCAUUCAGUAUGCUAUUAGCUGUGGGUUUGUCAUAAAUGUCUCUUAUUAUUUUGAGAUUUGUUCCAUCCAUACCUAAUUUAUUGAGAGUUUUUAACAUAAAGAGAUGUUGAAUUUUAUUGAAGGCUUUUUCUGCAUCUAUUGAGAUAAUCAUGUGGUAUUUGCCUUUAGUUCUGUUUAUGUGAUGAAUUAUGUUCAUUGAUUUGCAUAUGUUAAACCAGCCUUGCAUACCAGGGAUGAAGCCGACUUGACCCUGGUGGAUAAGCUUUUUGAUGUGUUGCUGGAUUUGGUUUGCCCGUAUUUUAUUGAGGAUUUUUGCAUCAAUGUUCACCAAAGAUAUUAGUCUGAAGUUUUCUUUUUUUUGUUGUAUCUCUGCCAGGUUUUGGUAUCAGGAUGAUGCUGGCCUCAUAAAAUGAGUUAGGGAGAAGUCCCUUCUUUUCAACUGUUUGAAACAAUUUCAGAAGGAAUGGUGCCAGCUCUUCUUUGUACCUCUGUUAGAAUUUAGCUGUAAAUCCGUCUAAACCUGGGCUUUUUUUGUUGUUGUUGGUAGGCUAUUUAUUACUGCCUCAAUUUCAGGACUUGUUAUUGGUCUAUUCAGGAUUCGACUUCUUCCUGGUUUAGUCUUGGGAGGGUGUAUGUGUCCAAGAAUUUAUCCAUUUCUUCUAGAUUUUCUAGUUUAUUUGUGUAUAAUUGUUUAUCGUAUUCUCUGAUGAUUUUUUGUAUUUCUGUGGGGUCAUUGCUGAUAGCCCCUUUACUAUUUUUUAUUGUGUCUUCUCUUCUUUAUUAGUCUAGCCAGUUGGUCUAUUUUAUUAAUUUCUUAAAAAAAAAACCCGCUCCUGGAUUCAUUGAUUUUUUGAAGGGGUUUUCGUGUUUUAUCUCCUUCAGUUCUACUCUGAUCUUAGUUAUUUCGUGUCUUCUGCUAGCUUUUGAAUUUGUUUGGUUUCUCUAAUUCAUUUAGUUGUGAUGUUGGGUGUUGAUUUGAGAACUUUCUAGAUUUUAUUUUUUACACUUUUUGUAACACUUAGUAGUGUUUUUCAAGGUCUAGGUACAUAGAUGGUACUUUAAAAAAUGCUUACUGAAGUAUAAUUUGUGCAUAAUAAAAUUCAAAAAUUUUAGUGUACAGCUUCAUGAGUUUUGACAAAUGCAUACUAUUGUGUAGUUGCCAUGAAGAUUAAGAUACAGAAUAUUUUCUAUCAGUUCAAAAAUUUCUCUCAUGAUCUUUGUAGUUAAACCCUUCUUCCAUACCCAGUAUCAAGCAACAACAAAUGCCAAGCCCAGUGCAACUCUUGAGAAGAUUGACUAGAUGCUACACAAUACAAGCCUAAUAGAAAUAGAGGAAAAUUCAUUUAAAAUAUAUACUCUACCAUCUGUAUUGUACACACGAUAUUAAAUAAUCAAUUAAAAAUGAUGACACCAGAAAAAACUAACAUUUUCUAAAAACAAUCAACAAAACCAGCUUCAGAGAUGAGCUACAUAUUGGUAAUAUAAAAUAGAGAUUUAAAAUUAACUAUUGUUAAAUAUAUUAAAGGCUCAAGUGGAAAAGGAGGGCAACAUAAAUGAAUAGAGGUAGAAUUUCAACAAAAAGAUUGAAACUAUAUAAAACAAUCAAAUUGAAAUACUAGACCUAAAAAAAACAUGGUAAUAGAGAUGAUGUAUGCCUUAAACAGUUUUUUAGGUAGACUUCAUCUAGCUGAGGAAUGAAUGAAUGAAUUAGAAGGUGUCAACAAAAAUUACCCAAAUUAUUAUUCAAAGAGAAAAAAAGAAUAAAAUAAUAAAAUAUCCUAUAAUUGUGGAACAGUAUCAAAUGGUCUAACAUCUGAGUAGUGAUAUCACAGAAUAAGAGAGAAAGAAAUGGGCAGAAUAAAUAUUUAAGUGGUGUCAUAGAGGUUUCUGAAAAUCAAGUCAUAAUACCCUAAAAGUCCUAGAGAACCCAAAACAAAAUAAAGAAUAACAGACUUAGAAACAUCCUAGUUAAAAGGCUUAAACCCAUGAUUAAGAGAAAAUCUUGAAGGCAGCCAGAGUUGAAAAAACACAUUAUAUACAAGAAGAAAGAAAAUAAUUAGAUUCACUAUGUCAUCAGCUGCUGUGCAACUAAGAAAACAAUGCAAUGACGUCUCUAAAGUAAUCAAAGAAAAUCACCAUCAACUCAAAUUCUAUAUCAAGUGAAAAUAUUUUUCAAAAUAAAGGGAAAACAUGCUUUUGCAAACCAGAAAAAAAAGGCUGAGAGAAUUUAUUAUAGACCAAAAGAGUGGUUAAAGGAUCAAUUCAUUACAACAAAAAAAGAGGUUAAAGCAGGUUCUCCAGGCAUAAGAAUAUGAUACCAGACAAUAACUUGGAUAUACAUACAUAGACAAAACAAUGAAAAACUGCAUAUAGUUUAAAUGAAGGUAACUAUAAUGUAUUUUUUUACUUUAGUAACUCCAAAGUGUAAUUUACUGUAUACAAGAAAAAUAGUAACAAUACAUUGUAUGUUUAUAAUAUAUGUAGAAGUAAACUAUGUAACAAUAGCACAAAAGAGGAGAGAGAAAAAUUUAAGUAUACAUUUUUAUGGCUCUUAUAGUAAAUAUGGAGCUCUGAUAUAGUUUGGAUGUUUGUCCUUUUCAAAUCCCAUGUUGCAAUGUAACCCCCAAUGUCGGAGGUAGAGCCUGGUAGGAGGUGUUUGGGUCAUAGGAGCAGAUCCCUCAUGAAUGUCUUGGUCCCCUCCCCAUGGUAAUGAAUGAGUUCUCACUCUAUUAGUUCACAUGAGAGCUGGUUGUCUUAAAGAGCUUGGCAUCUCUCUCGCUCCCCCUCUCGACAUGCCACUGCCCUUCCCCUUGCCUUUUGCUAUGAGUAAAAGCUUCCUAAAGUCCUAACCAGAAGCAGAUGCUGGUGCCAUGCUUCUUGUGCAGGCUGUAGAAUGAUUAGCCAAAUCAACCUUUUUUCUUUAUAAAUUCCCCAGCCUCAGGUAUUCCUUUACAGCGAUGCAAAAUGGACUAAUUCAGUCUCUAAAUAUUAUUUGGGUAGGCUGUGAUAAAUUAAAAAUGCAUAACGUAAAGCUGGGAGAAACAUUCCAUUUUUCUUAAAGAAUUUAAAUAAUAAGCCAAUAGUGGAAGCAAAUGAAAUAAAUAAUUCAAUAGCAGGCAGAAAGAAAAGAAACUAUAACAGAGAACAAUAAAAAACAACUCUCAAUGUGAUAGAUUUUAAUCCAGCCGUAUCAAUAAUUAAAUUAAGUGUCUAACGACACCAAUAAAAAGGUAGACAUUGGCAAACUGGGCAUAUGUGAAAACCACCUUCUAGCUAUGUAUAUUUCAAUCUAGAUUCCCCACUACCCUUAUGUUUCUGGCUGUUCACUGCAGCACACAUUCAUAACAUAACAUGACCUUACACUUUCCUGUCAUAAUGCAAGGUAAGUUAGCACAGUGAGCUGUAGGAGUAUACUUGGAAGCCAUUCUUAUGCCAGUAAUCCUAGCUAUAAUUAUAGAUGACAAUAAGUGAGAACCAAAAUUUCACACAUUACUCCACAGCCAAACUAAAUGUAUUUCUAACACAACCUCUUUUCACCAUGAUCCCCAAAGUGCCUGUGCCCUCUCCAAAACUACAUGAGAGAAAAAAUGAUGGAGAGAGAUUUGAAGUAUAAAGAACAGUUAUUUAACCAAUUGUGUUUAAAAUGUCUCAGUUUUAAAAACAUUACAAGAAUAUGAGACCAUGUAAGCAUAUUGAUUUUAGGGCCUUGGAAAGUGUGUUUGUUCAGGUGAGGGGCCGUGAAGUUUAAAUCUGGCACAGAUACAUAUAUAUGUCUCAGGUCACAUUUUUAAAAUAAACUUAAAAAAAUUUAUUUUAGAACAGCUUUAGAUUUAUAGAGCUAUUACAAAGAUAGUUCAGCGAGUUCUUGUACACCUUCACACAGUUUUUCCUAUUAUUAGCAUCUUAUUAUAGUACAUUUGCCACAAUUAAUAAAUCAAUAUUGAUAUAUUAAUGUUACUAAAGUACAUUAUUAAGAUUUUUCCAAAUUUUCCAAAGGUUAUUUUUCUGUUACAGAAUCCUAUCCAGCAGAUCCUAUUGCAUUUAGUUGUCAUGUUUCCUUAGACUUCUACUGACUCUGACAUCUCAGACUUUCCAUGUUUUUGAAGCCCUUGAGAAUUCAAGUAGUACUGGCCAGGUACUUUGUAGAAUGUCCCUCAGCUGGGAUGUAUCUGGCAUUUUUCUCAUUAUUAGAUUAAAGUUUUGGGGAAAGAAGACCACAGCAAUAAAGUACAACUCCCAUCACAUCAUUUUAAGGGUAUACACUAUCACUAUCAUUUGUUAACAUAUGUGUGCAUGUGUCUUUAUAGUAGUACUGGACUUGAAGAUUCUACGGAUUUUCAAAGAUGUUUAACGUGCUAUUGGUCACUAUAGUAUCAUAAAGAACAGUUUCACUCCUUAAAAAAAAGCCCUGUGAUUUAAUCCCCCACCUCCCUGUCUGCACAGGGAAUCACUGAAAUGGCAGGGAAUCACUGAAAUGUUUACCAUCUCAAUGGGUUUACCUUUUCCAGAAUGUCACAUAAUUGGAAUAAUACAAUAUGUAACUUUUAUAGACUAGCUUCUGUUACUUGAAAUAUAAAUUUAGGUUUAAUCCCUGACUUUUUAUACUUUGAUAGCUCAUUUAUUUUUUAUCACUGAAUGUUAAUCCAUUGUCUAUCCAUUCACCCAUUGAAAGAUAUUAUGGUUGCUUCUAGGUUUUGUUGACUUUGGUGAGUAUGAUAAUAUAAUGACUAUAAACAAAACUUCUGUAAAUAUCCACAUGAAGGUUUUUUUUGCAGACAUAAAUUAUCAGAUCAGUUGGGUAGAUACUUAGACACAUGAUUGCUAAAUUGUAUGGUAAGAUGACAUCUAAUUCUGUAAGAUAAUGGGUUGUUCUAUAAAAGUCAAUUAGAUCCAAUUCAUUGAUAGUGUUGUUCAAGUCAAAUAUAUCCUUAUUCACUUUCUGCCAGUAUAAUCUAUCAAUUACUGAUGGAGAUGUUUGUAAGUAUGCUGAUGAAAUCCCUAACUUUAAUAAAAGAUUUGUUUAUUUUUCCUUCAAUUCUAUCAGUUUUUGCCUCAGGCAUUUUGAUGCUCUGUUAUUAGGUGCAUACAUGUUUAGGAUAGUUAUAUCUUUUUAGAAAAUUGAUCCCUUCAUCAUUAUGUACUAUCCUUUUUAUCACUGAUUACUUGUUUUUGCUCUGAAUUUUGUUUUUGUGAAAUUCAUGUAGGUACUUCAAGUUUAUUUUGCUUAGUGUUAGCAUGAUAUAUCUUUCUUCAUCCCACUACUUUUAACACAUAGGGCUCACUCUAAUUAAGCAGAUUUGUUAUUGAAUUAUAUCUUACGGUCUUGUCUUUUAACCUACUCUGGUAAUCUCUGUAUUUUAAUUGGUGCACUUGAACCACUAAUAUUUAAAAUGAUUAUUGAUAUAUUUGAAAUAAUAUUGUGGAUUCACAUCAAAUGCAUUUGUAAUUGCUUUUAUUCGUGACAGAGGCUUCUUUUUCUGCUUUAUCUGGCUUUAAUUGAACAUUUUAUAUGAUUAUGUAUAAUCUCUCUUGGUGUAACAAUCAUUGUUAUUAAAAAUAGAAGUUUUCCUAAAGUUUAUAAUAUAUAUAUUUACAUAUCUAAGUCAACCUUCAAAUAAUACCAUUCUAUAUUACAUGUACUGCCAAUACAUACUAACAGAGUAUCCACAAUUUCCCCCACCUUUUCCUUAUGAUGUUGCUGUCAUUUAUUUCACUUAUUUACAUGCUAAAAUUAUUCAAUGCAUUGUUCUCUUAUUACAAUAAAGACUUAUAUUUUAAAUUAUUUAAGAAUAAGAAUAAGAAAAGAUUUUAUUUCACCUUCAUUUAUUCUUUUUCCAACACUCUUUCUCUUUGUGUUGAUCCAAGUUCCUGAACUAUAUCACUUUCCUUCUGCCUGAAGAAUAUCUUUUAACUUUUUUGCAGGGCAAGUCUGCUAGUAUACUGGUGAUGAAUUCCUUCAGUUUUUGUUUGUCUGAGAAAGUCUUUUAUUUCUUAGCUUUUGAAGAAUUAUAUUACUGUAUAUUGAAUUCUGGGUUAGUAGUUUCUUUCUUUGAACACCAAAUAUCCUACUCCACUCUUUUCUGACUUGCAUGUUUUUUUUAUGAGAAGUCUGCUAUAAUUUUUAUUCUUUUUUCUACAUAAGUAAUGUGUUUCAUGCUCCCACCUUCUUUCAAGUUGUUCUCUUUAUAUUUGGUUUUCUGCGAUUUGAGUAUGAUACUUCAGUGCCUAGUAUGUCUGAUGUUUAUUCUGCUUUGUGUUCUCUGAGCUUUCUUGAUCUUUGCUUUGGUGUCUGUCCUAUUUGGAUAGUUCUCGUAUAUAAUUAUGUUAUAUUACUUCUGCUCAAUUCUUUCUAAUUACCCAUGCAUCAUACCUUUGUAAUUGUUGCACAUGUCUUGGAUGUUCUAUUAUUUAUUCUUUUUUUCUUUGCAUUACCAUUUGAGAAGUUUCUAUUGACUUAUGUUCAAGCUCACUGAUUCUUUCCUCACUUCGUCCAAUUCACUAAUGAGCCCAUCAAAUACAUGCUUUAUUUCUUUUACAGUGUUUUUGAUGUCUAACAAUUCUGAUUUUCUCUUAGAGUUUUCAUCUCUCUGCUUACAUUAUCCAUCUGUUCUUGCAUGCUAUCUAUUCUAUUAGAGCCCUUAACAUACUAAUCAUAGCUAUCUUAAUUCUCUGUAUGAUAAGCUCAACAUUUCUGUCAUAUCUGAACCCCAUUCUAAUGCUUCACCUCUUCAGACUGUUUUCACUUGCCUUUUGGUGUACCUUGUGUUUUGUUGUUGUUGAGUUUUGUUGUUGUUGAGGACUGAGCAUGAUGUUUUAAGUAAUAGGAACUGAAGUAAAUCUGUCUCUAAUGUGAAGAUUGAUGGUAAUGUAGCUAAAAAUUGGGCUGUAUUUAAUAGUCAUUAUAUCUAUAAGUGAAAAGACUUCAAAUUCUUGUAGUGCCCUUAUUUUCACAUCCAGUCUUGCCUUGGCCUUUUCUAAGUAUUCUUCCUUAUAGAGAUUCUGUAUAUUACAACUCUUUCAACUGUAGUCAUUAUUAUUAUACUGGAUUUCUGUUGUAAUGGUGGUAAGGUAUGGAGAAGUGGAAGAAUUCUAUAAUCUUCCAAUUAAAUCUCAGUUUUUAGUGGGCCUAUGUCUUUGGCCUAUGACCUUCACAAGUGGUUUUUUAUUGUUUUUUUUUUAAAUGUUUAUCCCAUCUCCAAAUUUAAGUGAAACAGGAAGGCCAGAGAAUGACUCUACCCCCAUGGCUCUGGGAAAAUGUUCUGGUAAAGUCUUUACCUCUGGAGAGUAGGACUUUGUUAUGGAGAAUGCUCUGUAGUAUCUUAUGAGGAUUAUUCUUUUGUUCCCUUUGCUUGACCCUUGAGGAGAUCUUCCUUAAAUCUAUACUGUGAGAAUCUUGUGGGGUUGCUAGACAUAAAGCCCACAAAAGUGUAGGUGUCUCUCUUAAGACUGCUGCCGCCAGGAGUUUUUCAUUUUUACACUAUACCACAUUCAGUCUCUAGCAAUUCAUCAAAAUCACCAUUUAAGUGUUUCUAUGAGUUUAUGGCUUACAGCAGCUUUUACUCCAGGUAAGCAAAUCUCAGCUAUAACUCUCUGGGUUCAACUGUCACUCCAAGUUUUGGGCUAGUGUUUGCCCUGUAAAUUCAUCUCUCUAAUAAGUCCUUUUCAGUUUUUUCAGCUUUUUCUUAUUAUAAGAAAUGUAGUGAUGACUUCUAAGCUCUUUACACAUUAGAGCUGAAACCACAAGCCUUCCUCCAGACAAUUUUAACACCAACUGACAUGAACUAAUAUUAUAAUCUAUUAAUGGCUACCUUUAUGUUUCACUGGCUCACAUCUAUCUACUGCAGAUGGUAAAGAUUAGAAUGAUGGCCCCAAUUCAACUUUUAUUUCUUCCUCAUUUCCUCCUUUCUGGUAUAUAUAUUGAGGACUUCACCUAGUUUGCAGUUUUAAUGUCUGUUACACUGAGCCAUAUAUUCCAACUUAUAUUAAGCAAAAAAUGUAAGCACCAAUGAUUUACUCAAUUAUAUAAAUUUUAUUAAAUGUUAUUGUUUCAUUAUGAACUGUAUCCAUUAAAGCACAACAUCUAAAUUUAGCCUAGAAGGAAACUUGUAAAUUUGUAAAUAGCACAAAUUGACUCUGUUAUUUAGUAACUUUCAAGCACUGCAACAAACAUAGAGCUGAUGUUUCCUGCCCAUUUUUCUAGUUUGAAUUUUUGUAGAUUAGAUUAUGUUUACUACGUUAUUUUUGGUUUUUAUAUUUAGUCUUGCAAUUUAAAAUAUUAAUCAUGUUGUAAUUUGUCCAAUUUAAAUGAAAUAAUAUCUUUUGAAGAAAAAUACUAUUUUUUAAUACCCAUGGCAUAAAAUCAAUGAUAGUAUCUCACCUGAAAUAAGGAGAGAAUAUAACAGAUGUAAUUAUAUCCCAUUGGUUUUCUCAGGCCUUGUGCCAAGUGUUUGCAUAUAGAUAUGGAUAGAGAGUAGAAGUUUUUUCAUUUUAGUGAUGGCAAAAAGUCAAAACCAAUUAUAAUAUAUUUAGUCCCUAAGAUGUGUAAUUGAUAGUACUAAAGGAAUGCAGACUAUGUCACCCCAAAAUAUACCUCUUUGGCAUAAAAAUAUUUUUGAGGUAAAGGCAAUUAAGAAGCAGCAACCAGAGGAAAAACUCUCCCUAUCCUAAAGACAGGAUGUAAAUUCUCUUUUAUUGGGAACAAUUCUUAUCGGCCCAGAAAUGACACCCGGGGAAUCUGUAAAUGAACUUUAUUCCAUUAGUUUCUUCCCAUGUACUGCAUUUACCUUCCCACAGUUUCCUGUCUUUGGAAGCAUAAAGCUGUUUUCUUUUAUCCUGUAUUUUCUCUACAAAUUUAUUGUUCCUUAUUGGAGAUGCUAUAGAAGCCAGAGUUCUAAGCCACUGCCUUGAGUUACCUUUUAUUGAGGUUCCUCCCUUGUGAUGUACACUGCAUGCAUUAAUAAACUUGCUUGUUUUUCUCUUGUUAAUUUGUCUUUAAUUACAGGGGUUUUUCCACACUACUAAAUUAUGAGGGUUGAGGGAAAAUUAUAUCUCCUCCUCAGUAGCAUAAAAGUUCCAGGAGUAAAACAUACAUAAGAAUAAAAAAACAUAAGAAUAGCAGUAGCUGCUUCAAAUAUGAAAUUGAAGGGGUAUUUCCAAAAAGUUCCCCAAAUAUCUCUAUUUCUUCCUUACAAAUUUGCUACCAAGAGUUUUAUCUUGGAUAAUCUCUGUUUGUGAAAUAUAUGCCAUUAGGCUAUGAAAUGAAUAUCCCUGAGCCGCUCCCUUCUUGACUCCCCAGGGUAAGGUUAUACUAUUUGUUACAAUACUGAAAUACUACCCAUGGUUUAGCAAAUAACUGUUUAAGUCCCUUGGGUGUUAUAUUCCACCACAAAUUUACCCUGCCUGCUUGGCCCCUCCCAUUGGACUUCCAGACCUCCUCAUGAUCCAACAACUGAAAUGCUAAUGUGUAAUCUAACAAAGAGGCUUCCACAAGUCGGCUUUUGCAGGCACCUCAAAGUUACCUUUUAUUCUCUGCAUCUACUAUUAUGUCUCCUAAUUCUUACCCAAAUCUACUUUCAGGAAAAACUAUGAUGUCAAUUUUUGACCCUUCAGGCUGAAUGUUUUUAUCUGUUUUUCUCAUUCAAAAGUAAAAUCAGGUGAAGAGAUAUGUUCGGAGCUAGUCAUAUGCCCAAACAAGGCCAGCUCUAAGACUACCUCAAAAUAGUGAAUCUCAACAAUCAAUGUACAUAUUGAAUUACCUGUGGAUCUUGGUAAAAUACAGAUUCUGAAUUACAAGGCCUGGGACAGGGCUGAGAUUCUGCACUUCUAACAAGCUUCCAAGUUCUAUUGCUGGUCUACAGACAGCAUUUUGAAUAACAAUAUUUGAAACCAUUGUCAAAUUAAGAUAUAUUAGAUGACCAGAGAUAAUCUAAUGAAGCACCCCCUACCCCGCCUUCCCCAGGGAAGUAAAGACAGAUGUAUGUACAUGUUCAGAAGGUGGUGGAGAAGAUGAGGUGAAUUUAGAAUAUUGGACAACAAUGUUCUCCUUUUGUCAAUUGUGUAUCUCCAUAUUCAACUUUCUACAUUAAGACAGGCUCAUUUUCAAAUGUCUAUAGAACGCUUACUACCCAAAUGUCUCCCAAACAGCUCAAAUUUAGUAUGUCCACGGUUAAAAAUAUUCUUCAUGUGUUUCUGAAUAGAGGUUGAGACUUCACCAAAAAUAUAGUAAAAAAAAAAAUUUACCUUAGAUGACAGCCCCCUUUAUAUCUAAUCAGUCACUCCUGUAAUGUCUCUCAGAUUCACCACUUCUUUUUCAUUUCCAUUGGCAACACCAUAGUUCAGACUCGUAGGGUUUCACAACAGGAAUAGUGUAAAAACCUUUUAUCUGCUUGUACUCUCUCUCUUCUAUAAUUAAUAGCCAAUACCUCAGCUCAAAUUAUUCUAAAGCUACCAGUGUUUUACCCUGGGAAGAAGAAAACUGAACCCCAGAAAAAAAAAAUGAGUUGAAUGUAAGAAGCACUGGUGAAUAAAGAAAUUAGUAAAUGUGUAUGUUAACUUUGCACUGACUGUGAAAACCACUCUUAAUAAUAAUUACUUUGGUGGCUGUCUAACCAGGAGGGACUAAAAUACUAGAAAAAAAUAAGCUGGAAAGAGUAUGAUCUGGGAUAAAAUAUCCUGUUUUUUCUGUAAUGUAUAAGGUGCCUAGAUACAUAUGAAGGUGUGAGACAGACAGAACAAGAUUUGCAAAAUGUGGACAACUAUUUAAGCAUGGAGAUAAUUACAUGACAGCUUAUUAGACCUAUCUGAUUUUUGCAAGCUUGAAUGUUUUCAUAAUAAAAUUUAAAUACAAAAAUAAAAAAGUAUAGAAUAAGAAAAAAUACACUAGAUAGAUGCAAUCCAAAAAAAAAAUCGGCCCAGCAAAAAUAUCAAAAUAGACUUUUAGAUUAAAGGCAUUUUAAAAGAUAAAGAUCAUCUUUACUUAAAAAUCAUAAGGAACAUUUCACUAGGAAGUUGUAAAACUCUGGGCCUGUUCUCCUUAAACAGUAUAGCCUCAAAGUGUAUAAGGAAAAAUUAUUAUACAUAUAUGCAGAUGUUGUUAAGUCCACAGUCAUACUGGAAAAAAUUUUAACGUCUUUCUCAGACAUUGAAUGAUUAAGUACACCAAUAAUUUAUAAUAGCCUAAAAUAUUUGAAUAAUUCAAUUAAACAGUUUAGUCUAGUGUGCAUAUAUAUAUAUAUAUAUAAAACUGUGCCCCCAAUAAUUUACAAAUAUUCAUUAUUUUCAAGCACACAUAGCCUAUUCCUAAGACAGUUUUUAAUAAAUACCAAACAUAAAUACUAUGCUGACCACAUUCUAUGACCACAGUGUAUUAAAAUUUAGAAUCAGUAAUGGAAAGAUGGCUAAAAUCUCGUUUGUUUGGAAGUUUUUUAAAAGGCACUUCUCAAAUAAUUAAUGGACCACAGACAAUCAGAAAGAAAGUGGGCACAUAAUUGGGAGUAGAUGAUAAUGAAAACACUACACCUAGCUUGUAGAAUACAGUUAAAGCACUACUUAGGUGAUGAACUUUAUCAUUUCUACAUUGGUCCUACUGCUAUUGCAUGAAGUAGAUUUCCACUCUAACUUUCUGUAAAUAUUCACUUUACUGGUUCCAUCAUUCCUGUAUGAUCUGACCUCAUUUUCCUCUAUUUUCUACAUAUUUUUCAUUUACGUGACUUUUAAGAAGAUUCACAGGCCCAGAUAAACAUUAAUUUUGUAAAUUAUAGUUUACUAUGUCAUCAGCCAUGUUAUGGGCUGAAUUAUAUUUACAUAAAAUUCAUAUGUUGCAGCUCUAACACUCAGUAUCUAAGAAUGUAACUGUAUUUGAAGGUAAGGCCUUUAAAAAUGGGAUUAAGUCAAAAUGAGGCCGUUAGGGUAAGGCCCUAAUCCAAUAUGACCGGGGUCCUUAUAAGAAGAGGAAGGGACUCCAGGGGUGUGUGUCCACAGAGGAACAACCUUGUGAAGAGACAGCAAGAUGGCAGCCAUCUGCAAGCCAAAGAGAGAGACCUCUGAGGAAAUCAACCUUGCCAAUGCCUUGAUCUUGGACUUUCAGCCUCCAGAACUGUAAGAAAAGAAAUUUGUGUUGUUUAAGUCACACAUUCUGUAGUAUUUUGUUAUGGCAGCCCUACCAAACUAAUACAAUUUAUUUGGACCCACUUUUUCUUCAUUAAAUAGUGAGAAAUAGUUGUAUUUACAAUGAAGAAAAAUUUUCCCAAAUUAGAAAGUUAGUGAUUUAUUGAAUUACUUACGGGCUAUUCCAUAAUUCUUGGUAAUAAUUUUUAUUACUCGCCAAACGAAAGUUACCUUCGAUGUCAUAACUGGCUUAAGCAUCCUUCUGAGACAAGUACAAUUUUAGGUAGUUUUGGUUAUUUAUCUUUUGUUAAGCAAAAAAUGAAACUUUGUGUAUAAUUAAUCCACUUUAAUCCUUUAGUAAUUGUGGGCCUAGGGAAUCAAAAUUCAUUAAACUCCCUAGCCACCCACAUAAAAGUAUUUAUUCUUAGAGAUUUUUGAUAUUUAACUUAAAGAGUAAUUCUGGGGUUUUAAGGACAUAUUUAAAUAAUUUGCUUAUCUGUUUCAAGGGAUAAAUUUAGUUAAAUAAUACCUUAAAAUCAGUCAACUUUAUUAGUAAAGACUUUUAGGAACAGGGAGUAUUGGAAAAGGGCUUCAGAGCAAGAAUACAUAAACUUGAGUGGCCUUUUCUCAUAUAUGAGUAAGUCCCUCUGUUAGUGCCCAUUCAUCAAAUAAAGUAUUCAUAACUAUGUGUAUUUCAUACACAUGAAAUGGAUUUAUAAAAAGAGAGCCUCUACUGCAAAUUGUAUUAAUUAGAGGCUUACUUGUAAUUAUGUUAUAUUAUUUAAAAAGAACAGUUUAUUAUCUUAGAUAGGGCCCUGAGCCUUCUUGAGAUCUGUCAGUCAAGUAAGAAAAUUGAGUAAGUUUGGGUCCUUGAAAGAAAAUGUCAGUAAAGGGCAAUUCACACACACUUGGAAAAAUUCAGGCUUUCAGGUCCAUUAAUUCUUCCUCCAUGGACUAUUGACUGUAAUAAACUAGAGAUGAAUCCAUUUAAACAAAAUGGAACUUUUGUUGAUAAUAGGAGUGAAAACACAAUGCUUGAUAAUGAGCAUAUGACUAUUUUCCCCAUUUGAUGUUACUAGGGCUUGCUAUUGGAAAUCUAACAUACAGAAUCAUACAUUUAGAAAGAAUACGAGAAACCAGUUACUUCAUUUGUUCCUAAUAAUAUAAUUAUCUGCAUCAGGAUUCCUGAGGCAUUUUAAAAAACACAGACUUGCUGGUUGUACUCCAUACCCACUGAAUCAGACUUCUGAGUGUGGGGCCCUCAAAUCUGAGUUUUAAGCCAGCAUCGCAAAUGAUUUUGAUGGGAACCUAGGUUAGGAGCAACUGAACUAGUCUAACUUCCAAAACAAUAUAAAAAUGUCAUAUAAUAGAAGUUGGAAGACUUGUUCUGUAAAGGACAAGAUAGUAAAUAUUUUAGACUUUGAGGGCAUACAGUCUGUCAUGACUCUUCAGUUCUCCCAUUGUAAUGCGAAAUAAUACACAAAAUGAAUGAACACUACCGUGCCCUUGAAAAAAAGUACAUCUUGAGACCACCAAAUUACUAAAGCAAAGGGAAUCCAAGCUGGGAACGACAUCAGGCAAACCUGCCUUCCAUUUUAUUCCUAAAUAAGAUAGCUACAAAGGUGAAAAAGCUACCUACUUCCCACACAAUUUGCCCACAAAGAAAUUCCUUGUGGACAGGCCGGGCGCGGUAGCUCAUGCCUGUAAUCCCAGCACUUUGGGAGGCCAAGGGGGGCGGAUCACGAGGUCAGGAGAUCGAGACCAUCCUGGCUAACACGGUGAAACCCCGUUUCUACUAAAAAUACAAAAAAUUAGCCUGGCGUGGUGGCGGGCGCCUGUGGUUCCAGCUACUCGGGAGGCUGACGCAGGAGAAUGGCGUGAACCCGGGAGGUGGAGCUUGCAGUGAGCCGAGAUCGUACCACUCCAGCCUGGGCGACAGAGCAAGACUCUGUCUCAAAAAAAAAAAAAAAAAAAAAAAUUCCUUGUGGACAAAGGAUGGAUAAAACAGUCAUCCUUCUGCUCAUGUGAGACAAAUGCGUAUUUGCGUAUUUGAUCACUUCCUCUGCCCUAUUGUUUCCCUAAGCCAGACUAAGGCAUAAGUGACUAUGUCUUUACCCUCCUCUCACAUGCAAAUUGUGUAUUCAGUAGCAGGCUAAUCAGAGACUUAAAAAAAAAUGCAACCGUUUGUCUUUAUCUCCCUAUGACCUGGAAGCCGCCUCCUCUGCAUCGAGUUGUUCCACCUUUCUGGACAGAACCAAUGUACAUCUUACACAUAUUGAUUCAUGUCUCAUGUAUCCCUAAAAUCUAUAAAAUCAAGCUGUGCCCCAACCACAUUUGGGCACAUGUCAUCAGGCUGUGUCAUGCGCAUGUCCUUCACCUUCGCAAAAUAAACUUUCUAAAUUGAGAUCUGUCUCAGAUACUUUUGAGUUCACGGUCCCAAUAAAAUAUUAUUUAUAAAAACAGAGGGAGGUCAGUAAAAAUGAUGGAGUUAGAAUCUCUGAAAAUUUUCUCCUCCAUAAAAUCAAUGAGAAAACAGAGACAGCAGAAUCAACGUUCUCAGAACAAUGGAGAUUCACCGAAAGCUUGCAGCAAUCUGAAGAAUGGUUUUAUUUGAGAGAAAAAAAGCUGAGUCUUAGUAAGAACAGUAAGUUUGUGCCAUUUUAACUCACCCUAUUCCUAUCUUUCCCUCCUCCACCUCCACAGUAGGCUUGAAAAUCUAAGGUCCUCAAUCUUGUUGGAAACAGACAGCCUCACAGCCAGGAGGCAGAAUGGAUCUGAAGCCUCUUCAAAGUUCUAUCCCACUGUCAUUAUUUGAUCUUUCUGGUAACUGGAAGACUCUACUUGCAAAGCCUUCUUUAUUUGACUAGACAUGGAGCUUGCACAGUUUGAAAAGCCUUUUUCUUAGGGACAUUUGUUCCGAAAAAUAAAAAUGAGAGGAAAUUGAUUAACUUCAUGGCUGCCUGAGGUAAACUAUCCAAAAACCUUAAAAUCUAGGAAUUAAGAUGACCAAAGAGGCUUUGAAAGCUCAGAUGUGUUCCCGAGAAUGUAGAAGGCCACAUGCCUUUGUAAAGCUGUUUGCAUGUCCAAGAAAGAUAUGACAAGGUCUUAAGCUCUCACUUCUGGCUAAACUUAAGACAUUACACAAGCAGGCAGUGAGGGAUAAAAUGGAGUUUUCAAUUGCCUGGCUGAGUGUUGAAUUUGGGCCCAAACAUGCACAAAAGCCCUUUGGCAAGGACUAGGAAAAUUAUUGGUGCCAUAUGACCACUAUACUUAGCAAAAAUUUCAGUCGUGACACAGAAUAAACAAUAUAGGCUUAAGGAAUUAGUGUAGAAAAGUAACUGAAGAAACAAAUAACAACUAACAGCAACAGCAAGAGACCCUGGGAAAUGGAGAAAAUCUGAUUACCAAAGUUGCUACAUUAGAUUAUUUGAAAAGUCCUGUUUUCAACAAAAACUUAUGAGAUGAGCAAAUAUACAGGAAAAUAUGGCUCAUACACAAAGGAAAAAAGCAAUUAAUAUAAUGUCUCCCUGAGGAUGCUCAGACAUUGUAUGUGCUAGACAAAGACUUCAAUUGUUUUAAGUAUAUCUAAAUAACUUUUAAUAAAACAUGUUUAUAGACCUAAUAGAAAAUACAAGAAUGAUGUCCCAUCAAAUUGAGAAUAUCAAUAAAAAGAAGUUCUGAAAAAUCAGUAGAAAUUCUUCAGUUGAAAAAUAUGAUAACUGAAAUGAAAAAUUAACUAAAGGAAUUUUACCCCAGAUUUAAGCAGGCAGAGAAAAGAAUAAGAUAGUGGGAAGAAAGGUCAGUUGAGUGCAUUCAGUGUAAGGAACAGAAUGAAAAAAGAAUGGAGAAAAGUGAAUAGAGACUUACAGAGCUGUGGCACAACAUUAAGGACAACAUUUAUGUAAUGAAAAACCAUAGAGGAGAAAAAGAAACUGGGCAGAAAAAAAAUGUGAAUAAAUAAUAGUCAAACUCUUUUUAAGUUGGAUAGAAAACAUUAAUAAAUUUAUCCAAGAAGCUCCACAAAUCUCAAGUAAGAUGAAAAAAAAAAAGAAAUCUACAAAGAGACACAUCCUAGUCAAAUGGUCGAAUGCCAAAGGCAUGGAGAAUCUUGAAAACACCAAGAGAGAAGUGACUCAUGUUUAAGGGAUCCUCAAUAAAAUUAACAGCUGCUUUCUCAUCGGAAAUGAUGUGGCCAGAGGCAAUGGGAUGACAUACUUAAGGUACUGAGAAAAAAAGACUUUCAACCAAAGAUUCUAUAGCUAGCAAAACCAUACUUCAAAAAAUAAGUGAAAACUUAAGACGUUCCUAAGGAAAAUAAUUCAUUGCUAGUAGACCUGCUGUACAAGAAAUACCAGAGGUAGUUUUUCAGGUUGAGAGAAAGUGACACCAGACAGUAAUUUCAGGAUCAGAUGAAAGGACCCUAGACAAUAACUUGAAUCUGCAUGAAAUCAUGAGUAGUAUUGCUAAAGGUAGCUAUAGGUAAACAUAAGAGACAAAACGUAUUCUUGCUUGUUAUAUUUUUCUUCUUUUAUCUCAUAUAAAAGACAACCACAUAAACCAAUAAUUAUAAAUCCAUGUUGAUGGAUACAGAAUUAUAAAAAUUAAUUUCUGUGUAAUAGCACAAUGAAAGGCAGUGGGAAUAGAGAGGUAUAGGAUAAAAGUUCUGAUAUAUUAUUAAAAUUGGUAUUAAUUUGACUAGACUGUUAUGGGUUAAGAUGUUCAUUGCAAUCCCCAGGGCAAUUAGUAAAAUAACUUUUAAAAACAUAUUAAAACAAAUGACAAGGGAAUUAAAAUGAUGCAAUAAAAAAUAUCUAUUUAACAGGAGACAGCAAUGGAAGAAUAGAGGGACGAAAAAAGACAUAAGACAUGAAAAUAUAUCAAAAUGGAAGAUGUAAAUUCUAUCAGUAAUUAUACUAAAUUUAAAUGAAUUCAACACUUCAAUCAAAAGCCAGAGGUUGAAAGAGUUAAUUUAGAAACAUGAUAUGCUUUCCAUAAGAGACAUAAUUUAGACUCAAGGUACAAAUAAGUUGAAUGUAAAAGGAAGAAAAAUUAUACGCCAAGAAGAUAGUAGUCAAAAGAGAGCUGGAAUGGCAAUACUGGUAUCAAACAAAACAGACUUUAAGACAAAAAUUGUUACUAAGACAAUAAGGAACAUUUUAUAAUGAUAAAAAGUUUAGCCCACAAAGAAGUUGUAAUAAUUAUAAACAUGUAGUAAGUUUUUACAUGAAGUAAAAACUUCAUUCUUUGAAGGGGGAAAUAGACAAUUUAAUAUAAUAGUUGGAGGCUUCAAUAUCUCACUUAUAAUGAUGGAUAGAACAAUUAGACAGAAUAGCAAUAAAGAAAAACAUAUUUAAACAAGACAACAAAGCAACUAGGCCUAAUAGAAACCUGUGGAACACUCUAAAAACAGCAAAACGGACAUCCUUCUCUAGUGCACAUGGAACAUUCUUAAGAAUAGACCAUAAAACAAUAGUCAAUAAAUUUAAAAUAAUUGAAGUCAGACAAAGCAUAUUCUCUGACCAAAAUGAAAUAAAAAUAAGGAAAUUUGAUAAAUUCACAAAUAUGCAGAAAUUUAAUGAUGCACUCUCAUAUAACCAAUGGGUCAAAUUAAAAUUACAAUAGAAAUUAGGAAAUAUUUUGAGAUAAAUAAAAACUAAAACUAUAGCAGGGUUUUAUAACAGUGCUUAGAGGGAAAUUUAUAGCUGAAAACAAUAUUUAAAAAGAAGAACAAUCUCUAAUCAAUAACCUCACUUCCCAUCUUACAACACUAGAAAACAAAGAGCUAAUUAAACACAAAAGAAGCAGAAUGAAGGUAAUAAUAAAUGUUAGAGAGAAGAUAAAUGUGAUACAGAAGAAAAAAACCAAUAGAGAAAAGAAAUGACUCAAAACAUGUUUUUUUAAACAGAUCAACAAAUUUGACAAAGCUAUAGCUAAGAGUGACCAAGAAAAGAGAGAGAGAAGACUCACAUUAUUAGAAUAAGGAAUGAAAGCAGAGAUGUUACUUGCAACCUUACAAAAAUAGAAAGGAUUAUAAGAAAAUACUAUGAACAAUUUUAUAUCUACAAAUUGUACAACUUAGAUAAAAUGAAAAAAUUCCUAGAAAUGCAAAACUACUGAAACUGAAUCAAGAAGAACCUAAAUAGAACUAUAUCAAGCAAAGAGAUUAAAUUAGAAAUGUAAAAACUUCCUACUAAAGAAAAGCCCAGAACCAGAUGGCUUUCCAUGGUUAAUUCUACCAAACAUUUAAAGAAGUUAAUAAAAAUAAGCAAUGGGGAAAGUACUCCCUAUUUAAUGAAUAGUGCUAGAAUAGCUGACUAGCCAUAUGCAAAAGAAUGAAACUGCACCCCUACCUUUCACUAUUUCCAAAAAUUAACUCAAGAUGGAUUAAAGAUUUAAAUGUAAGACCUGAAACUAUAAGAAUUCUAGAAGAAAACUGAAGAAACACCAUUCUGGACAUUGUUCUUGGGAAAGAAUUGAUGACUAAAUCCUCAAAAGCAAUUGCAACAAACAUGAAAAUUGACCAAUGGAACCUAAUUAAGCUAAAGAGCUUCUGCACAGCAAAAUAAAGUAUAAACUGAGUAAAUAAACAACCUAUAGAAUGGGAGAAAAUAUUCACAAACUAUGCAGCCAACAAAAGUCUAAUAUCCAGAAUUUUUAACAAACAAUUGAACAAGCAAAAAACAACCCCAUUAAAAAUGGGCAAAAUACAUGAACAAACACUUCUCAAAAGAAGACACGCAAGUGGCCAACAAACAUAUGCAAAGGGCCUCAACAUCGCUAAUCGUUAGAGAAAUGCAAAUCCAAACCACAAUGAGAUACCAUCUCACACCAGUCAGAAUGGCUAUUAUUAAAGUCAAAAAAUAACAGAUGCCGGUGAGGCUGCAGAGAAAAGGGAACACUUACACACAGUUGGUGGGAAUGUAAAUUAGUUCAGCCACUGUGAAAAGCAGUUUGGACAUUUCUCAAAGAACUAACAACAGAACUAUUAAUCGAUCCAGCAAUCCUAUUACUGGAUAUUUAUCCAAAAGAAAAUAAAUUAUUCUACCAAAAAGACACCUUCACUUGUAUGUUCAUCACACCUACAUUCACAAUAGCAAAGACAUGGAAUCAAACUAGGCACAGACCAAAAGUGGAUUGGAUAAAGAAAAUGUGGUACAUGUACACCGUGGGAUACUAUGCAGUCAUAAAAAUGAAUGAAAUCUUGUUUUUUUCAGCAACAUGGAUGCAGCUGGAGGCAAUUAUCCUAAGCAAAUUAACACAUGAACAGAAAAUCAAAUAAUAUUGUCAUUUAUAAGUGGGAGCUGAACAGUGGGUACUCAUGGACAUAAAGAUGGAAACAAUAGACACUCAGGGGUACCAUAUGGGGGAGAGGCAGGCAAGUUUUGAAAAACUAACUACUGGGUGCGAUGCUCGCUACCUGGGUGACAGCAUCAUUCAUAUCCCAAACCUCAGCAUCAUGCAAUACAUCCAUUUCACAAACUUGCACAUGUACCCCCAGAGUCUAAAAUAAAAGUUGUAAUUAUUUUUAAAAAAUCUAUUUCUAUUGCAGAUGACAUAAUCUUGUAUAUAGAAAAUCCUAAGGAAUCUAUAAAACAAAGGAUUAGAGCUCAUAAAUGACUUCUGCAAGAUUUAAGGAUACAAAAUCAAUAUACCUGUCAGUUGAAUUUCUGUACACUAGCAACGAAAUAUCAGAAAAUUAAGUCAUUUACAACAGUAUGAAAGAGUCAAAUGUUAAGAAUCACUCUAACUAAAAGAAAUGCAAGACUUGUACAAUGAAAACUAAAAGACAUCAUUGAAAGAAAUUAAAGAGAAACUAAAUAGAUGGUAAACAUCUUGUGUUUAUGAAUAAGAAGGCUUAAUAUUACUAAGAUACCAAUAACCCUCAAAGUGAUCUGUAGAUUGAAUGCAAUUCUUAUCGAAAUUACAGCUGGCUUUUUGCAGAAGUUGACAAGCUGAUUCUAAAAGUCAAAAAAUUCAAGUGAUCCAGAAUACCAAAGACAACCUUGAAAAGACAUAACAAAAUUGAAAAACUCACACUUCCUGAUUUCAAAACUUACUACAAAGUCACAGUAAUCAACACUGUGCUACUGGCAUAAAGAUAGACCCAUAGACCAAUGGAAUAGAGUCUAGAAAUGGACAUUUAUGUUUUUCUACCAGGGUAUCAAGAAAAUACAAUGAAUAAAGAAUAGUCUUUUUAAAGAACGGAGCUGGGAAACGAUCUCCACAUACAAACAAAGGAAGUUGGAUACCUCCACCUACCAUAUCCAAAAAUUAACUCAAACUAGAUUGAAGACUUAAAUGUAAAAGCUAAAUUUAUAAGCUUCUUAGAAGAAAAUAUAGGUGUAAAUGUUUGUGACCUUAGAUUAGGCAAUGAUUUCUUACAUAUGACACCUAAAAACAUACAAUCAAAAAAUAAUAAAUUGGACGGUAGUAAAAUUAAAAGUGUUUGUGCAUCAAAGGACAUUCUCAAAGAAGUGAAAAGACAAACUACUGAAUUAUAGAAAACAUUUGCAAAUUAUAUGUUUAAUAAGGGUCAAAUAUUCAGAAUCUAUAAAGAAUUCUUACAAAUCAAUAAAAGCAAAUAACCAACUCAAAAUAAUAAUAUAUUUGAAUAAACAUUUAUACAAAUAAAAUGGUCCAUAUGUACAUGAAAAGAUGCUCGACAUAAUUAUAAAUUAGGGUAGUGCAAACUAAAAUCACAAUGAGAUAUCACUUCACAUCCACUAGGACAGCUAUAAGCAAAACGAUAGACAAUAACAAAUGUUAGAUCUGUAGGCAUUGGACCCCUAACAUAUUGCCCAGAGUUAUACAAAAUAGUGCAGUAGUUUUGGAAAACAGUGCGGCAGUUCCUCAUUUGUUAAACUGCCAGUAUCACACAUAAGGGUUACCUUAUGAUCCAACAAUUCCACUCCUAGACUAUACCCAAGAGAAUUGAAAACACAGGUUCAAGCACGAUUUUGUACAUGAAUGUUCAUAGCUUUAAUUUUCAUAACACCAAAAAUAUAAGCAACCCAAAUGUCCAUUAACUGAUAAAUGGAUAAACAAAAUGUAUAUACAAGCAAUGGAAUAUUAUGCAGCCAUAUAAAAGAAUACAAUACUGAUGCUACAACAUGGAUGAACAUUAAAAACAUUAUGCCAAGUGAAAAAAGCCAGUCACAAAAAGUCAUUUAUUGUGUGCUUUCAUUUUUUUUUUUUUUUUGAGAUGGCGUUUUGCUCUUGUUGCCUACGUUGGAGGGCAAUGGUGUGAUCUUGGCUGACCGCAACCUCCACCUCCCAGGUUCAAGCGAUUCUCCUGCCUCAGCCUCCUGGGUAGCUGGGAUUACAGGCACAUGCCACCACGCCCAGCUAAUUUUGUAUUUUUAGUAGAGAUGGGGUUUCUCCAUGUUGGUCAGGCUGGUCUCGAACUCUCGACCUCAGGUGAUCCGCCUGCCUUGGCCUCCCAAAGGGCUGAGAUUACAGGUGUGAGCCACCACACCCGGCACUUAUAAUAAUUUUUUAUAUAUUCAAAAAGACAGGUGUUAAGUAGAGUCAUGGAAGAUAUUAGAAUACCCAAAUAAAACUUUUAAAGAAGAAAACUACAAUAUUUAAGACAAAAAAUACACUGGGUAGGAUUCACGGCAGACUCAAAGCCAGAAAAGAAAAUAUUAGUGAACUUAAAGACAUAGCAUAUGUCAUUUUUAUGACAUUUUCAGAAUAGGCAAAAAGACAGAAAGUGGAUUAAUUGUUGCUAGGAGGUAAGGCAAGAGGAUAGUGAAGAGUGAGUACUAGUGAAUAUAGCGUUUCGUUUUGGAUGUCAUGAAAAGAUUCGGGAACUAUAUAGUGGUGAUAUUUGCACAACCUUGUGAAUAUACUAAAAACCACUAAAUAUAACAUCAUUUUAAAAGGCUACAUUUUAUGGCAUGUUAAUUACAUCACAAUUAAAAAACAACAACAAAAACUGGCGGGACCUGAUUUCAUAGCUGGCCUUAGUUUGCUGAUGCCUGCUCUAUAAUUUCUUUGACUGAUAGCUCCUCAAUAGCUGCCCAGAUACUUCCAGGAAUUGGAGGCAAUUCGUUGGCAUGGCAGUUAUAUUUACGAAAAUCUCUAUUUAGCACUGUAGUAUACUGAUUAAUAACUUUUGCUCUCAAAAUGGAAUAUAUACAUUAGAAUCCACUACUUAUCUAUAUAAGGCAUUAGGGAAACUGUUGAAACUAAGCUUUGGUUUCCUCAUCUUAAAAAUGAGGGCAAUAAUAGUACCUAACAUUAGAGCUAUUUUGUGAGUAUUAGUUUAGAUAAUAUAUAAAAUGGUUUAGAACAAUGCUUGGUUUGUAGCAAGAACUCAAUUACAUUGUUAGAUGAUUGUAUUAACAAACCUACUGUGCUUCCAGUCAUAUAAAAGUAUAGCACAUACAAUUACGUAUAGCACAUAAUACUUGAUGAGGAAAAUAAAUGAUUAUACUACUGGUUUAGGUAUUUACUAUGCUGUACUUCUUAUCAUUUUAGAGUGUACUCUUUCUACUUAUUAAAAAAAUUAACUGUAAAACAGCCUCAGGUACAGACUUUCAGGAGUUAUUCCAGAAAAAGUCAUUGUUACAGGACCUGACAGCUCCGUGUGUGUUAUUGCCCCUGAAGACCUUCCAGUGUGACAAGAUGUGGAGGUGGAAGAGAGUGACAUUGAUUAUCCUGAUCCCAUAUAGGCCUAGGCUAAUGUGUGUGUGUGUCUUAGUUUUUAGCAAAAUGUUUAAAAAGUUUUAAAAAAUUAAAAAUUGUGUAGAAUAAGGAUAUAAAAAAAAUAUUUUUGUACAGCUGUAAAAUAUGAUUGUGUUUUAAGGUAAGAGUUUUUACAAGACAGUCAAAAAGUAAAAAAAAAAAUUAAAAGUUUAUCAAGUAUAAAAGUUACAGUAGGCUAAGGGCAAUUUAGUAUUGAAGAAAGAAAAGUUUUGUUAUUAAUUUAGUGUAACCUAAGUGUCUAGUGUUGAUAAAUUCUACAGUAGAGUACAGUAAUGUCCAAGGCCUUCACAUUCACUCACCACUCACUCACUGACUCACCCAGAACAACUUCCAAUCCUGAUAGCACCAUUCACAGUAAGUGCCUUAUACAAGUGUACCAUUUUUUAUCUUUCAUAACAUAUUUUUAAUGUACCUUCUCUAUGUUUAGUUAUGUUUAGAUGCACAAAUACCAUUGUGUUACAAUGGCCUGCAAUAUUCAGUACAGUAACAUACUGUACAUGUUUGUAGUCUAGAAGCGACAGGCUAUACUAUCUAAGAUUGUGUUGAGUGCACUCUGUGAUGUUCCCACAAUGAUGAUAUCUCCUAACAAUGCUCCAUUAUUAAGCAAUGCAUCCUGUAUAUAGAGAAGACAUAUGCCUCUCUGUAGCCUCUGUCCACUUCUGUUCUCAACUCCUAUCCUGAUUCAGUCUAAUCCUUUUUUUAAAUUUAAAGGCAAGUGAUAUUUUUAAGAAUUUUUUGAAUCAACUUUACUCAGGUAUAAUUUGCAUACAAUAAAAUUAAACCAGAUAAAAUGUACUCAAUGAAUACAUAAAAGCAUACACCCUCAACUACCACUGCAGUAAACAUGUAGAACAUUUUUAUCACUACUAAAACUUUCCUAAUGGCACCUUUCGGUCAAUCUUUUCUCUACCCUCAGUCUCCACUGAAUUUUUUGCAUUGUAGUGAAACAUACAUAACAUUUACCAUUUUAAACAUUGAUAAGUAUAUAGUUCAGUGGCAAUAACUACAUUCACAUUGCUGUGCAACCACCACCAUCAUCUGUAUCCAGAAAAGUUUCAUCUUUCCAAAUUUUUGAAACUCUUCCCAUUGCCAUCUCCCCCUAAUCCCUAGCAAUCACCAUUCUACUUUCUGCCUGUAUAAAUUUGACUGCUGUGAAUAGCUCAUGUACGUGGAAUCACAUAAUAUUUGCCCUUUUGCGUCUGGCUUAUUUCACUAAACAUAAUGUCUUCAAGGUUCACCCAGGUUUUUGCAUGUGCUGGAAUUUCAUUCCUUUUUAAGGCUGAAUAAUAUUCUUUUGUACAUAUGUACUGCAUUUUGCUUAUUCAGUCAUCUGUCAAUCAACAUGUGUGUUCUUUCCACUUUUUGGCUAUUGUGUAUGAUGAUGCUAUGAACAUUGGUGUACAAAUAUCUCUUCAAAUCCUUUCUUUCAAUUCUUUUGGGUAUAUACACAAAAAUAGAAUUGCCAGAUCAUAUGGUAAUUCUAUGGUUAAUAUUUUGAGGAACUGCCACACUCCUGACCACAGGUGAUCCACCCGCCUCGGCCUCCCAAAGUGCUGGGAUUACAGGCAUAGGCCACUGCACCUGGCCACUCAUUGUGUUUUUUAUUUGCCUUUCCCUAAUGAUAAAUGAUACCCACUAUCUUUUAAUGUGUUUACUGGCCAUUGUAUAUCUUCUUUGGGGGAAUAUCUAUUUGAGUUCUUGGUCUAUUUUUUAAAUUGCAUUGAUUGUUUUUUUGUGUUGAGUUGUAGGAGUUCUUGGUAUACUCUGGAUAUUUAUCUCUUGUUAGAGACCUGAUUUGAAAAUAUGUUCUCCUAUUCUGUGAGUUGCCUUUUCACUCUGUUAAUAGUUUCCUUUGAUGACAAAAGUUUUAAAUUUGAUGAAAUCCAAUUUAUCUAUUUUCCUUUUGUUGCCUGUGCUUUUGGGGGCUAUAACUAAGAAAUUGUUGCUGUAUUCGAUGUCAUGGAGCUUUUUGCAUAUGUUUUCUUCUAAGGCUUUUACAUUUUCAGCUCAUACAUUGAGGUCUUUAUUUGAAUUAAUUUUGUAUAUGAUAUAAAGUAAAAGUCCAAAUUCAUCUUCAUGCAUGUGGAUAUGGUUUUCCCAGCAUCAUUUGUUGAAAAGAUCCUCCUUUCCCCAUUCUUAAAGGUGAAAAACACUUUUCCCAAAGGUGCAAAACACCUUUUUUGCAAGGUGUUGCAAGGUGCAAAAAAGAUGUUUUGCACCUUGAAGAAAAUCUUUUGACCAUAUAUGCAGGGUUUAUUUAUGAAAUAUCUACCUUAUUCCAUUAGCCUAUGUGUCCGUCUUGAUGCCAGUAUCACACUUUUGAUUACUAUGUGGCUUUGUAUUAAGUUUUGAAAUCAGAAAAUCUGACACCUUCAACUUUGUUCUCCUUUUUCAAGAUUGUCUUGAAUACUCAGCAUCCCUUGAGAGUCCAUAUGAAUUUUAGCAUGGAUUUUUCUAUUUCUGCAAAAAAUGUCAUCAGAAAUUUGAAUUUGAUAGGAAUUGUACUGAAGCUGUUGAUCACUUUGGGUAGUAUUGACAUCAUAACAAUAGAAAUUGUAUUCUAAUCCAUAAACAUGAGAGAUCUCUCUAUUUAUUUUUCUUUUUCCUUCAGCAGAAUUUUAUAGUUUUCAGUGUACAAGUCUUACCUCUUAGGUUGUUUACUCCAAAGCAUUUUAUGUUUUUGAUGCUCUUAUAACUGGGAUUGUUUGCUUGAUUUCCUUUGUAGAAUGUCAAUUAUCGAUGUACAGAAAGAGAUCUGAUUUUUGCGCAUUGAUUUUGUGUCCUGCAAUCAGUCUUUCAGGCCACCCCCAGACAAGUUAGAACAAUGAAAAAAUGUCUGCUCUGCUCCCUCUAUUUUGAGGGAAGGAAUUGGGAACUGGGUUGUUGCUUUUUCACUGCUGCAUUAUGCCACGUUGGGAAAUGGGUGAGGCAAAAGUGAGUAAAAACAUCACAUUUCCUAAUGUUUUGAAUGUGGCUUUUUCUUGAUUAGGCAUUCAUUUGACCACUAUAGACCUUUGACUAUUUUCGGAGCUCCGAAAAAAAUUAUUUUAGCCAAUAUUUGUCUAUCUAUGUAUCUGUCUAUGUAUCUGUCUGUCUAUCUAUCUGUCUGUCUGUCUGUCUGUCUAUCUGCCUAUCUGCCUGUCUGUCUAUCUAUCUGUCUGUCUGUCUGUCUAUCUAUCUAUAUCUAUCUAUCAUCUAUCUGCCUAUCUGUCUGUCUGUCCGUCUAUCUGUCUGUCUGUCUAUCUAUCUACCUACAUACCUUCCUGUGGGGGAACAAGUGCAUGGAGUUUCCUUUUAUGCCAUGUUUCUGACGUCACUCCAAAUUCCAAGGCAGUGAUUUUGAAAACUAUUUUGUCACCUUCUAUUUCCUAGGUUAGAUAUCACCACCUUCUUCAAUUAUUCUCUAAAAUUUGGCAACAUCCAUAUAGUUCCCUAUGAUUCCUCAUACAUGAAUAGUAAAGUUUGGUGAUUCCAUUGACAGAUUUCUUCAGGGCAGGUCAAUCCUCUUUGCCACCUUAUACACCCAUGUUUUUUUUUCAGUUAUUUUAAAUAAUAUUUUUAAUGCUCUGCAAUUAUGACAUAUGUUGAAAAAACGCAACUUAAGAAUGAGAUUUUCUGCUUUUUCUUGUCACUUAUGAAAAUUCUACCAUCUCUUUAAGAGUUUAAUUCACUUUGACCAUUACCCGCCUACACAUUCUUCUCAUACUUACCUUGGACACAAUCAUAAAACUUUAUAAUUCUAGGUUCAACAAAAAGCUUAAUUUUCAGUUUCACUGGUUGCUUUGGGUACUUUCCUCUUUUUCUUCUCUACAUUAUUCAUAUUAUCAUCGACAUAAUUCUAUUUGUGAGAACAUUCAACACUCUUUAAUCAUUAUCUUGUAUUCUAGAAUCUCGUAUAAUGGGAUCAAGCAUACCUUUCUGCUUAACCCGUUGAUCUCUCUCUUUCUGAAGUUCAGAGAAAUAUAGCAAUAUCCAAAUAGUUCAAUUGCGGGUGGAACUACAAAUAUGUCAAAAUGAAGUUUACUUUUUUUUUUUUUUUUUUUUUUUCUUUUUUUUUUUUUUUUGAGACGGAGUCUCGCUCUGUCGCCCAGGCUGGAGUGCAGUGGCGGGAUCUCGGCUCACUGCAAGCUCCGCCUCCCGGGUUCACGCCAUUCUCCUGCCUCAGCCUCCCAAGUAGCUGGGACUACAGGCGCCCGCCACUACGCCCGGCUAAUUUUUUGUAUUUUUAGUAGAGACGGGGUUUCACCGUUUUAGCCGGGAUGGUCUCGAUCUCCUGACCUCGUGAUCCGCCCGCCUCGGCCUCCCAAAGUGCUGGGAUUACAGGCGUGAGCCACCGCGCCCGGCCUGAAGUUUACUUUUAAAAACAAGUGAGUCAGAAAAAUUUAAGGAGCAGCCGUCUCCUGGCAGCUAAUUAAAAAAUAGCAACCAUUCUUCCAUCUGAACGAGUCUGUGUCUUAGAAGCAUGGAGUUACUGACUUGUAUUACAUGCCUGCAUGUUUUUCAUUCUCUUGAAAAAAGUAUUGUUUACAUUCUGUAUUAGUUUGCUAGGGCUGCUGUAACAAAGUGCCACAAACUGAGUGACUAGAAACAACAGAAAUCUAUCUUGUCACUGUUCUGGAGGCUGAAAGUCUGAAAUCAAGGUGUCAACAGGGCCAUACUCCCCCUGAGAUUCUGGGCAGAAAAUGCUUCCUUGCCUCUUUCUGAUUUCUGGUAGUGGCUGGCAAUCCUUAGUAUUCCUUGGCUUUCAGCUGCAGGCAUUUCAAUUUCUGCUUCUGUCAUCACAUAAUGGCCUCAUGGUGUGUCUCUGUCGGUGUCUCUUCUCUUCUUAUAAAUACAUCAGUCAUACUGGAUGAAGGCCCCCUGUAAUGACCUCUAUCUGCAAAGACUAUUUCCAAAUAAGUUAACAUUUACAGGUACCAGGGGCGAGAACUUUAACAUAUCUUUUUGUGGGACACAAUUCAAUUCGUAACACACUACAAACUUGAGAUGAUUUUUGCACUUUUUUAGUGAUUAAUUCUGAAACACCCCCACCCUCCUUUUUCAAUUACUUUGAUAAGCAUCACUGCAGACACUCUCUCUUAAGUGCAUCUUCCAGUGGUACAUAGAAUUGCUGUUGAUGAUGAGACAUUUUAGGAGAACUAAAUUCUAAUUAACUUUGUCACUGAUUAACUUUGCCUGUGUUUUUUAGGGAACAGGGAAAGGAUCUAAAGAUUAAUGCAGAUCGUCACAGGUGGCAGCAGACUAGGACCCAGAUGUUCACAAAUCUUUUCACCUCUCAGUGAAAUAUACUUAGUUUAAAGAAAAAAUCGAAGGAAAAAUUUAGGAAGGCAUUCAAUACAAUUGACUUCUUACAACUUUUCUCUGCGUUGUUAGCCAUCUACUUGUAGAAAUAAUAAGAAAUAGGAAUAUGGACAAAAUCAAGGAAUUGAAAGUUCAAAAGAAAAUCCUACCUGAUUAAUCAGUUCCUGAACAAACUAAGAUUUGUCUGUCAUAUGAGACUUAACAUUUCCACUCAGUAUAACAAUAAGUAACUAUUUUAGAAAUAAAAAACAUUGUCAUGUACACUGUAACGUAGGAAAAUCUUGUCUUGUCAAUUUUAUACAUUAACAUUAAAGCAAUUCCUUUAAAUUUUGAGAGAGUCUUUCCCCCUAGGAAUUGCUUAGAAAUGAAAAUCUAUAAUGCAAAUCUCGACUUCUUUGUGACUCAGAAUCCCAGACUUAAUAAAAAGUGUGUCUCUGUAUACUCAGGCUAUUUUCUUGCUAAUAGUAAAUGAUACAUUUUAUUUAACAAUUUGUCCCUGGCCAGUGGGAAAGAUGGAAUUGUUAGACAAUCAAGGGAGGGACUUUAUGCAAACCAUUACUAUUUGUCAGUGCAUUGAGAAUAAUCUUGAGAAUAAUCAUGAACACACAGUAGGUAUUCAGCUAAUGUCUUCCUAAUCCCUGCACACAUUACAGGAUCCUGGAGAUAAUGAGUGUUAGUUCCACAUUAAGAUCCAUGCAGCCUGUUACAAACUAAAAUUUUUACAAUUAUUUUUAUUGUAAUUAAAAUUGAAUAAUAAAUGUGAAAGAAUUUUAAAGUACCUUACAAAUGCAAGCUAUUAAUAUAAUUAAUGAGUUGACAAAUGACAUUUUUAAGAAAUGUGAGCUUUUCUCGGUCAUGUAUUUCUUCCCUUCUAAGGGCAGUACAGUGUUUCACAUUUUUUCAUUAAAUUCACUUAUUCCUCUGGUUCAUAUUAUCAAAUAACUUUGAAAUGUCUUUCAUGUGAAAUAUAUGUGUGGCUGAGAGAGAACAAAACUCUAAUUGUGCUCAUACUGCAGAACUUAAAAUAGAUUAAUAAAAUUAAGCCUCAUCAUAGUUUGAAAAUAUUUAUGAGGCAUCCAUUUUGUACAACACUUUAUAAAAUCUGUACUGUUGAAAUGUGAGUUAACAUAUUUAAAGUCAUGAUCAAUUUAAAAUUUGGUGAAAUUUAAAUAAGAAACUUUCAGUGAAAUCUAGGAAAUUUGAAAAGAAAUGGUGUCCUGAUAGGAAUGAAUUUGAGAGAACAAUAGAGAAAUAUGGUUGCCAGUUAAAUACUGUUUUUGUUGGAAAGAGGGUAGCCUCAAAUUCUGGUUAUGUAUGGAAAAAGAAAAAGAACUAUGGGUAGAAGUGGAGGUUAUAUAGAACAAAGAUAGCAGUGAUCUCAUCAUCUCCCCUCUCCAUUCCUUAUUCCAUGCUCAAAACCUGUGUCAGCUAGAUCAUUGCAACAGUCUCCUCUCUGGCUUCCCUGCCUCCAGUCUUCCAUCUAUCCAAACCAUUCUCUGUGAUGCAACCAGAAUUAUACUCCUCUGUUGAAAAUCUUUUAAUGACAAUCCAUUUCUUUCAAAAUGAAUGCCAAGCUUGUUACAAUGCCCUUUAAGUUUCAUCACACUUAUGUUUUUCUCUCUAGCCUCAUUUCUCCUCCUCUUUUUGCUCACUGCUGUCACUGUCUUAUCCUCAAGAGCCAGUAAUGCUGAAAUAAUCAGAAUUCCUCAGUGUCAUUGUAUUUUCUCAUUAGCUUUGGGCUCUUUUCACAUGCUAAGUCUCUAAUAAUCUUUAUUUUUUAGAACAGUUUUAGGGUCACAGAAAAAUAGAGCAGAAAAUAUGGAAAGUUCUCAUUUUCCCAUAUACCCCCAUUUUCCUCACAUGUACAGACUCCCCCAUUAUCAACAUGCCCCACCAGAGGGACACAUUUGUUACAAUUGAUGGAUGUAUUUUGACACACAUUAUUUUCAAAGACCAUAGUUUAUUUUAGGGUUAUUUCUUGGUGUUGUACCUUCUAUGGAUUUGGACAUACUCUUACCAGAUGAUACAGCAGUGACGCUCCUAAAUAUCUACCCAAAGCAGUUGUGGACACAUUCUCAACUUCUUUAGGUAGAUAUUUAAGAGCGUCACUGCUGUAUCAUCUGGUAAGAGUAUGAUUAGUUUUGUAAGAAACUCCCAACUAUCUUCCAAAGUGGCUAUAUUAUUUUGCAUUCCCACCAGAAAUGUAUGAAAGGUCCUGUUUUUCCACAUGUUCACCAGUAGUCAGUGUUGUCAGUGUUACGGAUUUUGGCCAUUUUAAUAGGUAUGUCAGGUAUCUCAUUAUUGUUUCAAUUUGCAUUUCACUUAUGACAUAUGAUGUGGACCACGGCUUCAUAUACUUUUUUGUCAUGUGUGCAUCUACUUUAUCUACUUUGGUGAGAUGUCUGUUAAGGCCUUUGGCUCAUUGCUUAAUUGAGCUGUUUGUUUUAUCAUUGUUUUAAGAGUAUUUUGUAUAUUUUGGAUAACAACACUUUGUCAGAUAUCUCUUUUGCAAAUAUUUUCUCUCAGUCUGCAUUUUGUCCCUUGACAGGGUCAUUUGCAGAAAAGAAUUUUUGAAAAUUGAAUAAAAUCCAGCUGUCAGUUCUUUUUUUAUUGAUUGUAAUGGGUGCCAUAUCUAAAAUGUCAUCUCAAAACCCAAGAUCAUGUAGAUUUUCUCCUAUGUUAUUUUCUAGGAGUUUUGUACUUUGUGAUUUACAUUUAGGUCUGUGAUCCAUUUUGAGUUCAUUUGUUUUUAAGUUUUAAUUUUUAUGGGUACACAGUAGGUGUAAAUAUUUAUGGGGUACAUGAGAUAUUUUGAUACAGGCAUACAAUGCAUAAUAAUCCCAUCAGGGUAAAUGGGGUAUUCAUCACUUCAGUAAUUUAUCCUUUGUGUUGCAAACAACUGAAUUAUACUUUUUUAGUUAUUGUAAAAUGUACAAUAAAAUUAUUAUUGGCUAUAGUCGCCCUGUUGUGCUAUCAAAUACUAGAUAUUAUUUAUUCUAUUUUUUUGUACCCAUUAACCAUCCUCACUCUUCUCCACCCCACCGCCUCCCGGCAACUACCCUUCCCAGCCUCUGGUAACUAUCAUUCUACUCUCUAUCUCCAUGAGGAUUUUGAGUUAAAUUUUUGCGAAGUAUUUUGUAAUUUUUGUGAAGGGUGUAAGCUCUUUGUCUUGAUUCAUUUUCUUUUAUGUGCAUGACCAGUUAUUCUGGCACCAUUUGCUGAAAACUAAUAAUCUUUUCAAGACUUCUCAAGGCCGGAUUUGGUAACCACUUUAUAUGAUCCCAUAGGACUUAUCAGACUUGAAAACUGCUAAAAAUAUUUCACGGAUCAGUUAAAAGGUUAACUACUCUGUGACUCCUUCCUUGACUUCUCCAGGCAGAAUUAUGCUCCUUUUGUGCUAUGUACAUUUCUCAAUUGUGGCUAUUACAUUAUUGCAUUUUAGUCCUUUGUCUGCCCAUCUCACUCUUUUCUGUACACACAUUAUCUCAGAAAUGUGACUAAUACAAAGUGGAUGCUCAAAAAAUAUUUGUUGAAUGGCUAAAUCUAUCAAUAAAUCAACCAGUCAGUCCAUAACAGUAGGUAUUUAAAUAAUGAUAGCCAAGCAAGAGAUCUUAAUUUAAGGAAGCAUACACUACUAAAGCAAUUUCAAUUGAUUCUCAGAAUAGCAGAAGAAAUCAAAGGAAAAAGUAUUGCUUUCAGUGGCCAUAAUUUAUAAACAAGAACUGUUAUUUAUAGUAUCAUAGCUAAAAAUAAAUUAAUGUUUGUGUCGACAGCACAGAUUUCUGAGGAUAUCUAGGUUGAACUAAUCUACAAUAGAUAAUUAUGGGAAUUAAUUUUGAAAGGAAUUUCAUACGCCAAAGUGAUUGUGCACCUAUAAAUAUUUAAAUAGAUUGUUUUUAAAAUGUGUUAUGCAGAUAUUUAUAAUUCGUGCCAAGACAAAUUUUAAUUAUAAAAUCAACUGGAAUAUUAGAGGUAAAAGAUUUAUAGCACUCUACCACUUCCAGCAGUCGUGGAGUAGUUUGUUUGGACCAAUUAUACUUCUGAGAAACCUAGAAAAUCUGGAUAACAUAUAAAAUAACAUCUAUUUGAGCGCAAAGCAACCUACCAAGACAGUUCGCAUUUGUAGAGACAUGAUAUCUCAGAGAAGGGAAACCUAGAAGGUGAGACCAAUUUGGCACCUCUAAGUCCCUUAAAGGAUUUAUGCAGACAUAGCCAAAUGCAGUGACUGAAGACCGAAAACAUAAGAGAGCUGUUUUCAGGAUCUCAGAUCUACAGGAGAAAAAUUGGAGUUUAAAACUUGACAAGAAGGAGAAGACUUGGUAAACACUUGAGGCUUUAAGUUAGGACCUGGAAGGGUUAUAUUCUAAGGGUAAGGGUGAAUGAGAAAUAGAAUAGCCCUCACCAAAACUAAAGGCCAACUUUAAAUCAGUUAAAUCCUUGAUUGGAAUAAUACAAUCUGUCCUUAGCCUAACUGCUUGCCAGAAGCAAAAUUAAAUUAUCCCAGAAGUAUUACAAUAUCCAGAGCUUCAAAUAAUCUCAACUAUUUUUCAUAUACAAUAAUCGGCAGCAAAUAAAAAAACCAUCAGGCAUGGAAAAAGUCAAAAAUUAACUGAAAACCAAGAAAAAUAAGCAGACGAUAUAAACAAACUCAUGUAGAAUCUAGCUAUUUAGUUUUUAGACAUGAACCUUUAAAAAUGAUUAACAAGUUUAAGAAAUUCAGUGAUAAGGUGAAGUAUUCAGCAGAGGGCUGGUAACUAAAACAACCAAAUAGGAAGUCUAGAAUCAGAAAAUAUAAUUAUUGAAACUAAGAAUAGAUGGAUGAGUUUAAUAGCAUAUUAGAGAUGAAGGAAAAAAAAAGAAAACAGACCGAAGUAUGGGUGAGGACUGAGGAGAAACUGUCUAGACUGACGCACUGAGACAAAAAGGUUCAAGAAACAUAUGGGACGUGGGAAAAAUUCUGAUAUAUGUGUAGUUGGCAUCAUGGAAGGGGAGAGAAAUCAGAAAAUCGGGCAGAUACAAUAAUUACAGAGAAAUGGCUGAGAAUUUUUCAAAACUGAUAGGUAAUAUCAAGCUACAGAUUCAAGAUGUACUACACACCCCAAGUAGGAUAAAUGCAAAGAAAAAUGCAGGUAGGCUCCUCAUAAUAAAACUCAUUAAAUUGAAUUUUUUAUUUUAAAAGCAGUCAGAGGGAGGAAAAAUACAUAUCACUGUUAAAUUUGUGGUUACUUUGCUUCUACAGGCAUUUCCCUGAAGACAACACAAAUUGAACUUUUUUUUAUAUGGGAUUCACAUCCAGUCCAUGGAAAACAUUGGAAGCAUACACCUAUAUACAUAAGCCAAUCUCUGAAGGUGAAGACUAUUUCCAAAUAGCAGUGUCUUUCUGUUCUACUACUUAAAUGCGUGAUCCAGUCUUUCACCUUUAGAUUUCGCAGACAUGAAUCAGUUACCAGCACCUUUGUCCUCAAGAUAUCCCCCCAAAGCAACACAUAUUAAUCUCCUCUGAAACCCCAUUAUUUGGUUUAGUGAAGUAAGUAUACCCCAUUGGCAUGGAGUUGGAGAGUCAGAUAAAGACAAAAUUACUUAUUUCCCUGUAGGUUAUGGUAAAAAUAUGUGUGUGAGUGCAUACAUUUUCAUAUAUACAUGUUUGGGUCUUUUCUAAGUGCCAUUGGAAGCCUUGACGUGUGUUAAGGACUGAUAAAAUGAGGUUUGCAUUUUUUAAAAUACCAGUAUGUUUGCAGUUUGGUAAUAAGAGUAGUUGGGGUAGUAAAAGAGAAACCAGGAAGACCAAUUAAGAGACUACUGAAGUACUUCAAACUAGAGAUUACUGUGGCUUGGACUUGAAAGGUAACAAUAAAUAUAAAAAUAAGUACAUAGAUUAUAAAAAUACUUUGAUAGUUUCCAUUGAGGUGGCCCGGGUUAUAUUUUUUUCUGCUACUCUGACAUUAUCUGUUGUGUUUUAUGUCACUAUAGAGGGGAGUUGGGUGGGGAGUGGUUAAUGUAUUUUUCCUCUUUUUCGAUACUUAAAAGAGGCAAUAUUUGGGAGCUGGAGCAAGACGACUGAAUAUAGCCCUUCAGUGAUCAUUUCCCCUCAGGAUGACCAAAUUGAGCAACUAUUCAUGCAAGAAAGCACCUUCAUAGAAACCAAAAUAGGUGACAACCACAGUACUUGGUUUGACUAUAUUAUCAAGGAAAGAGUCAUUGAAGAGGGUAGAAAAGACAGUCUUGCAUUGCCUACAGCACCCCUCCCUGAACCCCAUGUAGUAUAGCAUGAAGACAGAAUCUGUGUACUUAGGCAAGAAAGACCAAAGUGAGAGUGGACCUUUGGAACUCAGUGCUGUCCUGUCACAGUGUAACACAAUACAGAGAAGAAUUCUGCUCGCACCCAUGAAGGGAGCAUUUAGACCAGCCCUGGGCUAGAAAUUCCCAGCCCCAGCAGGAGGAAACAGUUCUGGCUGGCUUCACCACCAGCUGACUAAAGUGACCUGGGGCUUGGAAUAAAUUUGAGUGGCAGUCAGGUUAGAAGGACUGCAGUCCUAGGGCAAGCCCUGAUGCUACAACAGUCUUGGAGGCAGUGGACUUGGUGCAUGACCCAGAGUGACACCAGCUGUGUCAGGCAAAGGAGUGCCUGCAUCGCCCCUCCACCAACUCCAGGCAGUACAGCUCUGAGAGAGACUCCUUCCACUUGGGGAAAGGAGAAGGAAGAAUACAGAUAACUUUGUCUUGCAACCUGGGUACCAUAGUAAUAGUAAUAAAAAGCAGCAGGCAUAUUCCUGAAGCUCCAGAGUCCAGAUCUUUGCUCCUGGACAGCAUUUUCAGACCCACUGUGGCCAGAAAGGAAUCCAUUGCCUUGAUGAGAUGCACCCAGUUUCAGAAGAAUUUACCAUCCACUGACUAAAGUGGUCUUGGACUUUGAAUAAACAGCAGCAGCAGCCAGGCAGCAGUGGCCACAGGCCAGUAUUGUGCUGGUCUGCAAAGCUUCAGGUGCAGCAAUGUGGAGUGCCAGCUGUGUUGGCCACAGGAGUGUCCAUACCAGCGUUUCACCAACUCCACUGCUGAAUUAUACCAAACAUUUAAAGAUGAACUAAUACCAAUCCAGUUUAAACUAUUCCAAAAAAUUGAGGCAAAGGAAAUGCUUCCAAUCUUAUUCUACAAGACAGAUGUAAUACCCAGAUAACAAAACCAGAUGAAGACACAACAACAACAAAACUACAGGCCAACAUCUCUGAUGAACAUAGAUGUAAAAAUCCUCAACAACAUACUAGUAAAUAGAACUCAACAACACAUUUAAAAGAUCAUUCAUCUUGAUCAAGUGAGAUUCACCCCAGAGGUGCAAGCAUGGUUUAAAAUACAUAAAUUAAUAAAUGUGAUUCAUCAUAUCAACAGAAUGAAGGACAAACCUAUAUGAUCAUUUCAUUAGAUGUAGAAAAAGUAUUCAAUAAAACUUAACAUCCCUUCAUGAUAAAAACUCUCAAAAAACUGGGUAUAGAAGGAACAUACCUGAACAUCAUAAAAACCAUAUAAGAAAAAUCCACAGAAAGUAUCACACUGCAUAGGAAAAAAAAACUGAAAGCAUUUUCUCUAAGAUCUGGAACAAGACCAGGAUGCCCACUUUCAUCACUUUUAUUCAACAUAGUACUAGAAGUCCUAGCUAGAGAAAUUAGAAAAGAGAAAGAAAUAAAGGACGUCCAAAUUAGAAAUGAAGUCAAAUUAGCCUUGUUGGCAGAUGAUCUGAUUUCAUAUUUAGAAAAACCUAAAGAUUCCACCACACAACUGUUAGAACUGAUAAACAAAUUCAGUAGAGUUUCAGGAUAAAAAAUCCACACAAAAAAAACAGUAGCAUUUCUGUAUGCCAUAAACAAACCAUCUGAAAAAGAAACCAAGAAAGUAAUCCCAUUCACAAUAGCUGCAAAUGAAAUUAAAUACUUAGGAAUUAACCGAAGAAGUGAAAUAUCUCUACAAUGAAAACUAUAAAAUGUUGAUGAAAGAAAUUAAAGACAUAACAACAAAAUGGAAAGAUAUUCCAUGUUCAUGGGUUAGAAGAAUCAAUGUUGUUAAAAUGUUUAUACAGCCCAAAAGAAUCUACAGAUCCAAUGCAAUCUCUAUCAAAAUAAUGUUCUUCACAAAAAUAGAAAAAGCAAUCCUAUAAUUUAUGUGGAGCCACAAAAGACCCAAAAUAGCCAAAGCUAUCCUAAGCAAGAAGAACUAAACUGGAGGAAUCACAUUACCUGGCUUCAAAUUAUAUUAUAAAGCUACAGUAACCGAAACAACAUGGUACUGGCAUAAAAACAGACACAGGGACCAAGGAAAUAGAACAGAGAACUCCAAAAUAGAUUCAUGCAUUUAUAGUCAGCUCAUUUUUCACAAAAGCGCCAAAAACAUACACUGAGGAAAGAACAGCAUCUUCAAUAAAUUGUGUAGAAAAAACUGGAUAUCCACAUGCAGAAGGAUGAAGCUGAAUCCCAUCUCUCAUCAUAUACAAAAAUCAAAUAAAAAAUAAAGACUGAAAUGUAAGACCCCAAAUUAUAAAACUAUUAGAAGAAAACAUUGAACAAACACUCCUGCACAUUGGCCUGGGCAAAGAUUUCUUGAGUAAGACAUUAAAAGCACAGGCAAUCAAAGCACAAAUGGAUAAAUGAUAUCACACCAAGAUAAAAAGCUACUUCACAGCAAAGGAAACAAUUAACAAAGUGAAAAGAGAAUCUACAGAAUGGGAGAAAACAUUUGCUAACUACUAAUCUGAGACGGGAUUAAUAACUAGAAUAUAUAAGGAGCUCAAACAACACAAUAAGAAUAAAACCAAAUAAUCCAACUUAAAAAUUUGCAAAAAAUAUGAAUAAACAUUUCUCAAAAGGAGACAUGCAAAUGCCCAACAGGUAUAUAAAAAACCUCAACAUCACUAAUCCCCAGAGAAAUGCAAAUCAAAACUACAAUGAGCUAUAAUCUCAUUCCAGUUAAAUAGCUUUUUAGGCGAGGCACUGUCCUAGCUACUCUGGAGGUGAAGGUGAGAGGAUCACUUGAAUCCACGAGUUUGAAUUCAGUCGAGGCAACACAGGAAGACCCUGUCUCUAAAGAAAUAAAAGGCUUUUAUCCAAAAAACAGGCAACAACAAAUGCUGUGGGGAAUGUGGAGAAAGGGGAACCCCUUACAUACUGUUGGUGGGAAUGUAAAUUAGUACAGCCACUAUGGAAAACAGUAUGGAGAUUCCUCAAAAUUUUUUUAAAAAGUAAAAAUAGAGCUACUAUAUGAUCCAGCAAUCCCACUGAGAAAGGAAAUUAGUAUAUCAAAGUAAUAUCUGCAUUUCCAUGUUUAUUGCAGCACUAUUCACAAUAGCCGAGAUAUGGAAUCAAACAUCAACGGAUGAAUGGUUAAAGUAAAUGUGGUACAAAUACACAAUGGAGUACUAUUCAGCCAUAAAAAAGAAUGAAAUCCUGUCAUUUUUAAUAACAUGGAUGGAACUGGAGGUCAUUACGUUAAGUGAAAUAAGCCAGGCACAGAAAGAGAAACUUUGCACUUUCUCCAUAAUAUGUGGGAGUUAAAAAAAAAAAAUGAACUUAUGGACUUAUGCUGUAGAAUGUUGGUUACCAGAAGCUGGGAAGGGUAGUGGGGAGAGGGAGAUAAAGAGGAGAUGGUUAAUGGACACAAAAAUACAGAUAGAAGAAAUAAGAUCCAGUGUUCAGUAGCAUAAUAGGGCAAGUACAGUUAACAAUAAUUUACUGUAAUUUUCAAAAUAACUAAAAGAAUGGAAUUGGAAUGUUCCUAAUACAAAGAAAUGAUAAAUGCUUGAGGUAGUAGAUACUUCAAUUAUUCUGAUUUGAUCAUUAUACAUUGUAUGCUUGUAUUGAAAUAUCUAGUACCUCAUAAAUAUGUACAGCUACUAUGUAUCCAUAACAAUUUUAAAUAAAAAAUUUAAAAGGCAAUAUUCAUGCAGAUAUGAUAUAUGGCAAUAAACCACAGUCAUUCAAUUUUUGUUUGUACUUACUGUUUGCUUUUAUGAAACCCUUUCAAAGGCACAGAGAAUGCAGAAAAGUUGAGUCUGCUGUAUUAAAGGAGGAUCUAUUUCCAUAUCCUAUAAUUGGCUUUCUGCUAUUUGGACUCAAAGUCAUUUCACAAAUGAAUGACAAUUGGAGACUCUGGUUGCUUGUAGAGCUGUUCACAAAUCUGGUUUCCGUAUGGGAAUGUGGUAGGAUGGCACUCGCAGCUGUUGAAGUUAAGCGAUGUGUUUUUAUUUGUUUGUCUUUUUUAAAAUAAAUUUUACUGUGCAUAUUUAAGGUAUACAAUAUGAUGUUAUGAAACAUAUGUGUACAGUAAAAUGGUUACUGUAGUGGAACUAAUUAACAUAUCCAUCAUCUCCCAUAGUUACCCAUCCACCCCCAUGGCAUGAGCAGCUAUAAUCUAUUCAUUUAGAAAAAAAUCUUGAAUAUAAUACACUACUAUUAGAUAUAGUUAGUACAUUAGAUCUUUCAACUUGUUUCCCCUACAUAUUUGCCAGUUUGUAUCCUUUGAUCUACAUCUCCCCAUUCUCAUCCUUCCACCCCCUCCCUGACCCUACUAACCACUAUUUUAUUUUCUAUCUAUAUAUUUGACCUUUUUUGAGAUCAUGCCAUCUUUUUCUUUCUGGCUUAUUUCACUUAACAUAAUGUUCUCCAGGUCCAUCCAUGUUGUGGCAAAUGAAAGGAUCUCCUCCUUUUUCAAGGCUGAAUAAUAUUUGGCCAAAAAAAUAGAGUGUCAUUUACGGGAGAAACCUUUAAGAGCCAUUAUUUUGUUCACCACCUUUCUUUUUCUAUACACUAGUAAGAACAGAAGCUCAUUUCAAGAUGAAGCCUCUGUCAAACUGAGUCCUGAAGCAAGGGGAAUGAGCAGAGCCAGCUGUGCUCCACCUCUCAACUUCUUUGGAUUUUAGCAUAUGAGAAAAUGUGGUUGUUCUAAACCUCCUUUAGGGUUAUUUGUUAAUGUGGCUGAACCUAGACCAUCCUUAUACAGACACCAGUGAGUCAGUCAAUCCUCACUCCUAGCAGGGUCUCCCUCUAAAACAAUUGAGUCUCUGGACAUUUAACACUGAUAAUGACUAAGAACUCACUAUCUUGAAAUAAUGUUCUCCAAUUUUAAGCAGUAAAAAUUAUUAAAUAUUCUUUGUUUUGAACCAAAACUUGCCUUUCUGUAACCUCCACUCAAAAGCUAAUUUACAUAAUGAGCUUAGUUAAUGAACAGGCACUUGUAUAAAUUUCUUCAGUGACAUUCUGCAACUUAGAAUUUAUUACCUGCCUCAGGAAGUGUUCUGCUAAAACUAUUUUCUGAAAAAGCCUAAAUCUCAAACAACAGAACACACUGAAUGUAAAUUAAACAGCGCUCUUGAGUAGAAAAUUAAAUUGGUUCCAUGACAUGAGUUUUAAAGAAGCCAACAUAAUAUAAACAGUGCUGCAGGUGACUGAUAAACCUGCAAACUCAAUUGAUACCCUACCUUGGUAAUAACCAAUUGGGAAAAUUAGAGUAAUGGGCAUGAGCAUAUCUCAUUCACACACUAUUAUCUAAACAGAGCUAGAAAAUAUGUUCAAAUAAUUAAUGACACCUGAAUCCAGAAAUAUCAAUAUAGCAUACACUUUAAAAGUACCCUUCUUUUAAUUUUUGUAGGCAGAAUGACCUACUCACCAUAAUCCCAGGUUAAAGCUCAAGUUUAGUGAUUCAAACUGGUUCAUUAUAUCAGUCUAUUUUACAAUUAGUGCAGAGGAAUAAGUAACAACCUAUUCAGUACAAUUUAAAAGCCAAUAUGAAACUGCCAUUGCCCCACAUCUGUUUCCCAAGAGUGAUUCACAUUUUCCAGACUUACAGUAUAACUUAGUACCUGAGCUUUUAAAAAUCAACACAAUUUACAGAAAGGUUCAACAGAAAAAUAAGAAAAAAAAGAAUAUAUUCCUCAAAAAUGAAGAAAUGUAAAAGGACACUGUAAAAUAUGCUUAAAUUCAAUGUAAAUCAAGCAACAAAAUUAAAGGAACAAGAUUCAAUUUUUCAUCUGAUAUUGUAACUUUUGUUUUUACUAGCAAUAUCUAUUAUUGGUAAGAGUUUGGAAAAUGCACCCUCUUAUUUACUGUUAAUCACCAUGUAAAGUGACAUGCUGAAGGAUGGGGAUGAAUAUCAAUUAUGCCUCCAAAUCAGUAAUAGCAAGCAGAUACUAACCUUCUUCCACUAACCUUUCUGUAUUAAGACUAUCAUAAAGAUUGUGACUGGCCAUCAACUUCAAGAUUUAUUCCACUUAAUGGAGGGCAUGGUAGUGUCAGUCAUCUCUUUUGUGUCACCUCACAUAAUCUCAACUUGAACUCUGAUUCCAGCCAUGGCUAUAGUGAACAGUAUUGUGCAGGUUUCAUUCUACCUUAUACCAACUGCCCAUAUCAGCCUCUGAUAUGAGCUCUUCUACAAUGUGCUACUCAUUUUAUAACCUUUUCUGAAGAAUUAGGUAGGACAGUGUAGGUUUACACAUUAUUAGUUGAACUAAAAAAUAAGAGAUAAACAUUCAGCUUCAGGAAUAGGGAGCCCUUAGAGUUAAUUAAGUUCCUAUACUGACCAAUUUCUGAAACUCUGGAGGACACUCAGCUAGAAUGUCUAUUGUACUGGUCCAAGAAGGAUCAACAGGAACUGUGGAAAAUGAGACGAACCUAUCAGAUACAGUAGGAUUUCUAUAUUUUAUCCAUUUUCUCCAGGGAAGAACAAUCAUCUCACAGGGCUUUCCUGUUAAUCUUGAUGGCUUAAACAAAAAAGUGGGAGAACCAGGGAAGAGGAAAGCUUUAUUUCUCACAGUUCUGGAGGCUGGGAACUCCAUGAUAAAGGUAUCAGCUUAUUUGGCUCCUAGUGAGAGUCCUCUUCCUGGUUUGCAGAUGGCCAUCAUCUUGCCAUGUCCUCACAUGGCAAAAAGAGAGGGAGAGGUUUGGAGAGAGAAGGAGAGAGGGAAAGAGUGCUGUCUUGUCUCUUCUUAUAAGGGCACUAAUCCCAUUAUGAGGACCCCAUCCUAGUGAUUUCCUUUUGACCUAAUUACUUCUCAAAAACCCCAUCUCCAAAUACCAUCACAUUGUAGGUUAGGACUUCAACAUAUAAAUUUUCGGGGAGCAAAAUUCAGUCCAUAGCCAGAAAAGUAAGAGAUCUCAUAGUACUUGAAUUGAUUCUGGAAUAACAUAUUUAUUUUUAAAAAGUACUAUGGGCCAGGUGCGGUGGCUCAUGCCUGUAAUCCCAGGAGGCUGAGGCAGGUGGAUCACCUGAGGUCAGGAGUUCGAGACCAGCCUGGCCAACAUGGUGAAACCCUGUCUCUACUAAAAAUACAAAAAUUAGCCAGGCGUGGUCACAGGUGCCUGUAAUCCCAGCUACUCAAGAGGCUGAGGCAGGAGAAUCACUUGAACCCAGGAGGUGGAGGUUGCAGUGAGCCGAGAUCACACUACUGCACUCCAGCCUGGGGGGCAAGAGCGAGACUUCAUCUCAAACAAAAAAAAAAAAAAAAAAAAAAAAAGCACUGUGAGUCUGAGGGAUGACAAGUUUUUGAUUUGUACAAAGACUGGUAAAAUUAUUUUAUAUAACUCAAUCAUGAAAGUAAUCACUCUUUGUCAACCUAUAAAUUCUGAGGAAGAUGAAAGAAGAUAAUUCCCUAAACUGCAUUGUUUUGUCAAUUUGUUAAAAAUUAUUUUCCAUUUGCAAUCAAUCAUUCAUGCUAUGUUUAUUUGCUUUUAGUUUGUUUAUUUAUUUAGAGUUUGAGACAUUACCAUAACAGUCAGUUGGCUGUAAAGAGAUUAUCAUAACAGUUGGCUAUAAAGGGAUAUUAUUUGAUUUUACAUUUAGUCCUACAUACAUUUUAAAAUACUACACCAUUUUCCCUGCUUUACACAGGCUGACAGAUGCUUAAAAAAACAGGAUAAUAUAAUGAAGGAAAUGAAAAUCUUAACUCCGUUUUUAAAAACCUUGCUUUAACAUAGAUGAUAAUACAUAUUCUGUAAAUUCAGGAGAAAUUACUUCUUAGAGAUUUUAGUCAUAUGAGUCAAGCAAUAGAGAAAUAGGACCUUGCUGAGAUAGCUUGGGUAUCAGCCCAGGCGGGCACCUCUAAAAGUAUUAAAUGUUCGUUUACACCACAGUAAGCAAACUCCCUUUAAGUGAUUCCUCAAACUGAGCUGAGUACCUUUAUUUGACCCAAAUAAAUCUUCAUUUGUCCGGGUGGUUAAUUGGAUGAUUCAGUUCAUUUGUUCUUCUAUUUCACUGACAAUUAACAUAUAUACUUUAUAUGAAUUACCCCUUUUCAACAAAAUGACAUUUCACUGUAGGCAACACUGAACACAAUUUAUAUUCUUUAAUUACUGAGAAGGCACCUUGUGAUCUAGUUACAGGACCUCAGGGAUAUCAUAGUAAAUCUCGAACAUCACAGUGAUGUAUAAGUGAUGUGUAAGAAACUGAUUGAACCUAAGUUCUUUCGAUUUCAGAAAAAAUCAUCAAUUUGUUUAUAUUUUAUUAGGUCAUAAUUUUCACAAUAUAGUAUGUAAAAUUAUUUAUAAACACUUUAAAUAUGGCAAUGUCAGUAGCUCAUCCAUUUCAAUCAUUAGCGUUUUUUUAACUGUAGAAAUUGACAUUAUUUAAAUCCUUACUGUUUUCUCUCCUUUCUUUCUCAGUGUCAAAGCACUUCAAUUAAAACACAGAAACUAUAGAAAAUCAUCUGGUAAACAUGCUGAUGAUGUCCUAAACCUGAUCACUUGUCUCAAAAUUUAGUACGUGUAAGUUUAAACCCAUAAUUACAGUUUUAUUUAAAGUAGCAUCACAUAGAAAAUUAGAAAAACAUUCAGGUAUUGAACCUAUCAAGUGAGUUCUUAUUUUAGGAAUUUGCUAUAUAGUUACUUUUCAAAAAUUUGUGGAGGAAUUGACCAAUUUUAGACUAAUGUUUCUACUAUUGGAAACAGAACUGUGAUGCCUUCACCUCUUUAGCUGAAUUUAACAAUUAGAUAACGGCCUAGUGGUGAUGUCUCACCCCACUUUGUUGAUAAAAAAGAAAUGUUAUCUUUGUAACUUCUGUAGUUGAAUCAAACAUAAAAAGCACAAUGCUCAGGCUGAAAUAGCUGUUUCUUAUUUCUUUGAUUCCCCCAACCCAACUUUCCCUCUCAGUAAACUGGCGGUCCCACAUGGCACUUCUUCUCUUCUUCCAAAAAUCCAACAAUUGUGUUCAUCAGUUGUUGCCUAAUAAUCAAGCCAGUAUGUGAAAGUGAACCAUCAUAGGAAUAUAUUUAUUCCAUCUCCAGAAACACAAAGCAAGAUCUGAUUAGAAAUUUGUUUUAAACAGUGAUUUGUUUUACUCAUUGAAGUCCCCCUCCCUCUGUCUCUUAAUGGGGGAGCUUUUUCCUUCUUUCUUGCCUAUUAAACUCUCCGCUUGUUAAAACCACUCCACGUGUGUCUGUGUCGUUUUAUCUUUUUUGUUUGUUCGUUUGUUUGAGGCAGAGUCUCGCUCUGUCACCCAGGCUGGAGUGCGGUAGCACAAUCUCCGCUCACUGCAAGCUCCGCCUCCCAGGUUCACGCCAUUCUCCUGCCUCAGCCUCCCGAGUAGCUGGGACUACAGACACCCGCCACCACGCCCGGCUAAUUUUUUGUAUUUUUAGUAGAGACGGGGUUUCAUCGUGUUAGCCAGGAUGGUCUCGUUUUAUCUUAGUCGGUGCAAAACCAAGGACCCUGGCGUUCCGCCAGUCAUCAAAGCCGUAUCAUCGUGAAUUUUUACUCCAUCAGCCAAUGAAAACAAGGUCAAAUGUAGUUGUUGUGUGUGUGUGUGUUCACUUUAAUUUUGGUUUUAGAAAGAUAACUUGGAGUCAAAUUGCUAUUAGCUUUCAAUUUCUAUUGAUUUUGAAUCUUGUUGACAGGGUCUAUUAUUUGUCAACUCAAUAUGCAUUAUUACUCUUUGCUUAGUGUCUUAACUAUUGUUUUAAUUGGGAUUCCAAUGCACUCAGCAAAAAAGAUUUCAUUUCCCAGGUUCUCUUACAGUUAGGUGUGGUAUUAAGACUAAGAUGUAUGUAGAAGUUAUAGGAUGAAAGUAUUUUGAAAGUUUCUAAAAGAUGGGCAGAUGCAUGCCCUUGUUUUCCCUUAACCUCCUGUCUUCUUUCUCCUGACAGGAAAGUUAAUGGCUGAAGAUUCAGCAGCCAUUCUGAACUGGAAAUUACAUGUUAAGGCUGUUAUAGAAGAAAUAAAGAAAUUAAAUCUCUAUGUCCCCAAGGUAUCUCUAUACCGGCCUGGAAUGCCUAUCUCCAAACCUCCUUUACAUGAGACAGAAACAGCUUCUAUCACCUUAAAAUCUGUUACUUUAGGUUUUUUUCAUUAUGAGCAGCUAAAAUGAAUCUUACUUGAUACAGUGUGAGUGUUCAUGGAUUAGGGCAUUGUUUGAUAAGAGGAGUAAGAAAAGAAUAUAAAUUGUAUUGGCCCUGAUAUGCCACAAACAAUGAGGGCUGAAGCCAAAUUAAUCAAAGAAUAAACUCAAAUACAAAGAACAA